CUUCCAACACCCUCAGAGCCAUCUUCUGCAUCACCCCCCUCAGGUAAUACUGUCACUUCACCUGUACACAUGGGCAUUAUCUGCCUCUCUGAAGCCCAAUCAUCAUCUACCAUUUGUGAAGCUAACUUUGAGGGCACAUAUCCAACCUUAGAAUCUGAUUUCAGAUCAACAAGCUAUGCAUGAAACAUAGUUUGUUUGGUUGUCCAGCCAUCUUGUUGAUCAAUUUCAUCAACCAUGUCUUCACCAUCCUCAAUUCUCACAUACUCUCCUUUCCAAUUAUCAAACCGUAACAAUGCUACCUCUUGCUCUGGACCCCAAAAAAUGCUCUCCCCAAUUUUUUUCCACCACAUUCUUCAUGGCCUUCUCUUCCAUGCUCUGUAGUUCUUGUGGAUCAAUCUCUGCAAAAUCAAUCUCCGGAUGCUACCAUCACCUAUGUCCCGCAUGCUACCAUCACCUAGCUUCGCCUUAGAAGGAAGGAAUUCCGCAGUGAAUUUGAACGUCCGAGCAACAUCCCCCCUAUUUCGGGGCAGUGUGAGGUGAGCUACCGGAAGCAGACGAGGCACAAAUCGCAUUCCUUGGAAAGGAUGCACAUUAAGGGAUUACCUUCUAGAUGUUGUUGUCUCUGGCGGCUCCAUCGCGUGCAGGCCCCCCUCCCACCCACCCAAAUCUGGAUCAAAUUGACCAAAAACACCAAAAAACAGAGGGAAAGAGAGGCGGUGAGAUCUAGCUCGACACGGAGGGGAACGGGAUAGGGUUCCUGAUUCACUCAACACAGCCGCCGCCGUCGCCGAGAACGAAAGCUCCUCUGCGCUGCUAUCACCGAGAACAAAAUCUCCGGCGCCGGCGCCGGCUCACCGCCAAGAACAAAGAGGGGGGGUACACGUUCAGAUAGGCAUGGGGACACGUUUCACCUGAUGCACUGCCAAGUGGGGCCCGCAACUAGAUGCACUGCCAAGUGGGAUCCACAUGUCUUAAACAUAACCUCACUCCCGUUGACGACCAGUUUAAUCGCCCGAGUGGACCUUGGCUAUUUGGGCCUCUGAAACAUAGUACUACAGUUAUUUUCGUCAACUAUGUCGCUUUCCUUCCAUUGCACCUCAAAUAUGUCGCACAGGAGCUAUUGACCCCUUGACUUGUUGCAGCUGGCCAUUUUCUACUACGAAACCAAUUUUCUAGGAGUAAAUAAAUAAAUGAACAACUACAGCAUACAUCAUAUGAGUUUCAGACUUUAUGAAGCCUGAAUGUUGAAAAAAUAAGAAAAAGAGACAACGUAAGGACCUCUGCUCUGUCGUGCCGAUGGAUGACAGAAGCUAAUUGCAGAUGGCCGGAGUUGCGACAUCAGCCUCUUCGAGACACGCGGAGACCUCCGUAUCUCCUCGAGCUCUCCUGCCGCGCGGGGCCGUCAGCGCCCAACAACCUAUGCGGUGCCGCCGCCGUCUGUCUCAUAGGGAACAGCAGAAAGGCCAUUUUCUUUCGGGUGCUUUGAUAAAAAAAAUCAUAUAUUACAGGUGGGUCCAGGACUACUUAUCAACAAUACAUCUCCUUCUCAAUGUAUCCGAAAUGGGGAUUUUGAAAUAUAUUAACCGGAGUCUCUGAAAUCUAACACACUAAAAUUCAGGAACCUAUGAAAACUGGUACAUUUCUUCAUCAACCAUCCUUCGAACCUCAUGUGGCAACGCAGAUAUCAGAGCAUGUGUGUCUUCCUUCUAAGACUUUUGCAUGUUGCCCCUCUAUGCUCCUUUUUUACGGCCAAUGUGUGGAAGGUCAUGUCCAUAACCUCAUUGAUAGUCAAAACAUAGACGAUGAUGAUUGUGAACAUCCGCUGUGGCUUCAGAUUGCGAUGAUGUUGCCUCAUCCCCCAAUUGUGUAGACACAGGCUCCCAUUACACAAAGGGAAUGGUGGGGCGAAUAGACUCGUACCUCUGAAGAGCGAGGAGAAGAUACAUGUAUUUGUUUUCCUCCAAUAUUUUAGAUGGGCCUAGGACAGAUUGAGAGGGGAGCAAAUCCGAAUUUAUACCACACUCACAUUGACAUCCCAAGAUGGUGGAGUAUAUAUAGAACUUCUAUACAUCUUGUUUUUAAUAGCUCAUUUUUAGGAAGGAAAAAAAUAAAUUGUUAUCAUGGGAUAUGUGUUGAGCAGGUCAUUCAAAAAUGUUUAUUUAAUCAUGUGACUGAAUACACCAGAAUCAUGUGAUCAUCCUACUUGCAUGUUUAUGUUAGUCUCCAACUUCCAAAGUAGAACCUAGUAUACAUGGUAUUCUAGUUCUCUCCUGUGUACCAUCACUCCAAGUCCAUUGCAUCAUGAAAGACGUGUGAAACGUGAGAACUGGCAUUGCAUGAUUCUUCUCCAUCUCUAUGUUUCAUCUGGAUAAAGGGUGUCAGAGUAGAUGAUGGGUUUAAUGGCAGAGAGGGGGGGGAGAGGGAGAGGGAGAGAUCUCAUUCUUGUAAAAUGUAAAAAAAAGGAAUGGAAGGAAAGGUCCACACUUAGACAAACUGAUUAGAUCCGUAAACUAAUUAGACCCGCAAAAAAAGAUGACGCUAUAAAUAUCUCAUAACAACAGAGGGAGAGGAAGGCCAUAGCUUUUAUUGUGUAUGGUGAGACCGGCUUUUCAACACCCGGGUGUCAGACACCCGGCUAUCAGGCCGUUCAGGCAAUACCUCUCAUUGGGAUAUGUGUCUGGUCCUGCACCACCAUUUUCAUUAGCAGGCAAGGUGAAUAGUAAAUGGAUGUGACAACAGAGAACGGCCAUAGAGCGGACGAGCUCGCCUGUGUUGAACAGCCUGUCACGUUACACAAGGUGCACCGAAGCAGGAGUAUUGAGCCGCACCAGAAGUCCCAAUAUAUUGGUAGAGAUAAGCUAGGUAGUUAGUUCAUAUCUAUCCUUUGUAACCUAUUCUAUCUCUUCUCCUUCAAGUCUCCUGUAAUAUCUCAACUUCUAACUUGUAUGUGCUUCAGGGAUUGCGCCCCUGCCUAUAACAUGCAACGCGUCCCCUCGCACCGAGGUAAAGACGUUUCCGCAUCUCGCACAUGGUAAUCAGAGCCAUCCUACUUCCCAUCUAGUUUUCUCUCGAUUCCAAUCGUGUCCAAAAAUCAUGUCUUCCUCCUCCGGCAUCUCUCACCCUAGCCUCAGUGGGCAGGUCAUUGAGAAACUCUCCCGCACGAACUACGUGCUAUGGCGCACACAGAUCACGCCACAAUUGCGUGGCGCCGAUGUCUUCAGCUAUGUUCAUGGCACCUCGCCGGAGCCGGCCAAGCUCCUCGCCGCCAAGGACAAGGACGGCAAGGAGACCUUCCAGCCCAACCCUCUCCACCCCAUCUGGGUCAGGGAGGACCAGCAGGUUCUCGGCUACCUGCUGAGCAACCUCUCCAAAGAGGUGCUCCUCAUGGUGACCACGAUCACCACGGCGCAGCCGCUCUGGACGACGCUGGCGGGCAUGUACUCGUCGCAGUCGCUUAGCCGCAUCAACAACAUCCGUACCUCGCUCAUCAAUGCGCAGAAGGGCAACCAGUCCGCCACCGCCUACUUUGCCUCCAUGCGCGGUCUCGCGGACGAGCUGGCAGCGGCCCGCAAACCCAUCCAGGAUGACGAACUCAUCUCGUACAUCCUCCACGGGAUGGAUCUGGAGUACCAGCCCCUCGUCUCCGCCCUCGACACCCGUGUUAGCCCCGCCUCCCUCGACGAAAUCUUCUCCAUGCUCAGCAACUUUGACCAGCGCAUGGCGCGGUUCCAUAGCUCGGGCGGCGGCAGAUUCAAGUCCUCCGCAAACGUCGCUACCCGUGGACGUGGCGACGGCUCUCGCUACCGCGGUCCUUCCCGUGGCAAGGGGAGGUCUGGUGGCGCCAGGACUAGCAGCGGUGGUGGGAUCAGUGGCGGUGGCAGGCGUGGCAACAAGGGUCGCCGUGGUGGCGACUCUGGUAGAACCCGCCCGGACACGCCGCGCUGUCAGAUUUGUGGCAAGCCGGGGCACACUGCCAAAGACUGUUGGUACCGCUAUGAUGAAGACGAGGACGACUCUCAAGAUGAUGGAAAGGUCGCUACGGCGGCUGAUGGCUCCUACGGUGUUGAUACCAACUGGUACCUCAACAGCAGCGCCACUAAUCAUCUCACCGGUGAGCUUGAAAAGGUGACUCUCCGUGAGAAGUACCACGGCAAGGAUGAGAUUCACACCGCCGAUGGUGCAGGUAUGAGAAUCAGUCACAUUGGUCAUUCGGUUAUACAUACCCCUCGUCGUAAAAUUCAUCUUAGGAAAAUUUUGCAUGUUCCUAGUGCCAACAAAAACCUCCUUUCCGUUCAUAGAAUUGCACUUGACAACCAUGUCUUCAUUGAAUUUCAUCCCUUUUUCUUCUUGAUCAAGGAUCAGGCCACGAGGAAAACCCUAUAUCGAGGUAGAUGUGUUCGAGGACUCUACCCGUUGCUUCCGGAGUUUAGAAGACACAAUAAACAAGCCUAUGCUGUUGUCAAGCUUUCUUCAACAUGGUGGCAUGAUCGUCUAGGAUAUGCUUCUUUUUCUUUAGUUGAACAUUUGCUUAGGAAGAAUAAGCUCAUGUUUGUUGGUGAGCGUCAUGUUGAAACUGUUUGUGAUUCAUGCCAAAGAGCAAAAAGUCAUCAAUUGCCUUAUCCUGUUUCUACUAGUGUUUCUACUCAACCUUUGUAAUUAAUCUUUUCGGAUGUCUGGGGUCCUGCUCCUUGUUCGGUUGGUAGACACACAUAUUACGUAAGCUUCAUUGAUGACUAUACCAAGUUCUCAUGGAUCUACCUUCUCAAGAAACGAUCCGAUGUUUUUCAAGUUUUUCAAAACUUCCAAGCACUCGUUGAAAGAAAUUUGACAGCAAGAUCAUUGCAGUCCAAUCUGACUGGGGGGGAUACGAAAAAUUAAAUUCCUUCUUCCAAACCCUUGGCAUACCCCAUCAUGUUUCAUGCCCUCACCCUCACCAACAAAACGGCUCUGCCGAACGCAAGCACCAACACAUAGUUGAAGUUGGUCUAGCUCUCCUAGCCGGUGCUUCCAUGCCCCUCAAGUUUCGGGACAAAGCCUUUCUUACCAUCGUCCACAUAAUCAACAUGCUUCCUAGUCGUGUCAUCAACAACGAAACUCCCAUGGAAAAACUCCUUCACAUCAAACCAGACUACAAGUCUCUCCGUGUGUUUGGUUGUGCUUGUUGGCCCAACCUUCGUCCAUACAACAAUUGAAAGCUCAUAUUUCGAUAAAAACAGUGUGUUUUUCUUGGGUAUAGUGCCCAACACAAGGGUGUCAAAUGUCUAUAUGUAUCCACUGGUCGCAUCUAUAUUUCACGUGAUGUUGUUUUUUACGAGACCAAGUUCCCAUUUGUUGACCUUCACCCCAAUGCUGGUGCACUCCUUCGCAAAGAGAUCCUACUUCUCCCUUCUCAUCUCACUAGUUUUGAUCAAGGGGGCGAUAAUUGUAAUGAUCAAGUGUUGACUGGCCCUCUUAAUACCACAUAUGAGCCUGGUGAUGAUGCAGGAGAAGGCACAGAAAAAAACAGCAGUCAAGAUGGUGAAGAAAUGCGCUCUACAGAGCCAUAUUUCAUGUGUCCAGGUGAAGGGAACAAGUCCCCUUCGGGAUCCGUGCUGCCAGGCGUGUCAGCCGCAUCAUCCUCAGGAGACCGCGCAGACGCGUCAGGGCGGCCACGCGAAUCUGCACCAGAAUCCGCGCCAGCCUCGUCAGGCGUGGUCGGGAGCGAGCCAUCGAGCGGCGACUCCGAGCCAGCCACGCGGCGCCCUGUGGCUGGGGAACACGCCUCCUCUGCUCCGCGCCAAUCACGCAUUUGAAUAUUCAAGCGUUUGAAUAUUUUUAAUAAAGUAUUGCAAAUGUUAAUCAAGCAAUUGAAACUUGUUAAGGCCUUGUUCGGUUUGGCAGGGUUUGAAGAGGUUUGAAAGGAUUGAAGGGGAUUAAAUCUCUUGCAAGUCAAAAUCCUUCUCAAACCUCGCCAAUCCCCUUCAAUCCAUGUGGCAAGGGGAUUAACCGAACAUGGCCUCAAUGUGUAUAGAAAAAAUGGUUGCCAUGUAAACAAAUAAUUAAUAAAAAAUAUACAAUGUGUAGGAAACGAAUGUUGAUGGUGUAUUUAAAAAUGUUGAUAAAUAAUUAUAAAUUUAUCAAUGUAACAAAAUAAAUUUCUCAUGUGUUCAACAUUUGUUAGUGGUCAUAAUACUUUUUGCGCGCACAAUGCACAUUUCUUUUAUAAAUCAAGAACAUUUUUUUACAUUCUUAAUAUUAUAAAAAUACAUAAUUACCUUUCUUAAAUACAUUUUUAUGGUGUCUACUUUUACUUAAUGUGCAUAUUACAUUUUUGUAUAACUGAUCAGCAUUUUUAUAUACACGUUUAACAUUUUAAAAAAUAUGAUCAAUAUUUUUCCAUAUGAACAAAGCAAAGGCAAUAAAAACCAACUAAAACCUAAAUAGAAACAAAUGAAAUAAAAAUAAAAAAUAAAAAAACACCGCAGAAAGAAUAGAAAACAGCAAAAAUCGAGAAAAAAGGAAAAAUGAAAAAAGAAAGACACAAAUAGAAAAUAAAGAAGAAGAAGAAGAAGAAGAAGAGAAAUAAAAGAAAAAACAUCUAAAAACCAAUAAAGAAACAGAAACAGAUCAAAGAAAACAAAGAAAGCUAAAAGAAAUGAAGAAAUACACAUUCACCAGUGACGCGAUCAUGAGCGGGCAUUUUUUUGUUUUGUUUUGAGAAAUGGACCUCCUAGUUGCUACACGAGAGAGUUAUUCCUUCCGGGUAAAGAAGCUACGAACUCGGGUGAAGCAAGACAUAGCUCUCGCGGGAAAAGAGAGCUCCUCGUUGGCGCGUUAAGCGAGGCGCACCUAUGUAUCGCUUGAUACGAGAUGAAACAUGCGACCGCUUAGGGGUCGCAAUACAUGGUUCGGCCCAGAUAGGUUCCAGGUUAGGUCAUCCUUUUUCAUGUGUUUCUACUUUUUUCGAAAAUAUUGUAAACAAAUAUAUACAAAAACAUAAAAAUUGUUACUAAAAAUAGGAGCUGCAAUUUGAAAAUGUUAAUGAAAUGUAUGUUAGCUUAAUUAAAAGAAAUAUUGGUAGCGUACAAAAAAUAUGACAUUUAACAAAUAUUCACGUGUUUCAAAAGUAGUAUGUGACUUUAUAACCAUGUAUUUCAAAAAUCUUAAAUUUGUAUGUAGACUCUUCUUUAUUUACACAAAAAAUGUACAAAUGUGUACGUAAAAAGUAGACAUAAAUGACAUAUAUUUGGAAAAUGACACUUCUGUAUUAGAAAAAUAUUAAAUAUGCAUCCAAAAUGUUCUUGAUGUAUAAUAAAUUGUACAAUACGUAUAAAAAUCUACAUAUAAACAAUUAUUUGAAACAAAAAAAUUAAUCAUGUAAAUUUGCCCGUCUCCGCGAGAUCAAUUUGUGGUUCCGAACAACGAGCUCGCUCAACGCAGAAGCCAUGGCGGUGGUUGAGGCGCUAGACAAGGAGGUAGUGUCAAGGUGUUUCCCUGGUAACAAGAGCAACCAUGGUGGUUCUCUAAAUAAUGGAGGAGGCAGAGUCAACAGAUCCCUCCAAGCAAUUCAAGUGGGCGGUGUUCAGGUCCCUUACCACAAUUUUCCUUGCGUCUGUGGAGGUGGUAAGGGUGUUACCGACAUCAAGAAGCAGUUCGAUGCUGAUUGUGAUUUCAGAUGAGGAGCUUGAGCUGCAGCGGGUGAAGAAGAAGGGCAUGGUGGUGAGUUUCCCACACGGCUCCGCCAGGCUCCAUGCCCUCUCCGCGCAGAGUAGGUGUCUCCCCGGAUGGUAGCUGCUUCUAGUUGGUGGCCGCGGAGGAUUGCGACUAGGCUGAUGCUGGAGAGGGUUGCCCGCCGGAUAUCUCAGGCAUAUUUCUAUCUGCUAAAUAUUUGCAUUCUGCUUCACAUAUUAGUGAUGGUAGAAAUGUUUUGGGUUGGAAUAAAAUUCAAUUGAAACUGAAAAAGAAACAACAUAAAUAAACACGUCCAGCUACAUGAUUCUAGAGUUUGUGAUUGGGAAAAUAAAGUUGAUGAAAAUUCGUCUUCUGUUUGUUAACCAUGUAUAAAAAUAUGCUUAUCAUGUGUAAAACAUUAUUUAGUGGCGCUAAUUGCUUUUGCACGCACAAUGCACAUUUUUUGUACAUCAAGUACAUUUUUUCUUAACAUUUUAUAAAUACAGAAUCAAUUGUUUAAAAAAUAUGCCGUCUACUUUUAUUUAAUGUACAUAGUAUAUUUUUGGUGCAAAUGAUCAGCAUUUUAAUAUAUACAUUUAACAUUUUUUAAACAUGUUCAAUGUUUUCCAUAAGGACGAAAAAGACAAAGAAACCACCUAAAACUGAAAAAGAAUCAAAUGAAAAAAUAAAAAUAAAAAAGAAAGAAAACCACCUCAAAAAGCAUAGAAAACAGGGAAAACCAUGAAAAAAAUGAAAACAGUGAAAACGAAAGAUACACAAAAAAUGAAAAAAAGGAUGAAUAAAUAAAAUAAAAAACAACUGAAAACCAAGAAAGAAACAAAAAAACAUGAAAGAAAACAAACAAGAAUAAUAAUAAAUCGAAUGGAGAAAAAAAUAAAAAUCGAUGGAAAAUAAAUAAACAAGGAAAACAGGCGAAGAAACAAAGAAAAAAAGAAGUAAACGGACCUUGCCAGUUGCUACGCGAGAGAUCUAUUUGUUCAGGCAAGAGAAGCUACGAACUGAAGUGAAGCGAGAUAUAGCUCUCGUCGCACACGAGAGUUCUUGGUCGGCGGAUUAAGCAAGACGGAGCGUGCAAUAGCUUUGGUGUCAGCUAUACAUGGUUCGGCCCAGAUAAGUUCCAGGUUAGUUCGUCCUUUUUAUGUGUUUCUCCUUUCUUUUGUUCUUAUUUUGAAAAAUGUUGUAAAUAAAUAUAUACCAGAACAUAAAAUUUAUUUAAAAAUAUAAAAAUGUUGAAUGUGAAUGUACUAAAUAUGUUAGCUUAAUUCAAAAAAAUAUAGGUAGCGCACAAAACAAUUGUGACAUUUAACAGAUAUUCACGCGGUUCAAAAAAAGUAUGCAACUUUAUAACCAUGUAUUUCCUAAAUGUUAAACGUCUAUAAAAAAACUCUUCUUUAGUUACGCAAAAAAUGUAGAAUUGUGUAUGAAAAAAGUAGACAUCAAUAACAUAUAUUUGAAUUAUGUUACUUUUGCAUUUAAAAAAUGUUAAACAUGCCUAAAAUAUGUUCGUGAUGCCUAAAAAAUGUUGCGAUGAGGAUGGCUGUCAUCUCGCACCCGCCGACUGCUUGAACAGCUAGCGUCGCUGAGCUUGAGGAACCCCUUGUAGGGACCAAAGCAGACAACCUUGACGUUGCUGGCCUCCGUCGGCAUAUCAACAAAGCGCGACGCUUUCACUGUCGGACCAAAUCAGAGAUGGAUUAGGUCUAAAAUAUAUAUUUCUUGGUUAAAGGAAAAACAUGUAAUAACUGAACUCGCACUUAAGAAUUAAUCAACAUGUUGAUUCCACCGAAGCAUGCAUGCCUCCUGGAUGCUGAAACACGACUCACUGACUAUAAAAGCAGAGGACUCACUGACUAAGUACAGGAGCGAGUGACCGACUCUCGGCUCGGGUGAGGAUAAAAAAGAUCACCUGCUGCUGCUGGUUAUUGGUAAAAUCCAUGUGAGUGCUUGAUAAAAAAUUAUGGAACAUUGUAUAUGUUGUUACACAUAAAUGUUGGGAUAAAAAGAAUCAUCUUGGUACACUGCCUAGUCUUUUGGUGGACAGAAGAUUGUAUGGUGCAAGAAGCUAUUCAGAUACAACAACACUGGGCUACAUGACAGGAAUGGUGUACACGCCCCAAGGGCCAGCAGGCAGCAGCAAACCAGGUCAAGAUGAGAUGGUCUGGGCCUAGGAUGUUGAUUCAGAGAUGCCUGACUCGACGCCAAGCAGCAGCCACCCUACACCGCAGGCCCCGGCAGUUCUCGACCGAGAGCGACUGCGGCACAGUUCAGUUGUAGAAGCAAUCACAUGCCAUUCCCCCAGCAGAGCAGAACAGAGCAGAGCAACAAUCAGGGAUCAGGCCUGUCAUUGAAUAGAAGCUGAAUGACCUUCAGCUUCAGCUCCGGCAGGCCUGCCUCCGCUCACGGACUAGCCUCGGUAUUUCCUUCCAUGUCUUCGGUUUCAAUGGUUUGAAUUCCGUUACUGCACAUACCAAAAACGAUGUCAGAAAAAGCUUGCACAAAUUAAUGUGUUAUAUCAAAAUAUAUAGCAUGAUGGCAUUCAAAUAAUGGAGAAGAAACUUCUGCAAACGUGUUAGACCAUUAUGUACAAGGGAUGGAACGGAUGACUGCAUCUGUUUGUUAAAUGUGGCAAAGAUAGAAGGACGUGCUGCAAGCAUACCUUCAUAGCAGGCAUCUAGUCGUUUGCGGCUGAUGCUGCCCAGUUGCUGCUGCAGGCAUCUAGGGAGCUUCUUUAUAGCAGGGCAGCCUCUAAUUUGAAGAUACACGAGAGACCUGUAUACUUGCAGCUCAUUCGGCAGGGAUGCCAGGGUACUGCAUCUGUCAAGAUAAAGGACAUCCAGCGAUGGGGGGUGCUCUCCCGACAGACACUCCAGCGAUGUCAGCCCACUGUUUCCCAUAAUCUGCGGUCCCUUGAGGGGUGCAGGUAGACGGAGAGUCCCACCCAACAUGCCAGCACAGUCCACUAUUACUAGAGAUUCGAGAUGGGGAGGAAGUAAAUGCUCUCUUGCAGUUGGUGUUGCUGCUGCUGGUGGCUGUGGCAUGAUAGGACUUCUGCUUAUGGAGGUAGUGACUUCUGGUUUCUGGAGCCCACCCAGCUGGCAUGAUAGGACUUGAAUACUACUACAGCUAGCAAUACGAAUGUACUUUAAAGACGGAGGAAGGUUCAGAACCGCUGGUAAGCUUCCACAUCCAGAUAAAAGUAGAUCUUCUAGGCAUGGACAAAAGUGAUUCAUGGGUGAGGAUGGCAACUCUGAUACAGCUGCAGCCCUGAUUGCCUCACUGCUAGAAGAUACUUGGACUAACUCUGCCAUGCCCUGCUGCUUGCUGAAUAUGGAGUCAAGCUUAAUGCACCUAUCAAAAUUCAUUUUCUUGAGAGAUGCCGGGACGUUGAACAUCUCUACUAAACUUGGGCAGUUUUCUAAGCAAAGAGACUCUAGACCUCUCAGGUGCUGACUCCUUUCGGACGCCAAUGGCUCAAGAGGAGCUUGUGCAUAUCCAAUCAGAUUUUCACAGUUUGUAAUCGCCAAGCUCCUCAAGGACACCAAGCUUUGGAACACUUUCUCUGGCCAGUGGACGAGCACAUCGCAUCUAUCAAUUUCCAACUUUUCAAGAUCUACAAAAUACUCACACGGCUCUAAUGCACCCGAUCCAAAGAACAAGUUGCAGCAUCUUAGCUCCAUAACUGUAAGAGGGGAUUUCUGGUUCCAUUUCUCCUUGCUGUCCACCAAUACAAUUGAAGUGCACUCAACCUCUGAUGUUGUUUCUGUGUUUUCUAGCUUCAGUAUCAGAUUGGUCAAUGAGGGCAAAUAUCUAUCUACAGAAUCGGAGAUCUCUUGCUUGCCAUCUUCAAUUUCUAAUACACUGAGUUUUGGUGCUUCAGGCAAUGCUACCAGUUUUGGGCAUUUCUGGACUGACAAUUUCUCAAGGUGGGGAAACAAUGUACCUUCGACUGCAUCCCAUCUCUGAAAGCUCCCCAACCAUUUCAUUUUGAGCACCUUUAAGGCAGGAAAGGCUGAACGUACCAAUCUAUAACCACCUUCACUACAUGGUUCUUGAAGCAAUGGUGCUUCAGGUAACGCUGUCAGCUUUGGACAUUUCUCAAUUGAUAGUUCCUCCAGACAAGGAAACACUAUCUGUUCUCCUUGAGUCUCUUCGACUGCAUCCCAUCUCCGAAAGCUCUCCAACUCUUUCAUUUUGAGUACCUUUAGGGCAGGAAACGCUGAGCGUACCAAUGUAUAACCACCUUCACCACAAGGUCCUUGCAGCAAUGGUGCUUCAGGUAAUGCUACCAACUUUCCACAAUUACUAAUAAACAACUUCUCAAGCACAGGAAAUAUUGUUUGUUCUUCUUGCCUCUCAUCUAUUUCCCACCAUCUUACAAAACCCAACAAACGUUCUAGCAUUAGUACCUUCAGUUUUGGAAAAGUGAAGCUUGCACUGCAUCUGAACAAAACUUGCAAUCUUUCACAAUGGAAAAGAUGGAUCUCAACCAUGUUUUGCAGCAUACCCAUGCACUCUCCUCCAUAGGAAUAUAUCUUCAGAACCUGCAACCCACCAUGUGGUUCGAAAUUGUCGAGCACCAUGCUGUCACAAACAGAAUUCCAUCUUAAUGUCAGUUCUCUGAGAUCCUUCUUGUUUCCAAGGUUUGCCACUUUUGCCUCUGCCUCUAUAACAUUCUCUAUCUGACAUAGCUCUAACUGACCACCAAGGUUUAAAUGCUGCAGCUCUGCAACAUCACUGCAAUCAGUGCCAGUAACUGCUGCUGCAAAAAAUGUAAGCGUCUGCAGCUUAGUGAGUUUUCCUAGUUCUGGUGGCAUGCUCUUCAAGUUGCGACAUCCAAGAGUGUAGAGGUGACGGAGGGAAGUCAUAUACUUCAUUUGCCUCGGAAGUCGAUCAAGAUGAUAGCAGUUGGAAAGGUCUAACGUUUGCAGGUUAUAUAGAAUACUUAUAUCUUCAGGAAGUGCUUUGAUAUCACUGUCUGAGAGAUCAAGGUACCUCAGGUGAUACAGAUACAUUGAUUUCAGAAGAAAUGAUUCUGUGCCUCUAAUACAGAGCUUUAAGGCAUGCAAAGAGCUAUAUUUUGAUAGAUGCUUCAAUGAGCUUCGCACAUGGCUAUCACAUAUCAGUGUUUGAAUGGCAGGGGAUUUUUUCUCCAGAGCAUCAUUCAAAAUACCUUCUGUUUCUUCACAUGACAAGAACAAAUGCCGAGCAGUAUCUGGAAGCCACUCGGUUUGCCUUGGUUCCAUAGUUGCAACAACUCAUUCCUCUUCCAUAACAGACAUUGCAAUAUCAUGCAUAAGAUCAUGGAUUUUACAUGUAUUUCUGGAAUAAUACUCCCAGUCUUCUUUACUCUUCUCUAUAUCCAGAAAGAAUGACCUUGAAGCAAGCUCAUCAAAAAUAAGUUGUCCAAUGGUUUCAAGACUAUCUUCCUUGUGUUCAGGGAUAAAGCCAUUUGUGAUCCAUAGUUGGAUCAGCUUUGCUACAUCAAUCUUGUAAUCCUUUGGAAAUACAGCACAAAAAGCAAAGCACUGCUUCAUGUGCGAUGACAAGUCAUUGUAGCUAAGCUUCAAUAUUGGCAAGAUUCCAGUUUCCUCAGUGCAAAUGCUGCUUCUAGAUGCUAUAGCCUUCCAUUCUUUCACGGUGGUCUUGGUACGAAGUACAGAGCCCAGUGCACUUGCAGCUAAAGGAGAGCCACGACAUCUGUUCACAAUCUGAUCAACCAUCUUGACUAGCUCAACAGGCUUUUUUUUUCCGGAACUGAAUGCUCGAGCCUCAAUAAUUUCCUUUAAGAAUAUAUCAUCCAAACGACCGAGAAUGUGGGUAUCUGCACCCAUAAUUUCAGCAACUCCUUUAUCACGAGUUGUUGUCAGCACCGCACUACCCAUGACACCAUGCUUAAGAUGGUCCUUCAGCCUUUCCCACUUAUGGACUUCUCUGUUCCAGACAUCAUCUAAUACAAGGAGAUACCUCUGCCCGGUGACCAAUUUCUGAAGUCUCUCUAGUUGUGGUUUGUUUGUAUGAUAAUUUUUCUUGGGAGAUGCUUCAACUAUACUCUUGGCUAGGGAGUUCACAUCAAAGAUAUCCGAGACACAGACCCACAGCAACAACUGGAAAUGCUUCUGAAUUCUAGGUUCAUUGUAUAUGAGCUGUGCUAAUGUGGUCUUACCAAAGCCCCCCAUUCCAACGAUGGCAACCACUGCGAGAUCAGCACUAUUAGCUUGGCGAAGUAGUCUACCAACAACUUCCACCUUAUCUUUGUCUCUGGAUCUGCUAGCAAUGUCUUGCAGGUCGGUGAUAACAGAAUCCGUCUGCCUCCACUGCUUGGACACGGGUGGCUGUGGUCGGUACUUGAACCUAAAGGCAUGCAUCUCUGCUAUGAGCACAUCAAUGGCCUUCAGGAUCCGGCAAAGCUUGCGACCCAUUUUGUAACGGAACACAAUACAGUUGUGAGUAGGGAAGAGUUUAAUUACAUCGAAGCCGAGCUUGCUGUAGUGCCCCUUCUUCCUGGCUUCACGACGGAGUGCUUCGUACUUGAAUUCGUCAAACACUUCAUUUGCCUCAUAUGCCACCGUCUUGAGCUCCUGGAGCCAGGUUUUGGCCCCAUCUCUAUGCUCCGUCGCCUGCUUCUCGGCGUCGGUCAUGACGUCGAGGAUGGCCGGAAGCUUGCGUUUGAGAAUCUUGUGCUGCUCCUCCAUUCCCUCCAUCACCUUGUACUGGUCCAGGAGGGAGUUGCCCGCCUUGUUCACCAGCAUGGACACCAGCGGCCGGAUGGCCAUGGCGGCCACCACCUCCGCCAUUGGAACGCCCACACGAUUGGCACAGCAACACGAAGCAGUGUGGAAUGGAGAAUGGAAUGGUGUGAGCAAGACGUGCUUGCUUUGCUAGUAAUGAAACUGGAAGCCAAGGUGAGUAUUGACUUUCUGGGAGCGAAGUGGAUGAGCUCGCGUUACGGGAACCAAUCACAACUAUCCAAUCCUGAACAGCUCAGCACUGGGCAUUGUUUUUGGGCUGAUGCAUAAUAGGACAAUCAGCAUACCACAUUAACAGCUGGGGGCAUCUUCAUUUCUUAAUGAGACACAACCAGAGUGCAAGACGACGCGGGCAACCAUAAUAUUGCAAGUAGAUCAUUGUAUUAGGUAUUUGUGUCAGUACAUCCAAUCCAGUUUUUCAAAAGUGACGUUUCACUGGCUGUGACCUUAGCAGAUGGUACGAAUUUCCUUAACAAAUACAAAGAGUUGCAGGAAUGCAAAUUAAAUAAUUACUUCCACUGGCUAGACGUGUGACAGCACACCUACUGCCUAACUACAGCAUAUACUUAUCUCAAGUGCCUGCCGCCCAGGGAGACCAGAAUAAUGGUGUUCUUGGAUUAGUUGAACCUUCAAUGCAUCACUACUUAUCACCGAAGCAUUAUUUUAUUGUUCUUUUUUUUUUGGAAUGGCCUCUAAGUAUGAUUGAGUACAGGAUUGAUCUCAGAGCAAACAUAAUCGGCUGGCAGAGAAUUAUGUCUUGUUCAUAUAGUCUGAUGCAAUUUUGUGGUUACACACUCCUCAGUUUUUAUAACUAAAUACAGAAUUUUAAUCUGUUGACAGAUCAGACAAACGUAGAAACAGUUAGCAAGAGCCCCAAUGAGAUUAUAUGCAGCAUCAUUUUAAUCGGAAAGCAAUUGCCCUCAUGAGAUCAGCAACCAUACACAGUGCCAAUAAAAAAAGGUGGCUCGUACUAACGACGCAGGUUUCAAAUUAAUCAAGUGGCUAAACCGAGGCAUCGACAGCCAUAUGGGACAAUGUGCACUUCAGUUAGAAAAUGAACACUUGCAGGCAGUAAAAUAAUUUAUGUCAGUACACCCACGAUAUUGCAAAUAGAGUAUUAAUUACGUAUUUGUGUCAGUACAUCCAAUGCAGUUUUUCAAAAGUGACGUCCCAUUGGCUGUGACCUUAGCAAAUGGUACGAAUUUUCGUUCUAAGUACUACAAAAAGUUGCAGGAAUGCAAAUUAAACAAUUACCUCCCAUGUCUAGACGUGUGAGAGCACACCUACUGUGCAACAACAAAAUAUAUUUCAUCUCGGGCACUUACCGCACAGGGAGGACCACAAUAUUGGUUUUCGUGAAUCUAAAAUACAUCACAUGCUUCCUGCUGAAGAGGGAAGACCCGGUGGCAAGUGGUUAAUUUCUUGUCCUUUUUUAAUGACACCUCUAACUAACAUUGAAGGGGCAUGAUUGAUCUCAGAGAUGAGCAUAAUAAGCUGGCAGAUGACCAUCCCUUGCUCAUAUGGACAAAUGAUACACUUAAUAUACUGAUAUGAUAAAAUACAACUUGACAAUCUCCUGAUAUUCGACGAUGAAAGAUAUGUAUGAGUAUGCGAUUCAAUUUGGUGGGCUUAAUAUGUUCCGUUAUUGAGAGACAGUGAAAAGCGGAAUAAAGGGCAGGGUGGAAUUCUCUAUAUCAGGUUAAGGAGAUCGUCUUAACUAACUAAAAUCAGAUGAAGCCUAACUUUGCAACCAUACGACGGAAGCAACAAAAAUAAAGACAGGGAGCCAGAACAGAACAAAGAUAAAUUCCAGUGCCCUUUUAUUGAUCACUGCCUAUGGCCAUAUAGAUGAGAUCUGGGACUCGGCCAGCUGAAACAUUCCUCUAGAAAGCACAUUUCCGCUGAUGCACAUAUGAAAUACGACAGUACAAAGCAGAAUAAACACUGAGAUUAUACAGAUGAUUGGACGCUGUAACUAAGUUGGAUAUCGCGGCGCGCAUAGGCGGAAAUGAGAGAGAAACGGAAUGUCCAAAGCCACAAAUGUACAUCGCUGUCAGGCUACCCAGCUGAAUCCUGCUUCCUGCUGACCCUCCUGAUUCACGCAGACGCAGCUAGCAUGGAGAUGGGCACGCCUCUCGAAUUCAUGUGAAUCGAAUCGCUGGAAGAGACGGACGGACAGGAUCAAUACCUUUGUGUCGACGGGGAGGGGAGGCCGGAGUGGCUGCCGUCGACGUACGGCGCGCAGCCGACGGGGGAGCUCCGGGACCUUCUUGUCGACACCAUCUGCAAUGGAAGUAAAAAAGAGCUGUUAGAAGAGGAUACGAGAGAGGCUCACGGUAGGAAGGAAUGGGGAAGGGGGAUGAGUGAGUACCUCGAGCGGCCGCGGUGGUGGUGGGCGGGCGGAUGCGGAGGGUGGGAGGGAGGCUGACACCUCCGCCGCCACAGACGUACGUGGAGCGGCCACGGGCGUUGCGUUCUGGUAGAGGCCACGGGCAGUGGGGUCCGGGAGACGUCGUGCGCCGGCGAGGAGGACGGGGAAGGGGAGACGAAGACGACGCGGAUCGGCGGAGUGUGGGCUGGGCUUGUGACGUUGGGGCCUCCGAAAACUAUAGCCCAGUUCGAAUUGGUGCCCUAACACACACAGCGCUUACGUCGGCUAAAUCCUAUUUGGCGCCUUCAGCGCCCGCUAUAGGUCUUUCGGCCGGCCCAGUUUCGACAUUUUUUCUGUGUUUCCAAAAGGCAAAAAGGGCGCUAGAGCUGGGUAUCGAAAACGCUACAACCACUCAACCACACCCCUUGGUGUGAUUGGUUACAUGUUUUCUCGUCUUUUCUUAUGCUUCUUUUCCUUUUUAUUCCUUUUUUUCUUUCUUUUUUCAAAUUCGCAAAACUGUUUCUUCAUGAAUAUUUUCUGCAAAUCGAUGAACUUUUCUCUUUGAAUUUGAUGAUUUUUUUCGAAAAAUUUGAUGAACGUUUUUUCAGAUCCGAUGAACUUUUUUUUGAAUUCCAUGAACUUUUUUCAAAUUCGAUGAACUAUUUUUCGAAUUCAAUGAACUUUUUCUGAAUUCGAUGAACUUUAUUUCGAAUUCAAUGAACUUUUGAUCGAAUUCGAUGAACUUUUUUAAAUUUGAUGAACUUUUUCAAAUUCUGAUGAACUUUUUGAAAGGACAAGAGUACAUACCGUAGCAAAACGGUUUGUUUUUUCCAAGAAAAUCAGUACACACUGUAGCAUUUUUUGAGCGAGAGAAAUAAAAAAGUGAUCGAGCGGUAGCUAGCGACCGAGCGGCGACAGCAGCGAGCGUUGCUGGGCCAGGCCCAUGCAAGCGACGCAGUGGGCGCCGUGUUCACUCGCUCCACCUCUGCAUUGAUGUCUCUAGCUUGUAGCAAUUGCCAUCCUUUACAUGUAAAGAGGAUUUGAUGAGUCAUGUCAUGCUCUAUAGGCGUCAGUUCAUCUUAUCACCUUAGAGGAAAAUACAAAGUUAGUUUUUCGAAAAGCAACCGAGCCUAGAAGAACCGUACCCUCGACACGCAAGGCUUUAGCAUAUCUUAAUAGCCGAGACACGAUUGCGACUUGGUUCCACACAAGUUUCGUCUUUCUUGUUAAUGGCUGACAGCCCAUACAAGAUUCCAAACUCGGUUGCAAAAGUGAUACUAUCCUGAUAAGUGCGUGACAUGUAAAGUGAAUAAGGUGAUUCAUCUAUAGCAAACUUUAGGAUUUCUAUACUUUGUGUAUAAUCAUAUGCACAACUAAAAAGCAACUUUGAUGAUCAAUCCAAAAGUACGCUUGUAGCUAGUGCAACCUAACACAAUGUACCAAAAAUCCAUUUCAGAAACAUCCAAACAUAAUUAUUAAAGCUGAUGGAAAGAAGGAAAGAGAUGGUGCCCGGGCUACUAUAAAUAGGCAUGAAGUAUCAAGAUCAUCACAGGCACAAUCAUCAAAACCAAGCAAUACUAGUUAACACCAAUCCACCAUGAAGACCUUCCUCAUCUUUGCUCUCCUUGCCAUUGCGGCGACAAGUGCCAUUGCACAAAUGGAGACUAGCCGCGUCCCUGGUUUGGAGAAACCAUGGCAGCAACAACCAUUACCACCACAACAACAACCACCAUGUUCACAGCAACAACAACCAUUUCCACAGCAACAACAACCAAUUAUUAUACUGCAACAAUCACCAUUUUCGCAGCAACAACAACCAGUUCUGCCGCAACAGCAACCAGUUAUUAUACUGCAACAACCACCAUUUUCGCAGCAACAACAACCAGUUCUACCACAACAACCACCAUUUUCACAACAACAACAACAACAACAACAACAACAACCACCAUUUUCGCAGCAACAACAACCAGUUCUACCACAACAACCACCAUUUUCACAACAACAACAACCACCAUUUUCGCAGCAGCAACAACCAUCUUCACAACAACCACCUUUUCCACAACAACACCAACAGUUUCCACAACAACAAAUCCCUGUUGUUCAACCAUCCGUUUUGCAGCAGCUAAACCCAUGCAAGGUGUUCCUCCAACAGCAGUGUAGCCAUGUGGCAAUGUCGCAACGUCUUGCUAGGUCACAAAUGUGGCAACAGAGUAGUUGCCAUGUGAUGCAACAACAAUGUUGCCAACAGCUGCCGCAAAUCCCCGAACAAUCCCGCUCUGAGGCAAUCCGUGCCAUCGUCUACUCCAUCAUCCUGCAAGAACAACAACAGGGUUUUGUCCAACCUCAGCAGCAACAACCCCAACAGUCGGGCCAAGGUGUCUCCCAACACCAACAGCAGUCGCAGCAGCAGCAGCAACUCGGACAGUGUUCUUUCCAACAACCUCAACAACUACAACAAUUGGGUCAGCAGCCUCAACAACAACAGAUACCACAGGGUAUAUUCUUGCAGCCACACCAGAUAUCUCAACUUGAGGUGAUGACUUCCAUUGCACUCCGUACCUUGCCAACGAUGUGCGGUGUCAACGUGCCGUUGUACAGCUCGACCACUAUUAUGCCAUUCAGCAUUGGCACUGGAGUUGGUGGCUACUGAUAAGAAAAGAUUUCUAGUAAUAUAUAGUCGUUAGAUCACCGUUGUUUAGUCGAUGGAUAUGUCGAUGUAGCGGUGACAAAUAAAGUGUCACACAAACGUCAUGUGUGACCCGCAAACUAGUAGUUAAAUUCUGGAAUAAAAUACAAAUAAAGUUUUCUCUAGACAAUGUUCAUACCGGCGUUCUGUGGACGUCGAUGUGACUACCAUGCUUGCAAGUUCAUAAGUUCGUCUUGUCUGGUCACAAACCUGGUGCGUUAAUUUAUUAUUCAUGUAUAGAAAUAAUCAAAAUUUAAAUAUAAUAGUGUUAUUGUAAAAUUUUGGUUGAGUUGAAGCAAGGACUAACAUACAACUCUUUAAUGGUUGGAGAUUCAAGAUCUUAUUUUUAUUGGUUUGUAUCUGGUUCCAACUACCACCAUGGUCUACAGUGACAACCACAACUGGUUUGAUCGUUAACUCUCUUUGCUUGGUUUUUUUGCAAAUAUGUUCAUUGAUUCUUUGCACAAUUUUUUUGUCAAGAAAAAGGUCAGCUUUUGCUUGAACUUCACACACACACACCACUACAUAGUUAAUUCGAAAUAAGUUGCUGGUGAUGUCCUAGACCAGCUAGCACAGUCAGUGUGUGUGGGGAGGGGGAGUUGUUGCAUGCGUAUUCUUCGCGCAUUAUUUUAUUUUGUUCUUUUGAUGCUCUUACACCAUACCACAUUUUUACUUGAUGGAAAGCAAAAUAAACAACGCAGCUAGAAACCAUAGAACUUGAUACUGGGUGUGUGUCAACUUCACAUCCUCCUCCUUACGUCAUUUCAAUUGGAAAGCAAUAGCCCUCAUGAGAUCAGAUAUCCAUACAUAAUGCCAAAAUAAACAAGGUGAUGGCAUUAACGAUGCAAGUUUUAAAUUAGUCAAAUGGCUAAACUGAGGCACCGGCAGCCAUAUGAGACAUCCACGAGCAUGUAAUCCAUCUUAUUGCAAGUAGAGCACUGUAUUAUGUAUUUAUGUCAGAACAUCCAGUGCAGUUUUUCAAAAUGACGUUCCAUUGGCUGCAACUAGCAAAUGAUACGAAUUUUCUUUCCAAAUACUACAAAAAGUUGCAGGAUUGCAAAUUAAACAAUUACCUCGACUGACUAGACGUGAAACAACACACCUGCUGUGCAGCAACAACAGAUAAUUCAUCUCAAGCACCUACCCAGCAGGGAUUAGUUCUCGUGAAUUCAUGGAAUUUAGAAUGCAUCACAUGCUUACUGCUGAAGAGACAAGACCCAGAAGCAAGUGGUCACUUUCUUGUCCUCUUUAAAUGACACCUGUAAUUAAGAUUGAGUACAUCAUCGAACUCAGAAGUGACCAUAAUCUGCUGGUAGACCAUUAUUUCUUGUUCAUAUGAACAUACAUAAUACUUAAUAUACUGACAUGAUACAAGGCAACUUGACAAUCUCCUGUUAUUCGAAGAUGAAAGAUAUAUAUGAGUAUGCGAUUCAAUUUGGUGAGCUUAAUAUGUGCCGUUAUUGUGAAACAGUGAAAGACUGAAUAAAGGGACAUAUGGAAUUCUUUUUAUCAUAAUAACGAGUUUCUAAACACAGAACGAAAGCAACAAAAAAUAAAGACAGAGCGCUAAAAUUUCAGAGAAGUUUUUGAAGAUAUAAAAUGCAGUGCCCUUUUAUUGAUCACUGCCUAUAGCCAUAUAAAUAAGGUCUGGGACUCGGUUCGCUGCAACAAGCCUCUAGAAAGCACAUUUCCUCUGAUGCACAUAUGAAAUUUGAGAGUAAAACAUAAAAACGCCGAGAUAUACGGAUGAUUUAAUGAUGUAACUAACUUGGAUAUCCUUCUAGUGACCACGGAAUGGACAAAUUUUCUUCCGAGACGUCGAAAAGGGAUGGAACCUCCACACCCACUGCUUCUCCUUCACCUGCAUAGCGUGCGUAGGCGGAAAUUUGAUGAGUAUUUGAAGUGACAUCCACAUAGAGCAGGAGUUAUUCGGCUAGCAAAGUGCAAAUGUACAUCACUCUCAGGCUACAAGACUGAAUUCUGCUCGAUGAUCUUCCUGAUUCAUGCAGCGGAUAUGCAAAUGGGCGUGCCCCUUAAAUUCAUGUGAAUCAAAUUGCAGAAGAGACGGACAAACAGGGUUAAUAUAUACCUUAUUUCUUGUGUUGACGGGAUGGCUGGAGUGGCUGUCGUCGAUGUACGGCCCGCACUCGACGAAGAGCUUGAAGACCCUCUUGCGAAGACCAUCUGCGAGAGGAAGCAAGAGUUGAGGUCAGAAGAGGGUACAGUAGAGGUUGAGGGUGGGAAGGAAGGCAUCAACACUAGUAGAAAAAGGGCCUAAUGUGAAGCACAUUAGUCCCGGUUUGUAACAAAACCGGCACUAAUGUGUCCAUUAGUGCCGGUUCCAACGGCUAGGCGGGUGGAGCUAAAUUAGACUGAAUUGAACUUGUUCUUUAUAACUAGCUUGGGACAGAAAAAUUACUAUGAAAUGCACUUGAUUAUACUUGAUUUUAUGGGCUACAAAAAAUAUCAUCCAAAAAUGCUCUAAAAAACACGUUCUAAAGUAGGUUUGGCAGGAGAUGCGGCACAUUAUCAUUCAGAAAUUAGACCAAGAUAAAUGUGGAGUUGGCGGCUCAACACUCUAUAAGACUGUAACAGGUUGUCCCAGUGUCUCAGUCCUUUAGGACAUAGAUCCAGAAAAUGUAGAACUAACAUAUUAGCGGUUAGGAUCAUAUUUGCAAUGUGGGAACUUGGUGCGCUCGCUCCAACAUGCCUAGUGGAAGCAUGUGUCCUCUGAUGCACAUAUGAAAUAUGACUGGUACAAAACAUAAGAAACACUGAGAUUAUACGGAUGAUUGGAUGCUGUGGCUAACUUGUGCGUCGCUCCAGUCAACUGAGUGGACGAACUCGCUAAGAGCUUUCUUCUCGGAGAUCAAAGGGGACGGAACUUCCUAAGAGCUUUUGAUUCAACCUCCAUGCUAACUAACUACUUCUCCACCUGUUUAGUGGGCGUAGGAGAAAAUUUGAUGAGUAUUUGAAGUGACGUCCACAUAGAGCACAUAGCUAUAUUCAGUUAGAAAAGCCACAAAUGUACAUCACAUCCAGAUUAAUGGAGGUGGAAUGUGAAUGUGUGUGCCCUUAAAUUCAGGUGAAUCAAAUCGCAGAAGAGCCAGACGAAUAGGAUAGAUACCUUGAGUGGACGUGGAGGACGGAGUGUCUGCAGACAAUGUAUGGCCCACACCUGAAGGAGACCUUCUUGCCGAAAGCAUCUGCAAGAGGAAGUAAGAACAUGGUUGUUGACAUCAGAUUUUGGCAUGGUACAAAAAGCAAUUAAGAUUGCCCCAAAUGGAGAAGUGAUUUACAUGAAAAAGUUCCAUUUUGUCGACCUGAACAUCUUUGAAGUUUGUGCCAUCGCCAUCUAAUCUCAUCUCGAAGGCCAAAGUUAUGUUCGAAAUACUGAGAUUUUGUAUCCAGAGCACUGUUCGGCCGAUUAUGCCUCAAGGGAUGGUCACUUUCUACAUGAAUUGUCUUCGUCUCAUCAAAACGGUCGAUUUUGAUAAAAAUUCAUGUCAAUCCGAGGUUGUAUGUAAAAGUUAGAGCCACCCGAGUGCGGUCAUGAGCCAAAAGUGGCGAGUAAUAGUCUAUUUUGCACGAGCAAUUCGUCCCUGAAGUUGGCAUCUAUUCGAAACAUGUUUAACAUGAAUGUUGUUCGUCUCGGUGAAACGGUUAAAUUUGGUUCUUACACGAUUUUGAUCUGAGGUCAUUUACUACCCAAAAAAUGACCCGCAAGGUGAAGCCAAUUUUUAGAUCGAAUAGUUUUGGGAAGUUCGGAUCGAACAAUCCGAAUAGGAAUCAAAUUAGGGUUUUGGACAUGAAUUCUAACCUUUCCUUGCACGGGAAGUCCAUCCACCUCUUAUAUACAUGAGGGGUGACGGCCGAUUGAGAAACAACACACAAUCGCAAAACCCAUCUACAAACUUUCAUCUCCUAUCCUACUUUUCUGCUUCUCGUUCAUCAGUGUUCUUUGCUUCGGAGAGCUCUGAUCUAUGAAGUCCUAGGGGUGGGCGAACCAACCUAGGGCAGCCCAGCACUGUCGUGCGGCCAGACAGGGUCUCUUCCGACCGCGUGGGGUUUCGGGUCUUCAAAAGCGCUCGCCGGAUUGUAUUGCGUACCACUCUUCCGGUGAGCCUCCUUCGGCGAUGUGUCUUGCGUAUCGCGCUCGACGCCGAGGGUACACGGUGACGUGUUUGUGUGUGAACACACUUUUUGGCGACUCCGCUGGGGACCAAAGAGCAAUCAUCAUCAUCCAUCAUGGUCAAUCUUCCCAAGCCAUCUGAAGUGGAUGCCGAUAACAUCAACAAGCCCAAUUUUGAGGAAUUAUCGGCAGAACAUCGCCAAGCUUGUGAGUAGUACAAGAAGGCACGUGAAGGGAAGGAGAUGCAGGAGUUCCUUGCUAAGUUCAAAAAGGAUCGCCAAGGCAACAUCACUUCAAUUGAAGAAAUCAAGUUUCCUCCUCUUCACAAUGAGUAGGUAGAGUCGGCUGAAAUCACUACUCUUAUUGCUCAGAAUAAUGAUCGAAAAAAUACUCCUCAAUCAUCUAAUGGUAGAAAAUAAUACUGAUCGAAAAAAUACUCCUCAAUCAUCUAAUGGUAGUGGUAGUAUGUCUGCUGGUGUGGAAAACUUUAGUCCAAAUUUACCUAUUCCAGCGGUGCUGCCCAUGCCAUUGAAUUCUUAUCCCAGUCAGACAAACCAACUUGUUGCUCCACCAUUUAAUCCAGCCAGGAAUAUGCCAAGUUCAGUGAAUCCAACUGCAUUGCUAGGUUAUGGUUCGGCAAGUCCAAGUGGAUUGCUGCCGAACUAUGGUAUAACAUACACACCACCAUCUCUUCCGACUAGCACUAUACCAACUAGUAGAAAUCAUAUUCACCAUGCGCCACAACCACACGCAACGCCGCUCAAUACGAGUGAUAUUUUGGCUAAUGUCAGAGAGGAGAUGUCGAGGGUGUUCCGAGAGCAUUGCGGGAUUGAACUACCUCAACCACGAAUUUCUAGGAAACCAUAGCUAGAAAUUUUUGAUGUCGUGCCAUGUCCUCCCGGAUAUAAAGUUCCAGAUUUUGUUAAAUUUAGCGUAGAGGGAAGAAAGACUACAUGGGAGCAUGUUAGUCGGUACUUGGCACAAUUAGGUGAGGCAAGUUCACGAGACGAGUGGAAAGUACGUUAUUUUCCUUUAUCUUUAACCGGUACUGCUUUCCCGUGGUUUUCUGCAUUACCACCCGGUUCUAUUACUGCAUGGUUUCACUUGGAGCAAAAGUUUCAUGACCACUUCCAGAGUGGUGACAAUGAGCUUAAACUAUCCCAUCUUACAUCGGUUAAGCAAAAGCAUGAUGAAUCAGUCUUCGAUUAUGUCAAAAGAUUUAGAGAUACAAAAAACCGGUGCUAUAGUUUGGUGAUAACCGAGAGAGAUGUGGCUGAUCUCGUGCUUAGUAGUUUGAGAACUCACAUUAGAGAGAAGCUGGAAGGCUAUGAGUUUUCAAGUAUCAACCAUGUCUUAGAAAAGGGCUUUGGCUCAAGAAAGCCAAAGCAAAGAGUUUAAAGAGGUGCAUAGGUAUAACACUGAUCAUCCUAAGAUAAAUAUGAUUGAGUAUGAUGGUGAGCACUCGGAUGAUGAGGGUGAUAUUUAUGAUACUGAAUUUGUUUGGCCAUCUAAGGCCAAACCAUUUACUUGCAAUGAUAUAAAGCCAAUUUCAUAAGAAUCGUGAUGAAGAGAUGAAAAUUACUUUCAACAUUACUAAGUGUGAUAGAAUAUUUGAUGCUUUGUUGCAAGCGAACAUUAUUAGAAUAUCUCAUACUUUACCGCCGUUUCAAGAGCUGAAACGGCGUGCUUAUUGCAAGUAUCAUAAUUCUUUUUCUCAUGCCACUAACGAUUGUAAUGUUUUUCAACGACAAAUACAGCCGGCCAUUAAUAACGGACGAUUGAAAUUUUCUCAGAUUCCACUUGAUAAGCAGCCCUUUCCAAUGAACACCAUGGAUUUGGAGGGAAAAAGAUGUUAAUUCGGCCCGAUAUAGCCGAAUCAGCUAAUAAAAAUAAGAUUGUCAUUGGUGAGCCUCAGAAAAGCAAGGAAGACGACAAGGCCUUGGGGAGACAAGUUGUGCUUGACAAGCGACCCGGUGGCAAGGAGAUCAUUAAGAUCACCAUCAAGAANNNNNNNNNNNNNNNNNNNNNNNNNNNNNNNNNNNNNNNNNNNNNNNNNNNNNNNNNNNNNNNNNNNNNNNNNNNNNNNNNNNNNNNNNNNNNNNNNNNNNNNNNNNNNNNNNNNNNNNNNNNNNNNNNNNNNNNNNNNNNNNNNNNNNNNNNNNNNNNNNNNNNNNNNNNNNNNNNNNNNNNNNNNNNNNNNNNNNNNNNNNNNNNNNNNNNNNNNNNNNNNNNNNNNNNNNNNNNNNNNNNNNNNNNNNNNNNNNNNNNNNAAAUUUGUUAAACCAAAGAAUCCAGAGGUUGGCAAGUGGAAGACGAAUGAAGCUAAAGUACAACGCAAGAGAAUCAAGCCAACUUUUGUUAUGUUGCUAUGCAAAUGUGCCAAUCAAGCGGCCAAUUCUAGCUCUAACCGGUCAUCAAAUUUAAAGCUCUCCAGGUCACCUCCUCGACAAGAAUUUCAUCAUCAUGCAAGGCCAUAUGGGUCUUGGGCACCUUGACCAUCGAUGGCACCACCCCCCCUAUGUGUCAUACUACAUGGGAAACUUUAAUGGAGGAUGGGGGCAACCUCCAAUGACCCCUUAUGCUUUUCAUCCGGGUUGGGUAGAACCAAGGAGGCCCGUUUGUGAGAGGCUUUCUUACCCUAUACAUGGCCGUUUGAACAAUGGUGUCAAUCGGCCAAUGCAGGAUAAUCAAAAAAGGUUCAGCAAUCAAGUGUGGCGAGCUAAAUCACCAAGUGCUGAAAUUUCAGAGGCUAGCAACCAAAAGGAGAAGAGUACUAGUGCUGAAACUAUUAUUGUAGGCACUAAAGAAUUAACAAUCAAAUAGCCGAUUAUUGUUGAUAAUGCAGCUAUUUCUAACAAGGAUGUGGCUGCUGUCCAACAAGGUCCCGUGGCUAAUGAUCAUGAAGCUAGCACAAGCAAGGCCAAGCUGAGGGAUCCAAAAUAUACUUAGCCUAAGUGGUGUCCCUCCGGUCUGACCAAGGCACAAAAAAGUAGGUUGCAGCACAUGAGAAGCCACGAGAAGGAGGGAUAAGAAGCGGAGAGGCAAAGGGAUAAACUGUUCAAUGAAACCCGUCCCAUGAUGUCCGCAAAACAAGUGUGGAGGCCUAAGCAAAAGGAAAACAUAGUAGCUUCUGCAUUGGUAAUAACAGCACCUACACCACCAAUGGAGGACGAUGCGACUGCUAUUACAUCGUCCACUUCACCUAUUACUUCCUCUUCACUAGGAGAUAUUUCGGAGUCGAUGGACAUGCUUCAGGAUGGAGAUGGUAUUUUGGAUUAUGAGUCUACACCGGUUCAUGAAGGUAUUGAUAUUAAUAUGGUGCACUACUUACCCGCUGAAUUCCGUGCUAUAUAUGAAGAAGGGCAAGUACCUCAGUUGGAUUUUGGUCCUAAAAAUGCUAUAAUCGAGAAGCCAAAAGAAUGGGUGACGCACCUGAAGCCAUUGUUCCUUAAAGGUCAUAUUAAUGGAUCGCCGAUUGCUAGAAUGCUUGUUGAUGGUGGUCCUGUGGUGAAUCUUAUCCCAUAUUCAGUCUUAUAAAAAAUGAGGCUGCGUGAUGAAGAGUUGAUAAAGACCAACAUGGUGCUCAACGGAUUUGAAGGUAAAGAGAAAAUUGAAGCCAAAGGUGUGAUGUAUGUGGAGCUUACGGUGGGAAGCAAAACUUUGGCUACCGCAUUCUUUGUCGCCGAGGUGCAAGGUAACUCCAAUGUGAUAUUAAGCCAUGAUUGGGUUCAUGCAAACCAAUGUGUGCUAUCUACUAUGCACCAGUUUUUGAAUCAAUGAGUUGAUGAUGAAGUGGAAGUCAUUCAUGCGGAUAAUUCGAUCGGCUUGUGUUGCUUUGGCCGAUGAAUCGGUGGAUUGGCAACAUCCCAAUGCUACUUGCUUGACGGGGCGCGACUUAUCAGAAUUUGAUUUUCUUAGCGCUACAAAAUUGGUUUCGUGCCCCUUUCUAUAAAGCCGGUUGGCGAUAAUCGGCUCCAAGGUAUGAUGUAUUUAAAUGGAUCCUAUCUCAGAGUGGUUUCAAAAGCGUCUUGUAGAAUAUCGGUCCAAUGAGAAUGAUAUGUAUGAGUCCAUAGAAGAGUUAGAUGAUAUGGAUAAAUUAGGACAAGGUUUUACAUCGGCGAUCCAUUAGAAGAGAUAGAUAUAGCAGAUGGUUCAUUUCUUAGGCCGACAUUUGUAAAUAAAAAUUUAAGAGUCGAUCAUAAACUUAAGUUGAUCGAGCUGUUAAAAGAAUAUAUUUGUUGCUUGGCAUGGGAAUAUCAUGAGAUGCCCGGUUUAAGCCGAGAGCUAGUGGAGCAUCGAUUACCUAUAAAGGCUGGUUUUUGACCGUAUAAGCAAUCGACCAGAAAGUUUAAUCCAAAAACAUAUGACCGGAUCAAGGAAGAGAUCGGUCGUUUGCUGAAAGCUAAUUUUAUUAGACCUUGCAAGUAUGCCGAGUGGAUUUCUAACAUUGUACCAGUGAAGAAGAAAGGCUCGGGCAAGUUGAGGGUGUGUAUUGAUUUUAGAGAUUUGAAUAGAGCUACACCCAAAGAUGAGUAUCCCAUGCCCAUAGCCGAUAUGCUUAUUAAUGAUGCCUCUGGACAUAAGGUCAUUAGCUUUCUUGAUGGUAAUGUGGGGUAUAAUCAAAUUUUUAUGGCCGACGAUGAUAUGACCAAAUUAGCUUUUCGAUGUCCCAGUUUCCUUGGUUUAUUUGAGUGGACAGUGAUGACCUUUGGUUUAGAGAAUGCCGACACCACGUAUCAAAGGGCUAUGAAUUUAAGUUUUCAUGAUUUACUUGGUGUUAUACUUGAAGUCUAUAUUGAUGAUAUUGUUGUCAAAUCGGAUGCUUUUGAAUCUCAUCUAGCUGAUUUGUGCUUAGAUUUUGAGAGAAUGAAAAAAUAUUGACUAAAGAUGAAUCCUUUGAAAUGUGCUUUUGGUGUAUCGGCUGGUAAGUUUUUGGGUUUCAUUAUUCAUCAACAUGGCAUAGAAAUUGACCCAAAAAGAUAGAGGCUAUACAAAAGGUGUGGGCUCGAACAUGCAAGAGAGAUAUGCAAAAAUUCCUUGGCAAAGUCAAUUAUUUGAGGAGAUACAUAGCCAAAUUGUCAGGGAAGGUUGAUACAUAGCCAAUUAUUUGUGCACUUCUCUAGUGUUGAAAGCCCCCAAGCAUAGAGAGCCCUUUAGGCUUUAUAUUGCGGAGGAGAAAGCCCCCAGGCAUAGAAAGUCCCCUCAAGAGACCGAAGGAAAGGAGCAUGCUAUUCUUAUUUGAGUCGACGCUUAUUGGAUGUCGAGAUAAGGUAUACAUUGAGAAAUUAUGCUUAUGCUUAUAUUAUGCUUGCACAAAAUUGAGACAUUACCUAGUGCCUAGUACAUGCAUUAUAGCUUUUCAAACUGAUGUCAUCAAAUACAUGUUGCAUAGGCCAAUUCUUAGUGGUAGAAUUGGCAAGUGAGCUUAUGCUUUAAUUGAAUAUGAUUUGGUUUAUGAAUCUCUGAAAUUCAUGAAUGGGCAAAUCGUUGUUAAUUUUGUUGUUGAGCAUCGGAUUGAUGACAAGCAUGAUAUUGAUCUUAAACUUGUCUAUUAGUACCAUGGAGAUUAUAUUUUGAUGGUUCCGUUUGUAGCAAUGGACAAGGUGUUGGUAUUGUUUAUAUAUCUCCUCAUGGAGCUAUUUUUCAAGCCUCAUGCCGCUUAGAGUAUUUUUGUACAAAUAAUUAGGCCGAAUAUGAAGCAUUUUUACUCGGUUUAGAGAUGUUGCUUGCCAUAGGCGCUACACAUAUUGAGGCUUUUGGUGAUUCGUUAUUAGUAGUGCAACAAAUAUCCAGAGUAUUUCAAUGUUUUCAUGAAUCACUUAAUGUUUAUCUUGAUAAAUGUCUAGAUAUAAUUUCUACUUUGGAUUAUUUUAGCAUUCCUCAUAUAUCUAGACAUGACAAUUGGAGAGCAAAUCAGUUGGCACAACAAGCAUCUGGCUAUCAUGUUAAUCAUGACAUGUUUCAUAUUUACCAAAGGCCGAUGUCUAUUCUUGCCAACGUAGGGGAGGCUGAACCGGAGCCCACCGUUUCGGUCACAAAUGAAAAUUUUAAUGUAGAAAAUCUGGACUAGAGGAAAGCCAUUAUUGAUUAUUUGCGUGAUUCUAAUAAAAUUUUGGAUGAGGACCAAGCAAGAGUUGCUAUGAGAGAGGUUCAUGAAGGAAUUUGUGGGACUCAUCAGUCGGCUCCCACUAUGAAAUGGUUAUUGCGACAGGCUGGGUUUGAUUGACCAACGAUGAUUAAUGAUUGCUUCAGGUAUUAUAAAGGAUGUGCAGCUUGUAAAAUGUCUGGUGAUAUUCAGCUAGCUUCUGCUGCUAUGUUACAUCCUAUUAUUAAGCCGCGGCCUUUUAGAGGUUGGGGAUUAUACUUUAUUGGAGAGAUUCAUCCUUCUUCUUCAAAGGGGCAUCAGUUUGUGUUGGUGGCAACUGAUUAUUUCACUAAAUGGUCUGAAGCAAUACCGCUAACAAAUAUGACGCAUACGGAGGUAAUUCAAUUCAUAACUUAGCACAAUAUUCAUAGAUUUGACAUUCCUCAAAUGUUAACUACGGACCAAGGUUCAUCUUUUAUGUCAGAUCAAGUUAGAGAAUUUCCCGAAUCAUAUAAGAUAAAGUUGCUCAAUUCAUCUCCGUAUUAUGCCCAAGCCAAUGGACAAGCUGAGUCUAGCAAUAAAAUAUUAACCAACCUCAUCAAGAAGAAGAUUGAGGAUAAUUCAAGGAGAUGGCAUGAGCUAUUGUCCGAAGCUUUGUGGGCACACAUAAUCUCAAGGUAUGGUGCUACAAAGGUAACUCCAUAUGAGCUCAUAUAUGGUAAAGAGGCCGUUUUACCAGUGGAAGUGAAUUUGAAUGCUUUGAGAAUAGCAAAACAAAAUGAUUUAUCGGCGGUGGACUUUUAUAACUUGAUAAUGGAAAAUAUUGAUGAAGUCGCUGAUAAAUGUUUUGUUGCUUUGAAGGCCAUAGAGAGAGAUAAUUUGAGGGUGGCAAGAGCUUACAAUAAGAAGGUCAAGUUGAAGAAUUUUCAAGUUGGCGAUCUCGUGUGGAAGGUGAUUCUACCAAUUGGUUCGAAAGACAUAAAAUUCGGGAAGUGGUCUCCAAGUUGGGUAGGUCCUUUUAAGAUUACAAGGGUAGUUCCCAGAAACUUAUAUUUAGUGGAAUCCGUACAAAGGACAUUGUUACCUCGAGCUGUCAAUGGCAAAUAUUUGAAGAAGUACCACCCAAGUGUGUGGCAAGAAGCCUAGAUAAUCAAUGGCCGAUAUACGACUAUGGCCCUUAGCAUAAACAUGGCCGAUAUAUAAUUAUCGCACCGAGAAGUAUAAAUGACACAUGGAGUGUUGACAUCGUCCUUAGAAUAAACGCGAUGCAAAUUAUUUUCCGGCAUUCAAGCUCUGCCCAAAACAGAGGAUAAGGGUUGACACCAGAUUUUAGCAUGGUAGGAAAUGCAAUUAAGAUGGUCCCAAAUGGAGAAGUGGUUUACAUUAAAAAAAAGUUCCGUAUUGUCGACACAAACAUCUUCGAUGUUUGGGCCAUCGCCAUCCGAUCUCAUCUCGAAGGCCGAAGUUGUGUUCGAAAUACUGAGAUUUUGUAUCCCGAGCACUGUUCGGCCGAUUACGCCUCAAGGACGGCCUCAAAUGAGAAAACUUUCGACAUGAAUUGACUUCGCUUGGUCGAAACAGUCAAUUUUGAUAUAAAAAUCGUCUCAAUCCAAGGUCGUAUGUAAAAGUUAGUGUCUCCUGAGUCCGGCCCUGUCACGAGCCAAAAGCUACGCGAGUAAUAGUCUAUUUUGCGCGAGCGAUUUGGCACUGAAGAUUAUAUCGAAUCGAAAACUGUUCAACAUGAAAGUUGUUCGUCUCGUCGAAACAGUUAAAUUUGCUUCUUCCGCGAUUUUGAUCCGAGGUCGUUUACUACCCCAAAAAUGACCCGCAAGGUGCAGCCAAUUUUUAGACUGAACAGUUUUGGAAAGUUUGGAUCAUACGAUCCUAAUUGGACUCAAAUUAGGGUUUUGGACAUGAAUUCUAACUUUUCCUUGCACGGGAAGUCCAGCCCCCUCUUAUUUACAUGAGGGGUGAUGACUGCCCCUCCUAGAAAAAACCAGACUGGGAGGACAUUUUUUUCCUGUCCGAAAGCCGUUUCCGCCUCUUGGAAGAAGAAGAAGAAAAAAGAGAAAACACGUUUUUUUUCGUUUCCGAGAGCCUCUCGCGGAAACAAAACAAUGCCGCUCAUGGAAGAAAAACAAAAAAAUGCAUUUUUUCACGAAAGCAAAACCGUGCCUCUCGUGAAAGAAAGAAAAGAGAAAACACAUUUCUUGUCCUUUUCGUGAGGCACGGCAGUGCCUCUCGCGGAAGCAAGACCAUGCCUCUCGCGGAAGCAAAACCGUGCCUCCCGCGGAAGAAAAAUACAGGGAAAACACGAUUUUUUUUCGUUUAUGAGAGGCACGACUGUCUCGCGGAAGCAAAGCCAUGCCUCCCGCCGAAGGAAAACCGUGCCUCUGGUGAAAAGGGAAAAAAAGAAAACGUGUUUUGUCACAGGAAAAAAAUUAAAAAAAAUUGGUCCAAAACCUAGGGAAGACCGGUGAACAACCAAAAAGCCGGAAAAUUAAAAAAAAAAACAUCUAAAAUACCAGAUGGAGGUUGAGAGUGCACCAAGUGACGCGCUCUCGGCCCAUCCACAAAUGACCCUUGGGAAGGGUGGGAACGAGCGCUCUUUAGUAUUAUUUUUUGAGGCAAACCGUUCUUUAAUUAGUUGCUCCGGGGAAGGGGAAUGGAAGACGCAGAUCGGCAACGUGUGGGCUGGGCUUGUGACGUUGGGGUCUCAGAAAAUAUAGCCCAGUUCGAAUUUAGUGGUCUCAGCAAGUAAAACCAGCGCUUAUGUUGGGCCUAAUCACUCACUCCAGGCUGUGGGCCUCGCUAGCAGCCCCAUCUUACCAUUCCCCUCGUUCUCUCUCUCUCUCGCAAAAAAAAACCAUCAUUUCCGUCAAAAAGAAAAGACAUCUACCCGUCUCGCCGCCAAGAGAUCCAGGAACCCCGGGGUCGUUCCAUUGUUUUGCAUAGCGUGUAGAUUAGGUUUUCUCUGUUAGUUUUAUGUGUUCUUAGUGGCGAUGGCUUGACGGUGAAGGCGAGAGUGAUGAUGGUCUCUCGGCUCCAUUCCUGUUCUGAUUAUGCGUUCCCGGCUAAGAAGGCCAUCAAACAUAACAUAAAUGGGGUGCUUUCUUUUCUUCUUACCGAUCUCCUCCUAGUUUACCGGCUCAAGGUGUAUCGGCUCUACAAACAUCUUGUAUCCACCUCACGUCCUGGGAAAUUACUGUCGGUAACUUUCAUCGUAUUGCGAUAACAAUAUUUUCUUUCAAGAACCCGCCUUCCUUGAAUUUCGUACAAAGUUAAUUGUCAAUGUCAUAACUAAUUGCAAGACCAGGUACAGCUCUUCUCUACAGGAAGUUACAGUUUCUAAAUUGCAUGACCCUGUAUCACUUUAUGAAGCAAGCACAUCACCUUCAGCUCCUCAUUUGCAAACUUAGGACCCAUUUGGACCACAUAAAUUUUACAAUAUGUUUGCUGCAUUUCACAAGAAACCAUCGAUUUUGUGAAGAAAGAAUUACAUUGUUUCAUCGCCGUUACAACACAACAUUAAUCAGAUCACCUUAAUACCUCCCACUGCGUUUUUUUUUGGAAAAAUACACAACAUACUGAUUGACCUUAAAGAAUGAAGGAGGCCAUAAGGUCUUGUACAAUGCUAGGUGUUUAGAAAGAUAAACCGGAUUUUACUGAUACACCGGUGCCUAUUUCUACCGGAGAGACGUCUAAUUAAGCGUAUACCCUGUACAAAUAAGUAUCAGUGCUUAAGGAAAGCCUGGUUUAUUUCUCGAAGCACCUCUCCUAAGCACCUUGCAGUGUACAAGGCCGAGAAGAAAGCUCUGACUUCCUAUUGUUGCUGCAUCAGCAGGAAAAGUAGUCUUCAUUUCAAAAAGAAGCUGAAAGUGCUAGAGUGAAAAAUAUCAUAUGUACAGAAGCUGGAUAUAUAUUACCAGCAAGGUGGAGAAGUGGGGAAAAAAAUGCUCAAAUGUGGUUAUCAAUCUUUUGAAAUGCAAGCAAGUAAGCGGAUGGGUGUUUGAGCUAUCUUUGUGUGAUCAGAACAAAUCCAUGUCCAUUAAUUAGUCUUAAUAUCAUCUUCACAGUACCAGGGACUCCCGGAUACUAAGAGUGCUUAAUAAUCUUAUAAUUAGGUGGAGACAUUUUCAUUACCUGCAUACAAAUGCGUACGAAUGAUGAUAUUUUAUAUUUUUUUCUUUGCAACUUCGGAGUGCCCACAAAGUGAAAUAGAAGGUGUAAACAUAACUUCUUUCAACCUCCAGUAAAAGUAACAAUUCUCUCUCCAUGUACCACUCUAUACCAACUUCUUCAAUACCUGUUGACUCUCAUGUUUUUGUUUUCCUUCAAUAUUUCAGACGUUCUAAAGCUCGGUCGAAAUCACUCGAGCUGGUCAACCCUGCCCCCGUGUCGCCCGCAACAGACGAUACGGGGAAAACUUUCGUCGCCGCCGGUAGCCUUCCUCCGCCAGUGCCCCUCCCCCCCCCCCCACAUCGCUGCCGCAGGAGGGUCGGCCAGCGAAGUCGCGCCGCGCUCGGGGAUGGCGGCGGCGGGGCGGUUUCGUACCCUCCCCCCCGAUGCGCUGCCCCAACAACCCCUUCGCCGCCAUCACCUCCCCGCGCCGCUGCUGCCGCGUCGCGCCUGAGGGUGGGGGCGGCAGGGCAGCUUCAUUCCCUUCAUGCUGUAGCUCCUCGUCCCCAACCUCCUCGCCCCCCAGAUCCAAUCUGGUGCGCCGCGGGCUCCCCUACCCUCCAACUGCUACUGUGUUCGUCCUGCCUGUCCGACGAGGUGGCGCGGCCGUGCCCGUCGUGCACCUCCCCAGUCUACCUCUUUCACCUUGCUGGCGCAGCUUCCUUCUUGUUGUUGUUCGCUGGGGCAUGCGAGGACUCGUGUGGAGGUCACGGGCUGGCCAAGGCUCGGUCUUGCCCCGUGUUGCAGACCACCCUUCGUCUCUGAUGGCGUCUCCUUCUAGUUACGGCGGCGACCUCUGCCCGUGUGUGGUCAAGGUGUUGUUUUGGGCAGCGGGAUGAAGCUUCGCGGUGGGUCCUUGCCGACACUGCUCCGGUCCCAGCGGCCAUCGACCAGCGUUCUUCGGCCUCCCUACCGCCGUGAAUUCAGCCCCAACACUCCGGUCGCUGCGUCUCCUUCCGGCAUCUUCGGUUUGCCGGUGUUCUGGUGGUUCCACCUCCGGCAGCUCGGAGUUGUGCUCCCUUCCGCCUCCAGCUUGUCAGCGGCGCCGGUCACCAUCCCACCCUCCAUGCCGGCUUUCUACCAUGCUGCCUUCCCGACCCUGUCGACACCCGCAACAUGUCAUUUCCAAAGCUCGUGUUCUUUCGGCAGCAGGUGCAGCCCCACCACCUCCGUACCGGGAUGGUGGUUGACUAGCGGAUUGUCUUCCUCAUCUUCGGAUCCUGAUUUGGCAGCUAUGGCAUUGCUCAGACUAAGGCCAGGCGAAAUCCAUGCUCUGCUUGCCAAUGUUGGCAGAGGCGACACUCGUGAGUGCUUUGCCAUGGCCUUUAUCCGGGCCCCUCUUCGAGCGCUGGGGGAAACCCUAGGUCCGGUUCUUCGGAUCGGAUGGUGGCGGUGUCACGAUGUCGCACCCCUUCCUGAAGGCGCUAUCUUGUUCGCCCCCGGUGUCCCUGUUUGUUUGAUUUUGAGAUGUUCGACGUCGUGCUUGUUCGGCCUGCCUCUCUGUUUAGGAUUUGUGGGUGUAGUUGUGUCAUUUCCCCUGUUCGGGCUGAGCACCCCUUGUCUCUCUGCUCCGGGUUCCAUGAUCAUGCCUCUUUGGGUUCAUGCCAUGUGUUGUAUCCUCUGUUGUACGCAUUCUCUUUCUUCUAUCAAUAAAGGAUAUGCAAGCUUUGUGUAUUCACAAAAAAAAAGACGUUCUGAAGCUCUGAAGCUAAAGAUGUAAAUAAAUCUGAACUCUCGCACUCACUUUUAAAUCGUGGGGCAGUAUACUCUAAUCUAUCCAGCUCUUCCUGUAAAACAAAUAUACUGUCAGCAUGUGAUUUAUCAUUCAUGAAUCGUUUAUCAUGCCAUUUUUAGAAUGUGACUGGCAAAAUGGUGUGACUGUACAAUUCUACUUUUUUCGAAAAAGAGGAUUACCCCUAGUAUCUACAUAGAGCCAUGCACACAACCAUUUUAUUAUAUUAUUUAACGGAACCAAACGAAACAAAUAUAUGGAUCAAGCCAAAGCCACCUCCCUAGAAACUAUUGUCGUUACACGUACAAGCUUUAAUGGCGUGCCCUGACCACUUAUCAACACACAUCAUAUAUUCCGGUCGCCUCACCAAGAUGCCUGCCGGCAAUUUGAGAGCAUCUACCGGUCUAGCUAGACCCUCUGCACGCACAUCAUGCACACGCUUUAGAUUCAGCCACCGCCAUGUUCCGCGGUCCCACCUUCAAGAGCGAUCAACGUAUUCAUCUCGCUAGGCCAUCUCGACACCAGAUAGCUCCACUAUCCAGCGCGGGCGCCCGUCGCCGACACUCCGCCGUGCCACGCCACCGAGACCCUGUGUCGUCCUUUCGGUAGAUGUAACACCGCUCCUCCACUUGUCUCUUCCAGUCGGCUCCUACUCGAGACAAUGCCCCUAGGAGGGAGAACGGCGCUGAAGGCACCAUCAUCGUCCGAUCCGGGAUACCCAGAACUAGAGUUUCCCCCGGAACAACCCGAGCGUAGUGACACAACUUACAAAUGACGAUGCCUCGAAAAAGGAAACAACGUUAGAGACGCCACCAUCUGCCAUGACCGCAGUUAGCACAAUUUCACCGGAAGUCGCGUCGACAUGGAGACGUAAGCUGUCGCCGGAACGUCGGCAUAGGGCCUCCAGUCGCCCCUGACCUGUCCCUGCACGCAUCGCCUGCCGGCCAAGGCCACGCCAAGAUGGAUCUGGAUGGGACGCUAGUUCCGCGGCCACUGCCGCCACCCAUCACAUGGUCGGCCAGGUCAACGACUAAUCCCACAGCCAUGGACAAACCGGUCGCCGCCGCCAGCCCGGGUCACCACCCUGACCGCACCGGCUGAAGACACAGGUGUCGUCGCGAGAUUGAUACGGUGAACAAGGCCCGAAUCCCUCGUGCUCGACCUUGAUCAGCCACACACAAGCAUCUCUCCACGCUGACGAGGGGUCCACUAUGGGAUCCAUCGCGCCGACUUCCGCCACCGCGCCGCGGGAAUAGACUGCCCUGAUGCUGCCGCCCACUGAGGCGGGCUUCGCCUGUUCGGCCUCCUCCAACAGCGUCCGGCCGUGGGCUGCNNNNNNNNNNNNNNNNNNNNNNNNNNNNNNNNNNNNNNNNNNNNNNNNNNNNNNNNNNNNNNNNNNNNNNNNNNNNNNNNNNNNNNNNNNNNNNNNNNNNNNNNNNNNNNNNNNNNNNNNNNNNNNNNNNNNNNNNNNNNNNNNNNNNNNNNNNNNNNNNNNNNNNNNNNNNNNNNNNNNNNNNNNNNNNNNNNNNNNNNNNNNNNNNNNNNNNNNNNNNNNNNNNNNNNNNNNNNNNNNNNNNNNNNNNNNNNNNNNNNNNNNNNNNNNNNNNNNNNNNNNUUCAGCCUCUCCACUUGUGGGAACAAUAUCCUUGAAUGUUUAGUUUCUCAUAUCUUUACGAAAACGGAGUAAGGGAAAUAUCGUGUGUGGUUGCAGGGAACUCACAUCAAAUGAUUGGGAGAUGUUCAUAAAUCAGUGAUAAUAGCCUUUGCAAACAGGCUAAUCCCAAAUGAUUCAAUGAAACCAACCUUCAUGUACUCAAUGAACGUAUUAUGCAUGUUAUGCUAGUUCAAGUCAUACUAAAUAUCACUUGUCUGGCAAAUAACAACAGCGUUCUCUGAAACCAUUGCAUCAUGAGAGAAUUGUGUGAAAUGGAAAUUGACACGAUUUAAAUUUUCAGGUUCCUUUCCUGGUGAGCCUAUCAUAGUAAAGAAACCUGGAAGAAAACAUUGGAGAAAGGAAUUCACAAAAUGCGGAAUUAUUAAUACUAAAUGACUGUUGAUGUUCAAAUGCAUGUCAGUUCUAAAUAAAUAAAUGAUUUUCUUCUUCUUUCUGCUCUUCAAUGUUUUCUUCCCUUACAAGAUUCUAGCAGUCUUAACACCAUUAUGGCCACAGAAAAAAAAAACAUCUAUCCCAUUUGUUACACGAGCUAAAAAUAAAAAUAGCACAUGAGCAUGGGCUGCAGAAAUGCACAUUCUUACUUCUAAGAAUAAUGUCAUCAAGAGAAGCAAAAGGCUGGUUUUUUGUGACAAUAAUUUAUUCAAUGAAAAGAGUGAGCCCGGGUUGCACGAAAUAUGAGUUUAUCUAUUUUUCUUCCAACAAAAUAUCUGGUCUACCAUCACUGCACCUUCGAACAUCAGAGUGCACACAGAACAAGAAAUAAAGAAGCAAAAGGGCCCUUGCGUAACUCAUGUAUUUUCAAACAAUGCUACAGAAAAUAUCCCUUAUACUCCCUCCGUCUAGGUUUGUAAGUCAUCUUACGAAAACAAAAUAAUCCCAAAACACUUAGGCGCGGUGCGUUAACUUCUACCUCGUUUCUUGUUUCUUGACAUAUCAACCAAUAAGAGAUAUGGGUGUGCAUGCUUUUAAUGACUUGAGACUACCAAACACGACAUGCAGUGGUUAGUUCAUUGCAUGCAAUGCUAUUAAUUAGCAAAAAACAUUAAGUUCUCUCGUUUUCCCUCCUCCUUGGUCACGGUGCACAACAUAAGAUGACUUAUUCACUUAGACGGAGGGAGUAUCAUGGAUUUGCGCCUGCAUCAAUUGUUUCCGAGUGCUGUCAAAGAGAAAAAUUUACUAAGAUUUCCAUUGUCAAACUGUGAUGUCCGACUAGUGUUGGUGGAAGAAUCACAUAUUGGAGAGGAUAAUUUGGAGUAGGGGAUGAGAAGAAGUUGAAGAACAGAUGAAGAGGGUGAGAUGUAGAACAGAGUAGGUGAGAGUUCAAACAAUUCUCAUUUCAUCGAUAAGUUACGGCACAUGUCUGAUUCACUUGCCCCUUUUAAACACAUAGGCACUCUCUUACAAGUGGGCCCUCAAAUCCACACGCCCAGUGCACUAGAUGAUCUUCCUAUGGCUCACUCCUAAGUUGUCUCUCUCUAGUUGUUGGGCCCUUCGUCCUCCAUAUCCUAGUCCUCCUCAUUCCACUGGACUGGGAUCUUGAUUUCCGUCGAGGGUGUGGUAGAGAGCAGAUGCAUGACACAAUCUUUGUUCCAUUACGCUUCCUCAAAGUCGCCAUUUUAGACAUUGUCAUGUCUACAACACACAAUUAGACGCUUGGUGACCUGUUGCUUCAAAAAUAUAUUUUGAAAUCAUGUGCCUAGAGGUGUUUUGAAUGUAUGGCUACAAAUGUCACUGAGGUUCCUAGUUCCUGUUCCAUCAGCAUACCCUGCCGAAGUGGUAAUCUGACUUCAAGUGGAAUAAGCAAGACAGGAGAAAGAAUUAAGGUGGUAUUCAGCUCGUUUUCCCCUCACCUUUUUGACUCUCACAUUUUUGUUUUCCUCCCAUAUCUUAGAUGGGGUGAAGCUAUAUGCAUAAACAAAUAUGAAUUCAUAUCACACUCACCUCGACAUCUCAGUAGUACAACACAGGGCUUUCGUCACAGGGCAAUUUUCACAUUAGUCCCGGUUCAGUCACGAACCGGGACUAAUGUGAGCAUUGGUCCCGGUUCGUGCGGCUAAGGCAUUAGUCCCGGUUCACCUGGGCCCUUUAGUCCCGGUUGGUGCCACGAACCGGGACUAAAGGGUGCGAUGCCCAUUAGUACCGGUUGGUGGCACCAACCGGGACUAAAGGUCUAACCUUUAGUACCGGUUGGUGCCACCAACCGAUACUAAUGCGCUUUGAGGCAUUAGUACCGGUUCAUGGCACGAACCGGUACUAAAGGGCCCAUUUUCAAACUCUACCCCCCCUGGUGGACCGCCUUUUCAGUUUUAGGAAAAACAAAAGAAAAUGAUGGAAAUGUCAAAAAAAUAAAAUAAAAUAAGUUUCCCAUGUGAUAUGUGGUCUAGUUGUUGGGAAAAUUAACAAAUAUGAAUUUCGACUUUAUUUGCAAAAUCUCUCUGAAAUUUCUUAAAAUGGGCAUAACUUUUGCAUACGAACUCGGAUGAAAAAGUUUUUUAUAUGAAAAAUCAUCUACUCAAAAUCCUCAAAAACCUAACAGAAAAAAAGAUACGGGACUUUUAAGAUCUGGAGAGGCAAAAAAAUUCAAAAAAUUUCAAUUUGUGGUCAAACUGUGGUCAAACAAUAGUCAAACUAAUUAUUCUAGAAUAUUAGUGUUACUAAAUAAUUAUUUCAGUUUUUUUGAAUUUUGGUCAAAUCUGGUCAAACUGUGGUUAAACAGUGGUCAAACAAUGGUCAAACUAAUUAUUCCAGAAAUAUUAGUGUUACUAAAUAAUUAUUGUUUUUAAAAAUAAUAGUUUCAAACUCAAACAGUGAAAUAUGUCACUUCAUGCUCAAGCUAAAUUCCUGAGGGUUAAUAAAAUUGACAUCUUACUAUUGUCAGGAAAACAACAAGUGCAGACUUGGAAACGAGGGAGAAUAGAACCCAGAAGUUAAGCGUGCUCAGGCUGGAGUAGUGAGAGGAUGGGUGACCGUCCGGGAAGUUAGAUGAUUUGAAAUGAUGAGGGGUGAUUAGAGAUUAGAGGAUAAAUUGAGCAGUGAUGAGGGGUGGUGAUUAGAGAUUAGAGGUUAAAAUAAUUCAGAAAUUUGAAAAUCAAAAAAAAAGUUCGCAAAUUUUUUUUUCAAAAAAAAUAUAUCAUAAAAUUCUGCGUCCACGUGGACGGCCUUUAGUCCCGGUUCGUGUCUAAAGGCUUGGGUAUAUAUAGACCUUCUACACGUCUCCAAUCUCUAGUAGCUCUUCAUAUGAUAAAAAUAUAUUGUGAGUAUGGGAUAUGUGUUGAGAAGGCCAUUCAGGAAUCGUUUAUCAUGUGAGUAGACUGCAAAAUGACAUAACCAUUCCACGAGCAUGCUUAAGUUUGAAAACUCUUUCCCGGGAAGUAUCCUAUGUGAUUGAAUGUAACUCAUAAUUAUUAAAGAAUGUAUAGAAGUUUCUAAACGAGCGAGUGGUUGAAUGUCAAAUGCAUCUGAUACUCGGCGAAGACUUAUGUUUGCCAAAUUCGGUACUCGGCAAAGUUUCGCCGUGUUUAUUAUGGGCUCUGCCAAGUUUCUAAGAAGACAAUCCGGGUAGUGAUGGAUGCCUGAUCUUUAACAUGGAAUGUCUGUAUACAUAGUCCUCAAUGUGGGGCAUAAUGUAGUAGCCGGACAAGACGCUUGAUUAAUCUGGUUCUUCUCUACAAUAGAAACUCGCCUUGUACAUGAACAUAUUUUGUUUUGGGUAUAUAUAGACCUUCUACACGUCUCCAAUCUCUAGUAGCUCUUCAUAUGAUAAAAAUAUAUUGUGAGUAUGGGAUAUGUGUUGAGAAGGCCAUUCAGGAAUCGUUUAUCAUGUGAGUAGACUGCAAAAUGACAUAACCAUUCCACGAGCAUGCUUAAGUUUGAAAACUCUUUCCCGGGAAGUAUCCUAUGUGAUUGAAUGUAACUCAUAAUUAUUAAAGAAUGUAUAGAAGUUUCUAAACGAGCGAGUGGUUGAAUGUCAAAUGCAUCUGAUACUCGGCGAAGACUUAUGUUUGCCAAAUUCGGUACUCGGCAAAGUUUCGCCGUGUUUAUUAUGGGCUCUGCCAAGUUUCUAAGAAGACAAUCCGGGUAGUGAUGGAUGCCUGAUCUUUAACAUGGAAUGUCUGUAUACAUAGUCCUCAAUGUGGGGCAUAAUGUAGUAGCCGGACAAGACGCUUGAUUAAUCUGGUUCUUCUCUACAAUAGAAACUCGCCUUGUACAUGAACAUAUUUUGUUUUGUGGAACUUCCUCCGGAUUAAAAAUACUUGAAGAUAGCAACAUAAUUGAUGAACUAAAAAAUGGUACUCUGGUAGCAAUGGGAUAAAACAAUAUUAUGCCUUUCUUUCAUUAGUUAACUAAAAAUUUGUGCUGCAGUAGUAACGGGAUAAAACAAUAUAAGUAGAAACAAUUUUGAUAAGCAAUAACAUUUCCUUUUGCUAGGGCAACGCUAUAGGUAACUCCUACAAACUAUUUCUCCUAGGUGUUGAUUAAUAAAUUAGCCAUAUGCAAAAUUAAACUGCAGUGGAUUAGUAAUACACGGUUGAAGUCAACACUUCCGGUUAAUCUUAUAAAAUCUAGCCUCUUUAGUCUCCAAUCUCACAUUGAGACAUGGUUAAUAGUUGUUGGUAUAUCUAAAUCCUAUGGGAGGACAUCCUCUUAUUCUCAGACACAUGAGCCCAAGUAUCUCCACAAAAAGUUCACCAGACAUACAUAUCAUGUCCUUUCAUAGCCAUCCAAAAAAAGGAAGGUGCUAUGAUGUAGUGCAACAUUGAUGGAAUAAUACCAAAAAAUGUAAAAAGGGUGUUUCAUUCUCAAAAAUAACUUUGGAAGUAUAUCGGUGAACCAUCUAAACAGGAACAUACUAGUAAAUUUGUUGAGGAAAUUGUUAACUGGUAGCAGCUUGGUUGGCUAGGGAGUAGGGGAUUAAUAGGGUGAUCGGCAAGUUUAUUGGCCUAUUAAGCAAUUAAACGGAGGAUUUAUCAGUUUAUUGGCUACAUGGUGACCUUACAAGUAGGGAUUAAUUCCCAAGUUAACUGGUUAAUCAGACGAAUUCUUCAACAGGACCAGUAAUCAUGCUAAUAUGGUACAUGAUAAUCUCUUAUGGUUGAAUGAAUAUGAGUAAUGUCUGUAGCUAUCUUUAACAGUAUUUUAUUGAGUACCUAAAUAUGUAAAGUUCAGUAGUUUGUACUAUCAUGUUAUUGCACAAAAAAAAAGGAAAUCUCUCAUUCCAAUUUUUUUAGCUAAACUAAACAAAAGAUACUAGCAUGUUGCUCAGGAGAUAGGAAUGGUAGCAGGGGUAGAUAGCCAACAAAAACAUUAUGUUAUUACAGUGUGAAUAAUAAAUAAGAUUAUUUGGAUCAUAUGAAGGAUAAAGCCAUCAAUCUCGCCCAUGUGCAAUAAUUUUAAUUUGUCUUUGUGUAGUAUAUAUUGUUGAUUAAUCAUUCGUGAUGAGAUAUGCACCUUCAUAUGGUUUAACAAAUAGAAGAUGGGUGGCGCCAGAAUAAUUUUUCUGACCGUGCAAAGAUAGAGAUCUGCAUUGCUCUCAUCAAUGACCUGCAACGAUUCAUGCAUGCUUCUACUAUGAUCCUUGAGCCUAUCAAAAUUAAUUGCUAUAAUCUUGACUGACCGAGCUACUGAUAUGUGGGCGUCUUGAUGAGUAUGGCGAAUUCUCUUUUAUCUUGGUGGUUGUUCAUUUCAUAGACAUCUCAAUAUAUUGUUUAUUUGGAUGGUUUUGUCUCCUCCUUUAUUUUGGGGUUAUUUUUACAAAGAGAAGUCUAGUUUUCUCCCUAACAAUUUCACAUGGAGAAGUGUCACUCAUAUUUAUUUCAAUCACAUUUACCUCUUGACCUUAAUAUUCACUCACAUUUACCUCCUGACCUUUUGGUUUUGGUUUAAUUUUUCCAUUAAAAUUUCACAAAUGAUAGAAUCCUCCCUGGAAGUUUUAAGAAAAAAAAAAUCUAGUAAAGGCAUAUGUAAUUUUUUUGUAAAGGAGAAUGUAUUAAUAUCAAGCAGAUACCAAUUAUUCCCAGACUCUGCAACAACAAGAUGCCUAAAAACAUCCAGGAUGCACACAGCUAAAAAUUAAAAUAAAAAGGGAAGAAAAAAUGAGAAAAAAUAUCCCGCCACGGUGAUCAAUCACCCGAUGUAGCCGCACUCUAACCACCACCAAAGAUGUCACCCGGACUACAAAAUAGGUUCUCCAAAAGCAAUGCCUCUAGAAAGGAAACAAAACACAAGCAUUGUCGUUGCCCGAUCAAAGAUAUUACGUUUUCACCCUGGAGAAAGAUCAGGUUCCCAACAAUAAUGCCUUCAACAAGACUACCGCCAGGCACAACCAAUAAAGGCCAGACCUUGGGUUUUCACCUUGGAAAUCCUGAUUGGGUACUCAAAGGAGCACCGAAUAACAAAGAAGUCCUCCAAUGCCGCCACCCCCACUUGCGGAGGCUAAUACUGCAAGUCACGCACCAUUAGGCUCACAGGAAUUCACAUCCCGCCUGGACGGGAACAUAUCCUGUAAGCCAUGUCUAAACAACUGCCUAUGAAGCAAAGUCUUCAUCGCAUCCAAGACCUCGCAUUCGCCACUUGCAAGUCCUUCAAUCACGCCAUGGCAUUCUCCGUAUGUGUUGAUCCCAUGGAAAUCUUGGUGCAGACAUGUCCCAAGGUGCCAACAAAAACAGAGCUUCACGAUACCCCGGUAAACCUGGUUAUGCUGAUGUUGCGGGUGCGCACGACAGGCCCCUAUCUAGUCAAGGUGUCCAAAGAGCGCCAUAUGUGCCAGUCCUUUUUUUCCUUCAAAGGAGAAGUCCGGAAAUCGCAGAUGGCCAGAUUGAAGAUCUCAGGUUCUCAAUUGCAUGAGCUUGUGAGCAACGAGAAUGAGCAAGACCGAACAAGGGGAAACCAUCCAAGGACGGGAACACCGUGUGCACAAUAUAUAGGAUCCAAUUUGCACCAGCAAUGUUUAUACAGGAAUAACCAAAAUGUGAGUGUUGCCACGUACAUGUAUUUACUACUGCAGAUAGUUUUCUUUAUUGCACAGGUAUAAAACUUGUUCUUAAUUUUAAUCAAUUCUCUUGCACAAAUUUAUCCACAGAGAGCACAUAUAUGAUUUAUCUAACACUAUGUUUUCAAUAUCACAAGAUAAAAUCUUGUCUUUACAGAGCAAAAUUAUACACCGAUAAAAAUGUGUUGUCUGCCUGCAUGAAAUUACAUAUGCUAUGCAAAACUCUUUACUUCGUAUCGUCAUGAUCAUCCACAAUAUUAAAAUUGUAAAUAAACAAAAAAAGAGGUGCCGGCAAAUAGUUUUGGAUAGAGUAGUUUGGCACAAUAUAUAUGUUAUCCCUGAAAAUAUAACGUCUUCCUGGAUCACACUGUAGCUUCGUGAUAGUUUUGACGGCUAUGAUAACAAAAGCUGCCGACACAUGGCUCUGGAAAUAGUUAUGGCUGUAGGGGUAAAUAUAAUAGCUGACAGCUCUAAAAAAUAUUCCCGCAAAAGAAGGCAGCUCUAAAAAACAAGCCGACAAAAGAAUCAUGAAGCUACAGUGUGAAUUAUACUCUCUCCAUUCACAUUAUUAUGGGAAAACGAAUUGUGCGAGUACAGUCUGCCAAAAUGAGUGGUCGUCCAUGCACCUUGUUUAGGGGCAACUUUAUUUUAAUGUGUCUUUUUGUAGUAUAUAGUGUUGAUUAAUCGUCCGUGAUGAGAUCUGUGCCUUUGUGUGAUAUAACAAAUAGAAGAUAUAUGGCGCCAGACUAAUUUUUCCAUCCGUACGUGCAAAGAUGAGAUAUGAAUGCAUUGCUCUCAUGAAUGACCUGCAACGAUAGACAUAUGCAUUCAUACAUGCUUCUGCUGUGAUCCACGAGCCCGUCAAAAUUAAUUGCUAUGCAGUGGCUUAACUACUCAGAUGAACGUGGGCGUCUUAAUGAGUAUGGUGACUUCUCUCUUAUGUUGGUGGUUGUUCGUUUCAUAAACAUUUCGAUAUAUUGUUUAUUUGGAUGGUUCUGCUUCCUCCUUUAUUUUGGGGUUGUUUUUACAGUGAAAAUUCAAGUUUUUUCACUAACAUAUUCGCAUGGAGAAGUGUCACUCAUAUUUAUUUUCACUGACAUUUACCUCCUGACAUUUAUUUUCACUCACAUUUAACUCCCGGCCUUUUGGUUUUGGUUUAGUUUUCCCAUUCAAAUUUCAUAAAUCAUAGAAUUUUCUAUCGAAGUUUCAAGAUUUGUUUUUCUAAAAAAGGUACAUGUAUGCACUAUAUAUUAGAUCUAAUUUGUACCAGUAAUGUUACCAGCUACAUGAAUUUACUGCUGCAGAUAGUUUUUUUUUGUAUUGCAUAUGUAUAAAUCUUGUCCUUAAUUUUACUCAUUUCUCUUGCACAAAGUUAGCUUCAUAGUGCACAUGUAUGAUUUACCUAAUAUUAUUAUUUCAAUAUUCCAAAAUAUAAUUUUGUCUUAACAGAGUGAAAUAAUACACCAAUAAAAAAACAUUGUCUGUAUGCAUGAAAUUACAUAUGCUAUGCAAAACUCUUUAGUAUGUAUCGUCAUGAUCAUCCACAAUAUGAAAAAAUAGUAAAGAAACAAACAAGAGGAGCAGACACAUGGUUUUGGAUAGAGCAGUUUAGCACAAUAUAUUUUAUCCCUGUUUAUAUAACGUCUUCAUUGCUCACACUGUAGCUUCGUGAUAGUUUUAUUGGCUAUGAUAACAGAAGCUGCUGACACAUGGUUCUGGAAACAGAUAUAACAGCAGGUGUAAAUAUAAUAGCCGCAGCUCUAAAAAAUAAGCUGACAAAAGAAUCAUGAAGCUACAGUGAACUAUACUCCAUCCUCCCUUGUCUAGGGGCAACUUAAUUCGCUUUGCGAAGGAUAAUGCAUCCAUGGCAAACAGUUUCAGGGUUGUCAGAAUAAGAAAUCUUAUGCCUCCCGAUCAAGAUCUAGACAGAUUUUCAGGGCAUGGUGUGGCCGUCCAACUACCUGAUAAAAAAAAAGAUAAUGAAAAGGGCCCACAGCAUCAAACCAAUGACAGAUAUGUUCAGUUUCGAAUCUCUUAAUAUUUAGUUUGAAAGCUGCAGAUUUUCAGGUUGUGAGAGCCGAAACUCUUGGACCAAGCCAUAUGUUCAGUUUCGAAUCUGACCUAGUAGCGUCCUGGAACUAGUUAUCAUCGAUUGGCUGCCAAACUCCCCCAAGAAACUCCGCACACAUCUCUGCAAUCGAACCAGGGCAAAUUAAUUUAGCGAAGGGAACUCACAACGCAGUGUCUCUUGACACAUCAUCCUAUUUAGUGAAAACUAUUUAGAGACAAUGACCCCUAUUCAUUAUAUACUCAACACGUCUCUUAAUAUUUAAAGUAUCUUAUAAAUGUCGUAUCUAAAUGAUAUUCCAUUUAAUUAGUUUAUGGACCUUUUUUGCAUGUCAACAUUGUGGCCUACUCCAGUUGUGAAGACAAAAAUUGUGAGAUAAACCACAAAGGCUCAAAGCGUUAGUCACUAUACGCAGAAAAACAAGUUAAUUAAGAGCCAUAUCUACACUAAAUAGAACAUAGGGAAGCUCAUCGAUCCAUCACCGGCCACACUUCUUGAGUUAGGCGAAUGUUCUCUUUUGGAGACCAUUGAGGACAUGCGCAUUUCAUCGCUCCAUCUGCCUGUCACUACAAGGGAUAAGGCUACACUAGUAGAAAACAGGGUUUUGGUUCGGCCAGAAAAGAGCAUUAAUCCCGGUUGCAUUACGAACCGGGACUAAUGUGAGCAUUAGUCCAGGUUCGAGCGGCUAGGGCACCGUACAUGCAUUAGUCCCGGUUCAAAUGGGACCUUUAGUCCCGGUUGGUGCCACGAACCGGGACUAAAGGGUGCGAUGCCCAUUAGUACCGGUUCGUGGCAUCAACCAGUACUAAAGGUUAGAUCUUUAGUCCCGGUUCGAGCCACCAACCAGUACUAAUGGGGUUUGAGGCAUUAGUACCGGUUCAUGGCACGCCUUUUCAGUUUUGUAAAAAGCAAAAGAAAAUGAUAAAAACUUCAAAAAUUAAAAUCCUUCCAGAUGUAGUUAUGUUACUACAUGUCCUAGUUAGGAAAAUUUAAAAACUUCAAUUUGGACAUGUUUCGCAAAAAGUGUAGGGAAAAUGUAAAACGGCUAUAACUUUUGCAUACGAUGUCAGAAAAAACGUAUAAUAUAUCGAAAUGUUCAGCACGAAAAUCCGCAUCCGAUUUUGACAGCCUACGGCCUGUUUGUAAAUUUUUAGAAUCCUCAAAUUCUAAAAGGGAAAAAAGUUAUGCUAUUUCUGUUUUUUUAAUUUUUGUUAAAUCUGGUCAAACUAUGGUCAAACUACUUAUUCAAGAAGUAUUAGUGUUACUAAAUAAUUAUUCAAGAAUAUUAGUGUUACUAAAUAAUUAUUUCAGUUUUUUUGAAUUUUGGUCAAAUCUGGUCAAACUGUGGUCAAACAAUGGUCAAACUAAUUAUUCAAGAAAUAUUAGUGUUAGUAAAUAAUUAUUUCAGUUUUUUUGAAUUUUGGUCAAAUCUGGUCAAACUGUGGUCAAACUACUUAUUCAAGAAAUAUUAGUGUUACUAAAUAAUUAUUGUUUUUUAGAACAAUAGUUUCAAACUCAAACAGUGAAAUGUGUGACUUCAUGCUCAAGCUAAAUUCCUGAGGGUUAAUAGGAUUGACAUCUUACUAUUGUCAGGAAAACAACAAGUGCAGACUUGGAAACGAGGAAGAAUAUAACCCGGAAGUUAAGCGUGCUCAGGCUGGAGUAGUGAGAGGAUGGGUGACCGUUCGGGAAGUUAGAUGAUUUGGAAUGAUGAGGGGUGAUUAGAGAUUAGAGGUUAAAUUGAGCAGUGAUGAGGGGUGAUUAGAGAUUAGAGGUUAAAAUAAUUCAGAAAUUUGCAAAUCAAAAAAAAAAAUUUAAAAAAAAAAUCAUAAAAUUUCCUUCAGUACCGGUUGGUGUUACCAACCGGGACUAAAGGUGGACCUCACGUGGAGGGCCUUUAGUCCCGGUUCGUGUAAGAACCAGGACUAAAGGGGGAGGCUUUAGUAACGACCCUUUAGUCCCGGUUCCAGAACCGGGACUGAAGGCCCUUAUGAAGCGGGACUAAAAGCCCUUUUUCUACUAGUGCUAGUAGUGGCGCGGUUUAAAGGCAUAGGAGUAGCGCGGGUUGCCUCUCUACUUACAUUAGCAACUAUAUAAAAACUCAUCAUCAUCAUCAUCAUCAUCAUCAUCAUCAUCAUCAUGUAACAACUCAUCAGCGCGUAGCUAACUGGUUCCUAGUAAGACGGGCCAGGCUCGGCUCUAAUACUACUUACAUUAGUAGCAGCGCGGUGUUUGGCCCGUGCUACUAAUAACUAGCUAUAGCGCGAGGCCCCCCGCCACUACUAACUCUAUGUAUUUCCUUUCUACAUAUUAUACUAUAUUAUACAAUAAUUAUACAGAUUUUUAUACACUAGCAACUAUAUAACAACUCAUCAUCAUCAUCAUCAUCAUGUAACAAAUCAUCAUUAUCAAAAUGAUAUAACUCAUCAUCAUCGUAGUGAUAUAACAGCUCAUCAUGAUCAUAAUUAUAUAAAAAUGUCUCAUCAUCAUCGUCAUCAUCACCAUCAGCAUCAUCAUAAGUUAACCACUACUAGCUAAUUGUCAUCAUCCUAGGUAAGUAACUUUCAAGCACAUGACAAGUACUAUGACCUACUCUAGUGUCUUAGGUAAAAUAGAAUAAAACAGAAAAAAUAACUACAUCUCCAUGAUGGACCACAGAGAUCCCCGGUCUCCAAUUUGUUGCCCGCGCUCAUUGACUAUUUGCCUCCAUCAUUCAAUUUUGAGGCAUCCAUUUGAUUAACACUCAGUCAAGUAUGUAUAUUUGAAUCCGAUCUUCAAAGGGCAAAUAAUAGUCAUCUCACUUUUGACGUCCAUCAGCAGAGGCACAACAACAUUUGGGACCUUCCGCUGAAGUACAUAAUAGUAACAUAGUCGAAAUAUGCAGAUAUAGCAAGAAUGAUCCUAAUUUAUUUAGGCAUCACUACCAGUUUGCCCUCAAUGCCUCGAGCGCCAUCUGGCAGAUCAACCAAGUUCCAAACUUGAUUGUCAUCCAUGGACUUUAAUUCGGAUCUCAUGGUCUUAAGCCAUAACUCAGAAUCAGGGCUCUCCGUCGCUUCUGCAUACAUUGCCGACUCGUUGUUCUCCAAGAACAACACAUUGCAGUUAUGCAUAUUGCGCAACCUUUCCGACCUCUGUGGAAUCAGCGUCGACUCCACUAUGGGUUCCUUGACUAACUCCAUGUGGUUCUCGAAUUUCCUCUAGUCGGAUCAUCCUCCCACUAGCCUUCCGAUUGAGAAACUCUUUCUCAAGGAAAACUCCAUGUCGAGCGACAAACACUUUGCCCUCUUCACAGAUGUAGGAGUAAUAUCCCAAGGUUUCCCUUGGAUACCCCAUGAAUAUGCACUUGUCCGAUUUGGGUGUGCGCUUGUCUGACUGGAGUCGCUUGACGUAUGAUUCACAACCCCAAAUUUUUAGAGAAGACAAAGUUUGGCUCUUCGCAGUCCAUAUCUCAUAUGACGUCUUAUCUACAAACUUGGAUGGUACCCUAUUUAGUGUGAAAGCUGCAGUUUCUAGAGCGUAUCGCCAAAAUAACAAGGGUAAAUCCGACUGACUCGUCAUUGAUUGGGCCAUGUCUAACAGAGUCUGAUUCCUUCGUUCCAACACGCCAUUUCUCUGUGGCAUACCCCGAGGAGUCAGUUGUGGAACUAUCCUACGACUCUUCAGAUAAUCAUCAAACUCCUGGCUCAUAUACUCAUUCGCCACGAUCAGAUCGCAGAAGUUUGAUUCUCUUGUCGAGUUGAUUCUCCACUUCAUUCUGAAACUCCUUGAACUUUUCAAAAGUUUCUAACUUGUGCCUCAUCAAGUAGACAUAUCCAAAUCUACUCAAGUUAUCUGUAAACGUCAUGAAGUAUUGGAAACCACCUCUAGCUGGACUUGUUUUACCAUUGUUGAAAUGUCUUGUGCAUCGGGAUUCCGAGUCUGAUCGGAGGGUCUCGAGAUGGAGGAUUGUCUCUGCGGAUCGUGAGCUUGUCAUGGGCAAAGUUGGGACACCCCUGCAGGGUUUAAACUUUCGAGAGCCAUGCCCGCGGUUAUGUGGCAGAUGGGAAUUUGUUAAUAUCUGGUUGUAGAGGACUUGAACUAAACUCAAUUAAAAUACACCAACCGCGGGUGUAACCGUGACUGUCUCUUUCCAGGUGCGUUCGAGAAGAGAAUACGGUUGGGUUAUGUUUGAACGUAAGUGGUUUAGGAUCACUUCUUGAUCACUAUUAGUUUGCGACCGUUGUGUAGAUUCUCUUCUUACUUUUGUACUCGUAAGUUAGCCACCAUACAAAUGCUUAGUGCUUGCUGCAGCUUCACCACUAUCCAUUCCAUACCCAUUAAGCUUUGCUAGUCUUCAUACCCAUGGUAAUGGGAUUGCUGAGUCCUCGUGGCUCACAGAUGACUACAACAAUAGUUGUAGGUACAGGUAAUGCAAUGAUCUGACGUGAGAGCGAUGCUUGAUUGCUUUUGGAGUUCUUCUUCUUCUUCGAUCAAGGGAUUAGGUUCCGGGUCGGGGAGCCUGGGAUUAGUGGGGUGGAUAUUAUUCUUCUUUUUUGUUUGAUUUCAUCCGUAGUCGGAUCCUGCCCUUCUGUGUGCGCUCGAAAUGCGGUUGGAACAGACGAUCGCUAGACAGCGCGCCCGCAUUGCCACCCUCAAAGACGGUGAUGCCAGCUCUGCCUUCUUUCACCGGCAGUGCUCGUUUCAAUGACAGAAAAACCGCAUCUUCUGCCUCUCUGCGAACGGCACGCUACUCACAGACCAUGACGAGAUGGCCGAGGCUGCAUUCCGGCACUAUGACACACUGCUUGGCACGGCGGUCGAACACGACCACUCGAUGGACCUGUCGCAGCUCAUCGAGGGGAGCGAUCUCUCCGACCUUGACGCGACCUUUUGCCCGGAGGAGAGAUGGGAAGCUGUGAAACGCCUCCCCGCGCACAAGGCAGCUGAGCCUGAUGGCUUUAGCGCUGAAUUUCUCCGCGUGUGCCGGAGCAUCAUCAAGCAGGACUUCAUGGAUGUGUUCCAGUAGCUCUUCGAGCUGCGUGGCCGUGGCUUCUGCAAGGUCAACCAGGCCCUUCUCACGCUGCUGCCGAAGCCCAGGAGGUGCGCAACUACCGCCCGAUAUGCCUCAUUCAUAUCGUGGCCAAGGUACUCGCGAAGGCCCUCUCGCUCCGGCUAGCUCCAAAACUUGACCGCUUUGUCAGCCGCAAUCAAAACGCGUUCAUCCUCGGACGGAGCCUACACGACAACUUUAUGCUCGUCAGGCAAUCGGUCAAGCUGCUGAGCCAACUUGGGGGCCCCAGGGUGAUGCUCAAGCUCGACCUCACGCGCGCUUUUGACUCCAUCUCCUGGCCGUUCCUCUUUGAGGUUCUGCGCCAAUUUGGGUUCGGGAAUCGCUUCCUCGAAUGGAUCGCCAUCCUCCUGUCCUCGGCAAGCACUCGGGUGUAGUUGAUUGGUGUCCCAGGCCCACUGAUAUGGCAUAAGGGAGGGCUGCGGCAGGGGGGACUCCUUGUCCCCGCAGCUGUUCGUGCUCGCGGUCGACACUCUCGGCCGGCUGAUUCGGCGCGCCCAUGAUACGGGCAUCCUCCAGCCGCUGCAUCUGCGGAGGCCGAUACCGGCUAUAUCCCUAUACGCCGACGACGUCAUGCUCUUUUGCCAUGCCACGGAGAGUGACGUGACUGUCGUCAAGGAAAUCCUUGACCUGUUUGGUAGAGCGUCCAGCCUCAAGGUGAACUACACCAAGAGCUCGGCCACGGUCUUGCAUCGGGAAUAGGUUGCCUCCGAGAUGAUCACCAGCUUGGGGUGUUCGACUGCCGCGCUCCCGGUCACCUACCUCGGUAUACCUCUGACGAUGCGCCGCCCUUCCGCCGGGCAGUUGCAGCCCCUUGUCGACAAGGUCACCGGACGCUUGCCCACCUGGAAAGCAUGGCUCAUGAACAGAGCCGGCAGGCUCGCCCUCGUCAAGUUCUUCCUUUGCACUAUCCCGGUGCACCAGCGGGUUGCAUUUGCCCCCUCGAAGAAAAGACUGCAGCAACUCGAGAAAAUUCAACGAGGGUUCCUCUGGGCCGGGCGAGCCAUCACCAACGGCGGGCACUGCCAUGUGAACUGGCAUCAUGCUUCCCGCCCGCUCGCGCUUGGCAGCCUUGGGGUUCGUGAUGUCGAGCGCGUUGGACUCGCGCUCAGGCUGCGGUGGCUCUGGCUCUCGCGAACGGACGAAGGGCGCGCCUGGCAGGGGCUGGACCUCCAAUUUUCUAGCAACGAGCGUACACUGUUCUUUGCCUCCACCUACAUGACCAUUGGAAAUGGCAUGAACGCCCUGUUCUGGGAGGAUCGAUGGCUCAACGGGCACUCGGUUGGCGAGCUCAUGCCCCUGUUCUACAGCUGCAUCCCCAAACGCCGGCGCAAAGCUAGAACGGUGGCCGAAGGUCUCAACUGCAACGCAUUGGCCCAUGACAUCCAGGGCGUCCUCGUCAUCCACGAGAUAGGCCAGUAUCUACAGCUUUGGCAACUCACGGAACAGGCUAUGCUCAGCGAUGCUCCUGACCAGCUGAUCUGUAAGCAGACUGCGAGCGGCAUCUAUUCGGCGCAGUCUUGCUACGCGGCUACCUUCCAAGGAUCAGUGCACUCCUACUCUUGGAAGUUGAUCUGGAAGGCUUGGGCUCCCCCUCGACUCAAGUUUUUCCAUUGGCUUGCCAACCUGGAUCGCUGCUGGACUGCCGAUCGACUGGCCUGCCAAAGACUGCAGCAUCAUCUGUGCUGCCUUCUUUGCGAUCAGGCGCCGGAAAUGAUCCGGCACCUCAUGCUUGACUGCCCCUUCUCUAGGCAGGCAUGGCAUGAGACCCUGGCCUGGCUACGCAUACCGGCGUCGAUCCCCAACCAGGAGCCCACCCUCAUGGACUGGUGGCGGCACGCCGCAAGCACAACGCAAGGCCCUGCAAUCCGUAGUGCUACUCGUACCAUGGCUCGUCUGGAAGCAUAUGAACAGCCACGUCUUCGACAGCGCGACGCCCUCCCUAGGCACGCUAGUCGACCGGAUCAAGGAGGAAGCCGACUCCUGGGCUAAGGCCGGAGCAGUAGGCCUUAGAGUAGUCCUACCCCCUUUAUGGGACGUGCACUGAGCAUUGUAUCUGAUCCUUCAUUAUUCAUCCUAGGACGACUGUAACUGACUCCCUACCUUUUCAAUGAAAAGAAACGGAAAGGUCUUUUGCAUUUUCUCGAGAAAAAAAAGAAUGACCUUGAGGCAAGCUCAAUGAAAAUACGUUUUCCAAAGGUUUCAAGACUAUCUUCCUUGUGCUCUGGGAUAAAGCCAUUUGCAAUUCAUAGUCAGAUCAGCUUGUCCACAUCAAUCUUGUAAUCCUUUGGAAAUAUAGCACAAAAGGAAAAGCAUUGCUUCAUGUGUGAUGGCAAGUCAUUGUAGCUAAGCUUUAAUAUUGGCAGAAUCCAGUUUCCAAAGUGCAAAUGCUGCUACUAGAUGAUAUAGCCUUCCACUCUUCGACGCUAGUCUUGGUACGAAGUACAUAGCCCAAUGCAGUUGCAGCUAAAGGAGAGCCAGAACAUCAGCUUACAAUCUCAUCAACCAUCUUGCUUAGCUCGACAGGCUUUUCUUUCUCCGAACUGAAUGCUCUAGCCUCAGUAAUUUCCUUUACGAAGAAAUCCUCCACAAUAUUGAGAUUGUAGGCUCUACCUGCACCCAUAAUUUCAGUGACUUGUUUAUCACGAGUUCUUGUUAACAUUGCACUACCCAUGCCACCAUGUUGAGGACAGACCUUCAGCCUUCCCAACUUAUAGACCUCUCUGUUCCAGACAUCAUCCAAUACAUGGAGAUACCUGUGCCCGCUGUCCAGUUUUUGAAAUCUAUCCAAAGGUAUCAUAGACCUCUCUGGGGGAUGCCCGCUGUACCCAGAGCUGCAACUGAAAAUGAUUCUGAAUUUCAGGUUCAUUGUAUAUGAGUUACGCUAAUGUGGUCUUGCCAAGGCCCCCCAUUCCAACAAUGGGAACUACUGCGAGAUCAGUAUUGCUAGCUUGACCAAGUAGUAUGUCAACGAUAUUAUUCUUAUCUCCGUGUUUGGAUCUGUUGGCAAUUUCUUGUUGGUCGCUGAUGACAUAAUCUGUGUGCCUCCACUCCUUGGACACUCGUGUUUGCCUCAACUGAUUAGACACCAACAACGUCUGCCUCAACAUAAGCGCGACGCGUUGUUGGGCUAGGCCCAGAACGGUGCGCGGGCAGGUGGGGCGUAUUUUUACCGUAGUAACUGUUUCGUCCGCUGCGCUUCCCCACGACCUGCGUUGAACACGCACGUGGAGGGUCGUGCGUGACGUGGGGGUCAUGCGUGGGGCGGUCUCCACACGCAUGCGUCACAUCGCAUUUAAUGGGAAAAGAGGCGGCCCACGCCUUCCCCGUAAAAAGGAAUAACAGCGGGCGCGCUGUUCAUUUACCCCCUGCGUCUUCUUCAAUCUCGGAAUCGCCGUCCCCUUCUUCUUCCUUCUCAAACUCUCGCCUUUGCUCGUUGCCGCCGCAUCUUCGCUGUCCUCCGUCCUUUGCCUCUCGCAGCCGCCAUGGCCCCCAAAACAAGUAAAGGAAAGGGAGUGGCCAAGGAUGCCGGGGCGAAGGAGCCGCCGGAGAGCGAGUUGGUGGCGCGGCGGACGCAUCUCGCCUACUUCCCCUCGACGGUCGACGCGGUCGAACUCCGGGACUACUUCAGGNNNNNNNNNNNNNNNNNNNNNNNNNNNNNNNNNNNNNNNNNNNNNNNNNNNNNNNNNNNNNNNNNNNNNNNNNNNNNNNNNNNNNNNNNNNNNNNNNNNNNNNNNNNNNNNNNNNNNNNNNNNNNNNNNNNNNNNNNNNNNNNNNNNNNNNNNNNNNNNNNNNNNNNNNNNNNNNNNNNNNNNNNNNNNNNNNNNNNNNNNNNNNNNNNNNNNNNNNNNNNNNNNNNNNNNNNNNNNNNNNNNNNNNNNNNNNNNNNNNNNNNNNNNNNNNNNNNNNNNNNNNNNNNNNNNNNNGCGUGUCAUCCCCGCCAAUUGCGCCGAGGCCGCCCCGAAUCGGUAUCCGUUCUUCGUCGAUUACUUUUCUUGCGGUCUCUGCCCCCCUUUCUCCGAUUUCUUCAAUGAUGUCAUGCACACAUUUGGCUUCCACCUUCUGGAUUUCACUCCCAAUGCCGUGGCGUGCAUGGCUCUUUUCGCCCAUCUCUGUGAGGGCUUCGCCGGAGUUCUUCCCAACACAUUGCCCUUCCGCUAUUAGUUUUACCCUCGCAUCCAAAAGGGAGGCGCCAUCUCUGGUUGCGUCGCCUGGAUACCAAGGUCCAAAGGGACGUACCCGGAGGGCGCCCAGAAGGAGAGGUUGGAAGAGUGGCGGGGCCGGUGGUGCUGGAUUGGGGAGGACGACCCGCCGGAAUUUUUCCGGGUUCGUCAGGCGCCGCCGGUUCGCAGGAACGACUGGGGCGAUGUCAACGCCCUGGAUGACAAGCUCAAGGUCGCCACCACCAGGAUUCACCGCCUCACCGUUGCCGGGCUCACCCUGGAGAUGAUUGGGGCGGACUUGAUCCGCCGCCGAAUCGCUCCACUGCACAACAAGGGGAGACCGGCCUGGCUCUUCCAAAACGCGGCUGACAUCAUGAGGCUUCACUCUGGCCUCAACAACAACUUCACGGUGAUGGGGCACGCCCACUUCUGCUAGCGGAUCUUUCAGCUCGACGUGAACCGCGACGGCAGGGCCAAGAGGUCCGGCAAGGCUGCAAAGGCCGGCAAGGUCCUCAAGGGGCCCUUGUUUGGGUUGCCAGCGGGGGUGGUCCCGCUGAGCAACAACUCGCGCCAGACCGACAUCAUCGCCAUGAUGUCGGACUACAAUGCACACGGUCCCGUCCCAAAUUGGUUCGAGCCGCUAGCGGAUCAGGUGCAGGAGUUCUUUGAUACUUUGGCGGAGAAGUAUGUCUGCGACGAGCCGCUGCUCAUCUAGGACACCACCCAAGCAGAGCUGGACUACAUCGCCGCCAGGGCGGCGGAGGCGGAGCUCGCUAGGGAGGCCGGCAGCGCUGGCGGCAUGGAGGACGAGGUCGCAGCAGCCGCAGAGGAGAGGGAGCUCGCCCAGUGGGAGGAAUCCGAUGGGGAGGCCAGCAGCGCCAGCACCGGGGCCCCUCUUAUUGAAGAUGUGGUCGACGAUUCGGAGGAGGAGGAGGUCGAGGCUGUCGAUCCUCCGGUCAUGGGGAGAGGGCGAGUCCUGCGGCGGGCCAGCUCCGGCAAGCCGGUCCAGCCCGGCAGGGCUGUGCAACCGCAGCAGACCUAGGAGGGGUAUGUGCGCCAGACAAGGGCCGCGGUGGCGAGGAAGUUGGUGAAGGCCGUGGUGGCGAAGAAGAAAGCAACAACCUCUUCUUCGUUCAAGCGUGGCCAGACUCCACCUUCUUCCCCUCCUCGGGCAGACGUUGACACGGAGGUCGUCUUCGACUUUGGGUCCCUCAGCCCAAGGAGGAAGAGGAAGGCAUCAGAAGAGGAGGUGGAGGAUGAGUAAGUUUCUUGUUACUUUUUGUCAUCUCCGUCUCCUCAGACUGUGCUGCUUAUCUCGAUUUGUUUUCAUCUUUGCAGGGAUGCGGAGACGCUGGCCCAGAGGGUGAAGAGGGCCAGGUCCUCGGCUGGCGGCCGGCCUCCGGCGGGCACUUCGAGGAUGCCACUAGUGGUGGUGAGCAGCCCGGACAGCAGUCCCCGAAGCAGCCCCCGGCGUAAGUUCCCCACUCGUCCCUCGUCAACGUGUGUUGGGGGUACGAUCCCUUGGCGCUAACCUUGCCGUGAUUGCAGGAGGAGGACAACAGGAGGAGGAGCCACGGAGGGUUACCCCCAACACGCUGCCCCCAUCGACCACGCCGCCCCGAGGGGUGGUGUCUACUACGCAACCUUCUUCUUGUAGACGUUGUUGGGCCUCCAAGUGCAGAGGUUUGUAGGACAGUAGAAAAUUUCCCUCAAGUGGAUGACCUAAGGUUUAUCAAUCCGUGGGAGGCGUAGGAUGAAGAUGGUCUCUCUCAAGCAACCCUGCAACCAAAUAACAAAGAGUCUCUUGUGUCCCCAACACACCCAAUACAAUGGUAAAUUGUAUAGGUGCACUAGUUCGACGAAGAGAUGGUGAUACAAGUGUAAUAUGGAUGGUAGAUAUAGGUUUUUGUAAUAUGAAAAUAUAAAAACAGCAAGCUAACUAAUGAUAAAAGUGAGCACAAACGGUAUUGCAAUGCGUUGAAACAAGGCCUAGGGUUCAUACAUUCACUAGUGCAAGUUCUCUCAACAAUAAUAACAUAAUUGGAUCAUAUAACUAUCCCUCAACGUGCAACAAAGAGUCACUCCAAAGUCACUAAUAGAGGAGAACAAACGAAGAGAUUAUGGUAGGGUACGAAACCACCUCAAAGUUAUUCUUUCGGAUCGAUCUUAUUCAAGAGUUCGUACUAGAAUAACACCUUAAGACAAAAUCAACCAAAACCCUAAUGUCACCUAGAUACUCCAAUGUGACCUCAAGUAUCCGUGGGUAUGAUUAUACGAUAUGCAUCACACAAUCUCAGAUUAAUCUAUUCAAACCAACACAAAGUACUUCAAAGAGUGUCCCAAAGUUUCUACCAGAGAGUCAAGACGAAAACGUGUGCCAACCCCUAUGCAUAGGUUCAUGGGCGGAACCCGCAAGUUGAUCACCAAAACAUACAUCAAGUGGAUCACGUGAUAUCCCAUUGUCACCAGAGAUACGCACAUGCAAGACAUACGUCAAGUGUUCUCAAAUCCUCAAAGACUCAAUCCGAUAAGAUAACUUCAAAGGGAAAACUCAAUCCAUUACAAGAGUGUAGAGGGGGAGAAACACCAUAAGAUCCAACUAUAAUAGCAAAGCUCGCGAUACAUCAAGAUCGUACCACCUCAAGAACACAAGAGAGAGAGAGAGAGAGAGAUCAAACACAUAGCUACUGGUACAUACCCUCAGCCCCGAGGGUGAACUACUCCCUCCUCGUCAUGGAGAGCGCGGGGAUGAUGAAGAUGGCCACCGGUGAGGGUUUCCCCCUCCGGCAGGGUGCCGGAACAGGGUCCCGAUUGGUUUUUGGUGGCUACAGAGGCUUGCGGCGGCGGAACUCCCGAUCUAUUCUGUUCACCUAUGUUUUUAGGGUAUAUGGAUAUAUAUAGGCGAAAGAAGUCGGUAAGGGGAGCCACGAGGGGCCCACGAGGGUGGAGGGCACGCCCAGGGGGUGGGCGCGCCCCCUACCUCGUGCCUUCCUUGUUGCUUCCCUUACGUACACUCCAAGUCUUCUGGAUUGCUUCGGUUCCAAAAAUAACUCUCCCGAAGGUUUCAUUCCGUUUGGACUCCGUUUGAUAUUCCUUUUCUGCGAAACACUGAAACAAGGAGAAAAACUGAAACUAGCACUGGGCUCUGGGUUAAUAAGUUAGUCCCAAAAAUAAUAUAAAAGUGCAUAGUAAAUCCCAUUAAACAUCCAAGAUGGAUAAUAUAAUAGCAUGAAUACUUCAUAAAUUAUAGAUACGUUGGAGACGUAUCAGCAUCCCCAAGCUUAAUUCCUGCUCGUCCUCGAGUAGGUAAAUGAUAUAAGAAAUAAUUAUGAAGUGUGAAUGCUAGCAGGUGCACAAGUUUGAUCAAUGAUAAUUUCAAUCACCUUUUCAAGCAUCAUUAUAUGUCAUAACAGUAGCUCAACUCAUAAAACUUUUCAUGAUCAAGUAACAAGCUAUUCACAUAUUAAAGCAUAGACCAUAAACUUUCUUGAAAACUAACAAACUAUGUUCUCAGUCAUCAAACAAUUGCAAUUCAUCUUAUUUUCAGGAAGGGUCUAUGUAAGAGCUUUGAUUUAGCAAAUCCCACAUACUCAACUAUCAUAUAGUCUUCCAUGAUUGCUACCACUCAAAGCAUAUUUUCGGAACAAAUAGCAUCCAUCGAACACAGAGAAAGAUAGGGGCUUAAUGUUUCGCCUCCCAACUUAUUUAUCAUAUAGAUAAUUGUCAACAAUAAUAAUUCAUGAUCAAAUAUAUUUGAAUGGCCAUAUAUGCUUAGAUCUUUCCAUCACAUGAUGCUUGCCAACUAAAAAGUAGGUUGGAAUGAGAAGGAAUACUACUGACUCUUGCAUAAAAGUAAAAGAUAGGCCCUUCACAGAGGGAAGCAGGGAUUUGCAGAGGUGCCAGAGCUCGAAGCUAAAACAGAGAUGAAAAUAAUUUUGAGAGGUAUGCUUUCAUUGUCAACAUAACGACCAAGAGUUCCCAAUAUCUUCCAUACUACAUACAUUAUAGGCGGUUCCCACGCGGAAAGGUAAAGUUUUUACUCCCCCUCCACCAACAUUCACACUCCACGGCUUGUCCGAAACAAUGGGUGCCGUCCAACUAUCAACAUUCUUGGGGGAGUUUGUUGAAAUUAUUUGUGAAUUUGUUUUUGAUCUUUUGAUCAUAGGACUGGGCAUCCCAGUUACCAGCCAUUUUCUCGUGAAUGAUGAGCGGUGUCCACUCAUCGUGAGAAUAACCCACCCAGCAUGGAAGAUACUGACAGCCCCUAGUCGCUACAUGAGCGAUUCGGGCAUACAAAACAGAUUAUUAUUUGAAGGUUUAGAGUUUGGCACAUGCAAAUUUACUUGGAACGGCAGGUAAAUACCGCAUAUAGGUAGAUAUGGUGGACACUCAUGGAAGAAACUUGGUUCGAGGAAUUUGGAUGCACAAGCAGUAUUCCUGCUUAGUACAGACAUUUUGGCUAGCAAAUGAUUCUAAAUAGCAAGCACCACAAGUUAGAGGAUCCAUAACAAUAUAACUUCUAUACAAAUAUACCCAAGCAUAACUCAUUAUGUUGUCUUCCUUGUCCAACUUCAACUAAUUUGCUCAGGUUUGCUAAUAAUUAAUGGGGCUCACGAUCAUAGAAGAUGUCCAAGAUAGUAUUAUAUGUGAAAUCUCUCUUCCUUCAAUAUUCUUUCAUGAAUUGUUCAAGUGACAAAUACAAAGUUUGCUAACCUUCAAAAAAUUUACCACCUCUACUUCUUAUAUGUGAAGUCAUUACUCCCCAUGGGAUAAGUAUAUGAAACAUAUAUAAUUUCAGAUUUAUAAUAUUCAAAUCAUUCAACUAUUUACUCAUAGGAUAUAAGUGAAGCACACGAGUAAAUGACAAACUACUCCAAAAAGAUAUAAGUGAAGAUCAAUGAGUAGUUAAAUAAUUAUGUAGUUAUCUGAAGACUCUAUCUCAUUUAAGAAUUUCAGAUCUUGGUAUUUUAUUCAUACAGCAAGCAAAACAAAAGAAAAUAAAAUGACGCUCCAAGUAAAACACAUAUCAUGUGGUGAAUAAAAAUAUAGCUCCAAGUAAAGUUACCGAUGAACGAAGACGAAAGAGGGGAUGCCAUCCGGGGCAUCCCCAAGCUUAGGCUCUUGGUUGUCCUUGAAUAUUACCUUGGGGUGCCUUGGGCUUCCCCAAGCUUAGGCUCUUGCCACUCCUUAUUCCAUAGUCCAUCGAAUCUUUACCCAAAACUUGAAAACUUCACAACACAAAACUUAACAGAAGAUCUCGUGAGCUCCGUUAGCGAAAGAAAACAAAACACCACUUCAAGGUACUGUAAUGAACUCAUUAUUUAUUUGUAUUGGUGUUAAAUCUAAUGUAUUCCAACUUCUCUAUGGUUUACAAACUAUUUUACAAGCCAUAGAUUCAUCAAAAUAAGCAAACAACACACGAAAAACAGAAUCUGUCAAAAACAGAACAGUCUGUAGUAAUCUGUAACUAACGCAAACUUCUUGAACUCAACAAAUUCUACCAAAAUAGGACGACCUAGAUAAUUUUAUUAUUGAUCUGAUGCAAUUGGAAUCAGUAUUUUAUCACGUUCUGGUGAUUUUAAACAAUUGUUUUCGUGAACAGAAAGUUUCUGGAAUUUUCAGCAAGAUCAAAUAACUAUCAUCCAAGAAGAUCCUAUAGGUCUUACUUGGCGCAAACACUAAUUAAAACAUAAAACCACAUCUAAACAGAGGCUAGAUAGAUUAUUUAUUGCUAAACAGAACCAUAAAGAAAGAACAAAAAUAAAAAUCGGGUUGCCUCCCAACAAGCGCUAACGUUUAACGCCCCUAGCUAGGCAUGAUGAUUUCAAUGAUGCUCGCAUAAAAGAUAAGAAUUGAAAUAUAAAGAGAGCAUCAUGAAAAAUAUGACUAGCACAUUUAAGUCUAACCCACUUCCUAUGCAUAGGGAUUUUGUGAGAAAACAACUUAUGGGAACAAUAAUCAACUAGCAUAGGAAGGCAAAACAAGCAUAACUUCAAAACUUUAAGCACAUAGAGAGGAAACAUGAUAUUAUUGCAAUUCAUACAAGCAUACAUUCCUCCCUCAUAAUAAUUUUCAGUAGCAUCAUGAAUGAAUUCAACAAUAUAACCAGCACCUAAAGCAUUCUUUUCAUGAUCUACUUGCAUAGAAAUUUUCCUACUCUCCACGUAAGCAAAUUUAUUCUCAUCAAUAGUAGUGGGAGCAAACUCAACAAAAUAACUAUCAUGUGAUUGAAAAUUAAGAUCAAGAUGACAAGUUUCAUGGUUAUCAUUAUUCUUUAUAGCAUACGUGUCAUCACAAUAAUCAUCAUAGGUAGGAGGCAUGCUUUCAUCAUAAUAAAUUUGCUCAUCAAAACUUGGGGGACAAAAAAUAUCAUCUUCAUCAAACAUAGCUUCCCCAAGCUUGUAAUCAUGCUCAUCAUUCAAAUAUUUAGUGCCAAACAUUCUAAUGCAUUCUUCCUCUAGCAAUUGAGCGCAAUUAUCGGAAUCCUUAUUUUCACGGAAGACAUUAAAAAGAUGAAGCAUAUGAGGCACACUCAAUUCCAUUUUUUGUAGUUUUCUUUUAUAAAAUAAACUAGUGAUAAAACAAGAAACUAAAAGAUUCCAUUGCAAGAUCUAAAUAUAUACCUUCAAGCACUCACCUCCCCGACAACGGCGCUAGAAAAGAGCUUAGUUGACGGGGUGUGAGUGCCGCUUACCUAGCCUCCCCGGCAACGGCGCCAGAAAAGAGCUUGAUGUCUACUACGCAACCUUCUUCUUGUAGACGUUGUUGGGCCUCCAAGUGCAGAGGUUUGUAGGACAGUAGCAAAUUUCCCUCAAGUGAAUGACCUAAGGUUUAUCAAUCCGUGGGAGGCGUAGGAUGAAGAUGGUCUCUCUCAAGCAACCCUGCAACCAAAUAACAAAGAGUCUCUUGUGUCCCCAAAACACCCAAUACAAUGGUAAAUUGUAUAUGUGCACUAGUUCGGCGAAGAGAUGGUGAUACAAGUGUAAUAUGGAUGGUAGAUAUAGGUUUUUGUAAUCUGAAAAUAUAAAAACAGCAAGGUAACUAAUGAUAAAAGUGAGCACGAACGGUAUUGCAAUGCGUUGAAACAAGGCCUAGGGUUCAUACUUUCACUGGUGCAAGUUCUCUUAACAAUAAUAACAUAAUUGGAUCAUAUAACUAUCCCUCAACAUGCAACAAAGAGUCACUCCAAAGUCACUAAUAGAGGAGAACAAACGAAGAGAUUACGGUAGGGUACGAAACCACCUCAAAGUUAUUCUUUCGGAUGAUCUUAUUCAAGAGUUCGUACUAGAAUAACACCUUAAGACACAAAUCAACCAAAACCCUAAUGUCACCUAGAUACUCCAAUGUCACCUCAAGUAUCCGUGGGUAUGAUUAUACGAUAUGCAUCACACAAUCUCAGAUUGAUCUAUUCAAACCAACACAGAGUACUUCAAAGAGUGUCCCAAAGUUUCUACCGGAGAGUCAAGAUGAAAACGUGUGCCAACCCCUAUGCAUAGGUUCAUGGGCGGAACCCGCAAGUUGAUCACCAAAACAUACAUCAAGUGGAUCACGUGAUAUCCCAUUGUCACCACAGAUAUGCACAUGCAAGACAUACAUCAAGUGUUCUCAAAUCCUUAAAGACUCAAUCCGAUAAGAUAACUUCAAAGGGAAAACUCAAUCCAUUACAGGAGUGUAGAGGGGGAGAAACAUCAUAAGAUCCAACUAUAAUAGGAAAGCUCGCGAUACAUCAAGGUUGUACCACCUCAAGAACACGAGAGAGAGAUCAAACACAUAGCUACUGGUGCAUACCCUCAGCCCCGAGGGUGAACUACUCCCUCCUCGUCAUGGAGAGCGCGGGAAUGAUGAAGAUGGCCACCGGUGAGGGUUCCCCCCUCCUGCAGGGUGCAGGAACAGGUUCUCGAUUUGUUUUUGGUGGCUACAGAGGCUUGCGGCGGCGGAACUCCUGAUCUAUUCUGUUCCCCGAUGUUUUUAGGGUAUAUGGAUAUAUAUAGGCGAAAGAAGUCGGUAAGGGGAGCCACAAGGGGCCCACGAGGGUGGAGGGCGCGCCUAGGGGGGUGGGCGCGCCCCCUGUCUCGUGCCUUCCUCGUUGCUUCCCUUACGUACACUCCAAGCCUUCUGGAUUGCUUCCGUUCCAAAAAUAACUGUCCCGAAGGUUUCAUUCCCUUUGGACUCCGUUUGAUAUUCCUUUUCUGCGAAACACUGAAACAAGGAGAAAAAACUGAAACUAGCACUGGGCUCUGGGUUAAUAAGUUAGUCCCAAAAAUAAUAUAAAAGUGCGUAGUAAAGCCCAUUAAACAUCCAAGAUGGAUAAUAUAAUAGCAUGAAUACUUCAUAAAUUAUAGAUACGUUGGAGACGUAUCAAGGGGCGUCCCCGGCAAGGGCGCCAAGCACCGAGCCCAUGCACACAGAGGAGGAGGAGGCAGACUUGGGCGCUAGUGGCUCCGCCUCGGUGCCAGAUGUUGGCAGGGAAGGGGCUACUUCUUCCCAGCCCGGCACGGGUACGUCACUUGCCUCCUGUCCCUGCUUUUUCUUCUUCUUUUUGAAUCUUGGUCUUGGCUCCGCCUCAUCCCCUUCUCGAUAUCCAGACCCUCCCUCGGCGGACCGGGAGGACAUAGACACCGUCAUCGAGGAUGUCGCCAAGGACACCGCGGCGGAGGCCGAGAAGAUUGCCGCCGAGGAGGCCGCCAAGGGCGCUGCCGAGGACGCCGCAAAGCGAUCUGCCGGGGAGUCCGGCAUGUCUACUGCCAAAGUGGCCGGCAAGGGGCCUGCCGGGGAGGCCGGCAAGGCCGCUGCCGGGGAGGAGGUGGUUAACGACCAACCUUCCUCCUCUGCUGCCUCUGGUUCCGGCAGGUAUCUGAAGGUGAGCGACGACCUAUUCGUCAACCUCCUAGGGACGGCGAGCACUAGGGCGCCCACCGAGGGAGAGGUGUUCGACGAGGAGGUGCUUGCCGCCGCUGGGCUCGAGGUUGUUGACGAGUCGAGCGCCGGUGGCGACGGUUCCCAGGAAGAGCGGCUCCUUCAGGCCAUGGGCGCCAGCUUUCGGAAGCUCCAGGCGCUCCACCGCGCCCGCCUGGACAAGGCCAAGUCCAGGAUGGCAGCGGUGGAAAAGGCGGAGGCGGACCUCGAGGGUCGCAUCGUCGAGACGCAGGCUUGGUUCCGCCAGGGCUGCGAGGAGCUGAAGACCGCCCAGGACGAGCUGGCCAAGCGCAAGGUGGAGCUCGUCAUGAAGCAGGCCGACAUCGAGAGGGGCCAGGAGUUGGCGAAGAACCAGGCCGCCAAGGACGAGGUCGCUCGGUCCCAGCACCAGGCCGCGCUGAACUCCCAGGAAGAGGACCUUGCCGCUCGCGAGGAGAAGCUCGCCGUGACACUCCGCGGCAAGGACGAGGAGGUCAAGAAGCUUGUCCUGCAGCGGACCCAGGAGUUGGAGCAGAAGCACGAGGAGGCGCUCAAUGCCCAGGCUUAGGUCCACGCCGGCAAGGUGAAGGAGCUGGAGGUGGAGCGGGACGAGCUGAAGAAGCAGGCCCUGGAGUUGACGGCGGAGAGGGACGCUGCCAAAGGUGCCCUGGCCGACGCGCAGGCCGCAGUCCUCAGCAAGGCCGGGCUACUCUCCACGGCCAACGAGACCAUCAAGGACCUGAAGCUGAAGCUGGAGGGCCUUGAGGGGACGCUCUCGGAGGCCAAGGCCCGGGAGGAGACCCUGGCCAAAGAUUUGGAGGCCGAGAAGCAGCUGCGGAAGAACGAAACCGCCAACCACAAGGAUUUUGUGGAGGGCGAGAACCGCUGGAUCAGCCGCCUCAAAGGCGUCGCCGGCAGGAUCACCACGCAGCUGGCUACGAUGGGGAUGCCAAAUGUGAGGUACGCCCCGGAGCCCAAUGUGACUCCCAAUGCCAAGCUGACCCUAUUCUUCGAGGGUGUCCUUGGAGCCCUGGAGCAUCUUCGCUCCAGCAGGGCGGCCUCUUUGGCCGAUGAGGCCCGGAAGCUUUGCCGGGGUGCCAUGACCAAGGUCCUCACCAAGGUGGCGUACUGGAACCCCGACCUCGACUUCGACGCCGCACUAGAGAGCUUGCCGGAGGAUGCUGACCUCGCGGCGCUCAAGGAGCGUAUCAAGCCCAUCAUCAGUCGCGUCGACGGAAUCCAGAGGGUGGAGGGCCAGCGCUGGGAUUAGGCACCCCGUUUCUCAUUGCCGCUGCAGGUUCAUGACCAUGACAAUUUCUAUCUUUAGUUAGAACCGCGGCAACAACUGAUGUAAUAUAACUCUGCAGUACAUUCGUGAUGAUGUAUGUUAUCUUCCUGUUUGAUCUUCCUUUGUAUGUUCACCCUACGUUAAUCGGGUAGGCUUGCCGGCGCGUAAACCCAGGCCGCGGCGCCUUGAGGAUGGAUCCCCAAUGGCCUGCCGGGUAUGCUUGCUGCCAGGCGAACCACCUUACCGCAUUAGUAGAAAACAGGGCUUUGGUUCCGGCCUGGCCAGCCCAUUAGUCCCGGUUCUUCAUGAACCGGGACCCAUGGGGGGCAUUAGUCCCGGUUCAUGAGCCCAGGGGGCCGUCCGGGGCCUCGUGGGCAUUGGUCCAGGUUCCUCUGGAUCCAUUUGUACCGGUUCUAGAGGGCCGCGCUCCUUGCCCACAGCCAUUGGUACCGGUUCGUGCCUAUAACCGGGACAGAAGGGGGGGGGGCUUUAGUACCGGUUCGUGCCACAAACCGGGACAAAUAAGUUGCCUAUAUAUACUCGUCGCCGCAGCAGAGCACUCCACAGUGCUCUGUUUUUUCUGGCCGGCGAGGGGAGGGCAUUUGGGUGCUCUAGCUCACCUCCUAUGCACAUGAGGUGUUUGAUGAAAUGCCCGAGCGACACUAGUUAAGCUUUCUCCUCUUGAAGCUCGACCUCGGAGCUCCAUUUUUCCCAAGAUUUGUCUAGAUUUAGCGGUCCGUCACGCCCCGUCCCCGUUUUCACCGCCGUCAAUCGCCCGUGCCGAUCUCGUCGCCGGCACCAUCGUGGUGAGCCUCUUGUUCUUAUCUUCUUUCUGAUUUGCUUAAUUUAGAUAGAUACUUGUCUGAUUUUCUUACUUUUGACACACAUAAUUAUAUAUAAUGCACGCAGAUGAACCGGCAAUGGAUGUACGGUGACAGACACACCUCCGAGUACAUUAAGGGCGUGCAUGAAUUUCUCGAAGUGGCAGAGGCAAACAAGCAGAAUGGUUUUAUGUGUUGUCCAUGCCCUAAAUGUGGGAAUACGAAGUCUUACUCUGACCGGAAAAUCCUGCACACCCACCUGCUUUACAAGGGUUUCAUGCCACACUAUAAUGUUUGGACGAGGCACAGAGAAAUAGGGGUUAUGAUGGAAGACGACGAAGAAGAAGAGGACGAUGACAACUAUGUGCCCCCUGAAUACGGUGAUGCUGCAACGGGGGGAGCUGCCGAAGAUCAAGAGGAACCAGACGAUGUGCCCGAUGAUGCUGCAAUGGGGGAAGCUGCUGAAGAUCAAGAAGAACCAGACGAUGUGCCCGAUGAUAAUGAUCUCCGCCGGGUCAUUGUCGAUGCAAGGAUGCAAUGCGAAAGUCAAAAGGAGCAGCUGAAGUUCGAUCCCAUGUUAGAGGAUCACAAAAAAGGGUUGUACCCCAAUUGCGAAGAUGGCAACACAAAGCUCGGUACCGUACUGGAAUUGCUGCAGUGGAAGGCAGAGAAUGCUGUGCCUGAGAAAGGAUUUGAGAAGCUACUGAAAAUAUUGAAGAAGAAGUUUCCAAAGGACAAUGAAUUGCCUGACAGUACGUACGCAGCAAAGAAGGUCGUAUGCCCUCUAGGAUUGGAGGUGCAGAAGAUACAUGCAUGCCCUAAUGACUGCAUCCUCGACCAUGGUGCGUACAAGGAUUUGAACGCAUGCCCGGUAUGCGGUGCAUUGCGGUAUAAGAUCAGACGAGAUGACCCUGGUGAUGUUGACGGUGAGCCCCGCAGGAAGAGGGUCCCUGCGAAGGUGAUGUGGUAUGCGCCUAUAAUACCACCGUUGAAACGACUAUUCAGAAACAAAGAGCAUGCCAAGUUGAUGCGAUGGCACAGUGAGGACCGUAAGAAAGACGGGAAGUUGAGAGCACCCGCUGACGGGUCGCAGUGGCGAAAAAUUAAGAGAAAGUACUGGGAUGAGUUUGCAGGUGACCCAAGGAAUGUAUGGUUUGCUUUAAGAGCGGAUGGCAUUAAUCCUUUCGGGGAGCAGAGCAGCAAUCACAGCACCUGGCCCGUGACUCUAUGUAUGUAUAACCUUCCUCCUUGGAUGUGCAUGAAGCGGAAGUUCAUUAUGAUGCCAAUUCUCAUCCAAGGCCCUAAGCAACCCGUUAACGACAUUGAUGUGUACCUAAGGCCAUUAGUUGAAGAACUUUUAUAGCUGUGGAAUGGAAACAGUGUACGUGCGUGGGAUGAGCACAGACACGAGGAAUUUAACCUCCAUGCGUUGCUGUUUGUAACCAUCAACGAUUGGCCCGCUCUCAGUAACCUAUCAGGACAGACAAACAAGGGAUACCACGCAUGCACGCACUAUUUAGCUAACACCAAAAGUAUAUACCUGGACAAAUGCAGGAAGAAUGUGUACCUGUGCCAUCAUCGAUUUCUUCCGACCAACCAUCAAUGUCGAAAGAAAGGCAAGCAUUUCAAAGGCGAGGCAGAUCACCGGAAGAAGCCCGCCAUGCGUACCGGUGAUCACGUACUUGCUAUGGUCAAUGAUUUACACCUAAUGUUUGGAAAGGGUCCCGGCGGACUAGCUGUUCCGAAUGACGCUGGGGGACGCGCACCCAUGUGGAAGAAGAAAUCUAUAUUUUGGGACCUGCCCUACUAGAAAGACCUAGAGGUCCGCUCUUCGAUCGACGUGAUGCACGUGACGAAGAACCUUUGCGUGAACCUGCUAGGCUUCUUGGGCAUGUAUGGGAAGACAAAAGAUACAGCUGAGGCACGGGAGGACCUGCAACGUUUGCACGAAAAAGACGGCAUGCCUCCAAAGCAGUAUGAAGGUCCUGCCAGCUAUGCUCUUACCAAAGAAGAGAAGGAAAUCUUCUUUGAAUGUCUGCUUAGUAUGAAGGUCUCGACUGGCUUCUCGUCGAAUAUAAAGGGAAUAAUAAAUAUGCCAGAGAAAAAGUUCCAGAACCUAAAGUCUCAUGACUGCCACGUGAUUAUGACGCAACUGCUUCCGGUUGCAUUGAGGGGGCGUCUACCGAAAAACGUCCGAUUAGCCAUUGUGAAGCUAUGUGCAUUCCUCAAUGCAAUCUCUCAGAAGGUGAUCAAUCCAGAAAUCAUACCAAGGCUAAGGAGUGAUGUGGCGCAAUGUCUUGUCAGUUUCGAGCUGGUGUUCCCACCAUCCUUCUUCAAUAUCAUGACGCACGUCCUAGUUCAUCUAGUUGACGAGAUUGUCAUUCUGGGCCCCGUAUUUCUACAUAAUAUGUACCCCUUUGAGAGGUUCUUGGGAGUCCUAAAGAAAUAUGUCCGUAACCGCGCUAGGCCAGAAGGAAGCAUCUCCAUGGGCCAUCAAACAGAGGAUGUCAUUGGGUUUUGUGUUGACUUCAUUCCUGGCCUUAUGAAGAUAGGUCUCCCUAAAUCGCGGUAUGAGGGGAGACUGGCUGGAAAAGGCACGCUUGGAGGGGACUCAAUAAUAUGCAGGGACGGAUAUUCUUGGUCUCAAGCACACUACACAGUUCUACAGAACUCUACCUUGGUGACCCCUUAUGUCGAUGAACACAAGAACAGUCUGCGCUCCAAACACCCGGAGCAUUGCGACGACUGGAUUACAUGUGAACACAUCAGGACUUUCAGCAGUUGGUUGGAAACACGUCUCAGAGGUGACAACACUGUUUGUGAUGAGAUGUACUCGUUGUCCAGGGGACCAUUUUCGACUGUAUUGACUUACAAAGGAUACAAGAUAAAUGGGAAUACAUUUUACACGAUCGCCCAAGAUCAAAAGAGCACCAACCAAAACAGCUGUGUCCGCUUUGAUGCAGCAACCGAGAGGGGAAAGGACACAUAUUAUGGUUACAUAGUGGACAUAUGGGAACUUGACUACGGACAUGAUUUUAAGGUCCCUUUGUCUAAGUGCAAAUGGGUCAAUCUGUCAGGAGGCGGGGUACAGGUAGACCCACAGUACGGAAUGACAACAGUGGAUCUGAACAAUCUUCGGUACACUGACGAACCUUUCGUCCUAGCCAAUGAUGUGGCACAGUUUAUCUAUGUGAAGGACAUGUCUACCAAACCGAGAAAAAGAAAAGAUAAGGAAGCGAAUACAUCAUACGAUGAGCCAAAGCACCACAUAGUUCUUUUAGGAAAAAGGGACAUCGUGGGAGUGGAGCGCAAGACAGACAUGUCUAAAGAUUAUGAAAAGUUUCCUGAAAUUCCUCCCUUCAAAGUCAAGGCUAACCCAAGCAUCCUAAUAAACGAUGAAGAUUAUCCAUGGUUACGGCGCAAUAAGCAAACGACACAAGCGAAGAAAAAGUGAAGACUUUCUCUCUACAACUAUUAUGAUGAUGCCUUUGAUCUAGAAUAUCACUGCAAUUACAUGUGAAGAAAUGAAAUGCAUGUUGUAACAAACGAGUUUCCGUGUGAAAUGAUGAUACCAUGCCAAUUUGCAACCUUAUCGGAGUUCAUUUGAAAUGGUUUUCAAUUUCCGGGUCUUAUAGCUCAAAAAAGCAGUAAAUGCAUGAAAAAUAACAAAUGAAGUCAGAAAGGGUUGAAAAUUGAUGAUGUUGCUUUGAAUGGUGCAUUUUGAACACACAAGAAGUCUGGAGUUCAAAUAAGUUCGAAAAAAUGAAAUCCCUUUGUAACAGAUGAGCUUUCGUGCGAAACCCUGAUACUUCGAAAGAGAUUGUCCGUUUUGUACACAAAGUGCAUCUAGUUUUUGCCGUAACCCUCUCAACUUUCUUGCACAUGCUAUGUGGGUGAAAUGAUGAUAGCAUGCCAAUUUUCAACCUUUUCGGUGUUCAUUUGAAAUGCUUUUCAAUUUUCGGGUCUUAUAGCUCAAAAAAGCAGUAAAUGCAUGAAAAAUAAUAAAAUGCAUAAAACUAUAAUAUUUGUUAUGAUCACUAAAAAACUAAAAUCAAUUAAAAUAUUAAAUAGCAGGAAAAAGAAUCACUCAAAAAUCUAUUUUUAUAGUAAAUUUAUUCAUAAAACUAGUGAUUCACAUACAUUUAAAAAAAAUCAAAUUUUAAAACUAAUGGCACUAACAGAAAGUUUAUAAUUUUGUGACCCAAAAGCAAAAAGAAAUCACUAAAAAACUAUAAAAUUUAGUUUUAAGUAGAAAUAAAAAAAUAAAAAGAAAAAAAGGAAAAAAAAUGCCACCUACUGGACCUCCUCGGCCUAAAUACGACUAGAAACCCUACAAUGGGCCAGGAUUCAGGCCCGCAGAAGGCCCAAUAGGCCCAACAGGCAUGGCAAAGUAGAGAUUAGGCCCGUAAGCCUGCAAUAGAGAGGAGCUCGAGAGGGUGGCGGCAGCAAAGCUUAUAAACCACCCCGAGCCCCUCUCAACUAGCGAGGUGGGACUAAACAUCCCACCGCACCGUGCCAGCACAAGGCCUAUGGUCCCGGUUCAUGCCACCAACCGGUACCAUAGGCGGGCAUUCGUACCGGUUCGUGGCACCAACCAGUACCAAUGCCCACCUACGGUCCCGGUCCGUGCCACCAACCGGGACCAUGGGCCUCUGUUUCCCGCCCUUGGGGCUGCCGAAAAGAGACCUUUGGACCCUGUUGGUGGCACGAACCGGGACCAUAGGUAGGCAUUGGUACCGGUUGGUGCCAUGAACCGGUACCAUUGGUUUUGCUAUAUAAGGUAGCACUUGUGAAAAUUUCGCCAACUGCUCCCCCAUUCCCCCCGACGCCGCCAGGCCGUUCCUCGUCGUCGUCGCCGUCGCCGCCCCGAGCCCCUGCCCCGACGNNNNNNNNNNNNNNNNNNNNNNNNNNNNNNNNNNNNNNNNNNNNNNNNNNNNNNNNNNNNNNNNNNNNNNNNNNNNNNNNNNNNNNNNNNNNNNNNNNNNNNNNNNNNNNNNNNNNNNNNNNNNNNNNNNNNNNNNNNNNNNNNNNNNNNNNNNNNNNNNNNNNNNNNNNNNNNNNNNNNNNNNNNNNNNNNNNNNNNNNNNNNNNNNNNNNNNNNNNNNNNNNNNNNNNNNNNNNNNNNNNNNNNNNNNNNNNNNNNNNNNNCCCGACGACGUCGCCGCGCCCUUGACCCGCCGUUGACGUCGUCCUCACCGUCGCCGUCGUCGUCACCGCCCCCGAGCCGCUCCUCCCAGAGCCCUCGCUGUGCGCGUACCCCUCCCCCAAGAGCCCACCGUCCUCGUCGCCGUCAUCGUCACCGGCCUCGUCGUCGUCCUCGUCACCGGCCUCGUCGUUGUCCGGCCUUGAGCCCCCAGUGAGCCCCUUCCAAUCCCGAUCCGUGCACUGCCGCAGCUGCCGCCGCCCCCCCGCGCCGCGCCGCCGCCCCUGUUUUUUAUAUGUAUGUAUGUAUGUAUCUAUGUAUAUGGAUGUAUGUAUGUACGGAUGGAUGGAUAUGCAUGUAUAUGGAUGGAUGUAUGUGUAUGUGUUCAUAGUUUUUUUUUGUUCAUAGUUUUUUGUUGAUAGCAUUUUUAGGCUGUAUAGUUUUAUUUUUGUUCAAUUUUUAUGGUUAGAAGAGGAGAGGAAAAAAUUGUGUUGCUAAAGUUACAUUUAAGGUUAGUUGAUUUAGUUCAUUUUAGGUUAUUAGUUCUACUGUUAGUGCAUUUAAGGUUAGUUUAUUUUUAGUUGAACUAGUUGAUUUAAUAAAACUAAUUUAUUUUACUAUACAUAUAAGUAGUUUAUUUUUAGUAAGUACUACUUUAUUUUAUUUAUAGUAAGUGCUUAGUAGUUGAACUAGUUGAUUUAAUAAAACUACUUUAUUUUACUAUAGAAGUAGUUUAGUUUUAGCAAGAAAAUUAAUAGAAUUAGUUUAUUUUUUAGUUCAAGCAAUUAUUCCCGCAUCGACAUCGACGAUGCCUAUCCCGCAUCCUCGUCGUCGACUCGGCGGAGGAGGCCGACUUGAUCAGAGGGGCCAUGUCCGGGACUGGGCUCCGCCGGGCUGGUAUUGGGAGGUGCUACCUUCCGGGGGGCGUAGGUUGGUGAGGAGCCAGCCCGUCGUUGACCCGAUCCUUGUUUGGUGGCGGUCGCGUGGGCCAGUGACUGUAUCGAGGCUUCCGGACACCGCGGAGGUGGUACGUCACCAUGUCAGCGAGGAGGACGAGCACGCCCGUCGCUACAUGGUUGCGUUGGAGGGCAGGUUCGACAAUACCUGGCAGCUUCUUCAGGGAUCUCAUUGGAGCUAUGAUCAUGUGAUGGUUCCUUCUCUUUGGGCAUCCACCGCCCGCGCCGAUACCCGUCGGGCGCUACGGUUCUAGCUGUACUAGCGAUGCUAUAUGUAUGAUAGUAUUCGAGGUGUAUUAGUGAUAAUAUUCGACGAUGUACGGACGCAAGAGAUGAUGUAGUUUUGCUUAUAAUUGAAUGCAUCCUAAUUUGAAUACUACUUUAUUUUGCGAUCUGAUUUUGCUUAUUGAAUGCUCAAAUUGGAAAACUACUCCUACUUUGAAUGCUAAAAUUAGAGAGCACUAUGCAAGGCGUAUGCAUAUGAUUAGUUGAUAGCUUAUAGUGUUUUUGUUUUCGCAAAAAUAUAGGAGCCCCCAACCAUCAUCCCCGCCGUCGUCCCCGUCACUGACCCCCUCCGACGUCGAGGUGAGACCAGCCAAAUCUCCAUGUCAAUAUGAGUCCUAUAAUAUGAGUCCUCGGGUCGACUUUAAGUCUGUCGAGUCUCCACCAUAUAUGAAAGGACGAAGAAUCAUGACUGUUGUCGUGGGGGUAGCUUCUCCUUCGUUCCCGUGAUGAAUAAUAAUGAUCUAACUUAGGUUUUUAGUACAUAUAUUUAAUUGUAGAUGUUUAAUAUUUGAAUUAUGAACAUAGGAAAUGUCGUACUCAGACUACGAAAGUCUCCCGGGGGAGUGCGACUGGUGCCACGACGACCGAGGUUAGUGCGACCGGCCUCACCUGGACGAAGAUCAGCGCUUCAGCAUUAAGCUGGAGGAGACCUUCGAUGUUGAAACGGUACGCAACGACGACAAGUGUUAUUUUUUCGUAAUUAAGCACGACUUCAAGUAUUUCAACGUGUACUUCUUAUCUUUUACAAUUCGACUAGCUUAUCCCAUGCCAUGCAAGACGCUAUGUCUUGGAGAGGAUGGGUUUUGAAGACCAGGAAAGUUUCGAAACAAAGAAAAUUCAUCUAAGGACCCAUCAUGGUGUGGAUUUUGAAGUAAAGCGGUACAAUUCUGAGAGCGUAACCCAUUUUGGUUGCAAAAAAUGAGAAGCACUUUGCAAGAUGUAUGGUUUUGAUGAGGGUAUGCUUGUCACCAUUGAUCUUGGUGACCCUGAAAUCGAGCAAGACAAUAUGGACAUUUGGGUCCUUGUUGAUACGCCUCCAAUUCUACCGCUAUGUGAGUUUCUCAAACAUAGUUAUUAGCUAAUUUAUAUUGUUUAUUUCAAAAUAGUUGACAACUUAUUUCCAUUGACAGCUUAUUUUGAUUGUUCAAACAAUGUGCGGAACAUGGUAGACAAAACCCACUACACCGAUGGCUCCGAAUUAACUUAUCAGGAGAAAAAUCAUCUGGUCUGAUUUUGUACUGAUAUUGAGAAUUACAAUAUCUAGAAUCAAACUCCUCAACAUUAUUGUCAAUACGUGCCACUAGUGCACGUGUUGAACUACAGUAACUACCAUGGAGAUACCCUGGUAAGAUUUUUUACUAUUACGACAUCCGUGCAUCUUUUGCAUACUUCUAAAACUAGUACAUCAUUGCUAACUAUGAAGUUAUUACUAUGUUUUUCAACAGAGAAUCCCAGAGGAUUGUGUGCCUCAUUUGAUGUAGCAGAAUGGCAGCCUUCGUGUUUUGAACAUAUAUCCAAGUCAUCCAACGAAUCUCAACUGUCCAUACCGGAUUUAUCAAUGAAGUGGAGACAUGCUAAUCAAAAAAUGGAAAAAAUGUAUGGACAGUCGUAAGGAGGUUCUUGGAAGCAAAAGGAAGCGAAGCGUAAGAAUUGGAGACAGGAUGAUCUCCAUUCUCCAUAAUGGAGAGUCAGGGUCUAUAUUGUUUUAUGCUAUUUUACCUUAAAGAGGGUAUUUAGGUCCUACCUAAUACUGAUGAUCAUGUGCUAAGAACAAUUAAGUAGGGCUGGUUCGAUGACUAUGAGGAUGAUGAUCGUAUGACUUGUUAUUAAUAACGAGUAGAAGUUGUAUGAUGAUGAUUAGUAGGACUUGUUAUUAUAUAAGAUGAUGCAUGAUGCGAGCAUGAAGAGUUAUUAUAUAUCAGCGGGUGAAAUGAACAUGGAUUGGAUUGAAGUGAAGGCAACAUGCAUGUGGUGCAUGUCGAAAGUACUACAAUCCAAACUUGAUCAAAGUUAGGAUUAGUAUUACUUUCGACAUGCACCACAUGUUGCCUUCACUUCAAUCUAAGCCAUGUUUAGGCAUAGCAGUAGCGUUGGUAAACCAAGCACGGAGAUAUAAGAGAGGACACUUCUCUCUAUUAUAUUAGCUAGCUAAUAACAACCUAAAUUAACCCCCAAAACCCCUAAAUCAGCCCCUUUAAAAAAACAAAAAGCUCAACUCCAGCCAGCUGCUGACGCGUGGAUGCCUUUUGGUCCCGGUUGGUGUCACCAACCGGGACCAAAGGCCCCCCUGCCUGGGCUGGCCGUAGUGGCCACGUGGAGGCCCAUCUGUCUCGGUUCGUGUAAGAGCCGAGACUAAAGGCCAAGGGCAUUAGUAACGACCUUUUAGUCCCGGUUCCUAAACCGGGACAGAAGGCUCUUACGAACCGGGACAAAUGGCCCUUUUUCUACUAGUGCCGCUCUAAACGCGGCCGCUCGAACUGUUGAGCUUGACUCGAGUCAGAAUCGAGAGCGUUGCCGAUUGCGGAAGGCUAUGUUGCCGUUCUCGACGCGGCCGCUUGAGCUAUUGAGCGGACUCGAAACAGAGUAAGGGCGUUGCCAAUAGCGGAAGGGCCCCUUUGCGUGCAUGUUUUCCAUACAUAGGGCAGGACCUUCGAGUACAAUAACCUUCUAUAUAAAAAGAUAUUGCUUAAAGUUUCACACGACUUAGCUUUUCUGUCAUUGCACGGGCGUCCACCGCAUCUGCAGAUGGUGCCGUCAAGCUUGGUCGUCUUCUAUCUUGGAACGACGGCCACGAUGAAGCCGCUGCUCCGAUCAGACCAAAUUUCCACAACUGCGCCCCCUACCUAGCGCGCCAAAGAUGUCGGGGGAAAUCGACACCUAUGGAAUCACAGGGAUCCCUUCUACGGUUGGCGGGCGCGGGGUUGUGCAAAGAGCAGGUCUGACAGGAAGCACGCAGAUCGUUUACCCAGGUUCGGGCCGCGGAGAUGCGUAAUACCCUAGUCCUGCUAUGGUGGAUGUAUUCGAGUGUUCUUGUGUUCUUGAACUAGCUACGGGGUGUAACUUGCCCAGAAGAUCCGAAUCCCUGUCCUGGAUGCCUCGGGCCUCCUUUUAUAGACAAAAGGGGUUGCCACACUGGCACACAGGAGGUGGAAAGGUGUACAGUGGAUGAGUCUAUCCUCUGGCACCGUUGGACGAACACAUUUAAUGCGCUGCCAACGUGACCCUCUCGCUUUAUCGGGGACGGUCAAGGAAGCUCGUCCCAGCUGUCGCCGCCUCGCCUGGCUUCGACACGCGUCCGAGCUGACGAGGCGUCGUGGCGCCACAUUGGCUGGCUGCUGGGCUGGCGCGGUGGUGGAGCCUUCACGAAGGUCUGCAUGCCACCACGCAGGUGCUUGCUGUGUCGGUGUAGAGGCCGCUCGUCGCCACGCAGGUGCCUGCCCAGCUGGUUGGGCUAGCAGCUGCACGGGGACGGCGGUGGAGUCUUGGCAGGCGCGGGCCUGGCUGUGGCCCCGCUGAUGCCCUUGGCAAGGGUCUUGCCGGGGGCCCGGCAAGGGUCUUGCCGUGGUGCCGCGGUCGUCCCCGGCAAGGCGCUUGCCGGGGGUCUCGUGGAUUUCCUCGGCAAGGACCUCGCCGAGGAUCAUCGUCUUCUGGUCCUCAUCUGAUCUUGUGUAUUUAUGAUCUUCACAAAGAUCAGCAUGCCACCACGGAGGUGCCUCCCGAGCCUUGGUCCCAAUGUGGUUGAUGGCGUUGGAACCCUUGGGCUCAAUGGAGGCGCGCUUCGUUGGCGUCAGGCAAGUUGCCCCGGCAAGGCUCUCGCCGGGGCUGAGGAGGCCGUCCCGGCAAGGGUCUUGCCGGGGGAGUCCACCUCGCCCUCUUGCCCUUUGUGUCUCUGGUCUUGGCAUUGCCAUGGCUGUCUUGUGCUCCGGCUUCCCUCCUCUGCCCUGCUAAGUGUGGCCGUGGGCGCGGCUCUGACUACCAGUGCACAAGUAAAGGGGUCAAAAGGAGAGCCCCUAGUUUUAUACACCGACAUGUAUCCUCCCAGAAUCUCGUAGAAGUACCGUUACUGAUCACAAGCUUUGUCUGAUUGAAAAAAAUGGAUUUAACUCUCAUCAGUCCUUUCCAAAAGGGCUAGUCCAUUGGCCUCACUGUGACCUGGGAUAAAGUUCUGGAAUGAAGGUACUUAUUACGCAGUAUUUGUGCCCAUGUAGCCCCCGUCUCGCUAGAUAGCUUAUACAGCCAUUUGCUGAGAAGACAUAUGUUCUUCACCUUAAGAUUUUUGAUACCUAGACCCCCUUGGUCUUUGGGUCGACAAAUAAUAUCCCAUUUAGCGAGUAUACUUUCUCUUCAGAUCAUCACUUUGCCAGAAGAAACGGGAUCGAUAGAAAUCUAGUCUUUUCCGAACUCCAACUGGUACCUCGAAAAAAGACAAGAGAAACAUGGGCAUGCUCGUGAGAACCGAAUUAAUAAGAAUUAAACGGCCUCCAUAUGACAUGAGUUUGCCAUUCCAGCAACUGAGUUUCUUCUCAAAUCGAUCCUCAGUGCACUUCCAUUCUCUCUUUGUUAGCUUACGAUGGUGAAUUGGUAUGCCCAAUUAAGUGAAAGGCAAAGCCCCCAAUUCGCAUCCGAACAAUUGCUUAUAUGCCUCUUGUUCCUCAUUGGCUCUUCCAAAAUUGUAUAAUUCGCUCUUGUGGAAAUUAAUUUUUAGUCCGGUCAAUUGUUCGAAUAAGCAUAACACCAGCUUCAUAUUUCUCGUUUUUGCCAAGUCAUGGUCCAUGAAGAUGAUAGUAUCAUCGGCGUACUGUAGGACAGACACACCUCCAUCCACUAGAUGAGGUACCACAGGAGAGCACCUGCGAUAAUUAUAUCAUGCCACACGAGUACAAAGGAUGAAGCAUCUUAGACGUUUGGAAUAGAUUUGGGCAUCACAUACGAUUUAUUUUUCCAAAAAGGUAUGCAUGAUUGGGCUCUAUCUGUAGGAGAUAUGCCCUAGAGGCAGUAAUAACAGUUAUUUUGUAUCUCCAAGUUUGUAAUGAAUGUUUAUGAUCCAUGCUAUAACUGCAAUGAUUCUCGAGUCUACAAUAUCCACGAGGCUCGGAGGGAACUCAUAUGCACGUGUGGUAUUAUAAACGGUAAAAUAUAUUCCUAGUCUUGCCUCUAAGACUAGCUCAAGUAUUGCAUGAUGAUCCUGUUUCCUGAUCAUGGGCAUGACUAUGCCGGCAAUUUUGAGGGCACAAGUUUGGUAGAACGCUUGUGUUGAAUCAACCCGGAUUGAUGUUGUGCUAUGAGAUGCCUUCGUCACAAGUUUAUGGUUAAUAUCAUUGAGAUAGUUAAUGUUUGCAUAAUUCCUUAGACCAUGAGAGUAUCAAGUUCCUUCGUGCUUGCUUCGUGAACUUUGGGGUUUGUUAAACGUCAUCCGUAACUUGGUGGCUAUUAUGGCAGCUUUCGGGUUCACGGAAAAGUAUAGGAAGUAACAAGAUAGCUCAAGAUUGGGAUUUGCUCCUCCGACGAUGGAGAGAUAUACUCGGGCCCUCUCAGUGUAACGGUAUCCAUCAUCGUCUGGCCAGACACAUUGUGAUUUGAUCACUGGGAUGCCGGAACACGGAAACGAGAAAAGAGAACAAAACCGGUAACGAGGUAACUUGCAUGGUGGACAAAUUGUUCGUCCAUGGGCAUGCAAUAAAUCUCACCUCGGGUGUUUGUGACAUAUCGCGAAGCAACAGGAAUAGCUCACUACAACUAGAGGUUCACUCGAAUAUUCAUUCGUGUGGGUAUAGGGGUCAAUAUGGGUGUCCACGGCUCCGAUGUUGAUCAUUGAUCGGAAGGGGUUCCAGGUCAUGUCUAUACUUCACCGAACCUAUAGGGUCACACGCUUAGGGGUCAUCUAUCUGUUGAAUACUAGACAGGGAGUCUGAGAGAAAAUCACCGAAAAAGUUUCGGACACCGAAAAGUUUCGGACAGCGGAAUCGUACCGCAGAGAGAGGUCAUCGGAUAAGUUUCGAUGAUACCGAAAAGUUGUUUCGGGAUACACCAUUAAGUCAAAUUGGUUUCGGCACAUGCCUGAUAAUUCUUGGAGGAUGCCAGAAUCAUUCUGGAAGCUUUUUGGAAUUUUCUGACAUAAAAACCGGAAAUGUUCCGGAGCUGCCGGAGCCACUUCAGAUGCGUUUCGCAGAUGAAAAUCACUAAAACCGGAAUUGUUUCGGAACGCGUUGAAAAACAUUUUAGUGGGUACUGGAAAUGUUCUUAGCCCACAUAAAUAUUUUCAGUUCGAUCAGACGCUGAAAAAUGUCGUCGUGAAUAGUGAAAAUCAGCUUUAUGGUUACUUUAUGGAAAGCCACCUUUUGGGGCUUUGCUCCAAAAGAUCUUGGGGAUGACAUGGAUGGAUAGGACCCAUUUUUUGGGCCCCUCAUGGGGGUGUGGCCGGCCACAUGGGGUAUCCCCCCUUGGGGACCCUUUUGUUCAUUGGUUUCACUUCUAGGUCCUUGUGGAAGGACUUCAUUCAUGUGCAUUUUGGGUUUUUGUGUGAAACUACCCUACCCCUUGGGAUUUCCUAUAAAUAGAGGUGGAGGGGCAGCCCUCCACACUCAUCCCUUGCUCUCAUACACAUGCCAUGCAUUAUCUGGCUUCUUCUCUCCCUCCCACGAAAAGAGUUUCGUAGAGCCGUAAGGCUGUCUGGGUUCCGGCAGGAACUAGUUCUGGACGGCGAAGCCCUGCCGGAUAGCUGACACCGUAUGUGUGCAACCCCGUAGAGAGAUUGUAGUUUCGAUCUUUUGCCCGAGGGGCUGUUCGAGUGUCCUCCCGAAGGGCUGUCCGAGUCUCCGUCCGAGUUUCGAGGGUCCUCCCGAAGGGCUGUCCGCGACAUUGUCCGGGGGACUGUCCGACCGCCUCCCGAAGGGCUGUCCGGAGAGGGAGUACAUCCUCGCGGUUGGGAGGUUGUAAAUCCUAGCUGCGGGGAUCUGCACCGACGAUCUACACCGACUCUUCUUCCGCUGCGCUUCGAGUCGGUACGGAUCAGAUCAAACCUUGUAUGCAGUCUCCAUAGUGGUCCUGGGCGUGCUCGCUAUACCGAAAAUUUUCGUUUUCUGUCGCGUUCCCCUACAGUGGCAUCAAGAGCCGUGCUAUGCGUAGAUGCAGGUUACGAUCUAGAAUACAUGGAGAUGUAUGGGUAUUGCAUAAUAUAAUUUUGGAGUAGAUGAGAUGUAUUGCUGAAAAUUAUUUAUGCGGGUGACAGAUGAAAUCUGUUACCCGACGUUCUUGUUGCUUCCCUAGAAUUUGCGUUUGCUCAAUCUCGAGACAGGAUGGUGGAAUUUGACAAAGUUCUGGCAAUCCGUGAUCCUGAUUGAUCAUGGAAGUGCUAUCAGUUCUUUGGGUUCUGCCAUAGUCAAAAGAAAGAUGAAAUUCGCAGAUGAAAGGGCAUUGCAGAUAUGAUCUGCACGGGGGUCAUGCGUAUGACGAAGUUUAGUAUGGGGCUCGAGAUUUAAUUAUCUCGUGUUUCAUACACCCCGAGAUGUUAAUCUAGCAACUUGAAUAAUCAUACUUGAUGAUAAAACGUUGGUAGCUGCGGUUUAAGUCAAAACCUUAGAAGCCACGUAAAAUAAAAUUUUGCAUAAACCGAUUAGAGGCGUCUAACUUGGUUUUGCAGGAUGUGCAUGUGAUGUGGUAUAGCAAUGCUCAUAUUCAAUUUGAUUAUGUAUGAGAUGACUAUAUGAUGUAACUAACAUGACCUGCGUGUCAUGAUUCUGCAUGAUGGCUGGAGCCAUAUGAUUGCACUUUAAUGACCUGCGUGUCAACCUUAAGUAAUGCACUUAUUUUAUUAGCUAUAGAGAUAGCAAUAUUAUCUGGUGCAUCGACAAGGUGGUGGCAAUCUUCGCGAAGGUGAACACCGACGCAAAUGCCGAAGACGAAGAAUUGAAAGACUUCUCCGUCAGAAAGGGCUAUACCAUAUCAUGCUAAUUAUGAAUUGCCUGAGAUGUUUAUCCCCUAUGAUGCACCCUUCUUGAUUGCGCGGUAGUCGCUUUUAUUAGGGUGAUCUCUCACUUAAAAAUAUCAAGUAGAUAGUGUUCUCCCAAGUGUAGCACCGUCACGGCACCUAUCGUUUCGGGGUGCGCCGUGUCACACGGGUACGAACGAUUAGAGAAGUGUGAGGCGGGUGAGUUGAGACCUCGCAGCGAGAUCACUUGGUUGUCUUGACGUUCAGGCAUGACCGUCAUGAGCUCGGAACACACGCAUCGAAAGAUGAACAAGAGUCACAUAGUGAUGUGAUUGGCAAGUUGGCCUACCGGUUAAGAUUUUCGUCAUCAGUGGUGUUACACCAAUGGCGAACAAUCAAGACACGGAUCUUGAAUCACUCAUAAUCAAUUUUGAGAGAUAUUGAUUUGAGUGGGAGUGCAUUUUAGAAUAAAAUGUUUAUUCACUAGUGCAAAUUUCAUUAUAAACAAAGUCUAAGUGAAACUUGUGUCUUCGUUGUAGAUCAAAUGGCUCGCAACACCGCGUUCAACUUAGGCCCGAUGUUAGAGAAAGAGAAGUUAGCUACGACUGGAAACAACUAUGCGGACUGGGCCCGUAACCUGAGGAUUGUCCUCAGGAGCGCUAAGAAAUUGUACGUGCUUGAAACUGCUCUUCCAGCUAAACCGGCGGCAGAUGCACCGGUAGAUGAACAAAAUGUCUGGGCCACUAAGGAUGAUGAUCACAACUUAGUGCAGUGCCUCAUGCUAGCUUGCAUGAGUCCAGGGCUUCAAAAACGUUUUGAAUUCCAUAAAGCCCGUGAUAUGAUCCGGGAAUUGGAUGCUCUGUACAAGGAAACCGCAAAGUCUGAACGAUAUGAUAUCAUGAAGGCUUGGAUGGAUUGCAAGAUGGCUGAGGGUAGUUCAGUUGGCGAACACGUGGUCAAAAUGAUUGGCUAUUCUGAAAGGCUUAAAGCCCUAGAAUUUCCACUUCCACCUGGCCAUAUGAUGGACAUGUUGCUUUCUUCACUCCCCCCGUCUUACGACGGUUUUGUCAUGAACUACAACAUGACAGGGAUGGAGAAGACGCCGAAAGAAGUGCUCGCCAUGCUGAAAACUACAGAAGGAGGACUGCGGAAAAAUCGCAAGUAAGUGUUGCUUGUGAAUAAAACCGCCUGUUUCAAAAAGAAGAAAGGCAAGCCAAAGAAGGGCAAGGGCACCGGUAAGACCGGCUCCCAAAGCAACUCUAAGGGCGGAGCCAAGAAUGAAACUGAGUGCUUCUACUGCAAGGGCACAGGACACUGGAAGAGAAACUGCAAGAAGUAUCUGGAAGAUAAGAAGACCGGGAAAACCGGAAAAGGUAUAAUUGUUAUACAAGUUAAUGUCAUUGACGUUUUGCUUGCUAGCGAAAACUCUAAGUCUUGGGUAUUUGAUACCGGAUCGGUUGCUCACAUUUGCAACUCGAUACAGGGACUUCAGAAGGUGCGCAAGCUAGCAAAGAAUGAAGUCGUGAUGCGCGUCGGGAACGGCGCUGGGAUCGCCGCUCAAGCCGUCGGCAUUAUGCCUCUACGUCUCCCUUCAGGAUUUAUCUUAGAACUAAGUAACUGUUAUUUUGUUCCACUGUUGUGUAGAAACAUUAUCUCCGGAUCAUGUUUGGUACACGAUGGGUAUUCGUACAAGUCUGAGAACAAUGGUUGUUCACUUUAUUGUAAGGAUAUGUUUUAUGGAUUUGCACCCAUUGUUGGGGGCCUUUUCAUACUAAAUCUUGAAUGUGGAAGUGAUGUCUUUAACAUGAAUGCUAAACGCCUUAAGAAGGCUGAUACCACCACCACUUUCAUGUGGCACUGUCGCCUUGGCCACAUCGGUAAGAAACGCAUGCAAAGACUCCAUAAAGAUGGAGUUUUACCGUCCCUUGAUUUUGAAUCAUUUGACACAUGUGAAGCUUGCCUGAUGGGGAAAAUGACCAAGACGCCGUUCACGGGUCAUCCUGAACGGGCGGGUGAAUUAUUGGAAAUAAUACAUAGUGAUGUAUGUGGUCCAAUGAACACAGGCGCACGGGGUGGAUAUUUUUACUUCGUGACUUUUACUGAUGAUUUGAGUAGGUAUGGCUAUAUCUACUUAAUGAAGCAUAAAUCGGAAACCUUUGAAAAGUUCAAAGAAUUUCAGAAUGAGGUAGAAAAUCAUCGUAACAAAAAGAUUAAGUUUCUGCGGUCUGAUCGCGGAGGCGAAUAUCUUAGUCAUGAGUUUGGCCAACAUCUGAGUGAUCGUGGAAUCGUUUCACAGCUUACGCCUCCCGGAACUCCACAGAGAAAUGGAGUAUCGGAACGACGUAACCGAACCUUGUUGGACAUGGUAAGGUCAAUGAUGUCUCUUACAAAUCUUCCAAUAUCUUUUUGGGGUCACGCACUACUUACUGCUGCUCACACACUAAACAAAGCACCGUCUAAAUCUGUUGAGACGACGCCACAUGAGAUGUGGCACGGGAAGAAACCCGACCUGUCGUUUUUCAAAAUUUGGGGUUGUGAAGCUUAUGUAAAACGUUUACAGCCAAGCAAGCUUGAUCCCAGAUCAGACAAAUGUUACUUUGUAGGUUAUCCCAAGGAGACAGUUGGGUAUUCUUUCUACCACGCCUCCGAGAAUAAAGUGUUUGUUGCAAAACAUGGAGUCUUUCUUGAGAAAGAGUUUCUCACUAAAGAAGUGAGUGGGAGGACAAUACAACUCAAUGAGAUUAGUGAAUCUUCGGGAACCGUUGAUAUGGCUAAGGAACCGGAAGAAAUUCCGCUAAUUAUCCCUACAACCGAGCCGGAAGUUGUCGCAUGUGAUGCGGAGACUUCAGACAAUGUUGUAACUGAACCGCGCAGAUCAGGUAGGGCUAUCCAGCCACCUGAGUGGUUUCAUAACGAAAUCUUCAUUCUUGAAGACGAUGAACCUGCGCACUACAAGGAAGCGAUGGCGGGGCCCAGCUCAAAAGAAUGGCACAAAGCCAUGAGAUCCGAAAUGGAAUCCAUGUACGAAAACCAAGUUUGGAACUUGGAAGAACUUCCAGAAGGCAUAAAGCCCAUUGGUUGUAAAAUGGAUUUUCAAAAGAAAGACGGACGCGGAUGGUAACAUUACUAUCCACAAAGCUAGACUUGUCGCGAAAGGGUUCACACAAGUUCCAGGAGUGGACUACGACGAGACUUUCUCGCCAGUAGCUAUGCUUAGGUCUGUUCGGAUAUUGCUAGCAAUUGCUGCUUAUUUCGACUAUGAAAUAUGGCAGAUGGAUGUCAAAACGGCUUUCCUAAAUGGAAACCUCAAAGAGGAUGUAUACAUGAUACAGCCAGAAGGUUUUGUCAUUCAUGAGGAUGCUGGAAAGGUAUGCAAACUUCAGAAAGCCAUUUAUGGUCUGAAGCAAGCAUCAAGGAGCUGGAACAUUCGUUUUGAUGAAGUGGUCAAAGAGUUUGGCUUCAUCAUGAAUGAUGAAGAAUCUUGUGUUUACAAGAAGUUUAGUGGGAGCGCAAAAGCAUUUCUAAUCUUGUAUGUGGAUGACAUAUUGUUGAUUGGAAAUGACGUGAAUUUUCUUAGCGAAAUAAAAGACUCAUUGAAGAAAAGUUUUUCAAUGAAAGACUUAGGCGAAGCGGCAUAUGUAUUAGGCAUCAGGAUCUAUAGAGAUAGAUCAAAACGCCUGAUAGCGCUUAGCCAAAGCACGUACAUUGACAAGGUGUUGAAAAGGUUCAACAUGGAGAACUCCAAGAAAGGCCUACUCCCCAUGUCACCUGGCACAGUGCUUUGCAAGAAUCAGAGUCCUCGGACUCUGGAUGAGCGAGUACAAAUGAAUGAUGUUCCAUAUGCCUCGGCAGUUGGUUCUAUUAUGUAUGCCAUGCUAUGUACAAGACCAGAUGUUUCCUAUGCGCUAAGUGUUAGCAGCCGGUACCAAAGUGAUCCAGGGUUGGAACACUGGGCCGCAGUCAAGGGUAUUCUUAAGUACCUCAGAAGGACCAAGGAUUUACUCCUUGUGUACGGAGGUGAUGAAGAGCUCAUUGUAAGUGGUUACAAUGAUGCAGGCUUCAUGACUGACCCAGAUGACUUCAAAUCUCAAUCAGGCUACGUUUUCAUAUUGAACGGCGGCGCAGUUGAUUGGAAAAGUUCCAAACAAAAGACUGUGGCGGAUUCUACGACGGAGGCGGAAUAUGUUGCUGCUUCAGAAGCCUCCAAGGAGGCGGUAUGGAUCAAACAAUUUCUUGAAGACCUUGGUGUGGUUCGUAGUGCCCAGGACCCGGUGGAGAUCUAUUGUGAUAAUAGUGGCGCCGUGGCUCAGGCAAGGGAGCCAAGUUCGAACCAUAAGACAAGACAUAUUCAACGCAAAUAUAAACUCAUUCGACAUCAUGUCGAAGAGGGUUUAGUGAAAGUACGCAAAGUUCACACGGAUCUGAACGUGUCAGACCCGAUGACAAAGCCUCUACCACGAGCAAAACAUGAGCAACACCGGAUAGCCAUUGGUGUUAGGGAAGCCAUGUAACUGGAUUAUGACUCUAGUGCAAGUGGGAGUCUGUAGGAGAUAUGCCCUAGAGGCAGUAAUAACAGUUAUUUUGUAUCUCCAAGUUUGUAAUGAACGUUUAUGAUCCAUGCUAUAACUGCAAUGAUUCUCGAGUCUACAAUAUCCACGAGGCUCGGAGGGAACUCAUAUGCACGUGUGGUAUUAUAAACGGUAAAAUAUAUUCCUAGUCUUGCCUCUAAGACUAGCUCAAGUAUUGCAUGAUGAUCCUGUUUCCUGAUUAUGGGCAUGACUAUGCCGGCAAUUUUGAGGGCACAAGUUUGGUAGAACGCUUGUGUUGAAUCAACCCGGAUUGAUGUUGUGCUAUGAGAUACCUUCGUCACAAGUUUAUGGUUAAUAUCAUUGAGAUAGUUAAUGUUUGCAUAAUUCCUUAGACCAUGAGAGUAUCAAGUUCCUUCGUGCUUGCUUCGUGAACUUUGGGGUUUGUUAAACGUCAUCCGUAACUGGGUGGCUAUUACGGCAGCUUUCGGGUUCACGGAAAAGUAUAGGAAGUAACAAGAUAGCUCAAGAUUGGGAUUUGCUCCUCCGACGAUGGAGAGAUAUACUCGGGCCCUCUCGGUGUAACGGUAUCCAUCAUCGUCUGGCCAGACACAUUGUGAUUUGAUCACUAGGAUGCCGGAACACGGAAACGAGAAAAGAGAACAAAACCGGUAACGAGGUAACUUGCAUGGUGGACAAAUUGUUCGUCCAUGGGCAUGCAAUAAAUCUCACCUCGGGUGUUUGUGACAUAUCGCGAAGCAACAGGAAUAGCUCACUGCAACUGGAGGUUCACUCGAAUAUUCAUUCGUGUGGGUAUAGGGGUCAAUAUGGGUGUCCACGGCUCCGAUGUUGAUAAUUGAUCGGAAGGGGUUCCAGGUCAUGUCUAUACUUCACCGAACCUAUAGGGUCACACGCUUAGGGGUCAUCUAUCUGUUGAAUACUAGACAGGGAGUCUGAGAGAAAAUCACCGAAAAAGUUUCGGACACCGAAAAGUUUCGGACAGCGGAAUCGUACCGCAGAGAGAGGUCAUCGGAUAAGUUUCGAUGAUACCGAAAAGUUGUUUCGGGAUACACCAUUAAGUCAAAUUGGUUUCGGCACAUGCCUGAUAAUUCUUGGAGGAUGCCAGAAUCAUUCUGGAAGCUUUUUGGAAUUUUCUGACAUAAAAACCGGAAAUGUUCCGGAGCUGCCGGAGCCACUUCAGAUGCGUUUCGCAGAUGAAAAUCACUAAAACCGGAAUUGUUUCGGAACGCGUUGAAAAACAUUUUAGUGGGUACUGGAAAUGUUCUUAGCCCACAUAAAUAUUUUCAGUUCGAUCAGACGCUGAAAAAUGUCGUCGUGAAUAGUGAAAAUCAGCUUUAUGGUUACUUUAUGGAAAGCCACCUUUUGGGGCUUUGCUCCAAAAGAUCUUGGGGAUGACAUGGAUGGAUAGGACCCAUUUUUUGGGCCCCUCAUGGGGGUGUGGCCGGCCACAUGGGGUAUCCCCCCUUGGGGACCCUUUUGUUCAUUGGUUUCACUUCUAGGUCCUUGUGGAAGGACUUCAUUCAUGUGCAUUUUGGGUUUUUGUGUGAAACUACCCUACCCCUUGGGAUUUCCUAUAAAUAGAGGUGGAGGGGCAGCCCUCCACACUCAUCCCUUGCUCUCAUACACAUGCCAUGCAUUAUCUGGCUUCUUCUCUCCCUCCCACGAAAAGAGUUUUGUAGAGCCGUAAGGCUGUCUGGGUUCCGGCAGGAACUAGUUCUGGACGGCGAAGCCCUGCCGGAUAGCUGAAACCGUAUGUGUGCAACCCCGUAGAGAGAUUGUAGUUUCGACCUUUUGCCCGAGGGGCUGUUCGAGUGUCCUCCCGAAGGGCUGUCCGAGUCUCCGUCCGAGUUUCGAGGGUCCUCCCGAAGGGCUGUCCGCGACAUUGUCCGGGGGACUGUCCGACCGCCUCCCGAAGGGCUGUCCGGAGAGGGAGUACAUCCUCGCGGUUGGGAGGUUGUAAAUCCUAGCUGCGGGGAUCUGCACCGACGAUCUACACCGAUUCUUCUUCCGCUGCGCUUCGAGUCGGUACGGAUCAGAUCAAACCUUGUAUGCAGUCUCCAUAGUGGUCCUGGGCGUGCUCGCUAUACCGAAAAUUUUCGUUUUCUGUCGCGUUCCCCUACACUAUCGCAGCCGGUUAACUUGCGUUGUGUGUGAUGGACACCCUUUUCGCACACCUUCACACAGCGAUGCAUCAAAGGUACGUGAGCAAAAGGGGUUUUUAACCGUUUGUGUUGGACUUGCGUGCACUAGUGUGACAUGCGUUACUUAACCUAGCUUUUGUUUAGUUUAGUUAAAUUUCAAGUAGUUUUUUAUGUAACUUGUUAAAUUUUAUCAUAUAUGCAUAUAUGUAAUAUAUCGUACUAGGUUUAUUUUCAUUCGUAAUUCAUUUGAAAUGUGUUCCGAACCGGGGGGUGGUAGUUAAAUGCAGAAAAAACACCACAAUAGCCAUCUCAUUAGCAAAAACAACCACUUUACAAUUUGUGGCAAAAAGGACGACACGCAACAACGGACAGUGGCAAAAGAGCCGGUCGGGACCGGCUCUUUCAAAAUGUGGGGUCCCACUCACCCACUCACUCUCUCACUCACCAGCUCUCGCUCACACUCGACGCCGGUGCCGCUCCUGCUUGACGCUGCCACACAAUGCAUUCAUGGAAUGACGAAGAGGAGAGCAGCAAGGAUGCCCUCAAGUACAGCAGCAUGGAUAUGGAUUUGUGGGUAAGUUUCAGCGCUCAAUAACUAGACGUUUGGAUUAGGGUUAGUGUUUGGAUUUGGGGAUUUAGGGUUUGUGCUCGUUUCCAGCCUUAUUGAAAGGAUUUGUUAGUUAAUUUAGAUAUUGUCAAUGCAGGAGAACCCUGAGACCAUUGUGAAUUCAUUUUACUAUGGGACAGUGGCAUUUUCGGCCAUCAAAUCCAAGCUUUACCAGGCAAGAGCCAAAAAAUCUGUUGGUUUUGGUGACAGACACUAGGAGGAAACUUUAUGGCUGCACUGCACAAGUACUCCCUCCGUCCUAUAUUAAUUGAGCUAAAAUGGAUGUAUCUAGUACAUAUGGAUACUUUCAUUUCAACAACAAUUAAUAUGGGACGGGGCAGUAAUUUUAACUUGCCUUGCUGUUUCACCACUUUGCUCUGUAGCUGUUUGAUUUCGCUGUGUAGUUAUCUAUGUAGUGACGAGUCAUCUGAACUUAGUUGUAUCUUGUUCAUUUUGACUGGAUUAAACUUAGUCUUGCUGCUAUUAAAGGUUAGUCUGUAAUUUAGUAAAUCGAAAUUUAACUGAAUUUUGUUGUUCAAGUUCAGUAUGUAGUUUAGUGAAUCAGAAUUUAACGGAAUAUUGUUUUUCAAGUCCAGUCUGUAGCUUGCUGAAUAUGUAUUGUACUGAUUGUUGUUACUCAAGUUCAGUAUGUAGUUAAGUCAAUCUAAAUUGUAGUGUCAUCAUGUAGUAAAAUAGGUAGUAUAUGUGAAAGAAAUAGGCUUGAUUUAUUGUUGUGUAGUUUUGGAAACAAUAAAUUUUGAGAUACUUUUGUCUGUCUGAACAAUAUGUCACUAGUAGAAAACAGGGCUUUGGUUCGGCUAGAAAAGAGCAUUAAUCCCGGUUGCAUUACGAACCGGGACUAAUGUGAGCAUUAGUCCCGGUUCGAGUGGCUAGGGCACCGUACAAGCAUUAGUCCCGGUUCAAAUGGGACCUUUAGUCCCGGUUGGUGCCACGAACCGGGACUAAAGGGUGCGAUGCCCAUUAGUACCGGUUCGUGGCACCAACCGGUACUAAAGGUUAGACCUUUAGUCCCGGUUCGAGCCACCAACCGGUACUAAUGGGGUUUGAGGCAUUAGUACCUGUUCAUGGCACGAACCGGUACUAAAGGUCCCAUUGUCAAACUCUACCCCCACCCUGGAUCGCCUUUUCAGUUUUGUAAAAAGCAAAGAAAAUGAUAAAAACUUCAAAAAUUAAAAUCCUUCCAGAUGUAUAGUUAUGUUACUACAUGUACUAGUUAGGAAAAUUUAAAAACUUAAAUUUGGACAUGUUUUGCAAAAAGUGUAGGAAAAAUGUAAAACGGCUAUAACUUUUGCAUACGAUGUUAGAAAAAAAGUAUAAUAUAUCAAAAUGUUCAGCACGAAAAUCCGAAUCCGAUUUUGACCGCAUAUGACCCGUUUGCAAAUGUUUAGAAUCCUCAAAUUCUAAAAGGAAAAAAAGUUAUGCUCAAAUUUCUGUUUUUUUUAAUUUUUGUUAAAUCUGGUCAAACUACUUAUUCAAGAAGUAUUAAUGUUACUAAAUAAAUAUUCAAGAAUAUUAGUGUUACUAAAUAAUUAUUUCAGUUUUUUUGAAUUUUCGUCAAAUCUGGUCAAACUAUGGUCAAACUAAUUAUUCAAGAAAUAUUAGUGUUACUAAAUAAUUAUUUCGGUUGUUUUGAAUUUUGGUCAAAUCUGGUCAAACUGUGGUCAAACUGUGGUCGAACUAUGGUCAAACUACUUAUUCAAGAAAUAUUAGUGUUACUAAAUAAUUAUUGUUUUUUAGAACAAUAGUUUCAAACUCAAACAGUGAAAUGUGUGACUUCAUGCUCAAGCUAAGUUCCUGGGGGUUAAUAGGAUUGACAUCUUACUAUUGUCAGGAAAACAACAAGUGCAGACUUGGAAACGAGGGAGAAUAGAACCCGGAAGUUAAGCGUGCUCAGGCUGGAGUAGUGAGAGGAUGGGUGACCGUCCGGGAAGUUAGAUGAUUUGGAAUGAUGAGGGGUGAUUAGGGGUGACAAGUUUUUGAUUACUUGUCCGGUAAGUAUACGAAUUAGAAACCGAGUCGGUUUGGGAUUGUGGUCGCGACACAAUACCGCCUCUGGUCCUAAUAUAUAUACAGCUACCGGCUGCGGCCAGAGACACACCGAAAAACACCUAGGGUUUUGCCUCAUCUCACAACCUGCGCCGCCAUUGUAGUCUACUCCAUCCCAAACGCCGGCGUGCAUCGACGCGUGGGAGAGCAGGUCUCCGGAACCGUUCGUCUUUGCGAUCCUGCACCGGGAGAGGACGAAUUAGGUUUAUGGGAAGCGUUGUGCGCGACUGCUCAAAUUCGUCAUCACGGGUCGUCUUCCGUCCAAGUCGGGCGGUGCUACUCAUCGUCGUAUUCAUCGCCGUCAGCAGCAGAUCGUCACCAACAUCGUCAUCAACACUGUCACACCCUUAAUAGCUAACGAUCAGUACGUCCGACAUCCUCUGUUCAUGUCUGCUUCUACAGCUAUUGUUACGUGUUUGCUGCUGUUAUGCAUGUCUUGCUGUUCUUCUAGUUUGCUAGAUUAUUGCAUGCUAGUAUCUCUUCUAGUCAUGAAUUAUUUACUGGAAUCAAUCAUGAACUUGCCUAAUAUUCCAACAAUCCAAAAACCUAAUUAUAGGCAAUUUCCUGAGUUAACUAUGGCUGGAUUCGCUGAUGCACUGAGGCCGGAUAAGUUUACCGGUGUGCACUUUAAGAGGUGGCAGUUGAAGACCACGCUCUGGCUUACUGGUCUGAAAGUUUUCCACGCUAGUGUUGGUGCUCCAGAGGGAAUGACCGACGAAGAUCGGAGAAAAUUCCAGGAAGCCAAUACUAUGUUUGUGGGAUGCAUUCUGAGUGUUCUUGCUGACUGUCUGUGUGAUGUGUACAUGCACAUAAAUGACGGAAAGAUUCUGUGGGAUGCACUGAAUGCAAAAUUCGGUGCAACAGAUGCAGGCAGUGAACUGUACAUCAUGGAGAGUUUUCAUGACUACAAGAUGGUGAAUAACCGUUCUGUGGUUGAACAAGCUCAUGAGAUACAGUGCAUUGUGAAGGAACUUGAACUCCUUAAAUGUGUUCUACCUGACAAAUUCGUGGCUGGGCGCAUGAUUGCAAAGUUGCCUCCUUCAUGGAGGAAUUUCGCCACAACUCUGAAGCAUAAGAGACAGGAGAUAUCAGUUGAAAAUCUGAUUGCAUCUCUUGAUGUUGAAGAAAAAGCUCGGGCUAAAGAUACUACUGAAAAAGGAGGUGAGGUUCAGCCUACUGCUAACAUGGUGCAGAGGUACCCACAGAACAAGAACAAAGGGAAGAACAAACCUGUUUUCAACAAGCCUACCAAGACUACUACCUUCAAGAAGAAGAAGUUCAACAAGGCUGAGCUAGAGUGCUACGCCUGUGGGAAGCCUGGACACUUUUCCAAGGAAUGCCCUGAACAUGCAGACCGCAGAGGGAAAAUAAGCUCCAAGACUGUCAACAUGGUGACCGCUAGCAAUACUGAUGGGUAUGGUAAUUUACCUAUUGUGCUUUCAGUAUUUCAAUCAUCUUCGUGGUGGAUUGAUUCGGGUGCUAACGUUCAUGUGUGUGCUGACAUCUCCCUAUUUACUUCUUAUCAGGUCGCAAGGGAUUCUUCCGUCCUAAUGGGGAAUGGGUCACAUGCUUCGGGAAAGAUCGUGCAACUAAGGAACGUGCAGCAUGUCCCUACUAUGAACAAGAAUCUAGUUAGCGUCUCCCUUCUAUGUCGAGAUGGAUUUAAGGUAGUUUUAGAGUCCAAUAAAGUAAUCGUGUCAAGAUUUGGACAAUUUAUAGGAAAAGGCUACGAGUGUGGAGGCUUGUUCCGCUUUUCUCUUUCAGAUUUUUGCAAUAAGUCAAUAAACCAAAUUUGUGCUAGUGAUAAUGAUGAUGCAAGUAUUUGGCACUCUCGUUUAUGUCAUAUUAAUUUUGGUUUAAUGUCUCGGCUAUCCAGCAUGAGUUUAAUUCCGAACUUCAGAGUUGCCAAAGGUUCUAAGUGCCAUAGUUGUGUGCAAUCUAUGCAACCUCGAAAGCCUCAUAAGGCCGCCGAGGAGAGAAACUUGGCACCUCAAGAACUCAUACAUUCUGAUCUUUGUGAGAUGAAUGGUGUGUUGACAAAAGGUGGAAAGAGAUAUUUCAUGACUUUGAUUGAUGAUGCGACUAGAUUUUGCUAUGUUUAUUUGUUGCAAACUAAAGAUGAAGCAUUAGACUACUUUAAAAUCUAUAAAGCUGAAGUUGAAAAUCAACUAGAGAGAAAGAUCAAGCGUCUUAGGUCCGAUCAUGGUGGAGAGUAUUUUCCAAAAGUUUUUGAUGAAUUUUGUGAGGAACAUGGUAUUAUUCAUGAGAGGACGCCUCCCUAUUCACCUCAAUCAAAUGGAGUGGCCGAGAGGAAAAACCGCACAUUGACUAACUUGGUGAAUGCCAUGUUAGACACUGCUGGUUUAUCUAAGGCAUGGUGGGGGGAGGCUCUAUUGACUUCAUGUCAUGUCCUGAAUAGAGUUCCCAACAAUAAUAAGGAGAAAACCCCUUAUGAGGAGUGGGUUGGGAGAAAACCAUCACUUUCUUAUUUGCGCACUUGGGGAUGUUUGGCAAAGGUCAAUAUUCCUAUUCCUAAGAAACGCAAACUUGGACCAAAGACAGUGGAUUGUGUCUUUCUAGGGUAUGCUCAACGGAGCAUUGCUUAUAGGGUUUUAGUGGUAAAAUCUGAAGUUCCUGAUAUGCAUGUUGAUACUAUAAUGGAAUCUCGUGAUGCAACAUUUUUUGAGAACAUAUUUCCUAUGAAAGAUAUGCAUAGCAUUGCUAGAUUUUCUUCUGAGAUAAUUCCUGUAUCUAGUACAACUGAUGAAUAUUUCGAACAAUCACAUGAGGAAGUCCUUGAGAAGGAUAACAAUGAAGUUCCUAGAAGGAACAAGAGACAAAGGAUUGCAAAAUCCUUUGGUGAUGAUUUCAUUGUAUACCUUGUGGACGACACACCCAAGACGAUUGCAGAAGCAUAUGCAUCUCCGGAUGUAGAUGAUUGGAAAGAAGCUGUUCAUAAUGAGAUGGACUCAAUUAUUUCUAAUGGAACUUGGGAACUAACUGAUAGACCAUAUGGUUGUAAACCUGUGGGCUGUAAGUGGGUGUUCAAAAAGAAGCUCAAGCCUGAUGGUACUAUUGAUAAGUACAAGGCGCGGCUAGUGGCCAAGGGCUACACUCAGAAAGAAGGCGAAGAUUACUUUGACACCUAUUCACCCGUUGCUAGAAUGACCACCAUUCGAGUGUUACUUUCCUUGGCUGCCUCUUAUGGUCUUAUCAUUCAUCAAAUGGAUGUAAAGACAGCUUUUCUCAAUGGAGAGUUGGAAGAGGAGAUCUAUAUGGAUCAGCCUGACGGGUUUGUGGUUAAGGGUGAAGAGAGAAAGGUGUGCAAGUUGUUAAAAUCUUUGUAUGGUCUGAAACAGGCACCUAAGCAAUGGCAUGAGAAGUUUGAAAGAACUCUGACUUCUGCAGGAUUUGUCAUUAACGAGGCUGAUAGGUGUGUUUACUAUCGCCAUGGUGGGGGCAAUAGUGUCAUAUUAUGUUUGUAUGUGGACGACAUACUGAUCUUUGGUACAAACAUUAAUGCAAUUAAUGAGGUCAAGUCUUUUCUAUCAAAAAGUUUUGACAUGAAAGAUCUGGGAGAAGCCGAUGUAAUUCUAAACAUCAAACUUAUUAAGGAUGAGAGUGGGAUUACAUUAACGCAAUCUCACUAUGUUGAGAAGGUCUUGAACCGAUUCGGUUUUAUGGAUAGCAAGCCUUCUCCAACACCUUAUGAUCCCAGCGUGACACUCAGAAAGAACAAGAAAGAAACGAGAGAUCAAUUAAGAUACUCUCAAAUUGUCGGUUCACUCAUGUACUUAGCUAGCGCUACAAGACCAGAUAUCUCUUUUGCUGUGAGCAAACUGAGUAGGUUCAUGUCCAACCCGGGUGAUGAUCAUUGGCAUGCACUAGAAAGGGUCUUACGCUAUCUGAGAGGUACUAUGAGUUACGGAAUUACUUAUUCAGGGCAUCCUGCUGUGCUAGAAGGAUAUAGUGAUUCAAAUUGGAUCUCCGAUGUUGAUGUACUUUACGCAACAAGUGGGUAUGUAUUUACUCAUGGUGGUGGCGCAGUGUCAUGGAGGUCUUGCAAGCAAACCAUAUUGACGAGGUCAACUAUGGAAGCAGAAUUAACUGCUUUGGACACAGCUACUGUUGAGGCAGAAUGGCUGCGUGAGCUCUUGAUGGACUUGCCGAUUGUUGAAAAACCUGUACCGGCUAUUCUUAUGAAUUGUGAUAACCAAACGGUUAUCGCUAAAGUGAACAAUUCUAAAGAUAAUGCAAAGUCAUCAAGACACGUGAAAAGACGUUUGAAGUCUGUCAGGAAGUUGAGAAACUCCGGAGUAAUAACUGUUACAUAUAUACAAACAGACAAAAACCUGGCAGAUCCCUUUACAAAGGGACUAUCACGAAAUGUGAUAGAUAUUGCAUCGAGGGAGAUGGGUAUGAGACCCAUAGAUGUUACACCAUAGUACUAACCCAACCUUUGUGAUCGGAGAUCCCGUGAAUUAGGAUCUGGGAAGAACAAGCUAUUGGUUAACUGAGGAGAGUAAUAACUUAUGAUCGUCUCCAAGUGAAGAUGCAAAACUCUCAGAGCUGUAAAGCUCAGAUCUGUAAGGCAGGUUGGCAACAUGCCUUAAUGUGGUUCUAUUGGCUAUAAUUAGCAAAGAUGCUGUCCUACAGAGCAGUCUUGAAAGAACACACCUAUAUGAGUUCUGACUGUAAACGUCGCAGUCUAUGAGAUUUGGGUGAUCUCUAGUAAGCUCACGAAGAGACAAGGGAGUAUGACGUAUAAGCUCCAAACCGCGGGGUAGCCUACUGACGUAUAAGCUUCCUUUUGCCGUUUUAUUUUUAUGUCUUGGCAUACAAGUUUUUUAUUACUUGUCCGGUAAGUAUACGAAUUAGAAACCGAGUCGGUUUGGGAUUGUGGUCGCGACACAAUACCGCCUCUGGUCCUAAUAUAUAUACAGCUACCGGCUGCGGCCAGAGACACACCGAAAAACACCUAGGGUUUUGCCUCAUCUCACAACUUGCGCCGCCAUCGUAGUCUACUCCAUCCCAACGCCGGCGUGCAUCGGCGCGUGGGAGAGCAGGUCUCCGGAACCGUUCGUCUUUGCGAUCCUGCACCGGGAGAGGACGAAUUAGGUUUUUGGGAAGCGCUGUGCGCGACUGCUCAAAUUCGUCAUCACGGGUCGUCUUCCGUCCAAGUCGGGCGGUGCUACUCAUCGUCGUAUUCAUCGCCGUCAGCAGCAGAUCAUCGCCAAUAUCGUCAUCAACACUGUCGCACCCAUAUAGCUAACGAUCAUUACGUCCGACAUCCUCUGUUCAUGUCUGCUUCUACAGCUAUUGUUACGUGUUUGUUGUUGUUAUGCAUGUCUUGCUGUUCUUCUAGUUUGCUAGAUUAUUGCAUGCUAGUAUCUCUUCUAGUCAUGAAUUAUUUACUGGAAUUAAUCAUGAACUUGCCUAAUAUUCCCACAGACGCAAUAAUUGUUUUCGGGAUUUUGAAUAAAUCAGAAAAUGAUUUGUUUAAUUCCGAAAAUACUCCAAAAUUUGGAAAAUCAUGGAAAAUAAUCUGUAACUCAGAUGGAGAUAAUUUAUAUAUGAAAAAUUAUCAGGAAAAUAUGAAGAAUCUAUUUAUAGCAUUUUCAUGUAUGUUUGAACAAGUUAAGUUUUCUGUAUAAGACAAUUUGAAUAAAUGUCAUUUUAAAUUCUUAUGUGGAGUUUGAAUUUGAACCUUUGGUUCAAACCAACUUUAUUUAAAUUGUUGCUAGUUGCAUUAGUCCAAACACCAGCAUGCCAUGUCAUGAUCAUGCAUCAUACUGCUGCAUUGCAUUGAUUGUGUUCCCUCUCUGUUGCCGGUGUUUGUUCCUUCUCGAUAGAAGACGAUUCGGACGUUGUGAUCAUUGACACCGAUGAAGAGCUACUAUCUUCAAAGUGUCAGGCAAGCAAAUCCCCUUUGAGCAUUCUGAUACAAUCCCACUCUCUAACUCUUGCUCUCUUUUACUGCAUUAGGACAACAAUGAUUCAACUGUUACAUGUUGUGGUAGUUGAACCCAUUCCUCUGCAUGAUCUGUCUUUGCCACAGUAAAUAGUAAAACCCACUAGCAUGAGUAGGAGUAUUUUGAGCCAUGAUGUGCCUACUCAUUCAUGCUUGCUUGUUAUACCUGCUAUGCUUAGAGUUGUGUCAGGUUUGAUUCAUCUGGGUUGGCUUGGAAUGGUGAUGAACAUGUCCUACUGCUGAGCUCUAAGUGUGUGAACACGAUUUGGUAAAGGUAGCGAUGAGAGGCAAUGUAGGAGUACAUGGUGGGUUGUCUCGUUGAAAUCGUCCUUAGGAACUGAGUUCCGUGUUUGUGAUCCAAGACAGUUACUACCACACAUCGGGUUUCGAUAACUUGACCCCUCUCGACUUACUAAUCGCCUUGAUCUCUAUCUAGGAGUUGUAACUAGUUUCUGGUGUUUGUAGGAUGUGCUGGGGGCUGUACCUAGCGCUGACCGGAGGGGUAGGCUUUGUUACGGUAGGCACCAUGGCACGGUGUAUCAAGCGCAGUACUAUUGGUCGAGGUGGACAUGGGAAUCCUGCACACAUCGUUUGACGCCGUGAUGGAAACUUCGGCCGAACAUCCGUUACGGGUCAGUUCUCAGAUAGGCGAUAAACCUAGACUAGAGUCUUGCGUGGUUAGUCAGGUUGUGGCUGACACCCUCGCUAGGCUUCCGCUUGAAGGUUUCCGAGAUACAUGACGUGUAUAUGGUGUUAAGUGGUGAGAGCGUGUGUGAAGAAAUACACCCCUGCAGGGUAAUAUAAUCUAUUCGGAUAGCCGCGUCCUCGGAUAUGGACUACUUGGAAAGCUUGUAUGGUCCAUAGAUAACCUGAAGUGGAUACUCUAAAUGCGCAAAAUAAGUGUGAGUGCUAUGGAUGGCCUUCUCAUGGGGAGACGGGAGCGGAUCCAUAGUGGUGUAUUGAUAUGGUGAAUAUGUGGACUCACGUGCGCUUUCUCACCUCAAAGAAGUUAUUGGUAGUCAUAGUACAUGAAAGCCACUGAGUCAAAGCUGGCUUGCUGUAGUUAAACUCCACAACCCCAUUGUUGAUACUGAUGCAUAAGUAGAUAGUUCUGAUGUAAGUCUUGCUGAGUACAUUUGUACUCACGUUUGCUUAAUUGAUGUUUUUGCAGAGGAGAUUUCAAUCUCGCUAGUAGUUUCACAUGGGCUUUGACGGUUAGCUUGGGAAUCCCAGACAGAGGUAUGGCUCCUAUGGAGGGUAUUGUAGACAGACAUGCUUCCUAGCCUUCUUUCUUUUCAGCUGUCUAUAUUCAGACAGGUUUAUGCUUCCGCUUGUUGCUUGUAUGACUUUGUAUGUUGGGUCAUGAGACCAAUGUUCGUAAUAUCAUGUUAUGUGUGGCUCUUCAGAGCCUCUUAAAUAAAUACUUGAGUCGUAGAGUUAUAUUGUGACGACAUGUUGUAUCCACACAUAUUUGCAUGUUCUACAUACAUAUGAUGUGUGUUGCAAUGUGUUGGGUCACGAUAAAUCUUCUAUUGGAUUGCUUGAAUCUUUUGAUCUUUUGGUCCAACAAAAUUAUACUGUAAUAAUUAGGUCCAACAGAACAAAUCAGAAAACUUUGCUUGUACCAGACAUGGUUAGGUCCAAUAGAACAAAUGAAUCAUCUCUUCUUGGAGGAUUGUUUAAUUUAUCUUAGAUGUACCAAAAAUGAUCAUUGUGUUGGUCACCAGGAAGCAUCACAAGAUAAUUUAACAUCCAACAUGAAAGAACAUAGAUCUCAAUUCAAACAUCAUGCAAUAACUAACAGACUUCUCAAGUGUAAAUGGAAUCAUCACCACUAUAGCAGCUAUAUUUUGAACACCACGGAAACUCCAAUUUGAAACUGCAUCCUCAUUAAUAGAAACUGGAAAUUAGCUUGUCUAGUUCCAGUUUGAUUUGUUCAUCAACUAAAGAGUUAUAGUUUAAAUGACAAAUUUCACAUCCAAACUACAUAUCACAUCACAAAUUUAGGGUAAUUCAUACAUAGUAUAAAUAUAGGUAGCAUAGUACAGAAGAUCAGUUCCCAUCAAUCAAAUAUAGCAAUAGUCUUUGCAACAAAAUAUAUAAUAUAGACUUUCUUCUUGAGCUCAGCCACUUAGAUCAAUGACAUCAUCCUCUUCAAAAUUCCCUUUGAUAUUUUUCGGCUUGCCCUUGUGAAUUUCCCCAAUUUUAAGAAGCUCAGCUAUGACAUACUCUACCUUCUUAAUAUCUUUCCGGAUAACAUCCAUGUCCUUCAUCAUAGUCUCGAGCUCAUAUAUGUCCUUCUUCAGAACAUCCCUCUUCUUCAUCACAUCAUCCGAAGGGAAAGCUAGCUCCUUCCUAUCCUUUUUUAGGUCAAGGGUCUCCCUCAUGAUCAGAACCAUCUCCUUCUUGAGCCCAUCUUUGUCCACUUUCAGCUUAUCAUUAUCCUUCCUAGUGUUCUUGGUCACUUCUCGCUGAACAACAUGAAUGGCCUUGAGAUCACUGAUUACAUACUGCUUGUUCUCUAGCUGCUUCUGCAGGUCUAUAGAGUCCUCUGACAUCAUUUUUGGUAAUUCUCUUGCCACACCUUUUGGCAUUGCCUGACCCAGUGCUUGUUCCCAUCACUAGCAAACUCAGUGAAUUGGAAGUCCAACUACUUAAUCUUAUCUUUGAGAUUGAGCACUUCCUCUGCAGGAUCAAGCCCUUCCUGGGUUCUAGCAACCAUACACUUUUCAUAUUUUUUCCAGAGCAUGUGAAGUGCCUUUUUCAGGGCUUCGGGCCAGUCCUUCACUACUAGGGAAAACCUUAUACACAGAGGUAUAGCAGUAGCGCUGGUCAAAACAUGGCGCUAUUGCUACUUAUUAGUUGCGCUUGUUACAAAAGCACGCUACAACCAUUGUUGUAGCAGUAGCGCGUCUGCCCGGAAAAGCGCUACUACUAUAAUUCCCUCGUUGGUGCCGGUAGGCUAGGAAUAGUAGUGGCGGUUCUUCCAGAAGCACGCUACUGCUAAAAACUUUGUAGCAGCGCAUUUAUGCUGUAGAGCGCUACUGCUAUGAAAAGGAAAAUAAAUAGAAAAAUAAGUAGAAAAGUAAAUGAAAAUGAAAGAAAUAGAAAAAGGAGAAAUGAAAAAAAGAAAAUGUAAAGAAAACAAAAGAAAAAGAAAAAGAAAACAGAAAGGAAUAGCUGUAGCGCGUUUCGCUGGAAAACGCUAUAGCUAACUUAGCUAUAGCGUGUUUCGGUAAAACGCACUACUGCUAGUUUGACUUAACCCCCAGCCGCGCGGGCUCAAAAUUUUGCUAAGUCCUUCCCCCUCCACUCCCCCCUCUCCCCCAACUGCUCCAUCGCCGUUGUCGCCCUGCCGCCUUCAACCACACCGCCGCCACCCAAGGCCGUCUUCGACCACACCGCCGCCGCCCGAGGCCGCCCUCGACUUCACCGCCGCCGCCCGAGCCAGAGCCUGCCCUCGCCGUCGACCGUAAAGCUCUGCCUCUCCUUUCCCCUACCCUCCUAUCUCUCUUUGCUAGGGUAAUUCAUAUAUAUGUUGACGUUGUGUUGAUGUUCAUAUGAACCCUAGGUGUUCAUAUGAACCCUAGAUUUGUUGAGGGCAGUAGGCAUUUUUUGGCAUUUAGGAAAAAUGAUUGGCAAUUUUUUUAGGAAAUUAGCUAGGGAAAUUUUUUAUGAAAAUGCCUAAACAGUAAUUCCAUUUAGCUUUCAAUUAAUAGAGGGUAUGUAAAUAAUAGUAGCAUUUUGAUUAGAUUAAUAGACGCUAUAAACAAAAAACACUUAGAUAUAAAAAUUUAUUUGGACUAUGGACUUGAAUCUGUUCCAAAUUUCAUUCAAAUGAAAUUUGAAUUAUUUGGACUAUGGACCUGAAUCUGUUCCAAAUUUCAUUCAAAUGAAAUUUGAAUUAUUUGGACUAUGGACCUGAAUAUUUCUGAAGAAAUUGGGUGUAGGUACUAAGCUCUUGCUGCGGAAUUUUUGGUGAGGUCAGAAGGGUUAGAGAAAAUGGAGUUCCUAGACUUUUAGCUUUAGACAAAAAACAAAAGUAUUUAGCUAUAAAUAAAAAACAGUAGCUAUGGCAUUUAGCUAUAAACAAAAAACAGAAUUGUUUUUCUUUUCAAAAACUUGGUUAAACUAAUCGUUGCUAUGUAAACAAAAAACAAGAUUUUUGUUAUAUCAUAUAUGUCAUUGAUGUUCAUUUGCACAUUCCAUUAUUGUUGAUUAUAUCUUUUCAUUGAAGUGGCUAUGUUAUAUGCAAAUUCCUCAAUAGUGUUUGCUCAUGUUAUAUCUUUUCAUUGAAGUGGUUCGAUUGUGCCCAAAGUGGCUUCGUUGUUUCCAGGGAAUGAAGCCGAGUGGCCUAUGUUUUUCCGGAAUGUUGAUUCGUUUCCGUUCCGGCAAAUUUCAGGCUCUCGAUUUGUCCACUUUUUAGCAAAAGUCAUGCCGAAAUUUUCCGUGAAUUUCGGCAUGACUUGUGCUACAAACUAGGACAUAUCGAGUGCCCGGGAUUUGCCGCACAGGGAAGGAGUCAACGUUCCUGCAGAGCAUAGACCUUUUUUUAUGUCAUUAUUCAUUUUAUUAGGUCUAGAAUUAAUUGACUAAAUUUAAUCGUAGGAAACAUGGCUAGCAACGAUGAAGGACAGGGUUCUGGUGACUGCGACAACGUCUACCUGGCAGCAGAAGAAUUUUUUAUGGAAGAUGACGAUCAAGAGUUGAUGUUGCUGGGUCCACCUGUCACAUCAGAGAUUGAGACCGACAUCGAGACCGGCGCUGAGAUAGAGACUGGCACUGAGAGUGAGACCGGCAUCGAGACCGGCACUGAGACUGAGACCGGCGCCGAGACCGGCGCCGAGACUAGCGGAGCCGGUAUAGACCCGAAAGCAAAGAGGCAACUGCUUCCUAACAAGCUCAGGUCUAAUAGACUGGUGGUCACGGAGGUGGACGACGGCAAUUUUGAACCAAACGCGCCCUAGGAAGCGCGCGCGUGCUACGACAAUCAAAUAGGAUGCAUCAUACGGACAACCGCCACCAUCAAAGAUGAGAAACUAAAGAAGAUAGAUAAUAUGAGGCCCUCCCUCCUAAAGAAGUUGCACCUGAUAUUCUUGUUCCCGGGCCGGAAUGAAAAGGAUUAUAAAGAUCCAGAUAAGGACCUGGCAAUGAAGAAGAAAAACAAACACGUCAUGACCAAGUUUAGCGACGCGUUGGCCGCCUGGAAAUCAAGGGUGAAAUAUCGGAUCGUUGACAAAAAGGAACCCUACUCCGAGAUUGUAAAGGAUAAUCCGACAACCAUGGUAGAGCACUUUCAAAUAUUCAAGGCAGCUUGCGAGGCCGAAGCUGCCAAAAAAUAGUCGAAGUACAUGAAGGGGCUUCAAUAGAGGAACAUUGGGUGCCCCCACCUCGGAAGUCGUGGUUACGGCAGGAAGAGGUCCAUAUGGGCCAUGGAGGACGCGGAAGCCGCGAGUCCGGGCAUCCCAGACCCCUUGGCGGAGUUCACCGUCCCGCAGGAGCGUGACAUCCUCAGGGCCCGGCACCGUUGGGAUCCAAUGAAGAAGGUUUUCGAGACGAACGCGGUCACGGCGGAGUUCAUGUGACUGCUGGCAAUUUUAGUUUCUGAUCAAUUCGACUGCACGUUAGUCAUAUUUAUAAACGAUCCUUGUGCCAUUUGCAGAGAGAGCAGCGCAGGAUUGCGGCCGAAAGCGACUCGCCGUCUGAGGCGUUGGCGAGGCCCAAGUGGGACACUCCAUUCAACCGGGCGUUGAACAUAUUGAAAGGACUCCCGGUGGAGACUCGACUGUCGUAUGGACGCGUGCACGGUGUCGGAGAUGGCGCCACGUGGAAGAAGUACUACCGUGAGACCACGGAGGAGAGAAAGGAAAGACGGAGGUUAACUGAAGAAAACAUUGACAAGAAGGUUGAGAUUGCGGUUGAGAAGAAAUCAUCUAAGACAGUCGCAAUAGCGGUAGCUGCCGCAAAACAGGUGCUUGUACAUAUGUCUACUACCUUGGUUCCGGCCGUUUUCAAUUGGAGCAGGCAAAAUCUAGAAAAAAAUGCAGCGGAGUUUCCCCUUGCUGACUUCUUUGGGAGCAGCUCGACUAGCGUUGCACCAGCACCUGCAGCUGCACAUGCUCCCGCACCGGCUCCCGCACCGGCUCGUGCACCUGCUCCCGCACCGGCUCCCGAACCUGCUCCAGCACCGGCUCCGGCACCGGACGUGCUCGGCGGUGCUUCGUCUUUGGCUGAGCUCGACGCCCUCACGGUGUCUGUCACACCGGCCCCCAUCAAUAAAUGUAUUAUCUCCCGUUUUCGUUGCCUUUCGGAUGUCUCACGUCACAGACUUUUCUUUGCAGGCCGACGAAACCCCGUGCACCAUAUUGUACACCAUCGGCGACAAGAAGGUGGACGUGGGGAAGGCGACGAUAAUGGAGCCGAAGGAACCAUUGUUCCACAGCGGCUGAUCCCCCAGGACGUCUUCAAGGUUUCCGUGGCCAGUGUCAAACCGGGCCACGAGAAUUUGACUCCUCUGGUACUAGUGGGGGAUGACAACGAGACCCCACGGCGGCUUGGUAAUUGUUGCAAUGGGUGGGUCCUGUUGUGGCCAAAGAGUCUGCUUCGUCUGGAGGUGGCCGGGAGCACACCCACGAGCACACAGUUAGGUAUGAACAUCAACACCUCACCUACCCAAUUAGCGUCGGCUGUCGUGCUAGGUGAUAGCGGAGGGGGUGAGGAAGAGGCUCCAUUAGUCACUGGUGAUGUCGCCAUAGAUGAGGAUGAGGAUGACGAUGACACUCAACAGUAUGUCAAUACUGGUGCCUACUUAGGGUUUGAGCGUCAUGAGUCGGUGCCUGAAUUGCCGCCUCCGAAGUCUGAACGUAUUAUGGACAACCUUCCGGUAGUAAAGAAGUCUAGGAAGAGACCGAGGAAAGGCAAAAAAGCUGCUUCUAUGAUCCAGCCGCCUCAGCAGCCUCGGGUUCAAGACUGUAUAGAUAUCCCCGGUGCGGCAAAAUGGCAUAUCCAUGGUCAACCAAUCCUACCUAAAGCAGCGCUAGGGGCUAGAUUCGGCGAUUUAAGGAGACUUCAUGACGAUGUGCUGCGGAUAGAGAAAUGGCUCAUCGCCUCAAAAAAUCCAGGAUACCCACUCUACAUGGUUAACGUGCCGCGGCAAUUCUCGUACGUCGACACAUUCCCCGCGGAGAAGUUCUUCCUUCGAUUCGAUUACAUCUUCGACAUGUUUCACUUAAAGAAACUGGAUUUUACGUUUGUCCGCCUUUAUGUCUUGCACAUGAACUACCUCAUCAGGGUUGAGCAGAUACCUCAUAUCUGUGUCGCUAGCCCGUACUUCAUGCAUGAGGGCUUCUUGGGAGUCUGCGCAGAGCACCGUGAAUAAGCAAGGGAAUACAUCGCCAAUUUCAUGCUCACCAUAAGGACAAGGAGGCGAUUCUCGUGCCUUAUCAUCCCCUGUAAGUCAUCUGCGCGGAUAUCCUUCCUUUGAUUUCAAUCAUUCAUUUGCACAGUGGAGGCUAAUUAAUUUGAGGUGUACUUAUUUUUCGCAGCGGCGGGCGCGCCGUCCUCAUCAUCCUCUACCCCCGAUACUCCCACGCUCUUUACUUGGACUCGUCGAAGAACAUUAACAAAAAGGAUUACACCCACAUGAAGUCUGUUCUCGACAGUGCUAUGUUUUACUACGGCGCACGGGGUGGAGAGGUCAAGGACAAGAAGAAAAGGGACGGCAGGCCCGCCUUUGGCCAUAAGACCGACUUCUGCUGCAUCCACCAACCGAGUUAUUCUCUUAAUGAUGGAUUCUAUGUCCUACACCACAUGCUGGAGUACAGACGGGAUCACCAGAACCUUCGCAUGUCACCUAGAUCCGGCGAUGCCCAUAUUCUGCAAUGGGCAAAGAACUUAGGAGAUAUCGAGGAUCAUCGACUUCGAGCUGAGUUCUAUCACAUCCAGCGCAAACUUGCCCAAAUCAUCAUGAAGGAGGUCGUCGAAAAAACAGGGAUUUUCUAUGAAGAAGGACAAAUGUCGCGGGAAGACGUCCGAACACGCGUAGCGGCUCAGCUUCUCGACCUGAAGCCUUUCACUAAGCUUGGGGACUAUCUCCCUGACUUGGAUGCAUGGCACGACAUGUUGGAGUGAUUGUCGAUAUAUGACAAUGUGUCUGUUUAGUCCAUACUAUCUGUAUCACGAAACUCUGAGUUAUGCAUGACGAAACUUUAUUUGUUAUGUAAUUAAACCGUCCUCCUCGACUAGUGAAGAUCACUCUAGUUAGGGCUUUUUGGGUACGAUGAAUUUUGUUAUAUAUGCUUAUGGUAUGUUGCUUCUAUUUUUGCCAAGUCUGUCUCUUUCUGUUGCUCAACUAUAUAUGUUGCAUAUCAUCGACUCAUGUGACGAUGCAGGUGUAUAGAUCAUCGAUGGCGAAGAAGUGCUACGCCAGGAGUAUACGACGAGUGGCCGGAAUGUCAGGCCCAGGUGUACCGGUUUCCGGUUUCCGAGCGACAGCCAGUAGUUAGUUUAGGUUCACGCUAAUGCGAGAGAGGGAUACGAACUCAUGUACUGCAUAGUUCCGCUCUCACUCAAAGUGAUAGCUCUUCUCGCGUAUAUCAUUGUUUAGAUGGAUGACGACGUAGUUGCAAGUAAUCGAGACUUGUAUCGCUAUUUUUGAGAUGAUGACGAGAGACCACUUGUUGUUGGAUGAUGAUUAUGAUGAUGGCAUGAUUUGAUGAGACUAUUUGUAUGUAUAUGCUAUGAUUACAUUUGUAUGUGUAUGAUAUGCUAAAGAUUAUUGUAUAAAGCCUAUUCAAAUACAAAACAAAUAUGCAUAAAAAAAUAAAAACUAAUAAAACUAGCAGUAGCGAGGGGAACAAAGUUAGCAGUAGCGCUCCCUUACCAGUAGCGCUUCGUGCUAAAAAGCGCUGCAGAUAUUAGCAGCAGCGCUCUGCACUAAAGCGCGCUACUGCUAGCCAUGUAUAGCAGUAGCAUGGGAUGACAGGUGCUACUGCUACACGUUAGCUGUAGCGCCUUAUCAGUAGCACGUCGUCCCGAGCUACUGAUAGGCAAAAUACCCGCGCUACUGCUAGGGUUUUCCGUAGUAGUGCUUGUCAACCCAAUGAAUAAAUCUACCGUUUCCUAGUUGCAAUAAGAAACAAUUAGCAUUUAAUUAAUGGACACACAUUAGUCAAUAUAUUUUGAAAUGAGCAAAGUAUAGCAUAACUAGAUGAAAACCAAAUAUAGCAUAAGUGAGCUAGAAUGUUCCACAAACACGACAUGUCACAACUAAGUUACAAUGUUCUACCAACACAGCUUAGCAGCCAAACAAAACAUAGCUAUAAGACAUCCAAAUAUAGCACAAUAUAGUUGAAUUGUUCCACAAAAGUUGUGCAUGGGAUAACUGAAAUAUACAAUGGGUAUUGUCACAGAACACUAACUCUAGUUUAUACCAUUUACAUAUACUUUUUCCAGACAACCAUCACUUACUGAACAAGCAUCCCAUCAUUAGAGUCUGAGAAGAAAUGCAGCCUUCUCAGGGCGUCGAGAUCUGGGCCGUUGGAUUAAGCUUUCAAAAGAAUUGCGACCAUCAGAUCUUCAGAUGGAUCGAUCCGGGCCGUCGGAUCAUAGCAAACACUGCUACAGUGAAUAGUGUUGUUUCUUUUUUAUUUUGGUCUAUUAUUACUAUCUCGCUGACUGAUGGGCCACGCGGUAAGUGGUCCAUUGCUGUUAGUGAGAGCAGAGCACUAAGCGGUCGGUGCUGGUUCGUACAGGCUCAGGGGUCAGGCCAACGCCUGUGAAAUUGGGUAGCCGCUGAGGGCAAAUUCAACAUUUCACGUCAUCGCCCCUGCGUGACGCUCCGUGGAUGGCUAGUCAGCAAGUAAUGGCGAGGGAGCGACCCAUUGGCUAGAAACCUAGCCGCCUCUUCCCCGUCGUGUUCCUAUCUGUGUCGUUUGAGCUGCGGUCGCCAUCGAGGACGUGUCACUCGCACCGCCACUUCCCUGUCGAGCUCAUGCGUCCACUAGCCACACCGUCUCUUUUCCAUGCCUGCUCAUCCUCCGUUCCUCUUCGAUCACCGAGCUCGCCGUCGCUAUCGUCGGGAGGAAGCGAUUGGUGGACCUAGCCCACCGCCAUCAACGGGUGGAGCGCAGGAACCCGCGAUGCCCCUCCAGCGACCAGCACUUAUCCCUCGCCCAGCGACGAGGCCCCAUCGAACUCGCGUGUGGUCGCAGCUGGGAAUCCUCCUGUCCGCUCCUUGCUCCCCGCCGAGAGCCUUGAUUGGAUCUGGAUCCUGAGCUCUCCGUGCCCGCAUCGCCCCACCAUUCAUGGUGCACCACCAGCACGAGCUGCACAUCAUCAUGUCGUCAGAGGGAGAGCGGGAGGAAGUUGGCGCUGUUUAUCCCCACGAGGUGUGCCGUCGACGGUAGGAAGCCAGGCAGGGCGACGGGGAAAUACCGACGUAGUUCAAGCCGCAUCAAAAGGAAUUUCUGGCGCAGUUGCCAGGGAGACAUCAUCAACAUCUAUGAGGUUCCUAAUCACAAAUCCCAUCUCCUUGCAAUUUACAUUAUUUGCCAUUUGCCUCUCGUUUUCAUCUCCCCCACUUCACAAAAAAUUGCCGUUUUAUUCGCCCUCUUUUUCGUUUGCCUUUUUCUGGUUCGAUCUUAUGUUUGUUUGUGUCUCCAUGUGCCUUCUAUUUUGCUUGCAUCUUUUCUUGCUAAAACCUAUUGUUAUGGAUCCACUCAAAGUUUUGUACCUGGAUCUUGUUCGACCCAUAUGUGCUCGUGCUGAAACCCCAACUAGUUUAGUUGAGGGAAAAUCAUUAGAUGAGCAUGCUCUUUUUGCCCGUCAUCGUUUGUCUGAAAAAGGGAAGCUCUUAUGGAAUCAAAUAAAUUGUUUGCUAUGAUAUGCUUGGAAUCAUUAUGAAAUUUGUGAUUUUACUUGUUGCUCUAAGAACCCCAAAAAACACUUCCCCUAUCUAUGUGAGUUUAAUGACAAUGAAGUCUUAUGUUCUUAUGCCAAGGAGGUUUAUAGUUACUAUGAUAUCGAACAAAUUGAACAAUUUGUUGCUUUUAAGGGUGCUUAGAAGUUGCUUAUUUGAUUGAAAAGUAUGAUAUUACUCUCUACAAAUCUGAAAAUUUUGACAUACUUAAAUAUUGCUAUGAAAACUAUGCUCAUAAUGCCUAUGUUAAAGAAUUUAUUGAGAGAAUGUCCUAUGCUUUGAAAGAAAAUAGUGAUAUGCAUGAAGCUAUGGAUAACCAUGAUUCCGUUGAUUUGAUUGAAUUAUCCCCUCUUGAUGAACACGUUGCUAGCUAUUCUUGUGGCCAUGAUGCCAAUAUUAAUGAUGCUUAUGAAGAUGAACUUGCUAUAGUUCUUUAUGUUAAACAUGAAAUUAUUGCUAUUGCACGCACGCUGGAUAGCUCCUUUAAUGAAAAGCAUGAUUGCAAUGAUAUUAUUAUAGAUUCUAUUAAUCUCAAGUUUGUUAGUGAUAUGCAAAACCCCAAGCUUGGGGAUGCUUGUUUUGUUAUGUCCGCUACUUAUUGCAAUGAUCAUGAUUGGGGUGAUGAUGACUUUUAUGAUCUUGAUAGUCUAUUUAAGCCUCAUGAUGAAUAUGUUUGCAAUAAUAUUAAAAGUGGGUUUGGAAGAGUGUCAAAUAUUGAUAAAAAUAAUCCCACAAAUUUGGAGAGUGUUCAAUCUUAUGAUUUUUUUAUAAAAGUGGGCUUGGAAAGGUCAUGACUUUAUUUUAUGGUAAUCCCACUAUUUUGGAAGAGUGUCAACUUUGCAUGCAUGUGGAUCAUGUAGAGAAUAUGUUAUGUGAUAUCUAUAUUAUUGAAUUUGAACAUGAUUCCACAUGUAAUUGUUAUGAGAGAGGGAAAUAUGGUUGUAGAAAUUUCUUGCUACUAAGUCACCUCUCGUUAUGUUGAAUUGUCAAAGUUUUAUUUGUUUCCUAUGUAUAUGCUAGAUAUUUCUUGUUUUGAUAAUUUGUUUGCCUGUAAAAUUCCUAUACAUAGGAAAUAUGUUAGACUUAAAUGUGUUUAUCACAUGUUUUAUGAUCCUCUCUUUGUGUUUCAAUUAUUAUCUUUCAUGUGAGCAUCAUUGAAAUCGCAAAGCCUAUCUUAAUGGCUAUAAAGAAAGAGCUUGUUGGGAGGCAACCCAACGAAUAAAUUUUAUGUUUGCCUUUUUGUUUCUGUACAAUUAUGCCUCUGUUAUGAUUAUGUUUUUUAUGUUUUAAUUAGUGUUUGUGCGAAGCAAAGCCUUUUAGGAUCAUGUUGGGUGAUAGUUGAUUUGAUCUUGCUGAAAAACAGAAAAUUAUGAGUCCAGUAACACAAUUAUUAAAAUUCACAGAAGCGUGAUAAAAUUCUGAUUUUUUUACAGAAGAUUAAUACAAAUAGCGUAUGUUGUCCUAAUUUUUCAGAAUUUUUGCAGUUACAUAAGUAUACGAAGUUUUCAGAUUGCUACAGACUAUUCUGUUUUUGACAGAUUAUAUUUUCUUUUUGUUGUGUGCUUAUUUUGAUGAAUAUAUGGACUUUAUUGGAGGGUAUAAGCUAUAGUAAAGUUCGAAUACAGUACAUAUAAUGCAAAAAUAAAAUAUGAAUGGGUUUGCAACAGUACUUAGACUAGUGAUUUGCUUUGUUAUACUAACGGAUCUCACGAUGGUUUUGUUGAGUUUUGUGUGAUUGAAGUUUUUCAAGUUUUGGGUGAGAUCACGAUGGAUGAAGGAAUAAGGAGUAUGAAGAGACUAAUCUCGGGGAGGCCCAUGGCACCCCAAGUUAUUAUCCAAAGAGGAACAAGCAAUUAAGAUUGGGGAUGCCCCCGAGUGGCAUCCCCUCUUUCUUCUAAUGACCAUCGGUAUUUUACUUGGAGCUAUAUUUUUAUUCGUCACAUAUCAUGAGUUUUGCUUGGAGCAUCUUGUAUUAUAUGAGUCUUUGCUUAUUUUGCUUUUUUAUUUUGUGUCAUCUAUCCUUGCUGGACACACCUAUUUGAGAGGGCCCAAAUUAUGCUAUGGAAUCUUUUUGCUUCACUUAAAUCUUUUUGAGCUAUGGAAUUGAUCUUUGUGCUUCACUUAAAUCUUUUUGAGCUAUGAAAUUGCUCUAGUGCUUCACUUAUAUCUUUUUGAGAACGGUGUGCUUUGGUAUUUUUGAAGAAAUGCUCUCAUACUUCACGUAGAUUUAUUUGAGAGUUAGUAAAUUUUUUAAGAAAUCCUCUCAUGCUUCACAUAAAUUAAUUUGAGAGAAGAAAUUUUUUAUGCUCGUGUUCUUCACUUAGAUUUGUUUGAGCUAUCAAAAGCAACAUAUGAAAUUAGUCCCAAAGUGAUAGAUAUUCAAGAGGGAUAUAAUAAAAACUUUCAUGAAGAUCGUUAGACAAAAUAAACUUGAUUCUUUGUAAUAGUUUUGCGGUAUGACGAUAUAAUAUGUGAGUCAUGUUGAUGAGUUAUUACGCUUUAGUGAGAAUAUUGAUGUUAAGGUUUGUGAUUCUCUAUGUAAGCACGAAAGUCAAUAGUUAUGCAAUGAAAUUACAUCCUACUUGUCGUGCAUUAUUCGGUGUUAGUUCUGCUUAAUUCUUGCUUAUGAGAUUUUUUGUUUCUUGGUUGGAUGCUUCUCAAUAUUUUGCUAGCCUUCAAUUGUACUAAGUGGGAUUACUACUUGUGCAUCCAAAAUCCUUGAACCCAGUUUUUGCCAUAUGAGUCCACUAUACCUACCUAUAUGCGGUAUUCAUUUGCCGUUCUAAGAAAAUUUGUAUGUGCCAUCUCUAAUCUUCAAAAUAACUUCCUUUUUGUGUGCUCGUACCGCUCAUGAAACGGUAGGGGGUGGCUGAUAUUUUUCCAUGCUAGAUGUGUUAUUCUCAAGAUGAGUGUUUAUUCACUUGUCACUGCACGAGAGUAUGGCAAAGUUAUUAGGGAUGCCCAGUCCUGAAAUGAAAAAUGAAUUUACUUUAUGUUGUCAAAUAAUAAACUCCUUGGAAAGUGUUGGUAUGGACGGUACCCGUGGAUUCGGUUCGCCGUGGAAUGUGAAAGUAUGGUGGAAAAAGGAAUAAACUUUAUUUUCUGUUUGGGAACCACCUAUGAUAUAUCUAGCAUGGAAAGUAUUGGGAACUACUCGAUCGUUUUCAUUGACAGGAAAGGCAUGCCACCCAAAAUGUCUUAUCUCUAUCUUUUUCCGCUUUUAGCUCUGGCACCUCUACAAAUCCCUACUUCCCUCUGCGAAGGGCCUGUCUAUUUACUUUAUGAAAUUUUUAUUUUUAUUUCAAGUCUCCAUCUUCUCUUACAAAGCACCAACUAAGGGGCACUACGAUCGUACCAUAGCAUUGGGUGUAGCUAAUAUGCGAGUGUGUUUCAUGAAUGGAUCAAUGAUUGAGCAUAAUGGGCUAGGGAUAAAUUGCUUUAGUGUUGAUAUUUUGAAAGACAUGGUUGCUUGUUGAUAUGCUUGAGUAUUGAAAUCUUCAUAUCAACACUAGACUAUUCCUUUGAAUCAUAUAAAAGUCCAAAUGUCCAUGCUACAAAAGAAAAAGAAUAUGUGAUGAACAUGAUAGGCAACAUUCCACAUCAAAAAUUCUAUUUUUAUCAUUUACCUACUCGAGGAGGAGCAGGAAUUAAGCUUGGGGAUGCUGAUACGUCUCCAACGCAUCUAUAAUUUUUCAUUGUCCCAUGUUGUUAUAUUAUCAUUUUUGGAUGUUUUACAAUCAUUUUAUAACAACUUUAUAUCUUUUUUGGGACUAGCCUAUUGACAUAGUGCCUAGUGCCAGUUGCUGUUUUUUGCUUGUUUUUACACUGCAGAAAAUCAAUACCAAAUGGAGUCCAAAUGCAGCGAAACAUUUUGCAGAAUUUAUUUGGACCAGAAGACACACGAUGGGCCAAUAGAGUACUAGAGGGGGGCUCCGAGGGAAGCACAACCCACCUGGGCGCGCCCUGGUGGGUUGUGCACACAUCGGCUCGCUAUCGUGCCGCCUCUUUGCUCCAUAAAUACCCCGAAAAUCCAAAAACCCUAGGAGUCGACGAACACAAUUCCAGCUGCCGCAAGUUCCACAAAGCACAGAUCCAAUCUAAACACUGAUACGUCUCCAAUGUAUCUAUAAGUUUUUAUUAUUCCACGCUAUUAUAUUAUCUGUUUUGGAUGUUUUAUAUGCAUUAAUAUGCUAUUUUAUAUUAUUUUUGGGACUAACCUAUUAACCUAGAACCCAGUGCUAGUUCCUGUUUUUUCUUGUUUUAGAGUUUCGCAGAAAAGGAAUAUCAAACAGAGUCCAAACGGAAUGAAACUUUGGCGAUGAUUUAUCUUUGACCAGACGAUAACCAGAGGACUUGGAGUACACGUCAAGGAAGCCACAAGGAAUCCCAAGGGGGUAGGGCGGGCCCCCCACCCUUGCGGACCCCUAGUGACACCACCGACCAAUUUCUUCCGCCUAUAUAUUCUCAAAUACCCCAAAACCUUCUAGGAGAGCCACGAAACCACUUUUCCACCGCUGCAACCUUCUGUACCCGUGAGAUCCCAUCUAGGGGCCUUUUCCGGCAUCCUGCCAGACGGGGACUCGAUCACGGAGCGCUCCUACAUCAACAUUGCCUCUCCGAUUAAGCGUGCGUAUUUUACCACAAACCUACGGGUCCAUAGCUAGUAGCUAGAUGGCUUCUUCUCUCUCUUUGAUUCUCAAUACCAUGUUCUCCUCGACGUUCUUGGAGAUCUAUUCGAUGUAAUACUUUUUUGCGGUGGGUUUGCCGAGAUCCGAUGAAUUGUGUAUUUAUGAUCAGCUUAUCUAUGAAUAUUAUUUGAAUCUCCUCUGAAUUCUUAUAUGCAUGAUUUGAUAUGUUUGCAAGUCUCUUCGAACUAUCGAUUUGGUUUUGCCACCUAGAUUUGUUUUUCUUGCAAUGGGAGAAGUGCUUAGCUUUGGGUCAAUAUUGCGGUGCUCGAUCCUAGUGAUAGAAGGGGAACCGACACGUAUUGUAUUGUUGCCAAUGAGGAUAACAAGAUGGGGUUUUCAUCAUAUUGCUUGAGUUUAUCCCGCUACAUCAUGUCAUCUUACUUAAUGUGUUACUCUUUUAUUCAUGAGCUUAAUACUCUAGAUGUAGGCAGGAGUCGGUCGAUGUGUGGAGUAAUAGUAGUAGAUGCAGGCAAGAGUCGCUCUACUUGAUACAGAUGUGGUGCCUAUAUUCAUGAUCAUUGCCUUAGAUAUCGUCAUAACUUUGCGCUUUUCUAUCAAUUGCUCGGCACUAAUUUUUUCACCCAACGUAAUAUUUUCUAUCUUAAGAGAAGCCUCUAGUGAAACCUAUGUUCCCGAGUCUAUUUUCCAUCAUAUAAUCUUCUAUUUUCCAUCAUAUAAGUUUCCGAUCUACAAUUUUAGUUUCCUAUUUACUUUCUUUGCAAUAUUUUGCAUUCCGAUCUAUAAACCAAAAAUACCAAAAAUAUUACUUUACCGUUUAUCCAUCUAUAUCAGAUCUCACUUUGCAAAUAAUUGUGAAGGGAUUGACAACCCGUUUAUCGCGUUGGGUGCAAGUUGGUGUUUGUUUGUGCAGGUAUUCGGUGGCUUGUGCAUUGUCUCCUACCGGAUCGAUACCUUGGUUCUCAAAACUGAGGGAAAUACUUACUCUACUUUGCUGCAUCACCCUUUCCUCUUCAAGGGAAAAACCAACGCAAGCUCAAGAAGUACUGGGAAGAAUUUUUGGCGCCAUUGCCGGGGAGAUCUACGCCAAGCCGAGACAUACCAAGUACCCAUCAUAAACUCUCAUCCCUCGCAUUACAUUAUUUGCCAUUCGCUUCUCGUUUUCCUCUCCCGCACCUCUCACUACUAGGAAAAGGGCUAUAGACAAUAUGCACACUAAUGGCGCACCAGACAUGCGGUGCGCCACUACUAUAUAGCGGUGGCGCACCGUGUGCUGGUGCGCCAUUAGUGUGAUAGACACUAAUGGCGCACCACAACCAUGGUGCGCCACUACUAACAAAUUUUCUUUUUCUUUUUAAAAAAAUACUAAUGGCGCACCGCAACCAUGGUGCGCCACUACUAAUUUUUUUCCUUUUUUCCAAAAAUACUAAUGGCGCUACUUGGCACAGUGCGCCAUUACUAGUUUUAACUAGUAAUGGCGCACCAGUCACCCCGUGCGCCACUACUAUCAUUUUUUUGCAAAACUACUAAUGGCGCACCGCCAGCUGGUGCGCCAUUAGUAACCAGGGUUACUAAUGGCGCAUUUGUUGGUGGUGCGCCAUUAGUAACCUGGGACCAGCUAGAUAUUUUGGACAGCCACCUACACACUCACUUUCCCCACUUCAUUCUCUCCACCUCCUCCUCCAAGCUUGUCUCGGCUGCCUCCUCCUCCUCACCUCAUUUGCACCAUAGAUUCAUCCAAAUUAAGUGGUUAAAUUACCUUUUUUGAUAGGUAAGUAAGGGGAAAGCUUUCUUUAUGUUGUAGAUCUACUUUUUUCUCCCUCCAACAACGUGCACAUGCACUUUUUAUGGCCUAGCUAGAUCUAUGUAUGUUUGUGGUGUUGCAUAUGUUUGUGGUGUUGCAUAUAUGUUUGUGUUUGCACGUACCGGUAUUUGAAAUGCGAUAGUUGCCAAUAUUUUGCCAGAAUGUUGAUUCAUUUCCGUUUCGUCAAGAAUUUUGGCACUAUGCAUUCUUUUUUGUCCUAUUUUUAGGCAAAGUCAUGCCAAAUUUUUUCUUGGUUCUAAAAUAUCGUUUUGCUCUACCCUGCAGGCGACCAUGGUCUGCACGAUGACCGAAGGCAUCGUGAAUAGGUUUUUGAGCUCCGCGAAGGCCGAGAUGCUUCAAAAGAAUGAGACGGAGAUAAGAUGUCCGUGUCGAAGAUGCAAGCUGAGGAGCCUUAUGGACCCGGAUUCCGUACAGGUGCGGGACCACCUGCUCUUGCGUGGUUUCAUGGAUGGCUAUCGGUGGCAAGGUGAUGAAGAUGAUUAUGAAGUCGUCCAUGGGGGCCGGCCGGUAAGAAAUGAGGAAGGGCAGCAAGACAACCGCGGCGAGGGCGGGCGAGAAGACGAAGAAUCUCCAGGACAUGAUCACGAAGUAGAUGCAGUACGCAGUCAUCAUGUAGAAGAUGCCGGACAUAAAGAUGAGGAAGAUGCCGGAGCAGACGAAGGGCAUGAUCAUGAAGAUGAAGAUGCCGGAGCGGACGACGAUGGACCAUCGAUGGGCUGGGUGCAGGACCCUCAUAUUCAAGAGCUGCUUCUCAAGCAGACGGAUAACGCAAGAGCUGCCGCCCGAGAGAAAGCCAAGCUGGAUCAACUGGAGAUAGACGCGGUUACUCCAUUGUAUGAAGGAUGCAGGCCCGAGGAUACCCGCCUGAAAGUAACGCUCAUGGCUCUGGAGAUGAAGGUAAAACACAAAAUGACCGACGCAUGCUUCGACGAGAACAUGUCAUUCUGGCACGAACGUCUUCCCAAGGGGAACAAGUGCCCGACCAGUUUUGAGGAGGCGAAGAAAAUCGUGUGUCCUCUGGAUUUACCGCACGUGAAAUACCAUGUGUGCAUGAACAAUUGCAUCAUUUAUCGGGACGAGCACGCGGAGUCUACCAUAUGUCCGGUGUGCGGCGUCACUCGAUACAAGAAGAGGAAGAAAGCUCCUCGAAAAGCGGUGUGGUACUUUCCGAUCGCUCCUCGUGUGCAGCGGUAUUUCGCGGACCCUAAGGUAGCAAAGCUCUUGCGUUGGCACGCGGAUAGGGAGGAGAAGAAGCGAGAAGAUGACGCAAAUGAUCCGGAGAUAAAUAAAAAAGACAAGAUGCUGAGUCACCCUAAGGAUGGGAGCCAGUGGCAAGCGUUGAACUUCGAACACCCAGAAUUUGGGAACGAUCCAAGGAACAUCGUGCUGGGCGCGAGCACCGAUGGAGUCAAUCCGUUUGGCAGCCAGAGAAGCACACAUAGCACCUGGCCUGUGUUUGUGGAUGUACAACCUUCCCCGCUGGUUGUGCAUGAAGAGGAAGUACAUUCACAUGAGUAUGCUAAUUGAAGGGCCGAAACAACCAGGGAACGACAUCAAUCUGUAUCUGGGGCUGCUGAAAGAGGAGCUAGACACGCUGUGGAAAACGCCAGCCAAUACGUGGGACACCGCAGAGAAAGAAUAUUUCCCUAUGAGAGCCGCUCUGCUCACGACGGUGCACGACUAUCUCGAUUACGGAUAUGUCGCGGGGCAGGUGGUCCACGGAUUUUCUGGAUGCGUCAGGUGCAUGGAUGACACAACAUAUCGCCAGCUAGAUAGAGAUCUCAGGUCUUCGAAAACCGUGUUCAUGGGACAUCGAAGGUGGCUUCGCGACGAUGACUCAUGGAGGAAACGCAAGGAUCUGUUCGAUGGUGAAACCGAAACCCGAAGACGCCCGCGUACGAGGAGCGACAAGGAAAUAGACGAGUUGUUGAAAAAUUGGAAAGAUUGCCCACUGCCGGGAAAGAAGCAAAAGGCACCAGAGCCGGAAAAGAAGCGAAAGGCGCAAGAGCCGCUGCUGAAGGUAUGGAAAAUGAGGUCUGUUUUCUGGGACUUGCUGUACUGGAAGAUCCACCGUGUGCCUCACAGCCUUGAUGUCAUGCAUAUCACGAAGAACGUGUGCGAGAGUCUGCUUGGUACCCUGCUCAACAUGCCGGAGAGGACCAAAGAUGGGCCGAAAGCAAGGGCAGACUUGAAAUCAAUGGGCAUCAGGGAGGAGCUUCACGCUAAUGAUGAUGAUGAUGAGGCGAAGCAGGACACGGAAAGUCGUCGCAAAGGCAAAAAGGCCAAGAAGACCGAAAAUGACUUCCCUCCCGCGUGCUUCACUCUAAGUCAGGAGGAGAUCGAUCAGUUUUUCACCUGCCUCGUAGGAGUAAAACUUCCUUACGGUUACGCGGGGAAGAUAAGCAGAUACCUAGACUCAGCGAAGCAGAAGUUCAGCGGGAUGAAGUCUCAUGACUGUCACGUGCUGAUGACGCAGAUACUUCCAGUUGCAAUCCGUGGGAUCAUGGACGCGCACGUCCGUGAAACGCUAUUUGGCCUAUGCAACUUUUUCGACGUCAUCUCUCGGAAGUCGGUUGGUGUGAGGCAACUCAGAAGGCUACAUGAAGAGAUCGUAGUGAUACUAUGCGAGCUUGAGAUGUACUUCCCGCCCGCAUUCUUCGACGUUAUGGUGCAUCUGCUGGUCCAUAUCGUGGAGGAUAUCAUCCAACUCGGGCCGACGUUCCUGCACAGCAUGAUGCCGUUCGAAAGGAUGAAUGGUGUCAUCAAAGGAUACGUUCGCAACAUGUCACGUCCAGUGGGAAGCAUAGCCAGGGGCUUUCUGACCGAAGAGUGCAUCUCCUACUGCACGAAUUAUCUAGGCAUCGAGAACCCCGUUGGUCUGCCCGCCAACAGGCACCUCGGCAGGCUCGCUGGAUGGGGUCAUCGUGAGGGUUGCCGCGAAAUGCAUGUCGAUUUCGAGGGUCGACUCGCCGACUUUGAAAGAGCAAACCUAGUCGCGCUACAACACAUAGACGUGGUCGAUCCUUGGGUGGUAGAGCACAAAACCUUUAUUGAGAAGACGUACAAUGACCGAGACCAACAGAGGACGGACGGAGAUAUAAUCAAAGAGCACAACUCAUAUUUCACGCGUUGGUUCAAGCAGCAUGAGGAUUCUUCCGCGGAAGAACAACUCAAAUUCGCCUUGUCACAGGGCGCCGAGCACAACCUGAUGACGUAUGAGGCGUACAAUAUCAACGGCUACACAUUCUACACCGAGGGAAAGGACAUGAAGAGCGAUGGUUAUCAGAACUCUGGGGUAACGAUGGAAUCCUACACCGGUAACGAUAAGGACAGAUACUACGGAAGGAUCGAGGAGAUCUGGGAGCUGAGCUAUGCUGGAGAGAAGGUCCCGAUGUUCCGUGUCAGAUGGGCCAAGAGCGUCCUAAAAGAAGACCGGUAUUUCACCACCAUGGUUAUACCCGAAGCCAAAUCCAAGACCGCGGGCGCAAACGACACCGUGAAAAAUGAGCCAUGGGUACUGGCUUCCCAAGUGGACCAAUGCUUCUUCAUUACCGACCCGUCAAAGCCCAGUCGUGUUGUCGUGAGGAGAGGCAAAAGGAAGAUCAUCGAAAUGGAUGGAGUCGCCAAUGAGCAAGACUUCGACAAGUACGGCGACCCGAAGAUGGAACAUGACGACGAUGAUGAAGUACCAGCAUACACCACAAGAAGAAGCAGGACCACCCUACCUAAAGGACGUCCGUUCAAGAGAAGAACUCCAUUUACGAAAAAUAAGGGCAAGAAGAUUGUGAACAGAUAGCUAGCUAAGAUCGAUUGUAUUUAAAUUGUAGCCUUCAUUUCUCGAUUGUAUUUCAUGGGCACUUUUUGAACUCAUGAAUAUUUUUAAAUUUCAUGGGCACUUUUUGAAUUCAUGAAUAUUUUUUCAAAUUUCACCGCCGCCGCCGCCGACCCCCCGCACCCUCCCCCGCUCCACCGCCACCGACGACCCACCGCACCCUCCCCCGCUCCACCGCCNNNNNNNNNNNNNNNNNNNNNNNNNNNNNNNNNNNNNNNNNNNNNNNNNNNNNNNNNNNNNNNNNNNNNNNNNNNNNNNNNNNNNNNNNNNNNNNNNNNNNNNNNNNNNNNNNNNNNNNNNNNNNNNNNNNNNNNNNNNNNNNNNNNNNNNNNNNNNNNNNNNNNNNNNNNNNNNNNNNNNNNNNNNNNNNNNNNNNNNNNNNNNNNNNNNNNNNNNNNNNNNNNNNNNNNNNNNNNNNNNNNNNNNNNNNNNNNNNNNNNNNNNNNNNNNNNNNNNNNNNNNNNNNNNNNNNNNNNNNNNNNNNNNNNNNNNNNNNNNNNNNNNNNNNNNNNNNNNNNNNNNNNNNNNNNNNNNNNNNNNNNNNNNNNNNNNNNNNNNNNNNNNNNNNNUCCACCGCCACCGACGACCCCCCGCACCCUCCCCUCUGCCCUCUAUCACAGCGGGGACAACAGGAAGCCGCCGUCGCGCCCCUCUGCACCGGCUGCCCACGGCGCCUCCGUCCCGAAGCCGCAGCCCAAGUGCCCACCACUCUCUGUCCACGGUGAGCCAUCCUCUCUGUCCCAACUCUCUGUUCUUCUUUUUUAGCUAUCCUUUGUUGAAACAGUAGUUGCUGUGUAGCAAAUCUUUGGGAUUAGUGUUCAGUACUUUGUUGGGUGAGCGGCCAUCUGAGACAUCCUGCUUACAUAGUCUCCUUUUUAAAACUCGUCAAAUUGGUUUUAGAUAGAAAUGAUCAACACUCAAUUGGCCAACUGCAUGUGGAAUGAUUUCGAAGGGCGCCAUAACUUAUUGUAGAUGCUGACUACAAUAACAAUACUAAACUCAGUGUAGUCUGUUGUAAAGACACUUGUGCUUCUUUCAUCUGGAAAGGGGUCGUCUGGCCUCCAAAACUGUCAGAUUAGGUUGUGCUGUAACUCCUCACAUGGCCAUGUUUUUGGAAGAUUGGUCGUUUGUCACCGGCCCUUUGGUCACCCAGCAAUGGGACUUGUAUCAUAUUGCCAAUGAGGUUAAUAAAACAGUAGUGCAUCAGUACUUUGUUGGAACAGAAAGUCAGAAAAUCAGAAAAUCCACGGUACUUUGUUUAGAUCUUCACUGUUGACAAACGCAGUCAACUAAAAAUCCAGUUCAGUGCAUAAUUAGUGUUGACAAAUACACUGAUCUUUAUCUGCAGUAAUUCAGUUUAAACUGAAAAUUCAGUGUUGUAGUACAGAAAAUUUAAACUGAAAAUUCAUAGUCUCCUGGUGCAUAUUGAUCUCAGUGUAUGAAUUCAUAGUGUUUCAAAUUACUGAUGCUAUGGUCCAGGAGUAGAAAAAUUUGUACUCCAAGAUCAAUAUGGUUCAAUUUCUACUGUACUGUAAUCAAAGUGGAUAUAAAUUGCAGAGUGUUUAUGUUGGCAUUCGACAACAUCUAAAUUUACCAAAUGAUUGUGAACUCAGUUUAUGUUUGCAACCAAAUGCUUAGUUCAUUGUUUACUCCAAAUGAUUGUGAACUUAUUCAAAGUUUCCAAUAUUGUUCAGACACUACUUGUACUGGAACUGGAACUACUACUACUGAUGCAGCACCCCAUGUAGUUUAAGUUUUCUUUAUCUUAAACUCAGACAGCUCUCUAAUUAUUGGAGUUUAUAUCAUAUAUAUUGCUGGCAUGUAUUUCAUAUGUUCUGUAGCAUUAAGGCUACAUAGCAUUGCUUUUGUCUCUGACCAUCGUGUCGUGAUGAUAUUGUGGGGUGUUGUGGGGUUGCAGAGGCCCUUGAGUUUCAUCGCGAUGAUGCUAAUCGUGAUGACCGCAGCUCUCUUCUAUGUGAUGGUAGUUUAGAUGAUCGAUAUCGACUUGUAAUGUGAAGACAAACUCGCUACUCGCGGUUUCGAGACUUGUAGUGUUCUAACUUUGUUUGGUCUUUUGAAUUCGGAGACUAAUAUGAUGAAUUGUAUUCGGAGACUAAUCUUCUAUUGUAUUCGAUAACUCUGCUGUUUAUAUGUUGUGUGUCUAUAUUCUGUGCAGUAAUAUGUUUUGUAACCUGUGCAAAUAUCAGAAAAGAAAAAAAUCCCUAAUAUUCAUACUAGUGGCGCACCACCCAGAACUUUAGUGGCGCACUGCAAAAUGCAUACUAGUGGUGCAUCAGCAAGCAGUGCGCCAUUAGUAAGCCAGAGACAUGGUUAAAUAUGGCCCCCUGGGAGGCAUUCUAAUGGCGCAUCAUAGGGUGUACUAAUAGCGCACUACAUGGUGCGCCAUUAGUAUCUGAUAUACUAAUGGCACACUUGUGGUGCGCCAUUAGUAAUAAAAUCUAAUGGCAUGGUACUAGUGGCGCACCUGUAGUGCGCCAUUAGUAGGCAAAACAGGUGCGCCACUAGCAGCCCUUUUCCUAGUAGUGUCUAAAACGAUUUUCGAAAAAUUUGUCUUUUCUUCGCCCCUCUUUCGUGCGUCUUCUUCUUUUGCUCUUUGUUCGCUUGUCCGUUUGAUCUUUUAUCUUGCUGUCAUGGCUAGUUUUCCAUCCUUGUUAGCACUCCCAAUAAUAAGGUCCUCAACUUCAAACAAAGGGAAGGAGAAAAUUUAAAAGAUGCUUGGUAUAGAAUUUAUAAUGCUCAAAUUUGAUGAUUACUGCUGGAGAUGACUAACAUCCUAGAUGUUACUCACUAUGUCUAGAUACAUUCGUUUGAGUGUCAACUAAUUCUGAACAUCUUAGGUGUUACUCCCAAGUCUAGAUACAUUUUUUUGAGUGGCAACUAAUUCUGAAUGGAGGAAGUACACAAAGCUAAGCCACAGCCAUGAAAUAUAUAUAGGGCGGGGGGCGCUCGUUCCACAAGGAGCGGCGGGUAGCUUAGCUAUAGCUCGAUCGAUGAAUAUGGCUGUAGAUGGGUUUGGUGAGCUGGGCAUUCGUGUGGUGAGUCGCCGGCUGGUGCUCUGCCUGCCAGCUACUGCUCUGCCUGCCGCUCCACCUCCUUGUCGAUCGCGCCCACCCAAACGGACGUCCAUGACACAUACACCGACAAUGUGCUCCUCCACGGCCACGACUACCCAAGUAGUGGCCACGGCACCUCCUCCACAGGCUCGGGCGUGGGCGGUGCUGGUGGUGGUGGGGGCACGUUGGCCUCCACUCCGGCCGCCAAUUGGGCCAGCGCCUGCGCAAGGCCAGGCCACCUGGCCUUGCUCCUCGCGCUCGGCCUCCACGAUGGCCCUCCAUGUGGCCUCCUCGAGGGACACAACACAGGCCUCCUCGGCAUCCUAAUCCUCCUCCUUCACCACUCCCGGAAGUGGUGGUGGAGUGGCAAGAACGCGUGGUGCACCGGGCGCACACUUGACGCACUACCGGCAAUGUUGGUCGUGCUCGGUGGCAAACCACGCGUCCUAGUUACCGCAUACGUUGGGUCACGGCGGAGGUUGGCUAGGAGUAGAGCAUGGGAUCUCCGUCAGCUGUGCGCGGCCUGAGGCCGGCACCGGAACCCUAGCAAGGUUGAGGUCCCACCCGUGCGGUAGGUUCACACUGGGCUAUGGCGCAGGCACGCCAUACUCCCAAAAGUACUGGUAGCGGUGCAUCGGCAUGUAGUGCCGAAACCAUGGCUGCCGACUCAAGGUCGAUUUAUCUGUUCUUAUAAACUAGCGAAUUAGCAACUAUAUUACCCAAGAGUAACAACCAAGUCAUAUAUACAAUGUACGCUUGCAACCAUUGAAUAAAUUGUACAGAAUACCAAACAAAGAAGAUUGAACGAGGUCGUGGAACAACUCACAUGCACCAUCCACAGGUCAAGUGGAUGAUCCCAAUGAUGAGCGAAUGAUCCUAAUGACGAGCAGUUGGCGAGAUUAUGUUGCUCUUGUGAUGGUUAGUGAUGUCUGCGCUAGAGCUUGCUUACAACCUUGCGAGGUAAGGAGCUACGGCUACAUGCGUAUUAGGUUUUAUAAGCCGUGAAACCUCGAUAAAAGUUGCCGCUAUAAGUUUUUUCUUCAUGUCACUAUAAACCUUAUNNNNNNNNNNNNNNNNNNNNNNNNNNNNNNNNNNNNNNNNNNNNNNNNNNNNNNNNNNNNNNNNNNNNNNNNNNNNNNNNNNNNNNNNNNNNNNNNNNNNNNNNNNNNNNNNNNNNNNNNNNNNNNNNNNNNNNNNNNNNNNNNNNNNNNNNNNNNNNNNNNNNNNNNNNNNNNNNNNNNNNNNNNNNNNNNNNNNNNNNNNNNNNNNNNNNNNNNNNNNNNNNNNNNNNNNNNNNNNNNNNNNNNNNNNNNNNNNNNNNNNNNNNNNNNNNNNNNNNNNNNNNNNNNNNNNNNNNNNNNNNNNNNNNNNNNNNNNNNNNNNNNNNNNNNNNNNNNNNNNNNNNNNNNNNNNNNNNNNNNNNNNNNNNNNNNNNNNNNNNNNNNNNNNNNNNNNNNNNNNNNNNNNNNNNNNNNNNNNNNNNNNNNNNNNNNNNNNNNNNNNNNNNNNNNNNNNNNNNNNNNNNNNNNNNNNNNNNNNNNNNNNNNNNNNNNNNNNNNNNNNNNNNNNNNNNNNNNNNNNNNNNNNNNNNNNNNNNNNNNNNNNNNNNNNNNNNNNNNNNNNNNNNNNNNNNNNUAUAUAUGUAUAUAUAUAUGGGGCAUGAAACUGCAAACUACCACUAUUGUUGCCGGUGGACCUCCCGGCUCCGGUGCACAUCCCAACGUCGCCCUCGUGAAGCAAGCGAAUGGCCCCGCGAGCAUGUGGACGUUGUCCAUGUGGCAUUGGGUUCCCGCUUCUUGAGUGAACCGGAAAAAAAACCCAAAGCUGGUCAAUCUUCGGCUCGAAAGGAAGCCUGGCUUAUGGUUUUGUGUUUUCGCGCCGGCGUAGCCGCUCUCCGUCUGGGUGAGCGAGCGGUGGAGGACUGCCGCAAUGGAGGAGAUGGUGGUCCUUGGGCCCCGAUGCCUUUCGUGGCAUGAGGGCCGUGUCUUGUAUUCGAUGGCCGGGGACGCCAUCCGGAGCAGCUUGAGAAGGCACCGUCGGGGCUUUGCGCUUGCACCCCUAUGCAGCCAUGCCCGGCGCAGCGGGCUGUCCGCUGUGUGUCUUGCGGAGUCUGAGUGCAUCCAUCGGCUGAUUUUUAUUUUAUUCUUUCGAUGAGGAUUAGUAGUCGGAGAGUAGAUAGGUUCUUCCUCGAUCCCAUGAUAUAAAAGCUUGGGUGUUCGUUGACGCUAGCAAUGUCAAAAACGCUCUUAUAAAAUGGGAGGGAGUCCCUCGCAAAGAAAAAAAGAGAGUAGAUAGCUACUUUAUCUUUUAUUUUGAAGGUGGGAGUAGAUUGAUAACUACUUAGUGCACGUACGAAAAGAAAGACACGAUCGCCUAAAAAAAAGAAAUACUAUAUUGAGAUAUAUAUAGGGCGUGCGGGCGCUAGCAGUUCCACAACGAGCGGCGGGUAGCUAGGUUCAACAUCCAUAUAGGUUGAAUAUGGCUGUAGAUGGGUUUGGCGAGGUGGGCAUUCGUGUGGUGAGUCGCCGGCUGGUGAAGGCAUCCGACCCCUCCAUCCAACCGCAGGUGGUGCCCCUCUCCAACCUCGACCUGUACGUCGGCAACGUACAAGUCGCCAUACUAUGCCUCUAUCCCAAGCCUCCGGCGGGCAGGGAUUUCGCCGGCGUGGUGGCCACCUUCGAGUCCUUGCUGCCGGCUUUACUCAACGAGUUCUACCCUUUCGCCGGCCGCAUCGGCACCAACCCAAGCUCAGGCCUCCCCGAGCUGCUCUGCCAGAACCAGGGCGCAGAGCUGGUCGUGGGAGAGGUCCGCGUCGCUCUGGGGAGCCUGGACUACGGCCUGGCGGACAAGUCCCUGAAGAAGCUGAUGCUCCCGUACGCGGAGGACGUCACCUUCUCGGUGCAGCUGCUAUCCUUCGCCUGCGGCAGCUUCUCCGUGCUGUGGGCAACCAACCACCUCGUCGGCGACGGCCAUGACAACAUCAGGUUCCUGCGGAUGUGGUCUGAGCUCGCACGAACGGGCAAAAUCGUCGCCGACGGCGGGGACGGAAAGCUAAGCCACGACCGCUCGGUGUUCCGCCCUCGCAACCCGCCGUCAUACAGAGCCUCGCUCGCCACCGACCUAACGACGUUCGACCCGCGCCGGCUGGUAAACGUCCUGACGGCCCACGACAGCUUCGUCGACCGCCUCUACUACAUCGACGCGGCCGACAUCGCCAGGCUGCGCGAGAUGGCGAGCACCAAGCUGCAGCGCUCGUCACGCGUCCAGGCCGUGUCCGCGUACCUGUGGAAGGUCCUCGCCGGCGUGGUUGCCGCUUCCCGCGUGCCCGAGGAGCGCUGCCGCAUGGGGUGGUGGGUGAGCGCGCGCCGUCGUCUCACGUCGCCUGACCUCGCCUCUGCGAUGCGCAACUACUUCGGCAACGUCACGACCUAUGCCUACGGGGACGCGACGCUGGAGGAGAUCCAGCGCAAGUCGCUCGCGGAGGUGGCGGCCAUGGCGCGGGAGCCGGUCGCCUCCGUCAACUACGACGAGUACAUCCAGGAUCUGGUGGACUUCGUGGAGGUGCACAAGGGACAAGGGCUGAUGGAGACGGCCGUCGUCGGGCUGGGCAGCCCGACCCUAAGCCAGUCCGUGUUCGACUCAUUCCCACUCGACACCGACUUCGGCUUCGGCCAAGCUGCUCUCGCCAUGCCCAUCUCCGACUUCGCCAACCUCUGCUCAGCCUACCUGUCCAUCAGCGCGCGGCCGGCAGGCGACGGCUCCUGGCUCGUCAGUGCCUACAUAUGGCCGCGUCUCGCCGCCGCCCUCGAGGCCGAUGAGCAGCACAUCUUCAAGCCUCUCACGGCGGACUACCUUGGCCUCACAGCCUGCUAGACAACACCCACGCUAUUCUGUGUGUUCUUUUAGCCAACAAUAAAAUUCCUUGGUGUUUUGCUCUUCUUCCAACAAUAAAAUCCUUGUGUUGUGUUGUGUGGUGCUAUGUACUUUGGUUUUUUUCUUCAUCCAACAAUAAAGUUAGGAAGCGUUACUUUUUGAAAAAUAGCACACCUUAUAUAUACAUUUACUUUGAAAGUUAGAGAGGAUUUACUUUGAAAGUCACAGGUUUGCCAAGCACCUGAGGAAAAACACUCGGCAAAGCCAGCCCUUGGUUUCCGUCAGCCAAUAAAAGAUAGAUCACACGCGUGGCCGCCUGCUUAGCUAUAACCAAGGGCUCGCCGCCGCCAUACCCCCUUCACCUCCCCGCUGCCCCCAUCGGCCUCCUAAUUCCGACCACAGCCGCCUCUAUCCCCCACUAGCCGUCCAACUUUCUCCUCUUCAUAGAUCUAAAACUAGGAAUGGGUUGGAGGGCUCAAUGAACUAGAUCUACUAUAUAGUCAUCUUUGAGCUCAGCUAUUGGGCAUCAUUGCUAGUUGCAAGCUCCCAAUUGGUCACAUCACUGCUAUUCAUAUACCAGCGGGAUCAAAUUGGCCUCUACACGAGUAAGUUGGUCCCUACGGUGAAGUACAGCAGUGGGCCCAUAUUGGCACCCACCACUGAUAGGUGGCAAAGUAAAAUUGGCAUGUGAAAAGAAUUGCCAUGUACUGAUAAGAAUUUACCAGUGCGGUCCCACUUUGCACACACCACUGGGAAAAAAAUGAGACCAACCCAAGGGAUAACCCUCGUUGGCAUUUUCUUUAUAGGAGAAACUUCGCGAGCACCACACGUCCAAGCCGAAGCUCGAACUCGCGUGGGCUGGCAGCUACCCCAGCUACCGAGCCGACGGGUCGACGCCCCGUCCUCGCACACACCUAUGUGAUUUGGCUAUAUUAUGAGUUGGUGGGCCAUUAGUGUUUUAUGCAUAUUCCAAAAAAUCACAUUGUUUUACCAAUAUUCUGCGGCAGAAGCUUAUCCUCAAAGUGCACAUAUCCCAUAUUUACGAAAAAUACUCGUUUAUUCGUUUUUCUGCAGACCGCUCGGCGUUAAGGUUGGUUUACAGCCGAGCAAGCCGACUGCUCGGCGGGAUGAAGAUGAAAAGGCAGUGGGCUAAGCCGCGUGUGUUUUAUCAACUACAUGGGCUACAUUUAGGUAUUUCAAAACCAAAGGGCAAUAUAUAAGCCGAGUAAGGCGUUAGAGGACACUCGGCCAAUACCAAGACGUCGUCAUGGAGCCGUCAAGCACGUGGCAAUAGAAACACUGCAGUUGCUUGCGUGAGCCACACGUGUAUGCCGUGGUUUUUCUACAUAAUAUAUCGUGUUCUUUCUGUAGGCCAUGCGUCUUUUUACGUUGUAUUCGGUUUACAUGGAGCUAAGUUGAGGGACCUGCAAAUGCCGUGUGUUUUCAAGAUGGUACUCGGCUUAGGGUCUCUUUGAUUCAAAGGAUUUUGAUAGGAUCUUUGAAGGAUUAAAAUCCUGAGGAAGUUUUCCUAUGUUGGUCGUUUGAUUUGUAGGAUUGAAUCAUGUAGGAUUUUUUUCUAAAGAUGUAUUUGUACUACAUUUUACAGGAAUUCUAACAUCCACUCCAACCUUUUGGAAGAAAUCCUUUGUUUUCUCCAUGACACAAUCAAACAAACUCAAAUCCUAUAGGAAUCCAAUGGACAUGUCAUUCCAAUCCUACGUUUUUCCUAUGGAAAACUAUUAAAAUCAUCCGACUUAUUUUUCACGAACGUAAACCGUCUUUGACGGACGCCACGUGUCCCUGCUGGUCGCUCACUCCUUAUCCUUAUCUUUUCUCCAGAAGAAGCGUGAGCCACUCAUUCCUUUUCCUCCUUUUUCUUCUUCCUUCGAGCAAACAUGCUUUCCCAGGGACGGCUCUCUCCAGCAAUCCCAGUCGCCGCUCACUUCGUGUUGAUGUAGGGCUAGGCUGAGAGGAUGCUCCUUCCAUGGCCGGCGGCGGAGCUGCGUUUGGUGAUGCGCGACGAUGUUGCGGCCACGUUGACGGCAAAGCUGCGUUGGAGCAGAAGGUGCUACGAGCUGCUGCCAUGACCGGCGGCGCUACUGCACAGCAACGGCGAAGCUGCGUUUCAGCAGCAAACAGCUAUGAGCUGCUGCCAUGGCGGGCAGCAGAGCUACAUGGCAGCAUGCAGCAGGCGAUGCGUCAAUGAAACUUGGCCGGAGCUCCAUUGAAGCUUCGCCGGUGCGUCAAUGAAACUUCGCCGGAGCUCCAUUGAAGCUUCGCCGGUGCGUCAAUGAAGCUUGGCCGUAGCUCCAUUGGAGCUUCGCCGGGGCGUCAAUGAAACUUCGCCGGAGCUCCAUUGAAGCUUCGCCAGUGCGUCAAUGAAGCUUCGACGGGGUGGCUCGGUGUUGCUAUGGAGCAGCACCCGGUGGCUCUCGGUGUUGUGAUGCAGCGGUCGCCGGUGGCUCCGGGGACGCGAGGUCGCCGAGGCAGGGUGACAGGGGAGGGUCUGCGUUGCUCUGCAUCAGGAGGAGUUGUUGUGCGCUGCUCUGUAUCAGAUGGCUGGGGAUUAGUGGAGAAAGGCCCAGGUUGUGUCGCGGCGAUCGAACGACCAUCUGUGCGGACCGAACGGCUGGCUGGGCGGAUGAUAUCUCUAGGAAAUCAUCCGCCUGAUUUGUAGCAGCCGCCUCCUAUUCCUGUGUUUUUGCAAUUCUAUGAAUCUGUCUAAGACGAGUAUCCGAGAAAAUACACCCGGCUUACCAAAAAGCACUAAGCAACAUGUCUUUUUCUCGUAGUGGCCUUUUAAGGUUUUUAUUUUACUUCAUAUAGGGCUCAAAGAGCCAACCUCGCCACCAACAUCGCCUACCAAACUUUGCCCAAGACGUCAUGUCCAUGAUCACAGACCAGUCAGGUUUAAACAUGUUUUCAUCUCUAUGAAAUUCACACAAAAAUUCCAAAUUGACUAGGUGUUUAAACUUAUGUUUCGACAAAGACUCAGACACCUGGACAUUUGAAAAUAGGACAAACGUCGACGCUCACAUGGACGCACCUAGACUCACAUCUAUGAACUUAUACACUAUCUCACUAAAUAGCAUAAAACUACUACAAUUCGGACUAGAGUUUCAAAAAACUACUAAAUAUAUUUUUCCGCUCAUAACUACUAAAUCAGGGGUCGGCUGUUUCAAAAAACCCAAAUCAUCGAGUCUUUAGUAAUUGAUCACGAUUAUGACAGUUGGGGCCAAGCGUAAGAUAACCGUUUGUUUGACCGUUUAGUUUGAAUGUUAACUUACAUGUGGGUCCCACAUGUUAGUUUUUUUAAAAGCAAUCAGGUCCCUGUAAGUUUUCUAAAAUAGCAACCGGGUACAUGUGAGUUUUCUAUAAGGUCCCUAAAAGUUUUUGCAAAAAGCAAUAUAAUCAGGUCUCCAGAGGAGCCGCGCCCGCGGCAGCCUGCUCGAUCCCGAGCGCUCUGCCCGAACCACGACGCUGCCUCCAUCGGCCGGCCAGCCGCGCCCGCAACGGCCGAAUCCACGCCGUGCCUCGCCUGCCACCAUGGCGUGACUCGCAUGCCGCCAUGUCAUGCCUCGCUGGCGGCCGCUGCCACGCCGUGCCUCACCUGUGGCUGCCGCCAUCCCCUGCCGCGAGCUCCUCAAGCUAGACGUGGACGGCCUGCGCCGCUGCUGGAGUGCGCACCUCCCAUUGCCGCGGACGAGGUCGCUGUCUGCUAUGCCUCCUCGAAGCCACCGUCACCACCAGGAGCUACGGUGAGCACCUACCACGACCAUGGGGAGGGUGGGAAGGAGAGGGAGGGUCGCCGCCAGCCAGGCCCGGCCCGGAUGGAGGGGUAGGGGGCGGCCGCCCCAGGCCCCCGAAAUUGAGGGGACCCCACGUUCGUGUGCUCUCUGUAUCCAGCCCAUGUGCUCUCUGUAUCCAGCUGAUGAGAAAAAAUGAUUCUGGGCUACUUUUGAUGAAACAGACCUGUACAUGUAGUGGAACUUGUGUUUCCCUCGCGUAGGUCCGCGGAUGACGACAUGAGCGAUCAACCUAGCGAUAUAUCCUACAAGCCCGAGGGAAACCCCGCCGCCGACACAGCCUCCUCCCGUGGAGGCCUCCCCCGAUGAUUUCUCGUCCAAUGGCGGAUCGAGUAAUUUCAUGUUCAUCGCCCUGGACAGGAGUAACAACACCACCGGCCCUGGCAGGCAGUUUUAAACUACAGAGGUCAGGUUAGCAUCUUCCUGAUGCAUCAUCCAACGGAGCUAGCUAGAUUGAUAUGUGACUAGUUGGUGGCAGAAUUAUUAGAUCUAGUGUAUUAGCGGAGAGGAGUAGGACGUAGUUGUCCUUCUGACUAAUUUUUUUAAUGCAAUCCUUCCGAUUAAUUAAUCUGGUCGUGUUGGAGAUCGAUGAAAGAUGAGGGGAGAGGAUGUCUAGAAUCCAUGGGAUAAUGAUAAUUGGCAAGCUGAAAUUAAUUGGAGGAUUCAUGGUCGAUUCAAUAUGAUUAGGUGGCAAAAUUAAUUUUUAGUAGCUAAAAAAAUUAACUUUUAGUGUUGCAAACUAUGAAGCUAUUCUACCUGCAUGCCACCAAGAGCAGUUCAAAUUACUUUUUGUUUGCCAAACUAUGAAAUAUACAAUGCAUGAAACUUCCCUAUCAAAAUCUUAGCAAAAGUGAGAAAUAAUAAUUAUAAUAAUGUAUAAUUAGAACCCGGAACUAGGUCGACCAGCUGGUUUUGCACGCCAUGAUAAAAAAAUUAACAACAAUUCAUGUUUAAAAUUUAUCUAGACAUGCACAUAAUGAUUAUAAUUUUGGAUAUAUAAAGGGCCUCCGAUUGUAUUUUUGCCCCGGGCCCCUGAAAUCUCAGGACCGGCCGUGCCGCUAGCUUGGGAUGGGAGGGGACGGUCGUCGGCUUGGGAGCGGAGGGGAGGGUCGCCGGCUUGGGAGGGGAGAUGGCCUGCUCGGGAGACACCAGAAGAGAGACGAGAAGAGACAAAGAGGAAGAAGAAAGAGAAUAGCAAGAGGAAACUUACAUGUAGGCCCCACAUGUAAGUUAACGGCCAAACUAAGGUCAAACUGACAGUUUGUUUAGGUGCGGGCCCAACCUGUCGUGACCGUGAUCAACCGAUAAGGACUCGGGGAUUUGGGUUUUUUGAAACAGCCGACCCCCCGGCUUGGUAGUUAUCAGCAAAAAGAAUUUGGUAGUGUUUUGUAACCCUAACGUGAAUUGUAGUAGUUUUAUGCUAUUUACUCAAACGAUCUCUAUGAGCAUUUUCAAGAUACUGAACCGGCACAUCAUUUUGAGAUUGGUGAACACCACAGACGUCUUCAUAGUUGACAGAAACGUCUCCUCCCAAUGAACGAACAUCGCAAAAGCCUGAAAUAAAUCCCAAAAACUGUCAGCACCAUUACCAAGUUUAAAACUUGAACCCUGAUAGGGUUGGUUCCACCACAAGAAAUCUAACUAUUUGAGCCAUGCACAUCUCAUAGUUUUCCCUGUGGCCAUGGAGGGUGCCACAUAUGUAACCCAUUAAUAUGGGAACCCAUACCUGUAAGCUUGUCAGCAUUUAUAGGCUAUAUAUGCUAAUCAAUUAUAAAAAAAACUGGGAUAACAAGUUUGAACUACACCCAUUAUUCCUCCGCCUAUAUAUUGUCGUGCAUGCAUGCCAGUGCCAUAUACGGAAACAAACCGACCGAGAAGGCCCUUAAUUAACAGCUAGCUAGCUCUCUUGGUCGAAUAUGGUAACUGCUAAUGCUAUUGGCUCCGGCGACCUGAGCAUCCGUGUCCUGAGUCGCCGCCUUGUCAAGGCCUCCGACCCAUCUACCAAGCCGCACGUAGCCGCCUUCUCGAACCUCGACCUCUACCCUGGCAACGAGCAGGCCUCGAUAGUAUGCCUCUACCCCAAGCUCCCAAACGCCGGUGACUUCCCGGCGGUUGUAGCCACCUUCGACUCCAUCCUCCCGUCGUUGCUCAACGACUUCUACCAUUUCGCCGGGCGCAUCCGCACCAACCCAAGCUCCGGCCUCCCCGAGCUGCUCUGCGACAACCAAGGCGCAGAGCUGGUGGUCGGCGAGGCCGGUGUCGCCAUGGCCAGCCUGGACUACGGCCUGGCGGAGCAGUCGUUGAAGAAGAUAAUGCUUCCGUACGCCGAGGACGUCACGCUCUCGGUUCAGCUGCUCUCCUUCGCCUGUGGCGGCUUCUCCGUCGUGUGGGCGACCAACAACCUUGUGUGUGACGGCCAAGCCUUCACCAUGUUCGUCAGGAGGUGGUCCGAGCUCGCCCGAACUGGGCGCAUCGUCGACGGACCGCCCAACCAUGACCGCUCGGUGUUCAGCCCUCGCAGGCCGCCGUCGUACGGAGCCUCGAUCAGGGACAUGUUCGCGACGUACGACCAUGACCGGCUGGUGAACGUGCUGACGGCGCACGACAGCUUCGUCGAGCGCCUCUACUACAUCGAGGCGAGCGACAUCGCUGCCCUGCGGGAGGCGGCAAGCAGCAAGCUCCAGCGCCCGUCGCGCGUCCAGGCGGUGUCCGCGUACCUGUGGAAGGCCCUCGCCCGCGUGGUGGCCGCGUCCCGCGUGCCGGAGGAGCGCUGCUGCAUGGGGUGGAUGGUGGACGCGCGGCGGCGGGUGAAGGCGCCGGAGCUCGUCCGGGCGAUGGGCAACUACUUCGGCAACGUUACGGCCUACGCUCUCGGGGAGGCAGCCGUUGAGGAGAUACAGGAGAAGGAGCUGUCGGAGGUGGCGGCCAUGGUGCGGGAGACCAUCACGUCUAUCGACUACGAUGAGUACACCCAGGAGCUGGUGGACUGGGUGGAGGAGCACAAGACAGAGAGGCUGAUGGAGAAGGGCGUCAUCGGGCUCGGUACGCCCACCUUGAACCAGACGGUGUUCGCGUCGUUCCCGCUCGACACCGACUUCGGCUUCGGCCAUGCCGUGCUGGCAAUGCCCAUGUGCGACUACGGGAGGCUCAGCUCGGGGUACCUGUCGAUCGGAGCUCGGCCGGGAGGCGACGGCUCCUGGCUGGUCAACGCCUACAUAUGGCCUCGCCUCGCGGCGGCGCUUGAGUCGGACCAGCAGCGCAUCUUCAAGCCUCUCACGGCGGAGUAUCUAGGGCUCGUCUAGGCGUACCACUCUGCUGUCUGCCCGGUUUCUUCUUCAAUAAGUCUUUGCUUCGUCUUUUGAGGCAUGAAAGCAGCUCGUGCUUGUUUUACUUCCACCUAUUUUGCAAUACCCCAAAUAAAGCCCUUCUGUGUGGAGGGUAGUUUGUUUGAUCAAUAAAUGUUUGAGUCGUUCAUAAGGUUUCCUUGAUUAGUAUACAAAUCAGUUGAUGACUACGUUUCACAACUCAUGUGCAUGGAGAUGCUAAACCGAUAGUAUGGACUCGGGGAUGGAGACCACGCAGUCGGACAUACCAACUCUGAGACGCAGCGAGAUGUUGUCAUAUGUUAGUGUCAAGCACAAUGUUUAUGCCAUGUCCUAGACCUAAGGUCCUCGCAUGUUCUCGGGAUGAGUAUCGACUCACUUAAGGUCUAUCAAACGCUACUCCAUAACUGGCUAGAUAUAAAUGUAGCUUUUGGGUGGGUGGUGAGAUAUGCCGCGAGACAUGGCCGACCAAGAUGGGAUUUACCCCUCCUAUUUGAAGAGAUAUUUUCUGGACCCUCUCGAGGGAUCGGAUUCGGAAAGCAUGACCAUGCGACUUGGUUAAGUGUUAACCCAGUGCGGGAAUCUAUAUCACGGUGUCAAGAAGAGAGGUCGAGCUACCACAAGGGUGACAAGUACUCACCUUGAGCUUGACAACAUAUAUCGUGAGGCAAAAGGAAUGUUGCAGAUGAUACAUUGUCGAGGUUCUUCGAACGACUUUACACGCACAUGAGAGUUGGCACGUUCAGCGAGGAGCUGCUACCAACUAUCGACUCUGGUCGUGUCCAUGUGUACGUAAACCUAUAGGGUCGCACACUUAAGGGGCUGCAGGCCAUUCGGAUUGGAUUCGAGUGGAAAUGGUUUUACUCCUAGUGGGCCUCAAGUAUUGAGCCUAUCUCGGAGGUCUAUAUAUAGGGGAGUGGCCGCACAACUGAGGUUGAUCUUUUUCCACCAUGGACAGCCUCCAUCGCAACUCCCCACGCCCAUCCCGCGCGACCUAACCUAGAUGCCUACCGCCCGACGCUGCUCCCCGUACGUGUGGAUACCUUGCAGGCAUCGCAUCCGUGGUGCUUGGAUGAACUGUUCGAGGGAACCGCGAGGUGCCGUUCGCGGGAGAUCAACGUUCACAGGUCUUUGUUGUUCGCGGGAGAUCGACGACGCGAGGAGGAGACGCCUCGGGAGAUCGUCUACAUGCAUCUCCAACUCUAUUUUCUGCUGCGGUUACUGCGCGUCUAGUGGUAAACUCGAUCUCAUGAUCUAUUUCCAGCAACUUGAUCUUGGGUGCGUGGUAGAAUUUUUUUUAUUUGGCUCUAGCUUAGCAUACCGCGUGUUUCUACAGUCGUAUCAGAGCCUAUGCUACGUGGUAUUAGAUUCAAGGUAGAAUUUUCAAAUGAUGAUAUGUAGAUUGCUUUAUGUACUGGCCGAUGAGAUCGGUUGUCAAUAUGAUUGACUAUACAUGGUGUCAGGCAUUCGAAAUUGUGAUCUAAUUUUCCGUGAUGAUGUUGUGGAGGUCGUGGCACAAAUUACCUAUACCGGUCGGUUUCGGCCAUCGGGUAAGACAGUGGAACGUAAAGUCGGUCACAACACGCGAAGACCAAUGAGAUUGGUUGAAUCAGAUAGAUGGUCAAAAUAGGAUAAAUAUGAUUUGCCGGUGAAAAUUCCCAUGCAAAAAUGCAUAGAUAUUGCAAGGGCGCUGCCAGUUGACCCCACAGGGGGCAAAGCCCCAUCGACCCCCAUCCUGUUAAUCUCUUAGGGCGGUGGAUAACUUGUUUUUGCAGGUAAUGCUUGUGAUUUGGUACAACCCGGGUAUGUUGCAUGUACGUAAUUAUAUCAUGACCUGCGUGUCGAGAGUACAAUAACUGGUUGGAGCCAUAUGGUUGUCCCAUUAUUGUAUUAAUGACCUUCAUGUCAACAUGAGAAGCAUUGUAUUGUUAUUUACUUUCAAUAGCUAUUAGUUUGUAAUAGCGUAGUAUCUUAUGUAACACUUGGCGGUUGACACCAUGGCGUGGAGAUGAAGAUCUCCACGAGGACAACCAUGCAUGGAGAUGGAGAUCACCAUGGGCAGGCCGUGCAGGUGGAGACGAAGAUCACCAUGCGAUAUCAAAAGGGGCUAAACCAUAUCACACAUAUAAACUGCCUGUGAAAGUUUAUCUCUGUUAUGCACCCUUCUUUUGCAUGGUAGACGUUUCAAGUAGGGUGAUCCCUCAAAGAAUGUCAAGUAAAAAUGCCUCUCCAAAUGUUGCACCAUCACACAUCAAGUAUACUUAGUGGUGGGAUUAUAAAAUUAAGGUGCCAUUUGGUGUCCUUGAAGUGAUGGGUUCGGUUCGGACACUUACAUGCAUAGCAUUGGUUAUCUUGUCGUGGCUAUCAAAACAGUUUUGGGCCUCGAGGCGUAGGAGUUGGUGCGACAUGAGAUGUCCCCAACAACAAGAGUCGUAUGGAGACACGAUUAGCAAGAAAUACUUAUGGAGUGAUCUCGUCUUCUAGCAGUGAUGCAAAUGCUCACUAGUUAACAUGUUGAUCUUGGAUCUUGAAUCACUAAGUAUCAUCUGAGGGAUGUUGAUUUUAUUUGGAGUGAUGAUCUUAUUAAAAUGUUUAAUAUGAAUUACUCUUCAUGAAUACAUGUCUUAGUGUUUUGCAUCUUUCUGUUGGAGAUCAGAGGCACCACCUGCUCAAGUUACUCCUUUUGCGCUGAAAACAAUCCUAGAAAAAGAUAAAUGGAAUGGGACAAACUUUACGACCUGGUAUAGAAAUCUGGGAAUUGUUCUUAGGCAUGAGAAAAAGGACCAAGUUCUAGAAAAUCCGCUUCCAGAUGUACCUGCCAAGAAUGCUAAUGCCACAACCAGGAGUGCCUACCAGAAACCCAUUGAUGAAUAAAAUGAGAUCAUCUAUCUCAUGCCGGCUUCAAUGGAGCCCGAUCUACAGCAGCAGUUCGAAAACAUUAAGGCUUUCGAUAUGAUCGAGAACCUCAAAAGCAUGUUUCUGAUGUAGGCUAGGACCGAAAGGUUCAACGUCUGGCUAUCCUUGAUGGAUUGUAAGUUGAAUGAAAGUGAUCAAGAUGACUAGGUACAUGCAAGCUUUGGAUUGGUUGGGCUUCCCACUUGGGAACGUUCAACUCGAACUACCAUAUGCAUGGGAUGGAAAAGAAGCUCACUGAAUUGCAUGGGAUGCUCAAGGUGGCAGAGCAGGAUAUAAAGAAAGUUACGCAUCGUCAAGUGUUGAUGGUGCAGAACUGGGCUAAGUUCAAGAAGAGAUGUUCCAAGAAAAAGCAUAAGGCAAACGGCCAGGAGGAGAAGGCAACUCCAACUUCUGCCGUUGCGCCUAAGUCAGGGCCAGCCGGGGACCGUUUUCUUUCACUGUAAGGAACACGGCCACUAGAAAAUGAACUGCAACAAGUGGCUUGUCGAGAAGGGCAAGAAGACUGGAAGUGUCACUUCUUCAAGUACACUUAUUGUAUAUGUUAUAGACAUUUAUCUUGCUGAUGUUUCUAGUAGCUCUUAGGUAUAUGUUACCGGAUCGGAUGUUCACAUAUGCAUCUCGAUGCAGAGUCUAAGAAGAACUAGGAAUGUUGGAAGAGAAGUUGACAUACACAUCGUGAAUAAAGCAAGAGUUGAUGCAUUGGCCGUCAGCACUAUGCAACUUAAUUUACCUUCAGGAUUUGGAAUGGAACUUGAUAAUUGUAAUUAUGUUCCUGCUUUGAGUCAAAACAUUAUUUCUGCCUCAUGUUUGAUGAUACAAGUUUAUGAAAUAAGUAUUAAGGACAAUGGUUGUUCUAUGUACUUGAAUAAAAUGUUUCAUGGCUUUCCACCUAUUGUGAACGGGUUAUUAAUCCUAGAUCUUGAAGGUGAGCCAGUCUAUAACAUAAAUGUCAAGAGGCAUAAGCCUAACGAAAUAAACCCGACUUACAUCUGGCAUUGUCGACUAGUACACAUUAGUAAAAGUGCAUGAGGAAGCUCAAUGAUGAUGGAAUUCUAACUUCAUUUGAUUUUGAAUCAUUCGAGACAUGUGAGUGUUGCCUUCUUGGCAAGAUGACUCAGACUCCUUUUGCAAGGAGUUGCGAAAGGACGUCCGAGUUAUCGAAACUCAUCAUAGUGAUGUAUGUGGACCAAUGAGCACGACAGCAGGUGGUUUCCAAUAUUUCGUGACGUUUACAGAAAACUUGAGUAGAUUUGGAUAUGUCUACUUGAUGAGGCACAAGUUAGAAACUUUUGGAAAGUUCAAGGAGUUUGAGAGCGAAGUGGAGAAUCAACUCGGCAAGAGAAUCAAACUUCUACGAUCUGAUCGUGGCGGUGAGUAUAUGAGCCAGGAGUUUGAUGAUUAUCUAAAGAGUCGUGGAAUAGUUCCACAACUGUAUCCUCGGGGUAUGCCACAGAGAAAUGGCGUGUUGGAACGAAGGAAUCGGACUCUGUUAGACAUGGUCCAAUCAAUGACGAGUCGGUCGGAUUUACCUUUGUUAUUUUGGCGAUACGCUCUAGAAACUGCGUAUUUCACACUAAAUAGGGUACCAUCCAAGUUUGUAGAUAAGACGGCAUAUGAGAUAUGGACUGCGAAGAGUCACAGUUUGUCUUCUCUAAAAAUUUGGGGUUGUGAAGCAUACGUCAAGCGACUCCAGUCAGACAAGCGCACACCCAAGUCGGACAAGUGCAUAUUCGUGGGGUAUCCAAGGGAAACCUUGGGAUCUUACUCCUACAUCCGUGAAGACUGCAAAGCGUUUGUCGCUCGACAUGGAGUUUUCCUUGAGAAAGAGUUUCUCAAUCAGAAGGCUAGUGGGAGGAUGAUACGACUCGAGGAAAUUCGAGAACCACAUGGAGUUAGUCAGGGAACCCAUGGUGGAGUCGACGCCAAUUCCACGGAGGUCAGAAAGGUUGCGCAAUAUGCAUGACUGCAAUGUGUUGUUCUUGGAGAACAACGAGCCGGCAACGUAUGCGGAAGCCAUAGAGAGCCCUGAUUCCGAGUUAUUGCUUGAGGCCAUGAGAUCCGGAUUAAAGUCCAUGGAUGGCAAUCAAGCUUGGAACUUGGUUGAUCUGCCAGAUGGCGCUCGAGGCAUUGAGUGCAAACUGGUAGUGAUGCCUAAAUAAAUUAGGACCAUUCUUGCUAUAUCUGCAUAUUUCGACUAUGUUACUAUUAUGUUCUUCAACAGAAGGUCCCAAAUGUUGUUGUGCCUCUGCUGAUGGACGCCGAAAGUGAGAUGACAAUUGUUUGCCCUUUGAAGAUCAGAUUCAAAUAUACAUACUCGACCGAGCGUUAAUCAAAUGGAUGCCUCAAAAUUGAGUGAUGGAGGCAAAUAGUCAAUGAGCUCGGGCCACAAAUUGGAGACCGGGGAUCUCUGUGGUCCAUCAUGGAGAUGUAGUUUUUUUUCUCUGUUUUAUUCUAUUUUACCUAAGACACUGGAGUAGGUCAUAGUACUUGUCAUGUGCUUGAAAGUUACUUACCUAGGAUGAUGACAAUUAGUUAGUAGUGGUUAACUUAUGAUGAUGAUGAUGGUGAUGAUGGUGAUGAUGAUGAUGAUGAGACAUUUUUAUAUAAUUAUGAUCAUGAUGAGCUGUUAUAUCACUACGAUGAUGAUGAGUUAUAUCAUUUUGAUAAUGAUGAGUUGUUACAUGAUGAUGAUGAUGAUGAUGAUGAUGAUGAUGAUGAUGAUGAUGAUGAGUUGUUAUAUAGUUGCUUGUGUAUAAAAAUCUGUAUAAUUAUUGUAUAAAUAUAGUAUAAUAUGUAGAAAGGAAAUACAUAGAGUUAGUAGUGGCGGGGGGCCUCGCGCUAUAGCUAGUUAUUAGUAGCACGGGCCAAACACCGCGCUGCUCCUAAUGUAAGUAGUAUUAGAGCCGAGCCUGGCCCGUCUUACUAGGAACCAGUUAGCUACACGCUGAUGAGUUGUUAUAUGAUGAUGAUGAUGAUGAUGAGUUUUUAUAUAGUUGCUAAUGUAAGUAGCGAGGCAACCCGCACUACUCCUAUGCCUUUAAACCGCGCCACUACUAGCCUUAUCCCUUGUAGUGACGGGCAGAUGGAGCGAUGAAAUGCGCAUGUCCUCAAUGGGCUCCAAACGAGAACAUUCGCCUAACUCAAGAAGUGUGGCCGGUGAUGGAUCGAUGAGCUUCCCUAUGUUCUAUUUAGUGUAGAUAUCACUCUUAAUUAACUUGUUUUUCUGCGGAUAGUAACUAACGCUUUGAGCCUUUGUGGUUUAUCUCACAAUUUUUGUCUUCACAACUGGAGUAGGCCACAAUGUUGAGAUGCAAAAAAAGGUCCAUAAACUAAUUAAAUGGAAUAUCAUUUAGAUACGACACUUAUAAGAUACACUAAAUAUUAAGAGACGUGUUGAGUAUAUAAUGAAUAGGGGUCAUUGUCUCUAAAUAGUUUUCACUAAAUAGGAUGAUGUGUUAAGAGACACUGCGUUGUGAGUUCCCUUUCGCUAAAUUAAUUUGCCCUGGUUCGAUUGCAGAGAUGUGUGCGGAGUUUCUUGGGGGAGUUUGGCAGCCAAUCGAUGAUAACUAGUUCUAGGACGCUACUAGGUCAGAUUCAAAACUGAACAUAUGGCUUGGUCCAAGAGUUUCGGCUCUCACAACCUGAAAAUCUGCAGCUUUCACACUAAAUAUUAAGAGAUUCGAAACUGAACAUAUCUGUCAUUGGUUUGAUGCUGUGGGUCCGUUUCAUUAUCUUUUUUUUUAUCAGGUAGUUGGACGGCCACACCAUGCCCUGAAAAUCUGUCUAGAUCUUGAUCGGGAGGCAUAAGAUUUCUUAUUCUGACAACCCUGAAACUGUUUGCCAUGCAUGCAUUAUCCUUCGCAAAGCGAAUUAAGUUGCCCCUAGACAAGGGCGGAUGGAGUAUAGUUCACUGUAGCUUCAUGAUUCUUUUGUCAGCUUAUUUUUUAGAGCUGCGGCUAUCAUAUUUACACCUGCUGUUAUAUCUGUUUCCAGAACCAUGUGUCAGCAGCUUCUGUUAUCAUAGCCAAUAAAACUAUCACGAAGCUACAGUGUGAGCAAUGAAGACGUUAUAUAAACAGGGAUAAAAUAUAUUGUGCUAAACUGCUCUAUCCAAAACCAUGUGUCUGCUCCUCUUGUUUGUUUCUUUACUAUUUUUCAUAUUGUGGAUGAUCAUGACGAUACAUACUAAAGAGUUUUGCAUAGCAUAUGUAAUUUCAUGCAUACAGACAAUGUUUUUUUAUUGGUGUAUUAUUUCACUCUGUUAAGACAAAAUUAUAUUUUGGAAUAUUGAAAUAAUAAUAUUAGGUAAAUCAUACAUGUGCACUAUGAAGCUAACUUUGUGCAAGAGAAAUGAGUAAAAUUAAGGACAAGAUUUAUACCUAUGCAAUACAAAAAAAAACUAUCUGCAGCAGUAAAUUCAUGUAGCUGGCAACAUUACUGGUACAAAUUAGAUCUAAUUAUAGUGCAUACAUGUACCUUUUUUAGAAAACAAAUCUUGAAACUUCGAUAGAAAAUUUUACGAUUUAUGAAAUUUGAAUGGGAAAACUAAACCAAAACCAAAAGGCCGGGAGUUAAAUGUGAGUGAAAAUAAAUGUCAGGAGGUAUUUGUCAGUGAAAAUAAAUAUGAGUGACACUUCUCCAUGCAAAAAUGUUAGUGAAAAAACUUGAAUUUUCACUGUAAAAACAACCCCAAAAUAAAGGAGGAAGCAGAACCAUCGAAAUGUUUAUGAAACGAACAACCACCAACAUAAGAGAGAAGUCACCAUACUCAUUAAGACGCCCAUGUUCAUCUGAGUAGUUAAGCCACUGCAUAGCAAUUAAUAGAAAGAAAACUGCAUAGAAAUUAAUUUUGAUGGGCUCGUGGAUCACGGCAGAAGCAUGCAUGAAUGCAUAUGUCUAUCGUUGCAGGUCAUUCAUGAGAGCAAUGCAUUCAUAUCUAUCUUUGCACGGAUGGAAAAAUUAGUCUGGCGCCAUAUAUCUUCUAUUUGUUAUACUACAGAAAGACAUAUUAAAAUAAAGUUGCCCCUAAACAAGGUGGAUGGACGACCACUCAUUUUGGCAGACUGUACUCGCACAAUUCGUUUUCCCAAUAAUAAUGUGAAUGGAGAGAGUAUAAUUCACACUGUCGCUUCAUGAUUCUUUUGUCAGCUUAUUUUUUAGAGCUGCCUUUUUUUUUGCGGGAAUAUUUUUUAGAGCUGUCAGCUAUUAUAUUUACCCCUACUGCCAUAACUAUUUCCAGAGCCAUGUGUCGGCAGCUUUUGUUAUCAUAGCCGACAAAACUAUAACGAAGCUACAGUGUGAGCCAGGAAGACGUUAUAUUUUCAGGGAUAACAUAUAUAUUGUGCCAAACUCCUCUAUCCAAAACUAUUUGCCGGCACCUCUUGUUUUGUUUAUUUACAAUUUUAAUAUUGUGGAUGAUCAUGACGAUACGAAGUAAAGAGUUUUGCAUAGCAUAUGUAAUUUCAUGCAGGCAGACAACACUUUUUUAUCAGUGUAUAAUUUUGCUCUGUAAAGACAAGAUUUUAUCUUGUGAUAUUGAAAACAUAGUGUUAGAUAAAUCAUAGAUGUGAUCUUUGUGGAUAAAUUUGUGCAAGAGAAUUGAAUAAAAUUAAGAACAAGUUGUAUACCUGUGCAAUAAAGAAAACUAUCUGCAGUAGUAAAUACAUGUAGGUGGCAACACUCACAUUUUGGUUAUUCCUGUAUAAACAUUGCUAGUGCAAAUUGGAUCCUAUAUAUUGUGCACACGGUGUUCCCGUCCUCGGAUGGUUUCCCCUUGUUCGGUCUUGCUCAUUCUCGUUGCUCACAAGCUCAUGCAAUUGAGAACCUGAGAUCUUCAAUCUGGCCAUCUGGGAUUUCCGGACUUCUCCUUCGAAGGAAAACAAGGACUGGCACAUAUGGCGCUCUUUGGACACCUUGACUAGAUAGGGGCCUGUCGUGUGCACCCGCAACAUCAGCAUAACCAGCUUUACCGGGGUAUCGUGCAGCUCUGUUUUUGUUGGCACCUUGGGACAUGUCUGCACCAAGAUUCCCAUGGGAUCAACACAUGUGGAGAAUGUCAUGGCGUGAUUGAAGGACUUGCAAGUGGCAAAGGCGGGGUCUUGGAUGCGAUGAAGACUUUGCUUCAUAGGCAGUUGUUUAGACAUGGCUUACGGGAUAUGUUCCCAUCCAGACGGGACGUGAAUUCCUGUGAGCCUAAUGGUGCGUGACUUGCAGUAGUAGCCUCCGCAAGUGGGGGUGGCGGCAUUGGAGGACUUCUUUGUUAUUCGGUGCUCCUCUGAGUACCCAAUCAGGAUUUCCAAGGUGAAAACCCAAGGUCUGGCCUUUAUUGGUUGUGCCUGGCAGUAGUCUUGUUGAAGGCAUUAUUGUUGGGAACCUCAUCUUUCUCCAGGGUGAAAACGUAAUAUCUUUGAUCAGGCAACGACAACGCUUGUGCUUUGUUUCCUUCCUGGAGGCAUUGCUUUUGGAGAACCUAUUUUGUAGUCCGGGUGCCAUCUUUGGUGGUGGUUAGAGUGCGGCUACUUCGGGUAUUGAUCACCGUGGUGGGAUAUUUUUUCUUCUCUUUUUAUUUUGAUUUUUAGUUGUGUGCAUCCUGGAUGUUUUUAGGCAUCUUGUUGUUGCAGAGUCUGGGAGUAAUUGGUAUCUGCUUGAUAUUAAUACAUUCUCCUUUACAAAAAAAAAUUACAUAUGCCUUUUCUAGAAUUUUUUUCCUAAAACUUCCAGGGAUGAUUCUAUCAUUUGUUUAAUUUUAAUGGAAAAAUUAAACCAAAACCAAAACGUCAGGAGGUAAAUGUGAGUGAAUAUUAAGGUCAAGAGGUAAAUGUGUUUGAAAUAAAUAUGAGUGACACUUCUCCAUGUGAAAUUGUUAGGGAGAAAACUAGACUUCUCUCUGUAAAAAUAACCCCAAAAUUAUGGAGGAAACAAAACCAUCCAAAUAAACAAUAUAUUGAGAAGUCUAUGAAACGAACAACCACCAAGAUAAAAGAGAAUUCGCCAUACUCAUCAAGACGCCCACAUGUCAAUAGCUCAGUCAGUCAACAUUAUAGCAAUUAAUUUUGAUAGGCUCAAGGAUCAUAGUAGAAGCAUGCAUGAAUCGUUGCAGGUCAUUGAUGAGAGCAAUGCAGAUCACUAUCUUUGCAUGGUCAGAAAAAUUAUUCUGGCGCCACCUAUCUUCUAUUUGUUAAACCAUAUGAAGGCGCAUAUCUCAUCACGAACGAUUAAUCAACAAUAUAUACUACACAAUGACACAUUAAAAUUAUUGCACAUGGGCGAGAUUGAUGGCUUUAUCCUUCAUAUGAUCCAAAUAAUCGUAUUUAUUGUUCACACUGUAACAACAUAAUGGUUUUGUUGGCUAUCUACCCCUGCUACCAUUCCUAUCUCUUGAGCAACAUGCUAGUAUCUUUUGUUUAGUUUAGCUAAAAAGAUUGGAAUGAGAGAUUUCCUUUUUUUGUGCAAUAACAUGAUAGUACAAACUACUGAACUUUACAUAUUUAGGUACUCAAUAAAAUACUGUUAAAGAUAGCUAUAGACAUUAGUCAUAUUAAUUCAACCAUAAGAGAUUAUCAUGUACCAUAUUAGCAUGAUUACUGGUCCUGUUCAAGAAUUCGUCCGAUUAACCAGUUAACUUGGAAAUUAAUCCCUACUUGUAAGGUCAUCGUGUAGCCAAUAAACUGAUAAAUCCUCCGUUUAAUUUCUUAACAGGACAAUUAACUUGCCGAUUACCCUAUUAAUCCCCUACUCCCUAGCCAACCAAGCAGCUACCAGUUAACAAUUUCCUCAACAAAUUUACUGGUAUGUUCCUGUUUAGAUGGUUCACCAAUACACUUCCAAAGUUAUUUUUGAGAAUGAUGCACCCUUUUUACAUUUUUUUGGUAUUAUUCCAUCAAUGCUGCACUACAUCAUAGCAUCUUCUUCUUUUUGGAAUGGCUAUGAAAGGACACGAUAGGUAUGUCUGGUGAACUUUUUGUGGAGAUACUUGGGCUCAUGUGUCUGAGAAUAAGAGGAUGUCCUCCCAUAGGAUUUACAUAUACCAACAACUAUUAACCAUGUCUCAAUGUGAGAUUGGAGACUAAAGAGUCUAGAUUUUAUAAGAUUAACCGGAAGUGUUGACUUCAACCGUGUAUUACUAAUCCACUGCAGUUGAAUUUUUGCAGUUGAAUUUUGCAUAUGGCUAAUUUAUUAAUCAACACCUAGGAGGAAUAGUUUGUAGGAGUUACCUAUAGCGUUGCCCUGGCAAAAGGAAAUGUGAUUGUUUAUCAAAAUUGUUUCUACUUAUAUUGUUUUAUCCCGUUACUACUGCAGCACUAAUUUUUAGUUAACUAAUGAAAGAAAGGCAUCAUAUUGUUUUAUCCCAUUGAUACCAGAGCACCAAUUUUUAGUUCAUUAAUUAUGUUGCUAUCUUCAAGUAUUUUUAAUCUGGAGGAAGUUCCACAAAACAAAAAUGUGAGAGUCAAAAAGGUGAGGGGAAAACGAGCUGAAUACCACCUUCUUUGUCCUGUCUUGCUUAAUCCACUUGAAGCCAGAUUACCACUUCGGCAGGGUAUGCUGAUGGAACUCGAACUAGGAACCUCAGUGACAUUUGUAGCCAUACAUUCAAAACACCUCCAGGCACAUGAUUUCAAAAGAUAUUUUUGAAGCAACAGGUCACCAAGCGUCUAAUUGAGUGUUGUAGACAUGACAAUGUCUAAAAUGGCGACUUUGAGGAAGCGUAAUGGAACAAACAUUGUGUCAUGCAUGUGCUCUCUACCACACCCUCGACAAAAAUCAAGAUCCCAGUCCAGUGGAAUGAGGAGGACUAGGAUAUGGACGACGAAGGGCCCAGCAACUAGAUAGAGACAACUUAGGAGUGAGCCAUAGGAAGAUCAUCUAGUGCACUGGGUGUGUGGAUUUGAGGGCCCACUUGUAAGAGAGUGCGUAUGCGUUUAAAAGGGGCAAGUGAAUCAGACAUGUGCCGUAACUUAUCGAUGAAAUAAUAAUUGUUUGAACUCUCACCUACUCUGUUCUGCAUCUCACCCUCUUCAUCUGUUCUUCAACUUCUUCUCAUCCCCUACUCCAUAUUAUCCUCUCCAAUAUGUGAUUCUUCCACCAACACUAGUUGGACAUCACAGUUUGACAAUGGAAAUCUUGGUAAAUUUUUCUCUUUGACAGCACUCGGAAACAAUUGAUGCAGGCGCAAAUCCAUGAUAUAAGGGAUAUUUUCUGUAGCAUUGUUUGAAAAUACAUCAGUUACGCAAGGGCCCUUUUGCUUCUUUACUUCUUGUUCUGUGUGCACUCUGAUGUUCGAAGGUGCAGUGAUGGUAGACAGAUAUUUAGUUGGAAGAAAAAUAGAUAAACUCAGAUUUCGUGUAACCCGGGCUCACUCUUUUCAGUGAAUAAAUUAUUGUCACAAAAAACCAGCCUUUUGCUUCUCUUGAUGACAUUAUUCUUAGAAGUAAGAAUGUGCAUUUCUGCAGCCCAUGCUCAUGUGCUAUUUUUUCUUUUUAACUAGUGUAACAAAUGGGGUAGAUGUUUUUUUUUCUGUGCCAAUAAUGGUGUUAAGACUGCUAAAAUCUUGUAAGGGAAGAAAACAUUGAAGAGCAGAAAGAAGAAGAAAAUCAUUUAUUUAUAUAGAACUGACAUGCAUUUGAACAUCAACAGUCAUUUAUUAUUAAUAAUUCCGCAUUUUGUGAAUUCCUUUCUCCAAUGUUUUCUUCCAGGUUUAUUUACUAUGAUAGGCUCACCAGGAAAGGAACCUGAAAAUUUAAAUCGUGUCAAUUUCCUUUUCACACAAUUCUCUCAUGAUGCAAUGGUUUCAGAGAACGCUGUUGUUAUUUGCCAGACAUGUGAUGUUUAGUAUGACUUGAACUAACAUAACAUGCAUAAUACGUUUAUUGAGUACAUGAAGGUUGGUUUCUUUGAAUCAUUUUGGAUUAGCCUGUUUGCAAAGGCUAUUAUCAUUCCACCACUCAGUGAUUUAUGAAUAUCUCCCAUUCAUUUGAUGUGAGUUCCCUGCAACCACACACGAUAUUUCCCUUACUCCGUUUUCGGUAAGAUAUGGGAAACUAAACAUUCAAGGAUAUUGUUCCCACAAGUGGAGAGACUGAAAAAGUCGCGCGCGUUGCUCUCCNNNNNNNNNNNNNNNNNNNNNNNNNNNNNNNNNNNNNNNNNNNNNNNNNNNNNNNNNNNNNNNNNNNNNNNNNNNNNNNNNNNNNNNNNNNNNNNNNNNNNNNNNNNNNNNNNNNNNNNNNNNNNNNNNNNNNNNNNNNNNNNNNNNNNNNNNNNNNNNNNNNNNNNNNNNNNNNNNNNNNNNNNNNNNNNNNNNNNNNNNNNNNNNNNNNNNNNNNNNNNNNNNNNNNNNNNNNNNNNNNNNNNNNNNNNNNNNNNNNNNNGAGGCCGAACAGGUGAAGCCCGCCUCGGUGGGCGGCGGCAUCAGGGCAGUCUAUUCCCGCGGCAACUCAUCGCCCUGGACGGCGGAGCCCGCUCGCGGCACGGUGGCGAAAGUCGGCGCGUUGGAUCCCACGGUGGACCCCUCGUCAGCGUGGAGAGAUGCUUGUGUGUGGCUGACCGGGGUCGAGCACGAGGGAUUCGGGCCUUGUUCGCCGUAUCAAUCUCGCGACGACACCUAUGUCUUCAGCUGGUGCGGUCAGGGUGGUGACCCGGGCUGGCGGCGGCGACCGGUUCCUCCAUGGCUGGUGGGUUAAGUCCUUGACCUGGACGACCAUGUGACGAUGGGUGGUGGCAGAGGCCGCAGAACUAGCGUGCCAUCCAGAUCCAUCUCGGCGUGGCCUUGGCCGGCAGGCGAUGCGUGCAGGGACCGAUCUGGGGCGGCUGGAGGCCCUAUGCCGACGUUCCAGCGAUAGCUUACGUCUCCAUGGCGACGCAACUUCUAGUGAAAAUGUGCUGACUGCGGUCAUGGAAGAUGGUGGCAUCUCUAAUGUCGUUUCCUUCUUCGAGGCAUCGUCGUUUGUAAGCUGUGUCACUACGCUCGGGAUGUUCCGGGGGGAACUCUAUUUCUGGGUAUCCCGGAUCAGACGAUGACGGUGCCUUCAGCGCCAUUCUCCCUCCUAGGGGCAUUGUUCUGGAGCAGGUGCCGACUGGAAGAGACAAGUGGAGGAGCGGUGUUACAUCUACCGCAAGGAUGACGCAGGGUCUCGGUGGCGUGGCAAGGCAGAGUGUCGGCGACGAGCGCCCACGCUAGAUGGUUGAGCUAUCUGGUGUCGAGAUGGCCUGGCGAGAUGAAUACGUUGAUCGCUCCUGAAGGUGGGACAGCAGAACAUGGCGGUGGCUUAAUCUAAAGUGUGUGCAUGCUGUGCGCGCAAAGGGUCUAGCUAGACCAGUUGGUGCUCUCGAAUUGCCGGCAGACAUCUUGGUGAGGUGACCGGAAUAUAUGAUGUGUGUUGAUAAGUGGUCAGGGCACGGCAUUAAAGCUUGUAGGUGUAACGACAAUAGUUUCUAGGGAGGUGGCUUUGCCUUGAUCCAUAUAUUUGUUUUGUUUGGUUCCGUUGAAUAAUAUAAUAAAAUGGUUGUGUGCAUGGCCCGAUGCAUAGACUAGGGGUAAUCGUCUUUUUCGAAAAAAAGUAGAAUGGUACAGUCACACCAUUUUGCCAGUGACAUGCUAAAAAUGGCAUGAUAAACAAUUCCUGAAUGAUAAAUCACAUGGUGACAGUAUAUCUAUUUUAUAGGAAGAGCUGGAUAGAUUAGAGUAUACUGCCCCAGGAUUUUAAAGUGAGUGCGAGAGUUCAGAUUUAUUUACAUGUUUAGCUUCAGAGCUUCAGAACGUCUUUUUUUCACGAAUACACAAAGCUUGAAUAUCUUUUAUUGAUAGAAGAAAGAGAAUGAGUACAACAGAGGAUACAACACAUGGCAUGAACCCAAAGAGGCAUGAUCAUGGAACCCGGAGUAGAGAGACAAGGGGUGCUCAGCCCGAAUAGGGAAAUGACACAACUACACCCACAAAUCCUAAACAGAGAGGCAGGCCGAACAAGCACGGCGUCGAACAUCUCAAAAUCCAACACCAGGGACACCACGAGCGAACAAGAUAGCGCCUUCAGGAAGGGGUGCGACGUCGUGACACCGCCGCCAUCCGAUCCGAGGAACCGGAUCUAGGGUUUCCCCCAGCGCUCAAAGAGGGGCACGGAUAAAAGCCAUGGCAAAUAACUCACGAGUGUCGCCUCUGCCAACAUCGGCAAGAAGAGCAUGGAUUUCGCCUGGCCCAAGUCCGAGCAAUCCCAUAGCUGCCAAAUCAGGAUCCGAAGAUGAGGAAGACAAUCCGCUAGUCAACCACCGUCCCAGUACGGAGGUGGUGGGGCUGCACCUGCUGCCAAAAGAACACGAGCUUUGGAAAUGACAUGCCGUGGGUGUCGACGGGGUCGGGGAGGCAGCGUGGUAGACAGCUUGCAUGGAGGGUGGGAUGGUGACCGGCGCCGCUGACGAGAUGGAGCCGGAAGGGAGCACAAGUCCGAGCUGCCGGAGGUGAAGCCGCCAGAACACCGGCAAACCGAAGAUGCCGGAAGGGGACGCAGCGACCGGGGUGUUGGGGCUGAAAUUGAAGGAAAUAUGCCCUAGAGGCAAUAAUAAAGUUAUUAUUUAUUUCCUUAUAUCAUGAUAAAUGUUUAUUAUUCAUGCUAGAAUUGUAUUAGCCGGAAACAUAAUACAUGUGUGAAUACAUAGACAAACAGAGUGUCACUAGUAUGCCUCUACUUGACUAGCUCGUUAAUUAAAGAUGGUUAUGUUUCCUAACCAUAGACAUGAGUUGUCAUUUGAUUAACGGGAUCACAUCAUUAGGAGAAUGAUGUGAUUGACUUGACCCAUUCCGUUAGCUUAGCGCACGAUUGUUUAGUAUUCUGCUAUUGCUUUCUUCAUGACUUAUACAUGUUCCUAUGACUAUGAGAUUAUGCAACUCCCGUUUACCGGAGGAACACUUUGUGUGCUAUCAAACGUCACAACGUAACUGGGUGAUUAUAAAGGUGCUCUACAGGUGUCUCCACAGGUACUUGUUGGGUUGGCGUAUUUCGAGAUUAGGAUUUGUCACUCCGAUUGUCGGAUAGGUAUCUCUGGGCCCACUCGGUAAUGCACAUCACUUAAGCCUUGCAAGCAUUGCAACUAAUGAGUUAGUUGCGAGAUGAUGUAUUACGGAACGAGUAAAGAGACUUGCCGGUAACGAGAUUGAACUAGGUAUUGAGACACCGACGAUCGAUUCUCGGGCAAGUAACAUACCGAUGACAAAGGGAACAACGUAUGUUGUUAUGCGGUUUGACCGAUAAAGAUCUUCAUAGAAUAUGUGGGAGCCAAUAUGAGCAUCCAGGUUCCGCUAUUGGUUAUUGACCGAAGACGUGUCUCGGUCAUGUCUACAUAGUUCUCGAACCCGUAGGGUCCGCACGCUUAAAGUUUCGAUGACAGUUAUAUUUUGAGUUUAUAUGUUUUGAUGUACCGAAGGUAGUUCGGAGUCCCAGAUGAGAUCACGGACAUCACGAGGAGUCCCGAAAUGGUCGAGACAUGAAGAUUGAUAUAUUGGACGACUAUAUUCGGACACCGGAAUGGUUCCGGUGGUUAUCGGAUAUAUACCGGAGUACCGGGAGGUUACCGGAACCCCCUGGGGGUUUAAUGGGCCUACAUGGGCCUUAGUGGAGAAGAGGAGAGGCGGCUAGGGCAGGCCGCGCGCCCCCUCCCCCUCUAGUCCGAAUUGGACAAGGAGGGGGGCGGCGCCCCCCCUUUCCUUCCUCUCUCUCUCCUCUUUCCCCCUUCUCCUAAUCCAACAAGGAAGGGAAGGGAGUCCUACUCCCGGUGGGAGUAGGACUCCUCCUGGCGCGCCCCUCUCCUGGCCGGCCGCCUCUCCCCCUUGCUCCUUUAUAUAAGGGGGCAGGGGGGCACCCCAAAGACACAACAAUUGAUCAUUGAUCUUUUAGCCGUGUGCGGUGCCCCCCUCCACCAUAGUCCACCUCGAUAAUAUCGUAGCGGUGCUUAGGCGAAUCCCUGCGUCGGUAGAACAUCAUCAUCGUCACGACGCCGUCGUGCUGACAAAACUCUCCCUCAACACUCGGCUGGAUCGGAGUUCGAGGGACGUCAUCGGGUUGAACGUGUGCUGAACUCGGAGGUGCCGUGCGUUCGGUACUUGAUCGGUCGGAUCGUGAAGAAGUACGACUACGUCAACCGCGUUGUGCUAACGCUUCCGCGUUCGGUCUACGAGGGUACGUGGACACACUCUCCCCUCUCGUUGCUAUGCAUCACCAUGAUCUUGCGUGUGCGUAGGAAUUUUUUUGAAAUUACUACGUUCCCCAACAGUGGCAUCCGAGCCAGGUUUUAUGCCUAGAUGUUAUAUGCAUGAGUAGAACACAAGUGAGUUGUGGGCGAUACAAGUCAUACUGCUUACCAGCAUGUCAUUCUUUGGUUCGGCGGUAUUGUUGGAUGAAGCGGCCCGGACCGACAUUACGCGUACGCUUACGCGAGACUGGUUCUACCGACGUGCUUUGCACACAGGUGGUUGGCAGGUGUCAGUUUCUCCAACUUUAGUUGAACCGAGUGUGGCUACGCGCGGUCCUUGAGAAGGUUAAAACAGCACUAACUUGACGACUAUCGUUCUGGUUUUGAUGCGUAGGUAAGAAUGGUUCUUGCUCAGCCCGUAGCAGCCAUGUAAAACUUGCGACAACAAAGUAGAGGACGUCUAACUUGUUUUUGCAGGGCAUGUUGUGAUGUGAUAUGGUCAAGACAUGAUGCUAUAUUUUAUUGUAUGAGAUGAUCAUGUUUUGUAACAGAGUUAUCAACAACUGGCAGGAGCCAUAUGGUUGUCGCUUUAUUGUAUGCAAUGCAAUCGCCCUGUAAUGCUUUACUUUAUCACUAAGCGGUAGCGAUAGUCGUAGAAGCAUAAGUUGGCGAGACGACAACGAUGCUAUGAUGGAGAUCAAGGUGUCGCGCCGGUGACGAUGGUGAUCAUGACGGUGCUUCGGAAAUGGAGACCACAAGCACAAGAUGAUGAUGGCCAUAUCAUAUCACUUAUAUUGAUUGCAUGUGAUGUUUAUCUUUUAUGCAUCUUAUCUUGCUUUGAUUGACAGUAGUAUUAUAGGAUGAUCUCUCACUAAAUUAUCAAGGUAUAAGUGUUCUCCCUGAGUAUGCACCGUUGCGAAAGUUCUUCGUGCUGAGACACCACGUGAUGAUCGGGUGUGAUAGGCUCUACGUUCAAACACAACGGGUGCAAAACAGUUGCACACGCGAAAUACUCAGGUUAAACUUGACGAGCCUAGCAUAUAACAGAUAUGGCCUCGGAACACUGAGACCGAAAGGUCGAGCGUGAAUCAUAUAGUAGAUAUGAUCAACAUAAAUGAUGUUCACCAUUGAAACUACUCCAUCUCACGUGAUGAUCGGACAUGGUUUAGUUGAUAUGGAUCACGUGCUCACUUAGAGGAUUAGAGGGAUGUCUAUCUAAGUGGGAGUUCUUAAGUAAUAUGAUUAAUUGAACUUUAAUUUAUCAUGAACUUAGUCCUGGUAGUAUUAGCAUAUCUAUGUUGUAGAUCAAUAGCUCGCGAUAUUGCUCCCCGUUUAAUUUUUAUAUGUUCCUAGAGAAAACUAAGUUGAAAGAUGUUAGUAGCAAUGAUGUGGAUUGGAUCCGUGAUCUGAGGUUUAUCCUCAUUGCUGCACAGAACAAUUAUGUCCUUGAUGCAGCGCUAGGUGACAGACGUAUUGCAGGAGGACAUGCAGACGUUAUGAACGUUUGGCUAGCUCAAUAUGAUGACUACUUGAUAGUUUAGUGCACCAUGCUUAACGGCUUAGAAUCAGGACUUCAAAGAUGUUUUGAACAUCAUGGACCAUAUGAGAUGUUCCAGGAGUUGAAGUUAAUAUUUCAAGCAAAUACCCUAGUUGAGAGAUAUGAAGUCUCCAACAAGUUCUAUAGCUAAAAGAUGGAGGAGAAUAGCUCAAGAAGUGAGCAUGUGCUCAGAUUGUCUGGGUACUACAAUCACUUGAAUCAAGUGGGAGUUAAUCUUCCAGAUAAAGAUAGUGAUUGACAGAAUUCUCUAGUCACCAUCACAAAGUUAGUAUAACUUCGUGAUGAACUAUAGUAUGCAAGGGAUAACGUAAACGAUUCCCGAGCUUUUCAUGCUGGUGAAAUCAGAAAUCAAGAAAGAGCAUCAAGUGUUGAUGAUUAACAAGACCACUAGUUUCAAGAAAAUGGCAAAGGGAAAGAAAGGGAACUUCAUGUAGAACGGCAAGCAAGUUGCUGCUCAAGUGAAGAAGCCCAAGUUUGGACCUAAGCCUGAGACUGAGUGCUUCUACUGCAAAAGGACUGGUCACUGGAAGCAGAACUACCCGAAAUAAUUGGCGUAUAAGAAGGAUGGCAAAGUGAACAAAAGUAUAUUUGAUAUACAUGUUAUUGAUGUGUACUUUACUAGUGUUUAUAGCAACCCCUCAGUAUUUUAUACUGGUUGGCAACCUCUGCUUGCCUCUGCGAAGGGCCUAUCUUUUACUUUUAUGCAAGAGUCAUGGUGAUCUUCACCUUUCCUUUUUUUCAUUUUAUCCUUUGGCAAGUACCUCGUGUUGGAAAGAUUCUGAUAUAUCCAAUUGGAUGUAAGGCAUCAUGAACUAUUAUUGUUAACAUUACCCUUGAGGUAAAAGGUUGGGAGGCGAAUCUAUAAGCCCCUAUCUUUCUCUGUGUCUGAUUAAAACUUUGAACCCAUAAAUAUCGCGUGAGUGUUAGCAAUUGUGAAAGACUAAAUGAUAGUUGAGUAUGUGGAGUUUGCUAAAUCAAAGCUCUGACAUAGACUCUUCCUGAAAAUAAGAUGAAUUGUAAUUGUUUGAUGACUAAUAACACGGCUUGUUAGUUUUCAAGAAAGUUUAUGAUCUAUACUUUAACAUGUGAAUAGCUUGUUACUUGAUCAUGAAAAGUUCUAUGAGUUGAGCUACUGUUAUGACAUAUGAUGAUGCUAGAAAAAGUGAUUGAAAUUAUCAUUGAUCAAACUUGUGCACCUGCUAGCAUUCACACUUCAUAAAUUCUUUCUUUUAUCAUUUACCUACUCGAGGAUGAGCAGGAAUUAAGCUUGGGGAUGCUGAUACGUCUCCAACGUAUCUAUAAUUUAUGAAGUAUUCAUGCUAUUAUAUUAUCUGUUUUGGAUGUUUAUGGGCUUUAUUGAACACUUUUAUAUUAUUUUUGGGACUAACCUAUUAACCUAGAGCCCAUUGCCAGUUUCUGUUUUUUGCUUGUUUUUGAGUUCUACAGAAAAGGAAUACCAAACGGAGUCCAAUGGACGUCCCAAUUUUUGACGAUUUUUUAUGGACCAAAAGGAGACCCCGGAGCAAAAGGGUUGGGACAGGAGAGUCCCGGGCUGCCCACGAGGGUGGGGGGCGUGCCCUCCCCCCCUGGGCGUGGGCCCCUGCCUCGUGGACAACCCGGAGACCCCCCUGACAUGAGACCUACGCCAAAAAAUCCUAUAAAUACUGAAACCUCCAGAAAGCAGAAUAGAUCGGGAGUUCCGCCGCCGCAAGCCUCUGUAGCCACCAAAAACCAACCGGGACCCUGUUCCGGCACCCUGCCCGAGGGGGUAUGUCGGUGUCAAAACCGGCGGAUCUCGGGUAGGGGGUCCCGAACUGUGCGUCUAAGGCGGAUGGUAACAGGAGGCGGGGGACACGAUGUUUACCCAGGUUCGGGCCCUCUCGAUGGAGGUAAUACCCUACUUCCUGCUUGAUUGAUCUUGAUGAUAUGAGUAUUACAAGAGUUGAUCUACCACGAGAUCGUAGAGGCUAAACCCUAGAAGCUAGCCUAUGGUAUGAUUGUUUUUGUCCUACGGACUAAACCCUCCGGUUUAUAUAGACACCGGAGGGGGCUAGGGUUACACAGAGUCGGUUACAAGGGAGGAGAUCUGCAUAUCCGUAUUGCCAAGCUUGCCUUCCAUGCCAAGGAGAGUCCCAUCCGGACACGGGACGAAGUCUUCAAUCUUUUGUCUUCAUAGUCCAACAGUUCGGCUAAAGUAUAUAGUCCGGCUGUCCGAGGACCCCCUAAUCCAGGACUCCCUCAGUAGCCCCUGAACGAGGCUUCAACGACGAUGGGUCCGACGCGCAGAUUGUCUUCGGCAUUGCAAGGCGGGUUCCUCCUCCGAAUAUUCCAUAGAAGAUUUUGAACACAAGGAUAGUGUCCGGCUCUGCAAAACAAAUUCCACAUACCACCAUAGAGAGAAUAAUAUUUCCACAAAUCUAAUCUACUGACACAUUCUGCAGCAUGACAUCACACCAUGGCCCGGUCAUUAUUCGGACCGUUUUUCUUAACCAGCCACUGCACAUAUCGCGAGGCGGUUUUCUUGGCACGUCUUGUCGAAGCAGAGAUCGUGUCCCCCUAUCACGGGAUUGUCAUCAAUACGGGUGUGGGUAACCUAACCGCGCCAUCAAUUACAGCUCUUGGGGAAUAAGCGAGUUUACCAGGCAGGUGGGGAGGCGCAUAGUUCCUUCCGCCCUUAUAAAGAGACAAGGAUUCAUCUUUUUCACCCACGCCCUCUUCCUCCUUGCUCAUCCGUUCUUGCGCACUUGAGCUCCAACACCCAAGUUCGCAUUCUCUCCUCAAACCACUCCAAGCAUGUCCGGAGCAGGAGGCAAGUGGAUGGUCUCCUCCGUUACGAAGGAGGACAUCACAAGGCUAUGGGGAGCCGGAUACCUGGCCGCGGAUAUCGCGCACCGGCUACAAGAUGCGGGGCAGAUCGUCCCUACUCCAGAACCCCAUGAGAGGGUGAUAUUUCUUACCCACUUUGUCCGCGGACUGGGAUUUCCCCUCCACCUGUUUGUCCGCGGGCUCAUGUUCUACUACGGGCUGGACUAUCACGAUCUGGCCCCCAAUUUCAUCCUCAACAUCUCGGCGUUUAUCGUCGUGUGCGAGGCCUUCCUCCGCAUCAAGCCCCACUUCGGCCUGUGGCUGAAGACCUUCAACGUUAAACCGAAGGUGGUGGCCGGCCAGCAAGCGGAGUGCGGAGGCGCCAUGGUGGGCAAAAUGCCCAACGUCACCUGGCUAGAAGGCUCCAAUGUGGAGACCGUAAAGGGGUGGCAAUCGGGGUGGUUCUACAUCACCGAGCCGCGCGACACCAACUGGGUAGCGGCCCCCGAAUUUUUAUCCGGAAUCCCCAUGCGGCUCACCUCCUAGAAAGAGAAGGGCCUAUCCUGGGGUUCCUCGGUAGAGCUGACCGGACCCCAGACCUGCGUCAAAAACAUGAUGAGCAAGAAAAUCAAGCUUGUCAACAUGGUCCAAGUCAUGCUCUUCCGCCCGAUCCUCCCGUGUCAAAGACGGGCAUUCAAUUUGUGGGAGUUCGACCCGGCCGAGCACCAGACGCUGCGAGAGCUCUUCGACACGGCGCACAAGGACGUCUGGAAGGUGAUGUUCAAGGGCGCUGAGGUACCUCCUCCCCUUACCAAGGACCGCGGACUCAGCGCAAAGCGCCCUGCCAAUCCGGUAUGUCUUUUAUAUUUCAUAAGAUGUUCUUUUCCCCAGUAUAACCACACGCGGGAUCUAAGCCCCCACGCCAUUUAACAGGACUGGGUAGCGACAGCGGAGCAGAUCGAUUGUCCAGCCCCCCUGCCUGAAGAUCCAGCGGAUGCUCUCCUAACGGAGAUCCUGGUUUCGGCGCCUUAUGAGGUGCCGGAGAAGAAGGCCACGGGGACCAGGAAGGGUCUCCGGCGCAAGGUUAUAUCGGACUCAUCGUCCGAAAACACCGAGGCGCACUCCUCCCACGAAAACGGGGAGGAAGAGGAAAGUUCUCCCCCCCAGCCAGGGGGGACAGGACAAGGAAGGCUGCCCCAUCAGGGGAGGCCGAAGGGUCCAAGAAGGGAAGGACCCUCCUCCCGGACUGCUCCACAAAGGCCGCUUUUAGCGACGAGGAGUGGUUACCCAGGGACAAGCCCCUGGCAAAGUCGUGAGUAUCCGGAUACCAUAAUAAUUCUUGGUACGUCUUAUUGUACUGUUUCUUAUCACGCCGCGCAUGAUUAUGCAGUCCGUCCCGAGCCCAUAUCGACGUAUCUUCGUCGGAUGAUUCUUUGGGCCCGUCAGAUAUGAAUAGCGAUUCACUCCCGACUGCCUCCUCCCCCCGCCCUACGGACGACGCCGAGGUGUUGUCUCAAAGGGAACUAAACCAAGGGGAGACAGUUCCGGAGGCGCCCCAAGGCGACAUUCCAGGCGCUAGGUGCACGAGGGGCAAGACUCCCCUAGGCCCUAACACCGGGGGCAGUAAGUCUAGCCCCAAGCCGAAUACGGCGCCGGAACCUCCAGUGGUUCCGGAUUCUGUCAGGCAACCCCUCGCUAAGGGGGGUAAGCCGUCUGUGCCGAUGGCCUCUGUCCAUCCAGAGGCAUCGGACAACUUGCUAGAAGUGCUUCGCGGCGCUUCCAUUGACGAAGAGCACCGCACUAUUAUGAGUGCGGUAGUUAAGAAGGUUCAGUCCGCUAAGAGCGGACUGACUGAAGCCUGUGCCAACCUCCUAACCGGCUUUGAGGUAAGUAAUCAAAUUGUAAGAAAAUGUUACAGCAUAGACAGUAGCCCCUGAUGCUCUGUUUGGCGUUCGCGGAGAAAGGCCGAAUAGAGGAUCAAAUAAUAAUCGCAGGAGUCUAAUCAGAAUGUGUCUAUGUGAAUAAGCGGGCUUCACUGCUGGCCGCCGCCGCUCGUACUGCGGAGGUCACCGCACUGAAGCGGGACCUUGAGCGGUCCAAGGAAGAGCUCGGCCUUACCAAGAGGCAGCUCGAAGAGAACAAAGGUAAGUGACACCCCGUCUGAAUAUUGGUAAAGAAAAAUUUGGUUUUGGAAUAAUAGGAUCCUCAUGAAUUUUGCUAGGGGCCACGACCGAAGUGGCGGCCCUGCAGAAGGCGCUAUCUGAGGCCGAAGACAAAGCGGCCAAGGAGCACAUCGAGCGAGAGAAGCAAGAGGCCCGAGUAGGCGAGGUGCGGCAAGAGCUCCAGGCUCUCGUCAAGAAACACGAGUCCUUGGAGCUUGACUCUAUGACGCAAGGGUCCGAGCUUGCGAAGGCCCUCGAAAGCGCACAACAUGCCAAGGCCAAAGCCCAAAAGGCCCUCCAGGAAAUUUAGGCGGUUAAGAAGAUAGCGGCGGGUAAGGCAUUCAUUAUGCAAAGCAAGCAUGUGAAGGAAACUUUCUUUUUACUUACCCGAGUUCGGAGUUCUCCAGAAGCGUUCGCAGAUCUACCCCGCAGUGUGUCGGAUGCCACGGAGUUCUACCGGGCCGAGGAGGGGAGCUCGGCGGAGAAGUUGUUCUGGUCUCAGUAUACUGGGACCGAACAUCCAAUGCCCUUGAGCGACCAGUUGAAGCAACUGGUCGAGCUUCACAAGGCGGCCGAACAGGCCAUGAAGGGUCUUAUGGUCUGGAUGUGGCAUGGCGACCCCUGCCUGGUAGCUACUUCGGUCUGGUGAGGCGGCUUGUGAAUGCCUGCACACGGUUUGAAGUCAUAAAGCGGUCCGUCUGCAUUGAGGGUGCGCGCAGGACUUUUGCCCGGGCGAAGGUGCACAGGGCGAAGCUGGACGCCGAAAAGCUGGUGAAGGAGGGGCCGCCGGAGGGCAAGGAGCAUCGCCACCCCGAAAAGUAUUAUGAUAGUGUCCUGAAGGGUGCUCGCCUUGUGGCGGAGGAAUGUGCUAAGGAUGUAAUAUUUGAAUGAAUGUACUCAUGUGAUCCUGUAAUAUGAAACGAGUUCAUUUGCGUACGCAAUGCUUGUUAAUUUAAAAUAUUACCUUCUAUGCGGCCGUUUAUAAAAUCUGAGAGUUGGCCAGUCGUCGGCUUCUGCCCCCAUGUAACUAGUACUAAGGUGUUCGGGGUAAACCUGAGCACUCUUUAUCCCAAUUUUGGGUCCUUCGAAGGAGGUGUUUAGCACAAUGAACCAGGCAAUCGGACUAUAAAGCUUUAUCACUCUCACUUAGCCAUAGAAGUCUACAAUUUUAAAUUUUGGCGAAGCCCCUAGUAUUUCGAAGGCCGAAUUUGGGGCACUAUAUACGCCUAAGUCGGGCAAGACGACUCCUUGCCCGAAGCGGAAAGAGACUUUAAGGACUUGAGACCUCUCGAACAGCGACCAGCUCUCGCCUCAUUAUGACAGUCAGUUUUCGGCUUUCUCUACUGAGGUGCUCGUCCGGAAGAACCGGGACACAAUCGCAGUAGUUCUCCCAAGGCUACCUUAGCCGAUAUUGCGGAACGUAAGGUACCAAAACAUGGGAGCCGGGCAAACCCAACUAUUGACCCAAGACAUGAUUCGGAGCUGGUGCAUAUAAUUCUAUAAGUUCGGGGUGCCGCACUGUCGAAAGUGUUCGGACUUCUCACACUGUAUUAUGGGGUAUACUAAAGCCCCUGGCGCACUGGUCAUACCAGGAUGUACGGGUGCAAUUUGUCGUAAAUAAGCAGACAAGGAAAAAAAAGAAAGGGGAAUGCAAUAAUAGACUAACGAUAUGCAUUGUUAUUAAAUAAUACGUCAAAGCGACGGAUACAAGUAGUGCAAUAAGCAAAAAAUAAGACUAUUUGACAUGUCCUAUCCAAGGGCAAGCUGCGUAUGGGUAUGUAAAACAGGUAUUUCGAUCGUUAUCAGAGACCACCUAGGGAUUCCCUUGUACGUCAGAGCGUCUUGCUUCCUUGGUAUUUCCUUACCGCGAUGGGUCCAACAAUUAGAUUGCCGAAAAGGGCUUCCAGAGAGUAAGGUCCUGAAAGAGAGAAAAUGAUAAAGGUAUAUGGCCCCUGGGGCGGUUGAGCCACCUUGUGGGACGUGCCGUAGCUGUGCCUCCGCCUAUGCCCAUGGUAUCUUGAGUGCGUAGUUAUGUACGCGCGGCGCAAAUUUCGCCACUUGACUGGGACUAGGACGGAGGCCGAAUUGCUAGGCGAGCUCAAAACGUGCAUGGCGAUCCUCCUGCGGGGUACCCCGGACUCGCUUGAAGGUGUCCGGGGUCUUUUUCGCCGAAUUGGCGGUUUGCCUAUUAAGGCUGCUUUGCGCUUCUGCUGCGAGGGCUGCAGUGUGCUCCUCCGUGCGGAGCGAGCGCUCUGUGUUUCCAUUAACUGUUAUAACCCCGCGUGGUCCUGGCAUUUUGAGUUUGAGGUAUGCAUAAUGCGGUACCGCAUUGAAUCUGGGAAAUGCGGUUCGUCCGAGCAGUGCGUGAUAGCCGCUGCGAAAGGGGACGAUGCCGAAGAUUAACUCCUCGCGUCGAAAAUUGUCCGGAGAUCCGAAGACCACUUCCAGUGUGAUUGAGUCCGUGCAACAGGCCUCUACACCUGGGAUUACACCUUCAAAGGAGGUUUUGGUGGGUUUGAUCCUCGAGGGGUCUAUGCCCAUUUUGCACACUGUAUCCUGAUAGAGCAGGUUCAGGCUGCUGCCACCGUCCAUAAGGACGCGAGUGAGGUGAAAUCCGUCAAUGAUGGGGUCAAGGACCAAUGCGGCAGAUCCGCCAUGACGGAUACUAGUGGGGUGGUCCCUGCGAUCGAAGGUGAUCGGACAAGAGGACCAUGGGUUCAACUUUGGGGCGACUGGCUCCAUAGCAUAGACGUCCCUUAGUGCACGCUUCCGUUCCCUCUUGGGAAUAUGGGUUGCGUAUAUCAUGUUCACCGUUUUCACUUGUGGAGGGAACCUCUUCUGUCCUCCAAUGUUCGGCGGCCGAGGCUCCUCCUCGUCGUCGCUAUGGAGCCCCUUGUCCUUGUUUUUGGCAUUUAACUUGUCGGCCUGCUUGAAUACCCAGCAUUCUCUGUUGGUGUGAUUGGCUGGCUUAUCGGGGGUGCCAUGAAUUUUAACGAGCAAUCGAGUAUACGGUCCAAACUGGACGGGCCCGGAUUGCUUGUUUUGAACGGCUUCUUCCGCUGACCGGAUUUAGAGCCACUGAAUCCGGCAUUGACUGUCGUGUCUUCGGCGUUGUCGCCGUUGUUGUGGCGCUUGUGUCUGUUGCGACGUGGUCUGCCAAUAGUAUCUUUGGCGUCUGAAUUGCCGGGAUUUCUUGAUGUGCUGUUGCUGCGAGCUAGCCAGCUGUCCUCGCCCGCGCAAAAGCGGGUCAUGAGUGUCGUGAGGGCUGCCAUGGACUUCAGCUUCUCUUGGCCGCGGUGUCAGGCGAGCCACUCGUCCCGGAUGUUAUGUUUAAAUGCCGCUAAGGCCUCGGCAUCCGGACAGUCGACAAUUUGGUUCUUUUUAGUUAGGAACCGAGUACAGAAUUUCCUGGCCGAUUCCCCUGGCUGUUGGGUUAUGUGGCUCAAGUCAUCAGCAUCUGGUGGUCGCACAUAAGUGCCCUAGAAGUUGUCAAGGAAUGCGUCUUCCAAAUUCUCCCAACUGCCAAUGGAGUUUGCUGGCAGGCUAUUCAGCCAAUGUCGAGCUGGUCCUUUGAGUUUUAGUGGGAGGUACUUGAUGGCAUGUAGAUCGUCAUCGCGGGCCAUGUGGAUGUGGACGAGGAAAUCCUCGAUCCAUACCGCGGGGUCUGUUGUACCAUCAUAUGACUCAAUGUUCACGGGUUUGAAUCCUUCUAGGAAUUCAUGAUCCAUUACUUCAUCGGUGAAGCAUAGUGGGUGUGCAGCGCCUCUGUGCCGGGCUAUGUCACGACGCAGUUCAUACGAGUCUUGUCUGCUGUAUUCGGCCCCGCCGGAUUUGCUUUUAGUGUAUCCGGCAUGACGAUCAUCAUCACACAUUGGGGCGCGACCCCGUGAUCCGUAGAUCGAUCUUGUUUGUCCUGCUCUGUUUUCCUAUACGUCUCGCAGGUCCCGCGUGUUGCCCCAGGCCUUGGUAUUUAUGUUUGAAUGGCGGCGGGGUGCGGGCUGGACUUCGGGCUGAUAUGCCCCUCUGUCUCGGCCACGAGGUGGCCGAUCAGCCGCAUCAUACGCUGGUGAUGUAGGUUUUAAUGCUUCCUCCUCGAUUUGGGGUAGCAACCUGCGCUUUGGGUAACUCUUGGUUGGGCGCUCGAGUUCGUAUUCCUCUACCUCCAGGACUUCAGUCCAUCUAUCCGCUAGCAGAUAUUGAUCAGCUCGAAGCUGUUGUUGCUUUUUCUUCAGGCUGUUUGUUGUAGCUAUAAGCCGACGCUUGAAGCGCUCCUGCUUGACGGGAUCCUCAGGCACGAUAAAUUCUUCGUCGCCGAGGCUCACCUCGUCUUCGGAGAGAGGCAUGUAAUUGUCAUCCUCUGAUUCUCCGUCUGCUGCCUAUUCCGGAGGGCUAGCUUGUUCAUCCUCUCGCUCGAGGUCUGGCUGGAGGGGAUUGUCGUCGUCUUUGGCACUAUCCGGAGCGUUAUUGUCUCUUGUGCCGGUAUCGCUGCUUUUGCUAUGGCGGGACUUAGAGCGGCGCCGCUGACGUCGGUGCUUGGGUUGCUUCUUGGAGGGAUUAUCCUCGGUUGUCUUAUCGCCGUCGCCUUCUUUGGGGGUGUCCACCAUGUAUAUAUCAUAUGAUGAGGUGGCAGUCCAGCGCCCUGUGGGCGGUGGUUCCUGUUCGUCUCCUGUAUCGUCGUCCAUACCGUCGAUGUUUUCGGAGCCGAAAUCGAGCAUGUCGGUUAAAUCGUCGACAGUGGCUACUAAGUGGCUGGUGGGUGGGGAGCGAAUUUCUUCGUCGUCCGCAUCCCAUUCUAGCCAGACAUAGUUCGGCCAAGGGUCUCCUGACAAGGAGAGAGACCUCAAUGAGUUCAGCACGUCGCCCAGUGGUGAGUGCUGAAAGAUAUCCGCGGAGGAAAACUCCAUAAUCGGUGCCCAAUCAGAUUCGAUAGGCACAUACGCAGGCGGCUCAGAGCCCGUGGCCGGGGAUGAAUCCAGGUGUCCGGCGACACAGGUCUCAUAGGAGGUGAAGUCAGUAUUCGGCUCUAUCGCCACUCAGUGUGUGGCCUCCGAGGCGGGGUCCAUCCACCCGUCCUCGGACGGCGCAAUCGACUCCGGAUCUAGGGCCGGAGUAGCCAUGGGUGUGAUCUCCCGAACACCGUCCGGCGGCAGAGCUAAGUCGUGCUCGUCGUGACUGUGCGGCGCACCUGACAUGGGCUCGAAUCCGUCAAAGAUAAAGUCUCCGCGGAUGUUGGCACUGUAGUUUAAAUUUCCAAACCUGACCUGACAGCCAGGGGCGUAGCUCUCGAUCUGCUCCAGAUGGCCAAGCGAGUUGGCCCACAGUACGAAGCCGCCGAAUACAAAGAUCUGUCCGGGGAGGAAAACCUCACCCUGGAUCGCAUCGUUGGCGAUGAUUGAAGGAGCCAUCAAGCCUUUAUCGCGACGGCAGAGUGGAACUCUCAAUGAAAGCACCAAUGUCGGUGUCAAAACCGGCGGAUCUCGGGUAGGGGGUCCUGAACUGUGCGUCUAAGGCGGCUGGUAACAGGAGGCGGGGGACAUGAUGUUUACCCAGGUUCGGGCCCUCUCGAUGGAGGUAAUACCCUACUUCCUGCUUGAUUGAUCUUGAUGAUAUGAGUAUUACAAGAGUUGAUCUACCACGAGAUCGUAGAGGGUAAACCUUAGAAGCUAGCCUAUGGUAUGAUUGUUGUUGUCCUAGGGACUAAACCCUCCGGUUUAUAUAGACACAGGAGGGGGCUAGGGUUACACAGAGUCGGUUACAAGGGAGGAGAUCUACAUAUCCGUAUUGCCAAGCUUGCCUUCCACGCCAAGGAGAGUCCCAUCCGGACACGGGACGGAGUCUUCAAUCUUGUGUCUUCAUAGUCUAACAGUCCGCCUAAAGUAUAUAGUCUGGCUGUCCGAGGACCCCCUAAUCCAGGACUCCCUCAGGGUAUCCCUCACCGGUGGCCAUCUUCAUCAUCCCGGCGCUCUCCAUGACGAAGAGGGAGUAGUUCACCCUCGGGGCUGAGGGUAUGUACCAGUAGCUAUGUGUUUGAUCUCUCUCUCUCUCUCGUGUUCUUGAUUCAGCACGAUCUUGAUGUAUCAUGAGAUUUGCUAUUAUAGUUGGAUCUUAUGAUGCUUCUCCCCCUCUACUCUCUUGUAAUGGAUUGAGUUCUCCCUUUGAAGUUAUCUUAUCGGAUUGAGUCUUUAAGGAUUUGAGAACACUUGAUGUAUGUCUUGUCGUGCUUAUCUAUGGUGACAAUGGGAUAUCACGUGAUCCACUUGAUGUAUGUUUUGGUGAUCAACUUGCGGGUUCCGCCCAUGAACCUAUGCAUAGGGGUUGGCACACGUUUUCGUCUUGACUCUCUGGUAGAAACUUUGGGGCACUCUUUGAAAUACUUUGUGUUGGUUGAAUAGAUGAAUCUGAGAUUGUGUGAUGCAUAUCGUAUAAUCAUGCCCACGGAUACUUGAGGUGACAAUGGAGUAUCUAGGUGACAUUAGGGUUUUGGUUGAUUUGUGUCUUAAGGUGUUAUUCUAGUACGAACUCUAUGAUAGAUUGAACGGAAAGAAUAGCUUCAUGUUAUUUUACUACGGACUCUUGAAUAGAUCGAUCAGAAAGGAUAACUUUGAGGUGGUCUCGUACCCUACCAUAAUCUCUUCGUUUGUUCUCCGCUAUUAGUUACUUUGGAGUGACUCUUUGUUGCAUGUCGAGGGAUAGUUAUAUGAUCCAAUUAUGUUAUUAUUGUUGAGAGAACUUGCACUAGUGAAAGUAUGAACUCUAGGCCCUGUUUCCUAGCAUUGCAAUACCAUUUACGCUCACUUUUAUUAUUAGUUACCUUGCUGUUUUUAUAUUUUCAGAUUACAAAAACCUAUAUAUACCAUCCAUAUUGCACUUGUAUCACCAUCUCUUCGCCGAAUUAGUGCACCUAUACAAUUUACCAUUGUAUUGGGUGUGUUGGGGACACAAGAGACUCUUUGUUAUUUGGUUGCAGGGUUGUUUGAGAGAGACUAUCUUCAUCCUACGCCUCCCACGGAUUGAUAAACCUUAGGUCAUCCACUUGAAAGAAAUUUGCUACUGUCCUACAAAGCUCUGCACUUGGAGGCCCAACAACGUCUACAAGAAGAAGGUUUUGUAGUAGAUAUCAGGGGGAGGGGGGUGAAACCGCCCCGCCGCCGCCGUCCCCGAGCGCGGCGCGGCUUCGCUGGCCGGCCCUCCGGCGGCAGCGAUGCGGGGGGAGGGGGGCACUGGCGGAGGAAGGCUACCGGUGGCGAUGAAGGUUUCCCCCGUAUCGCCUGUUGCGGGCGACGCGGGGGCAGGGUUGACCAGCUCGAGGAUUUCGGCUGAGCUGUAGAACGUAUGAAAUAUUGAAGGAAAACAAAAACAUGAGAAUCAACAGAUAUUGGAGAAGUUGGUACAGAGUGGUACAUGGAAAGGAAAUUUUACUUUUACUGGAGGUUGAAUGAAGUUAUGUUUACACCUUCCAUUUCACUUUGUGGGCACUCCGAAGUUGCAAAGAAAAAAUAUAUAAAAUAUCAUCAUUCGUACGCAUUUAUAUGCAGGUAAUGAAAAUGGCUCCACCUAAUUAUAAGAUUAUUAAGCACUUUUAGUACCCGGGAGUCCCUGGUACUGUGAAGAUGAUAUUAAGACUAAUUAAUGGACAUGGAUUUGUUCUGAUCACACAAAGAUAGCUCAAACACCCAUCCGCUUACUUGCUUGCAUUUCAAAAGAUUGAUAACCACAUUUCAUCAUUUUUCCCCACUUCUCCACCUUGCUGGUGAUAUAUAUCCAGCUUCCGCAUAUAUGAUAUUUUUCACUCUAGCACUUUCAGCUUCUUUUUGAAAUGAAGAGUACUUUUCUUGCUGAUGCAGCAACAAUAGUAAGUCAGAGCUUUCUUAGGCCUUGUACAAUGCAAGGUGCUUUGAGAAAUAAACUAGGCUUUCCUUAAGCACCGAUACUUAUUUGUACAGGAUACUUUAUUAAUUUUUCUCACAAGAUCUUACAAAGUCAUACAACAGUAAGACUAAAGCCGCCGUCUAAGCAACAAACUGUCGCUACACCUAUCCAGUUGAUGAAGGGACGCAGAUAGCCUGGGCCUAAUACCAAACAGACAUCGCAUCCAAGCCUAACAUCUAAGACCUGAGACCCCAACCUAGCCACUUGCCGGGUCUGGGGCACACACUGGUCCGGCGUGCUCUCAGAGGCCGCCGCCGCCAACUGCCACCGCUCCAUCUUCAGAAUUGUACUGAUGCAUCAACCUUACUCGGUCUAGCUAUCGUCGACGCCACCACUGCGCCCAGCGGCACCUCCUCCCUGCCCGCAAACAACUGAGCACAUCGCGGUCGCCACUGAUACACCUCAGCACCAUGCUGCCAAGUACCACCAGCUGACACAGCUUGAAGUCCUUGGAAGAUCUUUCAUGCGUAGCACCUGCCGACCAAGUAUGACAAAGUGUAGCACCUGUCGGUCAGGCAUGACUUGACAUCUCCACCGAAGCUCCGUGCAAGACGAAGCCGCUCCACCUCCUGCCUCUGACUUCCAGCGCUGCUCCACAAACGAUGCUCCCAAGAGAGAAACGAGACAGCGGUGCCACAAUCGUCCGAUCUGGAACACCAGAUCCUAGAGUUUCCCGUGGAGCAGCACGAGUGGGUCGACAGUAGUUACACGAUGAUGCCUCCAUCAAGGUAACGACGAGAACGCCGCCAUCGCCUACCGUCGGCUCGAUUUUCACCGGCAACCAUGUCUCCCCUACUCGCAGUCGGGACUAGAUGAUGGAUCUCGAGAUCCGAUCACCAAGCCUCUGGCCGGCCAUCUCUGGAAGAAGAUGACCACCACGUCCACCAGCGUCACCACACCGGGCACGCGUUGCCGCCGGCACCCCCAUGGUGCCUAGAGGCCGACAAGCCCCGACGAACACCACGCCUCGCCAGCCGCCAUAGCCCAGGCCCAAGCACCACCAGAUCCAGAUCAGAUCGGGGUCAAGGGCCCCAAGCCGCAGCCGUCGCGGAGGCAGCACCACUAGACGGUGCCCUGCCCUCCACCCCGCUGUAGGAUCGAGUCAUCGCCGGAGCUCCGCCACGCCACGCCGCCAAGACGCCGCCGGAAGAACUCGCGCCGCCGCUAGGGGAGAGAGAGACGCGCUAGGGAGAGGCCCCGCCGCUGGCACUGCCUUGGCUUUGCCCGGCUGUGUCCCUCGGCGGCGGCGAGGGGGGAGGGAGGGUGGAGGAGGGCCGGCGGCGGAGGGGGCUAGGGUUCCCCCGAGUCGCCUCAGAGAGGGACGCAGGCGACGGGGUGAGAAAACUGAGAGAGUGGAUAUGGCCUUUACUCGAGCUCAUGGGGUGGCCCGACUGCUGGUGAGUGUUCUCGAUAUUGAGUUCGUGCCUGAUGUGGUUAAGUGGACAUAUAGGGGACAGAUUUUCAACCUCGAGAUUGAGUUUGAGGAUGCCGCUCUCUUCGCUGAGGCUAUCAAUGGGACUGAUGUAGAUAUGCACGAGGGUGAUGACAGCUCGGGUGCUAAGGAGGCACCGGUUGAUGAUGUUGGACGAGAGUUGUCCAACUAAUCGGGGCCCGUUCCUCAGACGCCCAGGGACGGGACGGCACCAUCCUCUUCGGUGCCUAUGAGUUCUCUGAGAUUUGGGUCGUUUGAGCCAGCUUCUGCUCCUCCCAGACUCUGGAGUGACCGGGUGGAGUCCGAUGACGUGUUUGAGCGCACGCUACCUACCCUGGAUUUUGUUGCUGCUGAUAGUCCCGUGCUUGGAGGUUUGGAGGGGAUUAUCUCUGUGCAGACCUCGGUAAGGGGAGGGGAGGCGGAGCUUGGGCAGGUGGCCCCUCUUUCCCCCGCUCUCCCUGCGGUGUCACCUCGGGAGACGGAGUCGACUAUGGAGGCUGUCCCUAGGGAGGGAGUCCAUGGCAGGUGGCCUCGGCUCCUUCUUCUCUUCUCGCGGUGCCGGAGCUGCAGAUGGCGGUUGUGCUUAGGGGAGGCGGUCCAGGGCAGGUGGCCUCGGCCCCCUCUUCACCUCUGGCGGCUAGGGAGGCCACACCCCCUAUGGCGCCGGAGACCUCUUCUAGCCAGAGGGCUGGGGCGGGAGGAGCGUACGGGCAGGCGGCCCACGCGCUUCCCUCUCCCGGCGCGCCAACGUCCCAGGGCCUCGGUUCGAGGUGGACGUCAGUGGGGCCGGGGAGGUCCCCGCCGCUGCCCCCGGCAGCUCCCGCCGACUCUUCGACGUGUGCAGCUUCGCGGUGUGCUGGGGGUGAGGCCGGUGGCUUUACUCCGAGCGGGGUCACUCGGGAGGAGGUCAUCGCCUUUGGAGGGAUUCUAGAUCCUGUCUCUGCGGGGCGACGGAUGAGCUGUCGUCUCUAGGAUCAUCCGGAGGUUGAUGACAUGCAGCAGCGGUGCGCCAUGAGGGCGGCCAAGCUUCGUGACAUUGAGGUCACUACUGGUAUGUCGGUCAACACUUCUAAUUCCAUUCUGCAUUUUUCUAAUAAUGAGAUUAUUAAUAAUUCAAAUCAAUUGGGAGUUUCACUAGGUAGUAAUGAUAGUGAAAUUUCUAACUUUGUAAAUGAUAUCCUGGAUUUGGAAGCGGAACGCGCUUUAGAAAUGAUUCAAAACUUAGCAGCGGUUAAACCCAUGAAUGAUGCAGAUAUCGAUGCGUUGGGGGUCAGGGUGCUCGAUAAUUUUUGUGCAGAUCUUGCACCAUCCAUUCCUGAGUCAGAGGAAGAGGAUAACACUUUUGAGGCUGCCGUAGAUCGAUCCAUGGAGCCCGGUUGUGAGGACUGGGUGGAGGAUCAAAACAAACCUAAACGCAAGUGGAAGCGGAAGAUCUACCCUGCUUCGGCGGUGCGUAGGAGUGCUAGGAUCCGUACUAUUAAAACAUUUCAUGAUGAAAUAUGAAAGGAAUCUUUUGGAAUAGCAGAGGUCUGAAAGACUUGGCUAAAAGAAGGUUUCUUGCAGAUGCGUCUAUCGAGCAUAGGUUGGAUUUUAUCACUCUCUCGGAAACUGGUAGAGAUAAUUUUUCGCCCCAGUUUCUCAGUACUUUAUCGGGAGGUGUUGAUUUCAAUUGGCACUGCCUGCCUCCGAGAGGAAGAUCGGGUGGGAUCUUACUUGGAGUGAGAUGCGAUUCGCUAGAAGUCUGAAGUGUAGUGAUGGGAGAUUUCACAAUUAAGUUCCGGGUUAGGUCGAAAGCCAACGGGUUUAAUUGGGCUCUGAUGGCGGUUAUGCUCCCGCGCAGCCCGAUCUCAAACCAGAGUUCUUGGCGGAUCUUGUUCAAAUUUGCGGCUCUGAGCAGCUCCCAAUCCUGGAUGGGGGUGAUUUCAACAUCAUUAGGAGGAGAGAGGAAAAGAAUAAUGAUAAUUUCGACGGCAGGUGGUCGUUUAUGUUUAAUACCAUUAUUGAAAGCUUGGAUCCUAGAGAGAUAGAGCUUUCGGGUAGAAAAUUCACCUGGGCUAAUACUUUGCCAAAUCCGACGUUUGAGAAGCUGGAUCGAGUCCUAGUGAGCGUCGAAUGGGAACAGAUAUUUCCUUUGGUAACGGUCCAGGCUCUUUCGCGUGGUAUUUCUGACCACACGCCUUUAUUUGUGGACUCUGGUGAGCCAACCCACAUGGGGAACAAAAACUCCUUUUCUUUCGAGCUGGCAUGGUUUGAACGAGAAGGCUUCUUGGAUAUGAUAGCCAGGGAAUGGGCUAAGGAUGCAGGAGGUAGGACUUCGAUUGAGCGCUGACAGAAUAAGAUAAGGCACUUGAGAAGUUUCUUGCGUGCGUGGGCUAAGCAUCUUAGUGGGGUUUAUAAGGUCGAAAAGGAAAGGCUCCUUACACUUAUUCAGUCUCUAGAUUUAAAAGCCGAGUCCACAAUUUUGCAAGCCACAGAGCUUCAUGAUAAACUGGAGGCGGAGAUGAGAUUGAAAGAGCUUCUCCGUGAAGAGGAAUUAAAGUGGGCGCUGCGGGCUAAGGUUCGCAAAGUUGUCCAGGGGGACGCGAAUACUCAAUUCUUUCACAUGAUCGCUAAUGGCAAGCACAGAAAGAAUAGAAUCUUUCAGCUUGAACCAAGAUGAAGGAACGAUUUUAGGACAGGAAAACCUAAAAUUAUACAUAACCGAAUACUACAAGCAGUUGUUUGGGCCUCUGGAGGAUAAUUGUGUAUCCCUGGAUGAGUCUAGGAUUGAGGAUGUGCCUCAACUUACUGCUGAUGAGAAUGAUAUUUUGAUUGCCCCUUUUUCGGGGAAAGAGGUGUUUGAAGCCAUUACACAGAUGAAAAACAAUAAGGCUCCAGGGCCGGAUGGAUUUCCGGCGGAAUUCUAUAAAAAGUGUUGGCAUAUUAUUAAGGGGGAUUUGCAACCAAUGUUCCAUGAUUUAUUCUCUGGACAGCUUCAGUUAUUUCACUUGAACUUUGGAAUGAUAACAUUGCUUCCUAAGAAAACAAAGGCUGUGAGAAUUGAGCAGUUCAGGCCGAUCUGUCUUCUCAAGGUUAGUUUCAAAAAUUUCACAAAGGUUGGGACUAAUAGGCUCACGCAGACUGCGCAUUCUGUGGUGCAGCAUUCCCAAACUGCUUUCAUGCCGGACAGAAACAUCCUAGAAGGGGUUGUGGUCCUUCAUGAAACGCUCCACGAAAUUCACACGAAAAAACUAGAUGGAGUUGUUUUCAAGGUGGAUUUCGAGAAAGCGUACGAUAAAGUCAAAUGGCCUUUCCUUCAACAGGCCUUACAUAUGAAAGGUUUUGAUGAAGCCUGGCGACGCCAGGUAGAAUCUUUCACGCAAAAAGGGAGUGUUGGAAUUAAAGUGAAUGACGACAUAGGUCAUUAUUUCCACACACAUAAGGGCCUGAGACAAGGGGUUCCGAUGUCUCCUAUUUUGUUCAACAUUGUAGUUGAUAUGUUGGCAAUUCUAAUAGGAAGGGCUAAGGAGGUUGGUCAGGUGGGUGGCUUGGUGUCUCAUCUAGUUGAUGGAGGUGUGUCUAUCCUACAGUACAGCGAGAAAUAUGAAGCUGGUGUUAUGCUUAUUUGAACAAUUGACCGGGUUAAAGAUUAACUUUCACAAAAGCAAAUUGUUCUGCUUUGGAAGAGCCAAUGAGGAACAAGAGGCUUAUAGGCAAUUGUUUGGGUGCGAAUUGGGGACCUUACCAUUUACGUAUUUAGGUAUACCAAUUCACCAUCGUAAGCUGACAAACACAGAAUGGAAGUGUAUCGAGGAUCUCUUUGAGAAGAAACUGAGUUGCUGGAAGGGCAAGCUCAUGUCAUACGGAGGCCGAUUAAUUCUGAUUAAUUUGGUUCUCACGAGUAUGCCUAUGUUUCUCUUGUCUUUGUUCGAAGUCCCAGUUGGAGUUAGGAAAAGGCUGGACUUCUAUCGAUCCCGAUUCUUCUGGCAGAGCGAUGAACUAAAAAGAAAAUACAGACUCACCAAAGGGAUAUUAUCUGUCGACCGAAAGACCAAGGGGGUCUUGGCAUUGAAAAUCUUGAGGUCAAGAACAGAUGUCUUCGCAGCAUGUGGCUGUCUAAGUUAUCUGUAGAGAUCGAUGCCACAUGGGCGCAGAUUCUUAGUAGUAAGUAUCUUCAUUCCAAAACUUUGUCCCAGGUGACAGCGAGGCCGACAGACUCACCUUUUUGGAAAGGGCUUAUGAUAGUCAAAUUAGCCUUUUUUAAUAGGACAAAGUUUAUUAUCGUCAAUGGCGCUAGCACGCGAUUCUGGGAGGAUACUUGGCUCGGAGAGACCCCCUUGCACUUCAAUACCCGUCUCUGUAUCGUAUUGUUCAACGACGUGAUGCUUUCGUUGCAACGAUACUUCAAUCCAUCCCCCUUAAUAUUUAGGUCAGGAGGACGCUAGCCGGUAAUCGUUGGGAAGAGUGGCUCCAUCUAGUGAGUAGACUGAUGGAGGUUCAGCUGUCUCAACAGCCCGAUCAAUUACGCUGGAAACUUACUAGGUCUGGAGAGUGUACAGUUAAAUCAAUGUAUCUCGAUGUGAUCAAUUCUAGCUCUAUUCCUAGUUCCAAAUAUGUUUCGACAGUCAAAGUUCCAUUGAAAAUUAAAGUGUUUACGUGGUUUGUACAUAAACAAGUCAUCUUAACCAAGGACAAUUUGGCAAAGCGUAACUGGACAGGACCUACUAAGUGUAGUUUUUGUGAUCGGGAUGAAACUAUCAAACACCUUUUUCUUGAUUGCUCGAUGGCCAAAGUUCUAUGUCGGACAGUCCACAUAGCCUUUGACAUUUCCGAGUUCUGUUAGCACGUUAUUUGGAACGUGGCUUAAUGGGAUAGAGUCCGAAACAGCGAGACACAUUCGCGUAGGAGUAUGUGCUUUAUUGUGGGCAGUCUGGAACUGCAGAAAUGAUUUGGUUUUUAACAGAACAACAAAUAUUCAUUUUUUGCAGGUUAUCUUCCAAGCCACUGCGUUGAUCCGUACGUGGUCACUACUCACUCCGACGGAGGCCAGGGAGCGUUUGGUUACUGGAUCUAUCCGGUGGGAGAUGGUAGCACGGGAUAUCUUCAACCGGUUUGAAUGGCGGUCAUGUAAUAGGAUAGGCAAUUAGUUUACCUAUCUUUCUUAUGCCGGCCGAUUGUGGCUUUUUGGCUAGUUUGUUAUUGGCCCUUUGGCUCUUUAUGAGCUUUCCUUUACUUUCGUUUGAGACUUUAAGACCUUGUUAAACCUAUUUGCUUUUUUAUAAAGUUGGCCGUAUGCAUCGUUCUGAUGCAGAGGCCGGGGAGCCCCCACUUUUCGAAAAAAAACCUCUUGUUAUCUUGUAUUCUUGUGUGACAAUGCUCGAAGAAUAUAAAAGGGCUAGGUGGAAAGACCCCCAUAUCGAAAACUUGCCUACCUACGAGUUUUAUAGACACAGAGCCUCAUUGGAUUGUACUAGAUGGAGCCUCCAGUGAGAGCUGAAGACGAGGCGAUGAGCACGGAGGAGCUGCUCCAAGCCCAGACGGAUCUCUACCACCACUCCCUAGCCUACAUCAAAUCUAUGGCGCUCGGUGCCGCCACAGAACUCAGCGUCGCCGACGCCAUCCACGGCCGUGGCGGUGCCAUCACCUUGUCUGACCUUGCGGCCGCGACCGGCGUCCACCCGACGAAAGUCCAACACUUCGGGCGGCUGAUGCGCGCGCUUACCGUCACUGGUGUCUUCACCUCGGAAGAAAAAGAAGGCGGUGGUGGUGCCCUGUACAAGCUCACUCGGAUUUCACGCCUCCUUCUCGGAGUCGGCAAGCGUCGGCUCUCCCCGAUGGUGCGUAUGCUUGUCAGCGAGGUCAGUUUCACUACUCCCAUGAGCAUCUGCGAGUGGAUCACCACUGAGACGCCGGCCAGGGCCAUGUUCGAGGCCCAUUUUGGCUCUACGCAAAAUGGGUUGUGGGAGAAGGACGACGCGUAUGGUGCCCCCUUCUACUCAGCAAUGGCUGCGGACAGCCGUCUCGUCAUGGAGGUUCUGCUGAGAGAGUGCAGCAGCGUCUUUGAGGCCGUUGCCGGCUCACUUGUCGAUGUCGGCGGCGGCAGCGGAGGAGUCGUGGCUGCCGCCAUUGCCACAGCGUUCCCUCACAUCAAGUGCUCCGUGCUGGACCUCCCCAACGUGGUAGCCGCGGCUGACGACACCACCAACGUGCAGUUUGUCUCCGGCGAUAUGUUUGACUACAUUCCACCAGCGGAUGCCGUUCUACUCAAGGUACGUACUUACAUAGUACUCCCUCCGUAAGGAUAUAUAAGAGCAUUUAGAUCAUUAUUAUUUUAGUGAUUGAUCCAAACGCACUUAUAUUUCUUUACAGAGGGAGUAGCACAUACAAAUGCAGCAAGCUAUCCAUUUCUUAUAUAUAUAAUGAACCAAAUUAAUCAACCAAUCCUUCCUAUAAAUUUUGUAGUGGAUUUUGCAUGACUGGGAAGACCAAGACUGCGUCAAGAUACUGCGCAAGUGCAGAGAGGCCAUCCGCACAAGAGGUGCUGGGGGGAAGGUGAUUAUAAUCGAUUUCGUCGUCGGUGCUGGUUCUUGCAAGGAGACGGAGACACAGGUUCUGUUUGAUCUUUACAUGAUGAUGGAGAAUGGGGCUGAGCGGGACGAGCAAGAGUGGAGCAAGAUUUUCUUUGAAGCUGGAUUUAGUGACUACAAGAUCAUGCCAGUCUUAGGCGCUCGUUCACUCAUUCAAGUAUUCCCAUGAAUUCUGGCGGUUUGAUGUCCAAAUGUACUUCCUGUUUCCAAAUGUUUGUUUGCUUUCACAUCAGAAUAAUGCCUAGGACUAUACUAUAUAGUCUCGACUUUGAAUCUGAAUAAUGAAACUGUUUGUUAUCCUACGUGUUGUUUUCGUUCAUAAUUCAUAUGCUCACAAUGAAAUACAGUCUGCUAUUUUUGUUUACAUUAAAUUAUACUUUACCUAGCAAUAUGGUAAACAGGCUCACUUAGCAGAGGCUGGCUUGUUCGCUUAUUCGCCGCCCUAGGAAUGCGAGCUCCUUGCCGAAAUGAAAUUCUAGUAGCACUGGUUACUAUCGGGUCCUGCAUGUUCGUCAUUUGUGCAAGUAAACACAAUGCAUACGAGUACUCUACUGAAUUGAACUUUUUUGUAUUGUUUUCAUUGGACCAUCCACUGUAUAGUAACAGAGUAUUUAUUGCACACAGACUAUUUUAUUCUUUCAACCCAUAGUUCAUCCACCCACACUUUUAGUCUGAUUCUAAAAUUUGUAACACUUUUAAAUUUUGAACUUGUUCUGAACAAGUAAAAUUCCAAAUUUGACACCAUAAUGAAACUUAUGUCAAAUGUGAGAUCAUAUGAAAUGAAACUGAAGUGAACCAAUAAUAAAAAAUGCAAAAAUAAUUUAAUAAACCAUAAUAAAACUUAUAUCAAAUUUGAGAUGAAACAUAGACGAAUUGUGGAUUGAAACAAUAACGAAAACAAGCUAAGGGGAAUCUAUGAAUAAAUAAUGAGAACAUGUAAAAUUACGAUGACACGGAAAUGAUAUCGUAUGGAAAAUAUGCUAAGAGAACACUUUCAUUGGCCAGCCCAACCAUGAAAGGUAAUUUAACAAAAUGAUAUGAAACUUAUUUGAAAGCUCGAAAAAUAGAAAUAAAACCAGAAUGAAAAUAAUAAUGAAACAUGUAAAAAUACGAUGAAACACAUAUGUAAAAAUAAGGCCGCGAGAUCGUCGUCCUCUGAGUUGGAAGUUUAUGGUGAAGGUGACGUGGGAUCCAUUGCAGGCGCGCCCGGGGUCUGGUGUGGUUGUGGAACACAUAUGUGGAGAUCAUAGUAGCGGUGAAUGACGAACGUGAGCGCUCCGAAGAAUAUGGUGCAGGAAGGAGAAGUCGGUCUGUUAGUGUAGAACCGGCCUUCUGCGAUGAAGGUGAGGAAGCCGAUGGUUAAGCCGUGAGAUUGCCAGCCGUUAUUGAGGAUCUGAUCUAGAGUCGGUCCCCAGCUGACAUAGCCCCUUCCUGUGCUAACUGAUGGUAUGGGAAUUUGCGAGUAUCCUUUGUAGGGUGGCGAACAUGUCCGGAAGUACAAGAAGGGAGUUCGCCAAGGGGGUUUUCCAGAUUUGCGCCCUCAUGGCGAGGAAAUACCUUACGUCCUGCUAUUUGUUUUCUAUUGAUGAUGGAGAACGUUGAGCGAGGGGUUACAAGGGACAUAAAUAUGGCCAUAGGAGUAUAGUCUACGGGAGUAGAUUGGAAUCGCUACCCCUAUCCUCACCUUAUAUAGGUGACGGGGCUAGGUUUUACAUGGCGCCUACAUGAUCUCACACUGCCAUCAUCUUGGCUUCCACCCAAGAUGGUCUUCUGGCUUCCAGGACCCCCGGGCUGUCUCUUGAUGCCAGACCUCCUUCAAGACUUUUGGGCCCGAAGGCCGGCCCACUAUUGGGUUCAUAUCUAGUGUGCCAUCCACGUUGUAAUGCACCAUCACCAACCCCGAUUUCUGGGGCCUUAAGAGUGAAGCGAUUCCUAAUUCUUCUUGGUAACAUGCCAAAGUGUUGUGUCCCAAAGGCUCGACUGGGUAUUUUCGUCAUUGCGGUUGAUAUGGAGAAGGGGUGGGUCGCAUGGAGGCAGAAAUGGGUAAAUGAAGACAGAAACGAGGGGCUGGCCUGACAGUGGUUCAUGUAGACGACGAGCAAGAGCAUGUGGCCAAUUUUUCCGCAAGCGUUAGAAGCAUAGCCAUAAUUCCAGAAAUUUUAGUGGCGGCAACUGAAUUUGCCCUAUUAUAAGAAGGUAUUGCCCCACAACGGUGCGCACACGGGUGACCUUCCUCUUGGUCCAAUGACAGGUGGGCCAUGGACUCGCCGGGGGCCAUAUUAAUGGGACAUUGUCUAUCGUGCUCUUGUGAUUUCUCUCUCGGGUGAUGGGCGGGCUAGACCCACCUGUCGGUUUUUUCGGACACCGUUGGGCUGGCUCAGGUGUGCCAGGGGGCCAGGUCAGACUGUGGUGGGCCUAGACCCCGGCGGGUGUGCGUCGUUCAGGAUGGCCGGCCACGCGGGUGUGCCAUGCUGUUUGAUCGCGAGAGCUGGCAAAGCACGGGCACCAGGUUGUUCGGCUUGUGUGAGCGAAACAGGCGACGGUGAGUCUAUCGUCCAAGAGACGGGCCGAAUAUACCGACAGGCGGAUCAGGCUUCCUGCUCUUGUGCAAUACGAUGAGAAAGGGUUCUCGCGGGAGCACCGAGGCCGCUCCAUGAGAGUGGCCCUGCACGCACCCGCGGUCCACCCGUCAUGGACCCCCGAGUGCACGUCCACUAGUUGAAAACGGAGUUUUAUCACCGGUUCGUAAGGGCCUUUAGUGCCGGUUCUGCAACCGGCACUAAAGAGUGGGGACUAAAGGUCCCCCUUUAGUACCGGUUUGGCACGAACCGGCGUAAACGUGCCACCACGUGGCACGAGCCAGGCCUGGGUGCGUGUAGGACAUUAGUACCGGUUGGUAACACAACCGGUACUAAAUGUUUGGGUGUGUUUUGGUUUUAAUUUUUAUUUUUCCUUUAGUUUUGUGUUUUCAAUUUAAUUUAGUGAUUGUUUUACAUUAUAAUGAGUUGUUAAAUCAUUAGGUGAAAGUACCGCAGAUUAGUUUCGACUGGAUGCAUGUGGAUCCUAGCUAAGUGAUAAAGUAUAUGCCAUAUCCAUAUUACUUAGAUCUAAGUAAUAUGGAUAUGGCAUAUAGUUGAUCACUUAGCUAGGAUCCAUCCAGUUGAAACUAAUAUGCGGUUUCUUUCAUAAAUGAUAUAAUAACUCAUCAUCAUCAUCAUCAUAUUAAUAUAAAAACUCUUGCAUCAUAUCAUCACCAACAACAGUAUAUACUAGCUAGCAAAGAUAUCAUCGAGUUCAACAUGGUCAUGAUAUUAUAAGCAUUCAUAACACCACAAAAGCAAAUCACUCUUUGAGAUUAAGUUCAUGACGAAGAACACGGACACGCAUGAGAGGACAAGAAGUACUAAGAGCAUGAUAACUAGCUAAAUCACUCCUGCUGCUCUCUCUCAGGUAAAAUAGCAUAGAACAUGUAUAGCUCUCCUGAUUCAUCAUAUUGGAUCAUGCAGAUGAACCUGUCUCCUAAUCGUGGGCUGCGCUUCUGAUUGCUGCCCCCUAGUACUUCUUUGCGAUCGUUAACAAUUUUGCUCCAAUCUUUCACUAUUAAGCAUUCAUCGCUUUCAGAAAUUCUGAAUGCACUCAUGUGCACUGUAGGAUAUCUUGGCCGUAAGCUAACAAUUGACAUGCGACCUUUAGUCUUGAUCCACUGAGGCACAACUAUUAAGCAUUCAUCGCUUUCAGAAAUUCUGAAUGCACUCAUGUGCACUGUAGGAUAUCUUGGCCGUAAGCUAACAAUUGACAUGCGACCUUUAGUCUUGAUCCACUGAGGCACAACUGUCAUCGGGAGUCCCUGUUGAAGAACAUCGUAUAGUAAUUAAUAUACUUAGCAAUGAAAGUUUAGCUUGAAAAAUAAUGUAUGCAAAAGAUGCACUGAGGACUAAUAGUAAAAAUCUUACCAUCUUUCCUAAAUACAUGUGACCGUAGUUCAAUACGAUCACUAUUGGUCGCACGUUUUGAGUACUAAGAUUUUCAAAUUCAGGAAAAUGAUUUCUCUUAACAGCAUCAAGAUCCUCAAGCCAUGAAACAUAAUGACUUAUCUCCUCGCAGUUUAGUUCAGCCCCGGGACAGUGGAUGGUCCUGUCUACCAAGCGCCGAACAUGUUUGCUUGAAUCAAAAUAAGCUGUCAAUAGAAAUUACUUGUCAACUAUUUUUGAAUAAACAAUAUCGAAGACAUAAAUAUGGUUGAGAAACUCACAUAAUGGUAGAACUGGAGGCAUCUGCACAUCGACCCAGAUAUCUCUAUUACCUUCAAUAUCAUCUUCCGGACGAAUAUCAAAGGUGAUAACCAUAUCAGGCUCAAAUGCAUAAGUCUUGCAUAGUGCUUGCCAAGUUUUGCAUUCAAAAUAGGUGUAUGUGUCUGCAUUGUAUAAUUUGACGUUGAAAGUAUAACCAUGCUCGGUCUUCAGGUAAACUCUCUUUGCCUCCAUAGUUUCCAUAGCACUGAAACCUAUCUUAUCCAAGACAAAAAUUCUUGCAUGGCAGGGGAUGCGCUACUACAAUAGUGAAAAUUAAAAAUUAUAAGUUGAAGCAAAUGAAGCAUAAGUCAUGCUUAAUUAUGAAAAAAGACUUGUCGUUGUGACUUACUGUAUCCACUUCGAAGGUCUCAUCCAGCUUGAUGCUGAAGCGCCUAUCAUCAACAAGGAAAUUUCUGUCGCACAGGCCGCGCUGGUCUUCACAGUAUUCGCACUUAAUGAAAUCUUUUUCGUCGUCAGACGACAUUUCCUAUGUUCAUAUAGGUGAAACAUUAAACACUUACUAGUUCUAUUAAUUCAACUAGUUCAACUACUUCUAUUAAUUCAACUAGUUCUAUCAAUUCAACUAGUUCUAUUAAUUCAACUAAUUCAACUAAGCAUUUACUAAAAAUAAACUAGUUCUAUAUAUAUAUAUAUAUUAAUAUUUUAAUUAGAUCAUCAAAUCUCAAAUACCUAAAUUUUCUUACUAAAAAUAAACCAGUUCUAUUAAUUCAACAAAUUCAACUAAGAAUUUACUAAAAAUGAACUAGUUAUAUUAAUUUUCUUACUAAAAUAUAUAAAGUAGCUAUGUAUAGUAAUAUUUUAAUUAGAUCAUCAAAUCUCUUAUACCUAAAUUUUCUUACUAAAAAUAAACNNNNNNNNNNNNNNNNNNNNNNNNNNNNNNNNNNNNNNNNNNNNNNNNNNNNNNNNNNNNNNNNNNNNNNNNNNNNNNNNNNNNNNNNNNNNNNNNNNNNNNNNNNNNNNNNNNNNNNNNNNNNNNNNNNNNNNNNNNNNNNNNNNNNNNNNNNNNNNNNNNNNNNNNNNNNNNNNNNNNNNNNNNNNNNNNNNNNNNNNNNNNNNNNNNNNNNNNNNNNNNNNNNNNNNNNNNNNNNNNNNNNNNNNNNNNNNNNNNNNNNNNNNNNNNNNNNNNNNNNNNNNNNNNNNNNNNNNNNNNNNNNNNNNNNNNNNNNNNNNNNNNNNNNNNNNNNNNNNNNNNNNNNNNNNNNNNNNNNNNNNNNNNNNNNNNNNNNNNNNNNNNNNNNNNNNNNNNNNNNNNNNNNNNNNNNNNNNNNNNNNNNNNNNNNNNNNNNNNNNNNNNNNNNNNNNNNNNNNNNNNNNNNNNNNNNNNNNNNNNNNNNNNNNNNNNNNNNNNNNNNNNNNNNNNNNNCUGGGGCGGCGAUGGGGGCGGCGACGACGGCGGCGACGACGACGGCGACAGGAUGGGCUGGGGCGCGAUAGGGGCGGCGACGGGGGCGAAGAACAAACUGAAACGAACUGAAAAUAUUCGUAAGUGGUGCUUAUAUAGCGGUGGCCAUUAGUACCGGUUUGAUACUAAAGGCCUAUUUUGGCCAGGCCAAGAGGCGGGAAGAGCAGGCCUUUAGUACCGGUUGGUGGCUCCAACCGGUACUAAAGACCCACCUUUAGUACCGGGUUGGGCUACCAACCGGUACUAAAGGGGGUGCGCUGCCACCCGCGGUGUAGAAAGUUUAGUCCCACCUCGCCGGGCGAAGGGCAGCCGCACUGGUUUAUAAACCCAGCCGCGGCUGCUACUUUGAACUCCCUUGUAAAGCAGGCUUCUGGGCCUAACUAUGGCACGCUGCCCUGUGAGCCUGCUGGCCCUUGUGGGCCUGAAUUUCCACGCCCGUGGUCUUGUAGGCCCAUUGGGAAGCGCCCCAAUAAUUUUUUAUAUAGUUUGUUUCUUUUCUUCUUUAUUUAUUUUCUUCUAUUUAUUUCUGAGUAGUUUUUUAUAUAGUUUUUUCUUUUCUGCUUUUUUUUAUUUUCUUCUAUUUAUUUCGGAUUAGUUUUUUAUAUAUUUUUUUCUUUUCCCCAAAUCGGUAAAUGACUGAAAAAUAGCAAAUGUUGUCAGAAAGUGUUGAAAAUUGAUGACGUCGCUUUGAAUGGUGUGUAUGGAACGCAAAAAAGUCUGGAGUUGUAAUAAGUUUAAAAAAAUGAAGUGCCCAUGUAACAGAUGAGUUCUCGUCAGAAACCCUGAUACUACAAAAAAGAUAGUCCAGUUUGUACACGAAGUGCGUCCAGUUUUUGCCAUAACCCUCUCUACUCUUUUGCACAUGCUAUGUGGGUGAAAUGAUGAUACCAUGCCAAGUUUUGACAUUUUCAGAGUUUAUUUUGUAGUGAUUUUCAAUUUCACGGUCAUUUAACUCUCUAAACAAAUCGGUAAAUGACUGAAAAAUAGCAAAUGAUGUCAGAAAGUGUUGAAAAUUGAUGACGUCGCUUUGAAUGGUGCGUACGGAACGCAAAAAAGUCUGGAGUUGUAAUAAGUUUAAAAAAAUGAAGUGCCAGUGUAACAGAUGAGUUCUCGUCCGAAACCCUGAUACUCCGAAAGAGAUUGUCCAGUUUGUACACGAAGUGCGUCCAGUUUUUGCCGUAAUCCUCUCUACUCUUUUGCACAUGCUGUGUGGGUGAAAUGAUGAUACCAUGCCAAGUUUCGACAUUUUCAGAGUUCAUUUUGUAGUGAUUUUCAAUUUCACGGUCAUUUAGCUCUCUAAACAAAUCGGUAAAUGACUACAAAAGUGCAAAUAAUGUCAGAAAGUUUUGAAAAAUGAUGACGUCGCUUUGAAUGGUGUGUACGGAACGCAAAAAAGUCUGGAGUUGUAAUAAGUCUGAAAAAUCGAAGUGCCAAUGUAACAGAUGAGUUCUCGUCAGAAACCCUUAUACUUCGAAAGAGAUUGUCCAGUUUGUACACGAAGUGCGUCCAGUUUUUGCCGUAACCCUCUCUACUCUUUUGCACAAGCUAUGUGGGUGAAAUAAUGAUACCACACCAAGUUUCGACAUUUUCAGAGUUGAUUUUGUAGUGAUUUUCAAUUUCACGGUCAUUUAGCUCUCUAAACAAAUCGAUAAAUGACUGAAAAAUAGUAAAUGAUGUUAGAAAGUGUUGAAAAUUGAUGACGUCGCUUUGAAUGGUGCGUACGGAACGCAAAAAAAGUCUGUUGUUGUAAUAAGUUUAAAAAAAUGAAGUGCCAGUGUAACAGAUGAGUUCUCGUUCGAAACCCUGAUACUCCGAAAGAGAUUGUCCAGUUUGUACACGAAGUGCGUCCAGUUUUUGCCGUAACCCUCUCUAAUCUUUUGCACAUGCUAUGUGGGUGAAAUGAUGAUACUAUGCCAAGUUUCGACAUUUUCAGAGUUCAUUUUGUAGUGAUUUUCAAUUUCACGGUCAUUUAGCUCUCUAAACAAAUCGGUAGAUGACUAAAAAAUAGCAAAUGAUGUCAGAAAGUUUUGAAAAUUGAUGACGUCGCUUUGUAUGGCGUGUACGGAACGCAAAAAAUUCUGGAGUUGUAAUAAGUUUAAAAAAAUGAAGUACCCAUGUAACAGAUGAGUUCUCGUCAGAAACCCUGAUACUCCAAAAGAGAUUGUCCAGUUUGUACACGAAGUGCGUCCAGUUUUUGCCGUAACCCUCUCUACUCUUUUGCACAUGCUGUGUGGGUGAAAUGAUGAUACCAUGCCAAGUUUCGACAUUUUCAGAGUUCAUUUUGUAGUGAUUUUCAAUUUCACGGUCAUUUAGCUCUCUAAACAAAUCGGUAAAUGACUAAAAAAUAGCAAAUGAUGUCAGAAAGUGUUGAAAAUUGAUGACGUCGCUUUGAAUGGUGCGUACGGAACGCAAAAAAAGUCUNNNNNNNNNNNNNNNNNNNNNNNNNNNNNNNNNNNNNNNNNNNNNNNNNNNNNNNNNNNNNNNNNNNNNNNNNNNNNNNNNNNNNNNNNNNNNNNNNNNNNNNNNNNNNNNNNNNNNNNNNNNNNNNNNNNNNNNNNNNNNNNNNNNNNNNNNNNNNNNNNNNNNNNNNNNNNNNNNNNNNNNNNNNNNNNNNNNNNNNNNNNNNNNNNNNNNNNNNNNNNNNNNNNNNNNNNNNNNNNNNNNNNNNNNNNNNNNNNNNNNNNNNNNNNNNNNNNNNNNNNNNNNNNNNNNNNNNNNNNNNNNNNNNNNNNNNNNNGACUAAAAAUAGCAAAUGAUGUCAGGAAGUGUUGAAAAUUGAUGACGUCACUUUGAAUGGUGCGUACGGAACGCAAAAAAAGUCUGGAGUUGUAAUAAGUUUAGAAAAAUGAAGUGCCAAUGUAACAGAUGAGUUCUCGUCAGAAACGGUGAUACUCCGAAAGAGAUUGUCCAGUUUGUACACGAAGUGCGUCCAGUUUUUGCCGUAAUCAUCUCUAUUCUUGUGCACAUGCUGUGUGGGUGAAAUGAUGAUACCAUGCCAAGUUUUGACAUUUUCAGAGUUCAUUUUGUAGUGAUUUUCAAUUUCACGGUCAUUUAGCUCUCUAAACAAAUCGGUAAAUGACUACAAAAGUGCAAAUAAUGUCAGAAAGUUUUGAAAAAUGAUGACGUCGCUUUGAAUGGUGUGUACGGAACGCAAAAAAGUCUGGAGUUGUAAUAAGUCUGAAAAAAUGAAGUGCCAAUGUAACAGAUGAGUUCUCGUCAGAAACCCUUAUACUUCGAAAGAGAUUGUCCAGUUUGUACACGAAGUGCGUCCAGUUUUUGCCGUAACCCUCUCUACUCUUUUGCACAUGCUAUGUGGGUGAAAUGAUGAUAUCACGCCAAGUUUCGACAUUUUCAAAGUUGAUUUUGUAGUGAUUUUCAAUUUCACGGUCAUUUAGCUCUCUAAACAAAUCGAUAAAUGACUGAAAAAUAGUAAAUGAUGUCAGAAAGUGUUGAAAAUUGAUGACGUCGCUUUGAAUGGUGCGUACGGAACGCAAAAAAAGUCUGUUGUUGUAAUAAGUUUAAAAAAAUGAGUUGCCAGUGUGACAGAUGAGUUCUCGUUCGAAACCCUGAUACUCCGAAAGAGAUUGUCCAGUUUGUACACGAAGUGCGUUCAGUUUUUGCCGUUACUCUCUCUACUCUUUUGCACAUGCUAUGUGGGUGAAAUGAUGAUACUAUGCCAAGUUUCGACAUUUUCAGAGUUCAUUUUGUUGUGAUUUUCAAUUGCACGGUCAUUUAGCUCUCUAAACAAAUCGGUAGAUGACUAAAAAAUAGCAAAUGAUGUCAAAAAGUUUUCAAAAUUGAUGACGUCGCUUUGUAUGGUGUGUACGGAACUCAAAAAAUCUGGAGUUGUAAUAAGUUUAAAAAAAUGAAGUGCCCAUGUAACAGAUGAGUUCUUGUCAGAAACCCUGAUACUUCGAAAGAGAUUGUCCAGUUUGUACACGAAGUGCGUCCAGUUUUUGCCGUAACCCUCUCUACUCUUUUGCACAUGCUGUGUGGGUGAAAUGAUGAUACUAUGCCAAGUUUCGACAUUUUCAGAGUUCAGUUUGUAGUGAUUUUCAAUUUCACGGUCAUUUAGCUCUCUAAACAAAUCGGUAAAUGACUGAAAGAUAGCAAAUGAUGUCAGAAAGUGUUGAAAAUUGAUGGCGUCGAUUUGAAGGGUGCGUACGGAACGCAAAAAAAGUCUGGAGUUGUAAUAAGUUUAAAAAAAUGAAAUGCCAGUGUAACAGAUGAGUUCUCGUCCGAAACCCUGAUACUCCGAAAGAGAUUGUCCAGUUUGUACACGAAGUGCGUCCAGUUUUUGCCGUAACCCUCUCUACUCUUUUGCACAUGCUAUGUGGGUGAAAUGAGGAUACCAUGCCAAGUUUCGACAUUUUUAGAGUUCAUUUUGUAGUGAUUUUCAAUUUCACGGUCAUUUAGCUCUCUAAACAAAUCGGUAAAUGACUAAAAAAUAGCAAAUGAUGUCAGAAAGUUUUGAAAAUUGAUGACGUCGCUUUGAAUGGUGUGUACGGAACUCAAAAAAGUCUGGAGUUAUAAUAAGUUUUAAAAAAUAAAGUGCCCAUGUAACAGAUGAGUUCUCGUCAGAAACCCUGAUACUUCGAAAGAGAUUGUCCAGUUUGUACAGGAAGUGAGUCCAGUUUUUGCCGUAACACAAGAAGUCCGGAGUUGUUAUAAGUUAUUAAAGAUAAAAAAGAGGCACAAUGCUCGUUAAUUAGCUUCAAGCCUUUCGGAAUAGUGCAAACUGCACUGCACAUAGCUCCGUGCAGUCUACACUAUUCCUCAAGGCUUAAAGCUAAGCAACGUGUAGAUGAGCAUUUCACGGUCAUUUAGCUCUCUAAGCUAAUCUAGUAGCCAUGUUAAGUCGAUAAUGACGUGGAAUUGUUAUAUGACAUGCAAAUACCUUCUGAGUUAAUGGCACUAGUCAUCAACCCGUGCAACUGCAUGGGCUAGUUUUUUAAACGGUUCAUAGUUACAAUACUUUUCAUGACCACUUGUUUCUUUGCAUCCAGCAAGAAUAUAAAUUUGUUGUGUGUGAACCAUUAAAUGAACAAUUAAUAUGAAAAUAGAAAACUUAUAUCCUGAAAGUUUACAAUCUUCAUAAAAUAUUUAUAUUUUAUUUUAAGACAAACGGGAAAUUAAAAAUCCUACUUAUAGAGAUCCUGAAACAUAAUUCAAAUGUCGCAUAAAUUACGUAAUUUUGAAUGAUAAGUACUAAAAAUGUAAUAAUUUGUUUAGUUAAUAUUAAUCCUUUUUUUAUUUGGGAGUCUACUUAAUCAUGGGGUAUUUUGCAUAAUGCUUAGGCUUGUCAAAUGAAAUAAGCAUUUCAUAACAACAGUGUACCUCCCUACAGUUUAAUAACAAACUUACUCUACAAACACCGAAAACCGAACCAAAGACUGAAGAAGCAAUCAUAAGUGUCAUACUUCUUAAAUUCUCCUUUUUUUUCCCGGCACCACCCAUGGAGUAGUCUUUCCACCGUGUUUGACUCUCGUUGUGGUAGCAAAUGAUGGGUCCAAGUUUUCGCAUAGUAUUGUCCGUUUGUUUUAUCAUGAUAGAGUACUCCAUUAGUUGGCACCGCUCUUAUAUUUGUGUGUGAUCUUUUAGCAGUUCAACAUUAUAGUUCUUCCACCCAUAUGUUCGCAAUGUUAAAUCUAUGGAGAAAAAGAUUCAAAUCUUCACUAUUGUACCACAAAAGCAAGUCACAUGAAUAGCUCGCAAUUAUUUAACUACUGGUGGUUGGUGCCAGGUAUAUUAGCGUUAGGAAAGUAAAUGUACAUACUGAACAUUUGACUGUGGAAGAAAAUGAAUUUUCUUAUUUACUCUUAUUGAAUUCUAAAUAUAUUUUGGAUAUUUGUUUUCAGUAAUACACCUAAUUUUGGAAAAUCUAUUUCAUAGCCUUGUAUUUUUGAAAUAUUUUACAAAACAUGACACAAAUUGUUGUGUUUUUUCACAUACAUAUUUAUAACAUUAAUACACUCUUUAUAUGUAAUGUGAUAUUUAUUAUAUAAUUUUUUAAUCAUACAUAACUAAAUUCUUAUUAUUUUCAAAUCACAAAUUUUAAAUGAUAUGAUAACUUACAUUUUAAAAGCUCUAUUUCGGGACAUUAUAACUAAAAACUAUCUGAGCGAAUCGGGCACCAUAAUGUAUUUGGUGUCUACACUUUGUCGCAUACAUAGCCUUUUUUAUUUUUAAUGUAAUUGCUAAAAUAUGUAAUUAUGUAGAACUUAAUAUUACAUUCUAUUACACAGAUUGGACUUAUAUAGGUUGGAAAAGAAUUAAAUCUAUGCUGUCAAACCUACCGAAUAGCAUUCCUCCGGCACAUUGUAUAUCUGGCAUUUAUUAGUAAUGUGUCUAAAUCAGUUCGGGAUAAAUUCACUCUACAUCGUCAUAAUGGCUUGUUGUUAAAAUUUGGCAUCCUGACGCAUUACUUGGAAUUUUUAUAAACUCAGUGUAAACAGUUAUGUUAUCUUUUUAAACAUAAGUUAUUUAGUUCAAUUCGGAGUACUAUAUAGUAAUUUUCAACAGUAAAUCUAGCCUAUUUCAACUCGGUCAUUAUAAACAAUAAAUCUAGCCUGUUUCAACUCGGCCAUUAUAUUUAACUUAUUUAAGACAUAAGGUAAUCUAACUUUUGAACAAUCUUUAGAAAUCUACAUAUGUAGAGGUCAAGUAGGACAUACAUAUGUGAAAUUCCUUAAAAUAAUUUGAUAAUUGUUAUAUUAAAGAAAAUAAUAUUAUAAUUUAUUAUCUGUACUUACUAUAAUUGCAAUACUUUUUGAUAGCAUGUUCCCGUUGCAUAGUGUCGCUUACUGCACAAUAUCUUAAUUUGUUAUGUGUCUCGGAUAGAAAAAUAUUGUAUUUCCGCGUAUGUAUAUGCAUGUCUAUAUAUGUUUCACACACAUGAAAUUUUUUUAUAUAUUAAAAAAUGAUUUCGCCUGAGUUACAUCCAUGCAUGCUAAUUUCCUGUCUAUCAUUGGAGUUUAGAUCUAUGCAUGUAUGUGCUUGACUAAGCUCUGCACAUAUAUACGUGCCGGUCAAAUCAUAUACAUGAACGUACAUCACUCUAUUCUACUAUUAAGGGAUUCGUUGAGCACCUCGUCAAAGAAACAAACCUUUCAGAUCAACUUGUAAAUUUUCUUUUUACAUAUUUGCAUUUUUUUAGCAUAUUUGCAUUUCUUUCCUAAAAUAUUGCAAUAUUUGCAAAUAUCUGAAUCAUAUUCUUUUGAUUGACAAUAACACAAUGGCUUACCAGCAGAUCAAAACAGAUAUCUAGCUAGUGCGAAGGUUGUGCCACCUCUUGAUUGUUUCCUCCAUGAGCAAGCAAGCUUCUGGUAACGGUAACAGUCAUGGCGACGGAACAUGAUGUGCCGGCGAGCCGCAGACAUUAGAAAGAUCUGAAAAGAAGCAGAUAGGCAUGAUGCAUAAAUCUGGAAAGGAAGAAGAAUAUGCAUAACUCAAAAGCAUUGAAGCCGUCGGUUUUUGCAUUGCUCUACGAUCAGUUAAUGUACGCAUGCAUCGUAUAUGUACGCAUCCAGCCGCCGGAAUUUACUUCUCCUGCCUUCGUUUGUCAAGGGCAAAAAUACUGGCCAGCAGCACAAAUUGAAGACCAGCUUUCGGCACCUCCAUAACGCUCGUAGAAAAGUUCUCAAUGACUUGCAUCGGGAAUAUCUCUCCAGACCAGGGCAUGCGCCAAUUAAUGCUUCUUGCCGUGUCAUGUAUGCCGGGUCAUGUAUCUCUACGGGGACAACAAAAUUCAACUUGUUUAUUUUUGGAUAAUCAUUGGGAGAUAGAGACCCAGCACAGGACGUCUCCCAUGCGUGGGACAACCGAGGUUUUUUUUUUCAAUCUUAGGCUUCAUCAACGGCUAAAAUAUAUUAUAUUUUAAUCUGACGGAUGUAAAUCUUUAACUUAUAAAAUUGACGUGAAUCCUCGUAUGGCUCUUCCAAUUAGUAAAUAUAUAAGAUAGUAGUAGACGUGAAGAAUAAAGGGGCAGUAAUGGGAUAUUAAAUGUGGCAGCUAACUUGCUAGGCCUUCGAGUUAUAUUUUGUUCAGCAUUAAGUGGAAAACAUAUUUUGGCAUCCUUUUCCUCCUCUCGACUCUGACAAAAUGUUAGUGAUAUUCAAAUGGAAAAGCUUAGGCAAGAAAUAUUCCGAGGAAAAAUAAUGCAUCUACUCUAAAAUAUAUUUUCAUCAAUAGUAGUCCACUACUACCAUGAGCCAAUGGCCAUGGUUCUAUUCAAAAUUUUAAUUUAUCAAGAUCAGGCGUAGACUUGAUGUUGACAUCAAUGGCUAUCUAGGCUUAGAGAGAUGAGAGGAGUGAAGAACAAAAAAGGAGCGCCAAUAAUGGUUAUAACCCAUAGGGGAUAAAAUAAGGACGCCGCUAGUUGGCAUGAAUUGAUACAGGUAGACAUCACUUACUCUGCGUCCCUGAAUAGAGGCCAUAAUUUGUGUUGCUCUAGGGACCCAUAAUUUAUGAAUUCUGCUCACAAGAGAUCCGACUGUUGUGGGGAUCAAACUUUAGCACGCUGCCCUUAGAGCAACUCCAACGCGUCAACCCAAAUGGACGGCGAUUUUGUUAUAUUUUCGUCUGUUUGUGUCGACCGUCCACUCGGUGUCCGCCUAAUUUUCUUUUUGGGUCAGCAGUGCGCCCAAUGCCAGCGACUCAUUUCAUGUCCGUGCACAAAUUUUAAAAAGGCCCGCGGCUGUAGAUCAUGGCAGCGGCCAAGCCGUCACCCAAAGUUCAUGCCGGCACCAUGCCAGCAGCCGACAUACAAUGCCAGCUCCAAAAAAGCACCACACAGUUUGUGUUGGCGCACUUGCCAGCGACUGGCAUAGAUGCCAGCAAACAAAAAAGGGGCGGGAGUUCGACCACGCCAUCGCGACCGUAGUCAUGCCAACACACUUUUCGGCAUGCAAAAAAGGAUGGCGCUUUCCGCCAUAAAUCACUCGUCGUCGAACUUGAGCAUGUCGGCUUGCAUCUUGUCGAACCACGACCUCUUCCUCGGCGACAUGGUGUUGAGGUCCACCUUCAUGAUCUCCACACCCGUCAUCAUGCUAGCGAGAACCACUUCUUUCGCCUUGGUCUUGACAUUUGCGGCAUCGAUAUCUAGCAUCUUGGCUUGCACUGGUGCAGAACCGGGCUUUAGCACCAGUUCGUAAGGCCCUUUAGUGGCGGUUCUUGAACCGGUACUAAGGGGGGGGGGGCUUUAGGGAUUUUGGUUUUAUUAUUUAUUUUUCCUUUAAUUUUGUAUUUCCAUUUAUUUUAUUUUUCAUUUGCUGGUAUUUUACGAACUACAUAUUGUACACGUUAUGCAUAUAUAUAAAUAUAAUUUCUCGUAGAACCGAUCAUAUANNNNNNNNNNNNNNNNNNNNNNNNNNNNNNNNNNNNNNNNNNNNNNNNNNNNNNNNNNNNNNNNNNNNNNNNNNNNNNNNNNNNNNNNNNNNNNNNNNNNNNNNNNNNNNNNNNNNNNNNNNNNNNNNNNNNNNNNNNNNNNNNNNNNNNNNNNNNNNNNNNNNNAGCUAAUCAUUGAUAUAUACUACAUACUAAACGUACAUACUCUCUAUUUUGACGGAUACUACAUACAACAUACAAAAUGCAAGUGGUGGUAAUUACCACCGCUUGGAGGAAGCAUUUGAGGCACCACCAUUUGAAGCACCGCCAUUCACACAUAGAGCAGAAAAGAGUACCGGUUGGAGCGACCAACCGGUUUAAAGGGGUGUGCUGGCCCAGGUGCGAUGCACAAAGUUUAGUCCCACCUUGCUGAGCGAAGGGCGGCCGCACUGGUAUAUAAACCCAGCCGCGGCUGCUCCUUUGAGCUCCUCCCUAACGCAGGCCUUCUGGGCCUACUUGUGUUGCGCUGCCCUGUUGGGCCUACUAGCCUUGCGGGCCUACCUCCUGGCCCGACUACAGGUUGGGUUUCUAGUCGCAUGCAGGCCGCUGUGGCCCAGUAGGCGGGCUUUUAAAAAAAUAUUGUUUGCUUUAUUUAUUUUCUUUUAUUUAUUUCUGAGUUGUUUUUCCUGUAUUUCGAAUUUCUUUGUGAAUAUUUUUGCUUUAGGUACAAAAAAUUACAAAAUUUCUGUUAGUGCCAGUAGUUUUCAAAUUUGAAUAGUUUAAAUUUGUCUCCUUUAUUUAUUUUUAAGUUGUUUUUUGCUGUAUUUAGAAUUUCUUUGUGAAUAUUUUGCUUUAGGUAAAAAAAAUUACAAACUUUAUGUUAGUGCCAAUAGUUUUCAAUUUUGAAUAGUUUAAAUUUGUCUGCUUUAUUUAUUUUCUUUUAUUUAUUUGUGAGUUGUUUUUUGCUGUAUUUAGAAUUUUUUGUGAAUAUUUUUCUUUAGGUACAAAAAAUUACAAAAUUUCUGUNNNNNNNNNNNNNNNNNNNNNNNNNNNNNNNNNNNNNNNNNNNNNNNNNNNNNNNNNNNNNNNNNNNNNNNNNNNNNNNNNNNNNNNNNNNNNNNNNNNNNNNNNNNNNNNNNNNNNNNNNNNNNNNNNNNNNNNNNNNNNNNNNNNNNNNNNNNNNNNNNNNNNNNNNNNNNNNNNNNNNNNNNNNNNNNNNNNNNNNNNNNNNNNNNNNNNNNNNNNNNNNNNNNNNNNNNNNNNNNNNNNNNNNNNNNNNNNNNNNNNNNNNNNNNNNNNNNNNNNNNNNNNUAAGUUGUUUUUUGCUGUAUUUAGAAUUUCUUUGUGAAUAUUUUUGCUUUAGGUACUAAAAAUUACAAACUUUCUGUUAGUGCUAGUAGUUUUCAAAUUUGAAUAGUUUAAAUUUUUCUGCUUUAUUUAUUUUCUUUUAUUUAUUCCUGAGUUGUUUUUUGCUGUAUUUAGAAUUUCUUUGUAACUAUUUUUGCUUUAGGUACAAAAAAUUACAAACUUUAUGUUACUGCCAGUAGUUUUAAAAUUUGAAUAGUUUAAAUUUGUCUGUUUUAUUUAUUUCUGAGUUGUUUUUUGCUGUGUUUAGAAUUUAUUUUUGAAUAUUUUUGCUUUAGGUACAAAAAAUUACAAACUUUCUAUUAGUGCCAGUAGUUGUCAAAUUUGAAUAGUUUAAAUUUGAAUUAUUUGAAAUUUUUGUGAAUAACUAGUUUCGGAAUAACUUUACUUUAAAAAUAGAUUUUUCAGUGAUUCGUUUUUCUUAUGUCUAACAUUAGUGUGUUUUAUCAUUAUAUUCAAUUUGGUAAUACUUAGGUUAUUUAAAAAAUGAAAUGCCAUUGUAACAGAUGAGUUUUCGUCUAAAAACUCUGAUACUUCGAAAGAGAUUGUCCAUUUUGUACACUAAGUGCUUCCAGUUUUUGCCAUAACCCUCUAUACUUUUUUGCACAUGCUAUGUGGGUGAAAUGAUGAUACCAUGCCAACUUUCAACCUUUUCAGAGUUCAUUUGUAGUGCUUUUUAAUUUCAGGGUCAUUUAGCUAAAAAAAUCAUUAAAUGCAUGAAAAAUAGCAAAUGAUGUCCGAAAGUGUUGAAAGUUGAUGACGUGGCUUUGAAUGGUGCAUACUGGACGCACAAAAAGUAUGGAGUUGUAAUGAGUUUCAAAAAUGAAAUUCCUUUGUAACAGAUGAGUUUUCGUCCGAAACCCUGAUACUCCGAAAGAGAUUGUCCAUUUUGUACACGAAGUGCAUCCAGUUUUUUCCAUAACCCUCACUACUUUUUUGCACAUGCUAUGUGGGUGAAAUGAUGAUGCCAUGCCAACUUCCAACCUUUAAGAGUUCAUUUGUAGUGUUUUUCAAUUUCAGGGUCAUUUAGCUAAAAAAUCAAUAAAUGCAUGAGAAAUAGCAAAUGAUGUCAGAAAGGUAUGAAAGUUGAUGACGUGGCUUUGAAUGGUGCAUACUGAAUGCACAAAAAGUUUAGAGUUGUAAUAAAUUUAAAAAAUGAAAUGCCUUUGUAACAGAUGAGUUUUCGUCCGAAGCCCUCAUACUUCAAAAGAGAUUAUCCAUUUUGUGCACGAAGUGCAUCCAGUUUUUGCCGUAACCCUCUCUACUUUUUUGCACAUUAUAUGUGGGUGAAAUGAUGAUACGAUGCCAACUUCCAACCUUUCAGAGUUCAUUUGUAGUGCUUUUCAAUUUCAGGGUCAUUUAGCUAAAAAAAAUCAGGAAAUGCACGAAAAAUAGCAAAUGAUGUCAGAAAAGUUUGAAAGUUGAUGACAUGGCUUUGAAUUGUGCAUACUGAACGCACAAAAAGUCUAGAGUUGUAAUAAGUUUAAAAAAUGAAAUGCCUUUGUAACAGAUGAGUUUUCGUCCGAAACCCUCAUACUUCGAAAGAAAUUGUACAUUUUGUACACGAAGUGCAUCCAGUUUUUGCCGUAACCCUCUCUACUUUUUUGCACAUGCUAUGUGGGUGAAAUGAUGAUGCCAUGCCAACUUUCAACCUUUGUAGAGUUCAUUUGUAGUGCUUUUCAAUUGCAGGGUCAUUUAGCUAAAAAAUCAGUAAAUGCAUGAAAAAUAGCAAAUGAUGUCAGAAAGUGUUGAAAGUUGAUGACGUGGCUUUGAAUGGUGCAUACUGAAUGCACAAAAAGUCUGGAAUUGUAAUAAGUUUAAAAAAAUGAAAUGCCUUUGUAACAGAUGAGUUUUCGUCCGAAACCCUGAUACUCCGAAAGAGAUUGUCCAUUUUGUACACGAAGUGCAUCCAGUUUUUGCCGUAACCCUCCCCUACUUUUUUCCACAUGCUAUGUGGGUGAAAUGAUGAUACGAUGCCAACUUCCAACCUUUUCAGAGUUCAUUUGUAGUGCUUUUCAAUUUCAAGGUCAUUUAGCUAAAAAAUUAGUAAAUGCAUGAAAAAUAGCAAAUGAUAUCAGAAAGGUUUGAAAGUUGAUGACGUGUCUUUGAAUGGUGCAUACCGAAAGUACAAAAAGUCAGGAGUUGUAAUAAGUUUAAAAAAAUGAAAUGCCUUUGUAACAGAUGAGUUUUCGUCUAAAACCCUCAUACUUCGAAAGAGAUUGUCCAUUUUUUUCUACACGAAGUGCAUCCAGUUUUUGCCGUAACCCUCUCAACUUUUUUGCACAUGCGAUGUGGGUGAAAUGCUGAUACCGCCAACUUUUAACCUUUUGAGAGUUCAAUUUUAGUGCUUUUUAAUUUCAGGGUCAUUUAGCUAAAACAAUCAGUAAAUGAGCUAAAAGUAGCAAAUGAAGUCAGAAAAGGGUUGAAAAUUGCUGAUGUGCCUUGGAAUGGUGCAUAUUGAACACACAAAAAGUCUGGAGUUGAAAUAAGUUAUUAAAAAUAAAAUCCUUUUGUAAUAGAUGAGUUUCGUCCGAAACCCUGAUACUUCGAAAGAGAUUGUCCAGUUUGUAGAAGAAGUGCAUCCAAUUUUUGCCGUAACCCUCUCAACUUUUUAGCACAUGCUAUGUGGAUGAAAUGAUGAUAUCAUGCUAAGUUUCAACCAUUUCAGAGUUGAUUUGUAGUGCUUUUCAUUUUCAGGGUCAUUUAGCUAAAAAAAUUCAUUAAAUGCAUAAAAAUAGCAAAUGAAGGCAGAAAAGAGUUGAACAUUGAUGAUGUGACUUUGAAUGGUGCACAAUGAACACACAAAAAGUCCGGAGUUAAAAUAAGUUAUAAAAAUGAAGGAGAGGCGCAAUCCUCACUGGCACAUUGCUUAGCUUCAGGCCUUGACAAACUACACAUAGCUCUGUGCAAUCUACACCAUUUCCUCCAGGCAUGAAGCUAAGCAACGUGCAGGUGAGCAUUGCGCCUCUCCUUCAUCGUUCCUCGUCUCUGCACUCAGGGCUUAUAAACCGCUGAUACGUCUCCAACGUAUCUAUAAUUUUUGAUUGUUCCAUGCUAUUAUAUUAUCAAUCUUGGAUGUUCUAUAAUCAUUUUAUAGUCAUUUUUUGGUACUAACCUAUUGACAUAGUGUCAAGUGCUAGUUGUUGUUUUCUGCAUGUUUUUUACAUUGCAGGAAAUCAAUACCAAACGGCGUCCAAAUUCAAUGAAACUUUACGGGGAUUUUUUAUGCACCAGAAGACACCUAAUGGGCCAAGGCUGCGCCUAGGGGGUGCUCCGAGGAGAGCACAACCCACCAUGGCGCGCCAGGAGGCCCGGGCACGCCCUGGAGGGUUGUGCCCACCUCGGGUGCCCCUCGGGCCGCCUCUUUGCUCUAUAAAUAUCCCAAUAUUCCAGAAACCCUAGGGGAGUCGACGAAAAUCAAUUCAAGCCUCCGCAGAGUCCAGAACCACCAGAUCCAAUCUAGACACCAUCACGGAGGGGUUCACCACUUCCAUUGGUGCCUCUCCGAUGAUGCGUGAUUAGUUCUUUGUAGACCUUCGGGUCCGUAGUUAGUAGCUAGAUGGCUUCCUCUCUCUCGCCAAACUCUCAAUACAAUGGUGUCUUGGAGAUCCAUAUGAUGUGACUCUGUUUGCGGUGUGUUUGUUGGGAUCAGAUGAACUUUCAGUUUAUGAUCAGAUCUAUCUUUUUAUAUCCAUGAAAGUUAUUUGAGUUUCUUUGAACUAUUAUAUGCAUGAUUUCUUAUAGCCUCGUAUUUCUUCUCCGAUAUUUGGGUUUUGUUUGGACAAAUUGAUCUAUUUAUCUUGCAAUGGAAAGAGGUGCUUUGUAGUGGGUUCGAUCUUACGGUGCUUGAUCCCAGUGACAGAAGGGGAACCGACACGUAUGUAUCGUUGCUACUAAGGAUAAAACGAUGGGGUCUAUCUCUACAUAGAUAGAUCUUGUCUACAUCAUGUCAUCAUUCUUAUUGCAUUACUCCAUUUCCCCAUGAACUUAAUACACUAGAUGCAUGCUGUAUAGCGGUCGAUGUGUCGAGUAAUAGUAGUAGAUGCAGGUAGGAGUCGGUCUACUAAUCUUGGACGUGAUGGCUAUAUAUUGAUCAUUGCCUGGAUAUCGUCAUGAUUAUUUGGAACUCUAUCAAUUGCCCAACAGUAAUUUGUUUACCCACCGUUUGCUAUUUUGCUCGAGAGAAGCCACUAGUGAAACCUACGGCCCCCGGGUCUCUUUCUCACAUUAUUUGCCUUCGCGAUCUAUUUUAUUUGCCUUUUGUUUGCAGAUCUAUUAAACCAAAAAUACAAAAAUACCUUGCUGCGUUUUACUCUUAUUUAUUUUAUUUGGUGUUCGAUCUAUCAAUCUACUACAAUUAUCUCACGUCUGUUUGCCAAUUUCUGGCGCCGCUACCCGAAAGGGAUUGACAACCCCUUUAACACGCCAGGUUGCGAGGAUUUGUUAUCUGUGUGCAGGGGCUAUUUACAUUCUAUUGCUAGGUUCUCCUACUAGUUCGAUAACCUUGGUUUCAUAUCUGAGGGAAAUACCUACCGCUGCUAUGCUGCAUCAUCCCUUUCUCUUUGGGGAAAUACCGACGUAGCUUCAAGCCGCAUCAAAAGGAAUUUCUGGCGCCGUUGCCGGGGAGGAUCUUCAACAUAUACGAGGUUCCGAAUCACAAAUCUCAUCUCCUUGCAAUUUACAUUAUUUGCCAUUUGCCUCUCAUUUUCCUCUCCCCCACUUCACAAAAAUUUGCCAUUUUAUUCGUCCUCUUUUUCGUUCGCCUUUUUCUCGUUUGAUCUUUUGUUUGCUUGUGUUGCCAUGUGCCUUCUAUAUGCUUGCGUCUUCGCUUGCUAAAAAUAUAUUGAUAUGGAUCCUCAUCCACUUGCUAAUCUUUUUAAAAGAUCCAAUCAUGUUGAACCAGUUGCUAGUGAGUUGAGUGCACUAGAUUAUCUUUAUGAAGUUUUUCUUGAGAUUCGUGAAUCUAAAAAUUGCGAUGAAGAAAUUUAUGAAGUGAUUCAUGAUAGCUCCUUGAAUGAAAAGCAUGAUUGCAAUGAUUUUACUAUAAAUCCUAUUAAUGUCAAUUGUGCUAAUAAUAUGCAAAACCCCAAACUUUGGGAUGCUAAUUUUGCUAUGUCCACUACUUGUUGCAAUGAUCAUGAUUGGGGUGAUUCUUCUUAUGAGCUUGAAAUUUUAUUUAAACCUCAUGAUGAAUAUGAUAUUGAUAAUAAUGUUUGCAAUAAUAUUGAAAGUGGGUAUGGAAGAGCGUCAACUUUAGGUAAAAAUAAUCCCACAUAUUUGGAGAGUGUUCAAUCUUAUGAUUUUUUUUAUGAAAGUGGGUUCGGAGGGGUCAUGACUUUAGUUGAUGUUAAUCCCACUAUCUUGGAAGAUUAUAAGACUUGUAUGCAUGUGGAUCAUGAAAAGAAAGUUUUAUAUGAUUGCUAUAUUGUUGAAUUUGAGUAUUAUCCUACAUGUAAUUAUUAUGAGAAAGGAAAAUAUGGUUGUAGAAAUUUUUAUGUUACUAAAUUACCUCUCGUUAUGUUGAGAUCGUCAAUGUUUUAUUCCUCUUCUUUGCAUAUGUUAGAUGUUUCUUGUCUUGAUAUUUUGUUUUCUUAUAAAAUUCCUAUGCAUAGGAAGUAUGUUAGACUUAAAUGUGGUUGUCAUAUGUUUCAUGAUGCUCUCUUUGUGUUUCAAUUAUUAUCUCUCAUGUGAGCAUCAUUGAAAUUUUAUGCCUAGCUAGGGGCAUGAAACUAUAGCGCUUGUUGGGAGGCAACCCAAUGAAUAAAAUUUGUUUUUACCUUUUGCUUUCUGUUCUUGAAUGUUUGCACAAUUAUGCUAAUGUUAUGAUUGUGUGUUUUGUGUUUUAAUUAGUGUUUGUACCAAGUAGAACCUAUAGGAUCUUCUUGGGUGAUAGUUGUUUGAUCUUGCUGAAAAAACAGAAACUUUUGCGCUCAUGAAAACAAUUCUUAUUUUUUACCAGAGCGUGAUAAAAUGCCAAUUAUUUUUGCAGAAGAUUAAUAUACAAAUUUCUUAGGUCUUCCUAUUGUUUUAGAAUUUUUGGAGUUUCAGAAGUAUUCGAACAAUUCAGAUUGCAACACAUUGUUCUGUUUUUGACAGAUUUUGUUUUCUUUGCGUUGUGUGCUUGUUUUGAUGGCUCCAUGGUUUUCUUUGUUGAGUUUUUGCCAUAGAAAAGUUGGAAUAUAUUAGAUAUAAUGCAAGAAUAAAAUAUGAAUAGGUUGCAACAGUACUUAUAGUAGUGAUUUAUUUUCUUAUACUAAUGGAUCUCACGAAGGUUUUGUUGAGUUUUGUGUGAUUGAAGUCUUCAAGUUUUGGGUUAUCUUACGAUGGAUGAAGGAAUAAGGAGUAAGCAAAGCCUAAGCUUGGAGAUGCCCCGGCAACCCAAGCUAUUAUCCAAAAGAUAGCAAGCAAGUAAGCUUGGGGAUGCCCCGAGUGGCAUCCCCUCUUUCUUCUAACGACCAUCGAUAUUUUACUCGAAGCUAUAUUUUUAUUCGUCACAUACUAUGUGUUUUGCUUGGAGCGUCUUGUAUGAUAUGAGUCUUUGCUUGUUUUAUUUUGUGUUUUAAGUCUUGAUUCCUUGCGGGACACACCUAUUUGAGAGAGCCAAAAUUAUGCAUGACUUAUUAGAAUUGCUCUCUAUGCUUCACUUAAAUUUUUUAUGAGCCAUGGACUUGCUCUAGUGCUUCACUUAUAUCUUUUUGAGCACGGUGUGCUUAGUUAUUUUUUAAGAAAUGCUCUCUUGCUUCACUUAGAUUUGUUUUAGAGGUAGUAAAUUUUUCAGGAAAUUCUCUCUUUCUUCACUUAAAUUAAUUUGAAAGAAAGAAAUAUUAUGCUCAUGAUCUUCACUUAUAUUUGUUUGAGCUUAUCAAAAGCAACAUAUGAAAAUUAGUUCCAAAGUGAUAGAUAUCCAAGAAGGAUAUAAUAAAAACUUUCAUGAAGAUCAUUGGACAAAAUAAACUUGAUUCUUAGUAAUAGUUUUAAGAUAUGAUGAUGUGAUAUGUGAGUCAUGUUGAUGAGUAAUUAUGCUUUACUAAGAAUAUUGGUGUUAAGGUUUGUGACUCCCUAUGCAAGCACGAAAGUCAAUAAUUAUGCAAUGAAAUUAUAUCCUACUUGUGGUGCAUUAUUCGGUGUUAAUUAUGCUUAAUGCUCGCUUAUGAGAUUAUUCGUUUCUUGGUUGGUUGCUUCUCAAUCUUUUGCUAGCCUUCAUUUUGCACUAAGUAUGAUCUCUACUUGUGCAUCCAAAAACCUUUAAACCAGUUUUGCCACAUGACUCCACUAUAUCUACCUAUAUGCGGUAUUCUUUUGCCGUUCUAAGCAAAUUUGUAUGUGCCAUCUCUAAUUUUGAAAAUAAACUUCUCUUUUGUGUGUUCGUACCGCUCGCAGAGCUGUGAGGGGUGGCUAAUAUUUUCCAUGCUAGAUGUGUUAUUCUCACGAUGAGUGUUUAUUCACUUGUCAUUGCACGAGAGUAAGGCAAAGGUAUUAGGGAUGCCCAGUCCCGAAAUGAAAAAUGAAUUUACUUUAUGUUGUCAAAUAAUAAAUUCCUUGGAAAGUGUUGGUACGGAGGGAAACCGUGGAUACGGCUAGCCAAGGAAAGUGAAAGUAUGGUUGAAAAAAGAAUAAACUUUAUUUUCUGUUUGGGAACCGCCUAUGAUAUAUCUAGCAUGGAAAGUGUUGGGAACUCUAAGUCGUUUUCGUUGGUGGGAAGGACACACCUCCUGAAAUGUUCUUAUCUCUAAGUUUUUUCGCUUUGAGCUUUGGCACGUCUACAAAUCCCUACUUCCCUCUGUGAAGGGCCUUUGUUUUACUUUAUGCAAUUUUUAUUAUUGAAUUUGAAUCUCCUUAUAAAAGCACCAACUCGGAGGCACUAUGAUCUUACUUGAGCAUUGGGUGUAGCUAAUAUGCAAGUGUGUUUCAUGAAUGGAUCAAUGAUUGAGCAUGAUGGGCUAGGGAUAACUUAUUUUAGCGUUGAUAUUUUGAAAGACAUGGUUGCUUGUUGGUAUGCUUGAGUAUUUAAGUUAUCAUAUCAAAACUAGACUAUUGCUUUGAACAAUAUAAAAGUCCAAAUGUCCAUGCUAUAAAGAAAACAAUAUGAUAUGACAUGUUACGCAGUAUUCCACAUCAAAAAUUCCGUUUUUAUCACUUACCUACUCGAGGACGAGUAGGAGUUAAGCUUGGGGAUGCUGAUACGUCUCCAACGUAUCUAUAAUUUUUUAUUGUUCCAUGCUGUUAUAUUAUCAAUCUUUGAUGUUUUAUAGUCAUUUUAAAUAAUUUUUUGGUACUAACCUAUUGACAUAGUGCCAAGUGCCAGUUGUUGUUUUCUGUAUUUUUUUACAUCGUAGGAAAUCAAUAUCAGACGGAGUCCAAAUGCAAUGAAACUUUACGGAGAUUUUUUUAUUGACCAGAAGACACCUAAUGGGCCAAGGUUGCGCCUGGGGGCGCUCCGAGGAGAGCACAACCCACCAGGGCGCGCCAGGAGGCCCAGGCGCGCCCUAGUGGCUUGUGCCCACCUCGGGUGCCACCCGGACCACCUCUUUGCUCUAUAAAUACCCCAAUAUUCCAGAAACCCUAGGGGAGUCGACGAAAAUCAAUUCCAGCCGCCGCAGAGUCCAGAACCACCAGAUCCAAUCUAGACACUAUCACGGAGGGGUUCACCACUUUCAUUGGUGCCUCUCCGAUAAUGCGUGAGUAGUCCUUUGUAGACCUUCGGGUCCGUAGUUAGUAGCUAGAUGGCUUCCUCCCUCUCGCUAAAUUCUCAAUACAAUGGUCUCUUGGAGAUCCAUAUGAUGUAACUCUUUUUGCGGUGUGUUUGUUGGGAUCAGAUGAACUUUAGUUUAUGAUCAGAUCUAUCUUUUUAUAUCCAUGAAAGUUACUUGAGUUUUUUUGAUCUCUUGUAUGCAUGAUUUGUUAUAGCCUCGUAUUUCUUCUCCGAUAUUUGGGUUUUGUUUGGCCAACUUGAUCUAUUUAUCUUGCAUUGGGAAGAGGUGCUUUGUAGUGGGUUCGAUCUUAUGGUGCUUGAUCCCAGUGAUAGAAGGGGAACCGACACGUAUGUAUCGUUGCUACUAAGGAUAAAAUGAUGGGGUCUAUCUCUACAUAGAUAGAUCUUGUCUACAUCAUGUCAUCGUUCUUAUUGCAUUACUCCCUUUCCCCAUGAACUUAAUACACUAGAUGCAUGCUGGAUAGCGGUCGAUGUGUGGAGUAAUAGUAGUACAUGCAGGCAGGAGUCGGUCUACUAAUCUUGGAUGUGAUGCCUAUAUAUUGAUCAUUGCCUGGAUAUCGUCAUGUUUAUUUGUAGUUCUAUCAAUUGCCCAACAGUAAUUUGCUUACCCAUCAUUUGCUAUUUUUCUCGAGAAAAGCCACUAGUGAAACCUAUGACCCCCGGGUCUCUUUCUCAUUUUAUUUGCCUUCGCAAUCUAUUUUAUUUGCCUUUCAUUUUCAGAUCUAUUAAACCAAAAAUACAAAAAUACCUUCUUGCGCUUUAUUCUUUUUUUUUUAUUUGGCGUUCGAUCUAUCAAUGUACUACAAUUAUCUCACGUAUGUUUGCCAAUUUCUGGCGCCGUUACCCGAAAGGGAUUGACAACCCCUUUAACAUGUCGGGUUGCGAGGAUUUGUUAUCUGUGUGCAGGGGUUGUUUACGUUGUGUUGCUAGGUUCUCCUACUAGUUCUAUAACCUUGGUUUCAUAUCUGAGGGAAAUACCUACCUCUGCUCUGCCGCAUCAUCCCUUCCUCUUUGGGGAAAUACUGACGUAGCUUCAAGCCGCAUCAACCGCUGCGAGUCCCUCUUGCUAGGCGAGGUGGGACUAAAUUUUAGCCAUUGCCAGGACAAGGCCUUUAGUCUCGGUUGAUGGCUCAAUUAAAAUAUUUUGUUAUGAUCCACUUAUAGAAAGUUAUAAUAUUCUUCAAUAGCAAAAAGAAUCAACUAAAAAUCUCUAGUACCGGUUCGUGGCAUGAACCGGUACUAAAGGUGCUGGUGGGGGGCCCAGCCUGACAACAGCCUGCCACCACCUCUUUAGUACCGGUUCGUGGAACGAACUGGUACUAAAGGUUCGCCACGAACUAGUACUAAUGAGCACCGCCCGCCUAGCUGUUGGAACCGACACUAAUGGUCACAUUAGUGCUGGUUCAGUUACAAACCGGGACUAAUGUGCUUCACAUUAGGCCCUUUUUCUACUAGUGUUGCUUCUCCGCCUCCAUCUCAAGCAUCCUCAUUUGCUUCUCUGCCUCCAUCUCAAGCCUCCUCCUUUAGAUCUUCAUGAAGGCGUUCAUUUGUUCUUCCUUGUCUUGUCGGCGCUUCUCCUCCCUUGAGUCCUUCUUAGUCAUCAUGCCCUCCAUGGUAGCGAUCAAGGCAUUGGACGCCGCAUCCCUCUUGUCCUACUUCUUGGAGUUGGUCUUCCCCCACGGCCGUGGCUUCUCGCCCUCCCCAACCUCCUCCACGACUUUCUCUCCCCCACGCAACAUGAGGGCGGCAUAUUGCACCUUGAACUUCUCCUCGUCUUUGAUGACCCUCCAACAAUGAGAGAGGUUGAAGGACUUACCAUCAUGUUGGACCUUGAAUGCCUCCAAAGCUUGGAAUGCCUACAAAUGAAAUGCAUGCAAGCAUAUUGGCAAAUGGAUAUGAAUAUGGACUUGCAAGAAUAAACGGAAGAGGGGCGCAUGCAUGCAUACCAUAUCUUGCAUGCCGAUGCCGCUCACCGGGCGUGACUUGAUGCUCUCAAAGGUGGCACAAAACUUGUCAUGCUCUUGUUGGAUCACCUUCCAUCGGUUCGAAAUGGACACCCACCCGCGCAUGCUUUAUAUCUGGUACGGCAGAAACUUCUUGCGUUCGUGGAACUCACGAUGGACACGAGUCCAAAAGGUUGAUUCCUUUUGUUCGGCACCGACCAUGGGGUCUUGCCCAAUGUCCCUCCAAAACUCACAAAGGAGCUUGUCCUCGACCGUGGUGUAUGCCUUCGUCCGCCUGCUCUUGUGCUUUGGCUUCAGCCCGGCGGCUUGGCUGGCGAGCCCGUCCUCUUCCUCAAGGCCGUAGUCCUCCGGAAACUCGUGGUCGAACAGGAAGUCGUCUAGGUCCAGGCCGAAGUGAUCUUGCAUGAAGGCGUCCUGCAUGCUAUCUUGAUCAUAGGUCGACGGCGUGAACGGCCCUCAGCCGUCCUGGCUUUGUGUCUCCUCUGAAUCGUAGGCAGCCGCGGCGGCACCACAGGCGGCCGACGUACCACCCUCGAAGAUGAUGCUCACCAUGAAACGGUCGGCCGUCUUGUCUUCGCCGGAUGACGAGGCACCGACUACCGGUGUGGCGUUGAGAUCGAUGGGCGCGGGCGCGGGCAUGGAAUGCGCCACCACGCUCACCUCCAGCGAGCAUUCCCUGAAGAAUUGGGAGGCUUGCAAGUAGACGUGGAAGCCGGGAAUCGAGUAAGACGCCGACGCGCGAGGCGACUCUGGGAGCACCAUCCGAGGAAACGCGGACGAGUCGGAGCUGGCCACGGCCACAGCGGCGUUGACGAGCCCGUGCUGGCCAGGGUUUAGCCCUAGGUAGAUUAGCGCCUCCCUCAUUGCCGCGGCGACGUGGGCGGCGGUGUCCUCCUGCUGCGCGGCGGCGGCCAUGGCGAUGGCAGCGGACGCUGCUUCGUCCCACGCGUCCGCCGCGUGCCUUCGGCCCUUUCGCUUCGGUGACUCCGCGGCCCGCUCCUCGGACGUCAGCUGCUUCUUCUUCUUGGGCACGGUGGCAGUCUUGCGGGAGGCGCGCGGCUUGCCUUUGCCGAAGGGGGCGGCUGUGAUGCUGGACGAGGCAAGGGCGACGAGGCCGCCGACAGUAUCGAGGUCCUCAUCCAUGGCGUGCGGCCGGGAGCGAGCACGGGCGGAAGGUUUUUGAGAAAGUGGACGAAAAUGUUGGAGGCUUUGCCACCAAUUGGCAGGUCAGGGGUAGUUGGCACGCAACGCGCUUCUCCGUCUCGUGUCGCGCGCCAACGCAAAUGAGGCUCAAAAUUGGGCUGAGAAUGGGUCGGCAGGCGAACGAAAAGCGGACACGCGUCCAUUUGGGUCGGCACAUUGUGCCGACUUUUCUGUCCGCACCGACCCAAAUGAACGCGCGCGAACGAAAUGGGUCGUCACGUUGGAGUUGCUCUUACGUGGCACUGUAACAAGAAAUGAGGACCAGUGGAAACCAGCAUAUGCACCUAGAAGAAUCGUAUGGAUCUGCAUAUGUAAUUGAUCUAUAUCAUACGGACCCAUAAAUGAUAGGAAGGUCCUAGCUACCAGGUACCAGCUAUCCUGGUUACUCCAUUUGCUGCCCCUCCAACCUGGGUUCCGGUCAUGUCCUCGGGGUCUGUCGGUGGUUCCGUGUUCUUGUUCUGGACGGACGCUUGUAAGAUCAGGUUUUCGAUCGGGAGCCUUCUGUUGACAUUAUAAAAGUGCGUGUAUUCAAAGGAGAUGUAUGCAUUUCUCCGUGACAAAGCAAAUUAAGUUCUGCUGCUAGCUAUUUUCAAAAAAGAGUCUUGCCCCACCACUUGCGUCGUUUGCAAAGCCCUUAAAUAUACUGAUAUGUUAUACACACACACAUAUACACAUGAGAUUUAAUUUUAAAGAGCACACGGACAUGUUCGUUCUCGUGUUAAUGAAAUCCUAGAAAAUCUCAUUAAUUAACCAUGGGAUCUAUAAUUCCGAGAUCUUUAGCUGUUGGAUGUAUGUAAUGCCUUAAGAUGCAUUAAAACAAAUAUACGUGAGAUUUAAUUUUAAAGGCCUUAAGGUGCAUAAAAAAUACGCAUGAGAUUUAAUUUUAAAUAGCACAAGGACAUGUUCAUUGUCGUGUUAAUGAAAUCCUAGAAAAUCUCAUUAAUUAACCUUCGGAUCUGUAACUCCGAGAUCUUUAGCCAUUGGAUUUACAUAAUGCCUCAACCUGCAUCAAAAAAAAUAUACGCAUGAGAUUUAAUUUUAAAGGCCUUAACCUGCAUAAAAAAAUAUACGCAUGAGAUUUAAUUUUAAAGAGCAGACAGACAUCUUCAUUGUCGUCCGCUGGCUGUAUGAAUUAGAAUAACAUAUAUUUACUUAGUUGGAUUAGAGAGAAGAGAAAAGAGAAGAGAAGUGGGCUCUGGAUUAAAGCAAGUACAAUAAAAUGACGUAGGCGGGCUAUAAAAGAUGUCAUCUUAAAUUUGUGCUUUUUUAGUUAACCUUAAAUUUGUGCUUAGUUGAAGGAGAGAGAAGCGGGCUACAAGUGUGACAAAAGCCUUUUUCAGUAGGCAGGCUACAAACUUACAAUCGACUGUAGCACGAGCUCAAACAACCUUUGUAAGAAGAUAUGGGCCAUAUAUUAAUUCACAGUGUGACUUAAUGUUGACAUGAAUUGAUACAGGUGGACAUAGUUAGAGCAACUCUAGCAGACCCCGCAUCCCGCCCCGACUGUUAAAAUAACCGCCAAAAUGCGGGUCGGGCAGGAAAACCAGCCCGAUCAGACCCCGCAUCCCGCCCCCGCCCGCAAAAAAAUUUAGGGGGCGCGGCAAAAUCCCAACCCCAACCCGGGAAAACGCGGGUUUCCCUCUCGCGGCUGCGGUGCCCUGCAUAUAGGAGGAAGCGGCUGGUGAGGGGACAUUUCAUGCCGCGCUUUCUCCCACCAACCACCUCUCCUCUCCCCCCUCGCGCCGCUGCCGGCCGCCGCCCAAGAUUCUGGCGAAAGCAGCCGGCAGGAGCACGCCGGAAGGCCGCCACGCACACGAGGCCUCCCCUUCCUCCCCCUGCGUCGGCGGGCCACCGGAUUUGCAGAUUUGCAGCACUUCAUCGCGGGUCGCCGGAUUUGGCUUUUUCCGGCCGCCGGUUGCUGUCCCAAGCUAUGGAGUGGUCGGGGAGCCUCUCCCACAGCCCAGGCAAGGGCGCAUUGCCGCAUGCAGGUACGGGUUCGUCCGCCCGCCGCCGCCGAAGGUUUGCGGGCUUGGACUCAUCCGGCCGUCCACCGGGCUCGGCGCUCACGCAGCGUCUUUGUGGCAUGCCGAUGCCGCUCAUAGAGUGUGACGACUGCACGCGGAAAGUGCUGCGGCUCACUUCGGGCACGCCGAAGCACCCUGGGUGGGUGUUCUUCAAAUGCGAAAAUGACGGGGUACGUGCACUUGCGGUAGCUCGUUUCAUAGUUCAUUCUUUAGUUCAACUGCGGUAGCUCACUUCGAGCUUGCUCACUCUUUUGUGUAGGACGAUGGAUGCUCAUUUUGGUUUUGGGAAGGCCAAUACAUUUAUUUGUUGAUAGAAAGAAACUUAAUAGAUGUUAGUGCACUCCUUAGUACAAUCGAAGGCAAUGAUGCGGCUGCAUGUGCAAAUAGAGGGGAAGCAACGUCUACUUCUUUCGAACCAAAGAUGAAGAAAGAAGAAUGCAAAAUCAAGAAUCCACAGAUCAACAACGAAUGCAUGGAGAAGAUAUUAGUCCAACUAGUGGGGGCAGUUAUGGAAGUUGGAAAUCUUCUAAAAUGCAUACUUGUGGUUCUUAUUUUCUUUGGUCUUGCUAUUCUAGCAAAGAUUUGGUGAUGUCUUUUGUAUCCAAUGUUGUUGAUAAAGCAAAGCAAUGCAAUAUGCUAGAUCAAAUUAAGGUGCAAAUUUAAGUUUUGCGGGCCGGGAGAAGUUGCACCAGAUCAGACGCGGCAACCCAACCCGUAAAAAAGCAUAUUCCAGGAAUAUCGUUUUUACGGAUCCAUUAUGCGGGGUCUGCAACUGCGGCCGUCCGCGCCGGCCCGCAAAGCCGUUUUCCCGCGAACUGCAAAAACGUUUAGCGGGUCGGGAGGAUGUGGGGUCUGCUAGAGUUGCUCUUACUCUGCGUCUGUAAAUAAAGGUCAUCAUUUUUAUUGCUCUAGGGACCCAUAAAUGAUAGGGACUGUCCGCUACCAGCUACCAGCUAGUAGCUACCCUGGUGACUACAUUUGCUGCCCCUCAAACAUGGGUUCCCGACAUGUUCUCAGGGUCUGUCGGUGGUUCCAUGUUCUGGCCUUUGGGGUUGGUUUAACUAGUGGUAUGGGGGUUCUUGCAUCGCCCUGUACUCUCGAUCGGGACCCUUUAAUUCUAGGUGACAUACAGUGCGUGUAUUUAAAGCCGAGGCAUGGAUCCUCCGUGCCAAAGAAAAUUAAUUCAGCGGCUACUCGGGGAGAGUUGUGGCAGCAUAUCCGGGAUGCCAGCUUUUUAUUUUGGGUUUUGAUUGUCAAAGUUUUAGAUCUUAAAAAAAACUAAAAUUAAGUGCUGUUUUCAUAUUCGUGUUUCUCGUGACCAGCGCCUUGAAAUAAUAUCCAUUUUGAAUAUAUUUUGACGACUUUGAAAAAUGUUAAGUUUCAAAUGUUGAAACUUAGUAUGAGCAACCAAUAAAAAUCAAUUAUUUUGUACCUACGCCUGACAGAAAAAUGCUUACAGUUAUAUCCCUGAAACUUGCUGAAACUUUGCAUUUUUCAUCAUUGAAACUUAAAACUGUUUAAGGGAUUUUCUUUUUUACUGUGCCCUCAUGUGGGAUUCAACUACUCUUUUCUCUCCGUGAGAUCCACAUAAAAAAAGCACAAAUUUAAGAUGAGUGCCCUGCACUUACAUGCCCCUGCGAAUUUCCGCAGCUACUAGCUAUUUUUGGAAGAAAAAAAUCUUGCCCCGCCACUCCCAUCAUUAGCAGAGCCCUUAAAUAUACUCACAUGUACCAAAUUACGAGUCAGAAUCAAACAUGCGUUGGCAUCAUUACCUACGAACUCUACUAAACAAUGUUCCAACUAUCCUGCGAGUCAAAUCUAAUAACUCUUGUCUUGCACGUUGCAUUGUCCAUUGGCAGAUCUUUUUAAGAAUUUUACGUCAGAUCUAAUUUUAUUUGAACGAAUGAAAGAUAAGCAAGUAGUAGUAAAAUCGACCCAAUUUGCACAGCCGAAAUGUGGACCAGACAAUUUACUCUUUGUUACGGGACUAAGAAAUUCGGACCGGCUAAUNNNNNNNNNNNNNNNNNNNNNNNNNNNNNNNNNNNNNNNNNNNNNNNNNNNNNNNNNNNNNNNNNNNNNNNNNNNNNNNNNNNNNNNNNNNNNNNNNNNNNNNNNNNNNNNNNNNNNNNNNNNNNNNNNNNNNNNNNNNNNNNNNNNNNNNNNNNNNNNNNNNNNNNNNNNNNNNNNNNNNNNNNNNNNNNNNNNNNNNNNNNNNNNNNNNNNNNNNNNNNNNNNNNNNNNNNNNNNNNNNNNNNNNNNNNNNNNNNNNNNNNNNNNNNNNNNNNNNNNNNNNNNNNNNNNNAUGUCUCCCAUUUCUCAAUCCCAUCCCGACGGUGUGUCUACCAUGUUUAGAGGGCGCAUGGGGGAGUUACUCCAUUGGUUCUCGCGGGAUUUGAUCGAUGAUGGUUUUCCGUGGAUUUCCUUGAAUCCAGUUUUUGUUCAUCCUCAUCCGUGCGUUUAAAUAUCCCAACAAGGCGAAGAUUUGGUUGUGCACAGGCAACUGAGGAGGUGACCUACUUCUUUACUGUCUCCUAUGUCCCUUGUUACCCACUGAUCCUAGAUCCACAGCUCGAGACCCCCUACCCUGAGGUCUACCAGUUUUACCACUGACAACCGGCCACAAGGGAGAAAUCCCUUUGAAUUUAGAGAUAAGAUCUUAUCUCUAGAUUUAACCCUUUAAAUUUAGAGAUAUGACCUUAUCUCUAGAUUUUAAAGACAUGGAACUUAGGGACGAUGCGGCCAGCCCAUGUGGGUUGUUGCCCCACCCCUCGGUCUAUGUGGGGACUUUUCGGGUCGUUGGGCCCCAUGGUGGAACCCCGGAACAUUUCCGGUACUCUACCAAAUAUUCCCAAACUUUUCUGGAACCCAUAAAACCACUUUCCUUACAUAACUCUUUACCUCCAGAGCUCCUCGUGAUGUCCCGGAUUCUAUCCAGGACUCUGAACUACCUUCAGACUUACCACUAUGAAUGUCCCAAAACUAUCCAAUAGUGGUAAGUCUGAACGUUAAGUGUGUGACCCUGCGGGUUCGAGAACAUGCAUAAAUGACCGAGACACCUCUCCAAUCAAUAAUCAAUGAACAUCUUUAUCGGUUUGAACCACGAUGUCAAUGAUUCAGUUAAUCCCGUAUACAAUUCCCUUUGUCCAAUGAUUUGUUAUUUGCCCGAGAUUCGAUCGUCAGUAUCGCCAUACCUAGUUCAAUCUCAUUACCGGCAAGCCCCUUUACUCAGUCCUUAAUACAAGAUCCACGUGACUAAACACAUUGGUCACAUGCUUCCAAUCUAUUCACGAUGUUGUAUUACCGAGAGGACCUAGAGAUAUCUCUCUGUCAUAUGGAGUGACAAAUCCUACACUCGAUCUAUGUAACCCAACAAACACUUUCUGAGAUACCUAUAGAGCACCUUUCUGAUCACCCAGUUACGAAGUGACGUUUGUUUACCCAUAAUGUAUUCUUCCAGUAUUAGGGAGUGGCACGAUCUCAUGGUCUAAGGAACAGAUUCUUGACAUGAAGAAAGUUGUAGAAAAUAAACUAAGUGAUACGAUCUGAUGCUAAGCUUAUGGUUGGGUCUGUCCAUCACAUCAUAAUCCUAAUGAUGUGAUCCCAUUAUUAAAUGAUAACUCGUGUCUAUGGUUAGGAAACCUUAACCAUCUUUAAUUAAUGAGCUAGCCUAGUAGAGGCUCACUAGGGACACGUUGUCUAUUUAUGUAUCCACACAUGUAUUUAAGUCUCUGGUCAAUACAAUUCUAGCAUGCAUAAUAAAUAUUUAUCAUGAACACGGAAAUACGACAAUAACAUCUUUCUUAUUGCCUCUAGGACAUAUUUCCUACAGAUUAGUAGGAUAAAAGAUCAAGGUGGCCUUGGCAUUCAUGGCAUGAAGGUCAAGAAGGAUGCCUUACAUAGGAAAUGGUUAUUCAAAAUACUUACUAGGGGUGGCGUUUGGCAAACCUGUUGCGAAAGAAGUAUCUAAUACUAUGCCAAAAACUUAUCUCUCACACAUAUUGGAAAGCUGGUGACUCACACUUUUCGGGUGGUGUCGUGGAAUUCUCACGGCAGAUGUCCUAGUGUGAGGACUUAGUCGUGAGGCCAACGCAUCUAUGUGGUAGCUUGAGAGGGGUUGAUUGGGACGAGAGACGCAACACACAAGACAAGAAUUUAGACAGCUUCGGGCCCCAGGAAACAUCAUCCAAUAAUAGCCCUACAUGCUGUUUGUGGCUAGGUCUCAUUAUGAUCAUGAGAGAGUCAUCGGUAAGCCGGCUCUUUGUGUCUAGCCCUAGAGAUUGUUUCUUGUUUCUUGUCCCUCUUGGGGUGCCCUGCCCCUCCUUAUAUAAGUUAGAGGGGCGGGUUACAUAUGGAGUCCUAGUAGGAUUAGGACUAGUCUAUCUUUCUUUACAAGUUGAAUACAAGUCCGGGUCUUGCUUCCUUGUGAAGGAAAUAAUCCUCACGCCUUUCAUCUUAAACCGGCCCACCAAAGUAUAAGCCAGCCUGCUGGGCCUUGGGCCUUGUCGUCCGUCUGAUCAGCCCGCCGGGUCUCCAGUGAAUUACAAUGUCCAGGCGGGUUACCCUGUGAACCGCCAUGUUCGGGCGGAUCGCCAGUGAGUCGCCAAGCUCCAGCCAGGUCUCUGGUGAGUCGCCAAGUCCGGCCGGGUCAUACCGCGGGGUAUAUCCCCGACAUUAGCCCCCAGUUUAAUUUGGAUUUAUCCAUGUUAAACUGAUCCUGCAACAUAAACACAAGAACAAAUUUGACAGGUUGUGCUCCGGGUUAAAUAUUCUUGUAAGCCGGCACCUGAUCAUCCUUAAGUCCUUGACAUUUUCUCCUGAAAUAUCCGGGUCAAUAUUGGUCUUGAAAUAUCCAGCUUCAUAAUCCAUUUGCUGACAUUGGCUCUUGUAAAGAAAUAUUAUAAGAAAUAAUCCAUUUGAUUCGGCCUUCAAUGCUCUGAUUUGACAAAAAUAUUGCUCUUGAAAUAUCCAACUGAUAUUCAGCCGGCUUAAAGAUGUAGAUUCUUGCCGACGAUUGCCACAAUUGUCGGGUUAGAAAUAAAUGAUGCCGGGUCAUGAUUGUUGCAGACACCGGGUUAAUCUGGUCUACUCCAAACUGAGAAUUUGAAGAUUUUUUUCUCCCUUAUAUGCAUAUUACCUGUAGCCCCUAAGUCUUAAGGGGAGAACAUAGUGAUAACUUAAGACUUGCUUCAAUAUAAGUGUUGCAACCUUGAAGAAAUCCGGUUUAUUCAUCUCAAUCAUUAGUCAUAAGCUGAAUAUUCCACAUUCCACAUAUGUAGCCCCCAAGUGCCGAGUUGUCAUGCUUGCAGCAACCUGGGACUUGUAAUUGCCUUAUGCUCAUAAAAACUUCAACUAGUGUAGCCCCCAAGGGCCGGGUCAUUAUGCAAUAAUGAGCAGGGACUUUGUAAAUAUGAUCAUGUAAACUUGACCAGCAACGUGUAGCCCCCAAGGGCCGGGUCAGUAAGAUAUUACCGAGCUGGGACUUUGUAUAUGAUUCAUCGAUAAUAACAGCAUAUGAUGUGAUCUCCACCAUGGGGUUUGAACCCACGUCCAUAAGGUUAAGAGCUUUGUACUCUACCAACUGAGUAGUGGAUCUUUCAAUAUAAUGGAUUAAGGCUUGUGUACCUUGAAUUUUCGACAAGAGCAAUUGGUAGCCCCCAAGGGCCGGCUCAUUUAGAAUGUGAUGAGUCGGGUCUUCAAUAAGUUGAACAAAAAAUGACUUUGCAUUAGCCCCCAAGUGCAAUGGUACAUGCUGGCAGUAACAUGGGACUUGCAUAUUCGAUGUAAUAUCAAUUUGAAUAAUGUAGUCCCCAAGUGCCAGGUCGUAAGCCUGCAGCGACUCGGGACUAUUCCUUACAUUAUAGAAUAAAUCAUAUCCAUCGAUAAAAUAAUAGCCAUUGCGCCAAAGCGACUUUGAAUACCUCAUCUGUUGAUAAGUAAAUCCGGAGUUUAAAUACCCGGCGGCUCUUGGCCGAUGGCGAUUUAAUACGCCUCCAUUGUAAGCCGGAAUUUUUAUAAUCCGGCGGCUUAUAGCCUUUCAGAACAUCAAGAAUUGAUAACCCUUCUGAGACUCCAAUUUCAAUCUAUGAUGAUGGGCUUGAACUUAAUCAUUUAUGUAAGUCAUAGCUCUGCAAAUCCUGCAUAGAGUUUAAACAACAUAUGCCCUGGCGACUUAACGUCAAGCCAGGGCGGGUAACCACCCAAAUGUAGUAUCCUGCACACAAGUAGAUCACAAGAUCCCUUGGCGGUUUACCGCAGGGCGGGUCAUAAUAUCUCACUGUUGGAAAUAUGCCCUAGAGGCAAUAAUAAAAUGGUUAUUAUUGUAUUUCCUUGUUCAUGAUAAUUGUCUGGUGUUCAUGCUAUAAUUGUAUUAACUGGAAACCGUAAUACAUGUGUGAAUACAUAGACCACAACAUGUCCCUAGUAAGCCUCUAGUUGACUAGCUCGUUGAUCAAUAGAUGGUUAUGGUUUCCUGACCAUGGACAUUGGAUGUCAUUGAUAACGGGAUCACAUCAUUAGGAGAAUGAUGUGAUGGACAAGACCCAAUCCUAAGCAUAGCACAAGAUCGUGUAGUUCGUUUGCUAGAGCUUUUCUAAUGUCAAGUAUCAUUUCCUUAGACCAUGAGAUUGUGCAACUCCCGGAUACCGUAGGAAUGCUUUGGGUGUACCAAACGUCACAACGUAACUCGGUGGCUGUAAAGGUGCACUACAGGUAUCUCCGAAAGUGUCUGUUGGGUUGGCACGAAUCGAGACUGGGAUUUGUCACUCCGUAUGACGGAGAGGUAUCUCUGGGCCCACUCGGUAAUGCAUCAUCAUAAUGAGCUCAAUGUGACUAAGGAGUUAGCCACGGGAUCAUGCGUUACAGUACGAGUAAAGUGACUUGCCGAUAACGAGAUUGAACAAGGUAUUGGGAUACCGACGAUCGAAUCUCGGGCAAGUAACGUACCGAUUGACAAAGGGAAUUGUAUAUGGGAUUGAUUGAAUCCUCGACAUCGUGGUUCAUCCGAUGAGAUCAUCGUGGAACAUGUGGGAGCCAACAUGGGUAUCCAGAUCCCGCUGUUGGUUAUUGACCGGAGAGUCGUCUCGGUCAUGUCUGCAUGUCUCCCGAACCCGUAGGGUCUACACACUUAAGGUUCGGUGACGCUAGGGUUGUAGAGAUAUUAGUAUGCGGAAAUCCGAAAGUCGUUCGGAGUCCCGGAUGAGAUCCCGGACGUCACGAGGAGUUCCGGAAUGGUCCGGAGGUAAAGAUUUAUAUAUGGGAAGUCCUAUUUUGGCCACCGGAAAAUGUUCGGGAAUUUUCGGUAUUGUACCGGGAAGGUUCUAGAAGGUUCCGAAGUGGGGCCCACCUGCAUGGGGGACCCACAUGAACGUGGGUAGUGGGGGCAAGGCCCCACACCCCUGGUCAAGGCGCACCAAGAUCCCACCUUAGAAGGAAUAAGAUCAUAUCCCGAAGGGAUAAGAUCAAGAUCCCUAAAAAAGGGGAUAACAAUCGGUGGGGAAGGGAAAUGAUGGGAUUUCUUUCCCCCACCUUUGCCAACGCCCCAAUGGACUUGGAGGGCAAGAAACCAGCCCCCUCCACCCCUAUAUAUAGUGGGGAGGCGCAUGGGAGCAGCAACCCAAGCCCUGGCGCCUCCCUCCCUCCCGUGACACCUCUUCCUCCCCGCUUGCGCUUGGCGAAGCCCUGCCGGGAUCCCGCUACUUCCACCACCACGCCGUCGUGCUGCUGGAUCUCCAUCAACUUCUCCUCCCCCCUUGCUGGAUCAAGAAGGAGGAGACGUCCCCGCUCCGUACAUGUGUUGAACGCGGAGGUGCCGUCCGUUCGGCGCUAGGUUCAUCGGUGAUUUGGAUCACGACGAGUAUGACUCCAUCAACCCCGUUCUCUUGAACGCUUCCGCUCGCGAUCUACAAGGGUAUGUAGAUGCACUCCUCCCCUCUCAUUGUUAGCAUCUCCUAGAUUGAUCUUGGUGACACAUAGGAAAAUUUUGAAUUUCUGCUACGUUCGCCAACAGUGGCAUCAUGAGCCAGGUUUAUGCGUAGAUUCUAUGCAUGAGUAGAACACAAAGUAGUUGUGGGCGACGAUUUGUUCAAUUUUCUUACCGUUACUAGUCUUAUCUUGAUUCGGCGGCAUUGUGGGAUGAAGCGGCCCGGACCGACCUUACACGUACUCUUACGUGAGACAGGUUCCACCGACUGACAUGCACUUGAUGCAUAAGGUGGCUAGCGGGUGUCUGUCUCUCCCACUUUAGUCGGAUCGGAUUCGAUGAAAAGGGUCCUUAUGAAGGGUAAAUAGCAAUUGGCAUAUCACCGUUGUGGCUUUUGCGUAGGUAAGAAACGUUCUUGCUAGAAACCCAUAGCAGCCACGUAAAACAUGCAACAACAAUUAGAGAACGUCUAACUUGUUUUUGCAGGGUAUGCUAUGUGAUGUGAUAUGGCCAAAAGGAUGUGAUGAAUUAUAUAUGUGAUGUAUGAGAUUGAUCAUGUUCUUGUAAUAGGAAUCACGACUUGCAUGUCGAUGAGUAUGACAACCGGCAGGAGCCAUAGGAGUUGUCUUAAUUUGUUGUAUGACCUGUGUGUCAAUGAAAAACGCCAUGUAAUUACUUUACUUUAUUGCUAACCGUUAGCCAUAGUAGUAGAAGUAAUAGUUGGUGAGACAACUUCAUGAAGACACGAUGAUGGAGAUCAUGGUGUCAUGCCGGUGACGAAGGUGAUCAUGCCGCGCCUCGAAGAUGGAGAUCAAAAGGCGCAAGAUGAUAUUGGCCAUAUCAUGUCACUUUAUGAUUUGCAUGUGAUGUUUGUCAUGUUUACAUCUUAUUUUCUUAGAACGACGGUAGCAUAAAUAAGAUGAUCCCUCACUAAAAUUUCAAGAGAUGUGUUCCCCCUAACUGUGCACCGUUGCGAAGGUUCGUUGUUUCGAAGCACCACGUGAUGAUCGGGUGUGAUAGAUUCUAACGUUCGCAUACACCGGGUGUUGACGAGCCUAGCAUGUACAGACAUGGCCUCGGAACACAAGCAAAACACUUAGGUUGACUUGACGAGCCUAGCAUGUACAGACAUGGCCUCGGAACACAAGAGACCGAAAGGUCGAACAUGAGUCGUAUAGUAGAUACGAUCAACAUGGAGAUGUUCACCGAUGAUGACUAGUCCGUCUCACGUGAUGAUCGGACACGGCCUAGUCGAUUCGGAUCAUGUAUCACUUAGAUGACUAGAGGGAUGUCUAUCUAAGUGGGAGUUCAUUAAAUAAUCAAAUGAACUUAAUUAUCAUGAACAUAGUCAAAAGGUCUUUGCAAAUAAUGUCGUAGCUUACGCUUUAGUUCUACUAAGAUAUUUUCCUAGAGAAAAUUUAGUUGAAAGUUGAUAGUAGCAAUUAUGCGGACUAGGUCCGUAAACUGAGGAUUGUCCUCAUUGCUGCACAGAAGGCUUAUGUCGUUAAUGCACCGCUCGGUGUGCUGAACCUCGAGCGUCGUCUGUAGAUGUUACGAAACAUCUGACAUACAUGUUUUGAUGACUACGUGAUAGUUCAGUGUGUGAUGCUAACGGUUUAAAAUUGUGGCACCAAAGACGGUUUUGAAAUGUCGCAGAACAUAUGAGAUGUUCCAAAGACUGAAAUUGGGAUUUCAGACUAAUGCCCACGUCAAGAGGUAUGAGACCUCUGACAAGUUUCUUAAGCCUGCAAACUAAGGGAGAAAAGCUCAAUCGUUGAGCAUGUGCUCAGAUUGUCUGAGUACUACAAUCACUUGAAUCGAGUGGGAGUUAAUCUUCCAGAUGAGAUAGUGAUGGUUCUCCAUAGUCACUGCCACCAAGCUAUUAGAGCUUCGUGAUGAACUAUAACAUAUCAGGGAUAGACAUGAUGAUCCUUGAGCAACUCGCGAUGUUUGACACCGCGAAAGUAGAAAUCAAGAAGGAGCAUCAAUUGUUGAUGGUUAGUAAAACCACUAGUUUCUAGAAGGGCAAGGGCAAGAAGGGAUACUUCAUGAAACGGCAAAUCAGUUGCUGCUCUAGUGAAGAAACCCAAGGUUGAACCCAAACCCGAGACUAAGUGCUUCUGAAAUGAGGGGAACGGUCACUGAAGCAGAACUACCCUAGAUACUUCGUAGAUGAGAAGGCUGGCAAGGUCGACCGAAGUAUAUUGGAUAUACAUUAUAUUAAUGUGUACUUUACUAGUACUCCUAGUAGCACCAGGGUAUUAGAUACCGGUUCGGUUGCUAAGUGUUAGUAACUCGAAAUAAAAUAUGCGGAAUAAACGAAGACUAGCUAAAGGUGAGAUGACGAUAUGUGUUGGAAGUGUUUCCAAGGUUGAUGUGAUCAAGCAUCGCAUGCUCCCUCUACCAUCGAGAUUGGGGUUAAACCUGAAUAAUUAUUAUUUGGUGUUUGCAUUGAGCAUAGACAUGAUUGGAUUAUGUUAUCGCAAUACGGUUAUUCAUUAAAGGAGAAUAAUGGUUACUCUGUCUAUUUGAAUAAUACCUUCAAUGGUCUUGCACCUAAAAUGAAUGGUUUAUUGAAUCUCGAUCGUAGUGAUACACAUGUUCAUGCCAAAAGAUAUAAGAUAGUAAUGAUAGUACCACAUACUUGUGGCACUGCCAUUUGAGUCAUAUUGGUAUAAAACGCAUGAACAAGCUCCAUGUUGAUGGAUCUUUGGACUCACUCGUUUUUGAAAAGAUUGAGACAUGCGAACCAUGUCUAUUAGUAUAUAUGCAUGAAGAAAGUCCAUACAGAUGGAUCAUUUGGACUCACUUGAUUUUGAAUCACUUGAGACAUGCAAAUCAUACCACAUGGGCAAGAUGACUGAAAGGCCUCGUUUUCAGUAAGAUGGAACAAGAGAGCAACUUGUUGGAAGUAAUACAUUUGAUGUGUGCAGUCCAAUGAGUGCUGAGGCACGCAGUGGAUAUCGUUAUGUUCUUACUUCACAGAUGAUUUGAGUAGAUGCUGAGAAUAUUUACUUGAUGAAACACAAGUUUGAAUUAUUGAAAGGUUCAAGUAAUUUCAGAGUGAAGUUGAAGAUCGUCGUGACAAGAGGAUAAAAUGUCUGUGAUAUGAUCAUAGAGGUGAAUAUCUGAGUUACGAGUUUGGCACACAAUUAAUAAAUUGUGGAAAUUGUUUCACGACUAAUACCGCCUGGAACACCAUAUUGUGAUGGUGUGUCCGAACAUCAUAACUGCACCCUAUUGGAUAUGGUGCAUACCAUGAUGUCUCUUAUCGAAUUACAACUAUCGUUUAUGGGUUAGGCAUUAGAGACAACCGCAUUCACUUUAAAUAGGGAACCACGCAAUUCCGUUGAGACGACACCGUAUGAACUAUGGUUUAGAGAAACCUAAGCUGUCGUUUCUUAAAAGUUUGGGGCUGCGACGCUUAUGUGAAAAAGUUUCAGGCUGAUAAGCUCGAACCCAAAGCGGAUAAAUGCAUCUUCAUAGAAUACCCAAAACAGUUGGGUAUACCUCCUAUUUCAGAUCUGGAAGCAAAAGUGAUUGUUUCUAGAAAUGGGUCCUUUCUCGAGGAAAAGUUUCUCUCGAAAGAAUUGAGUGGGAGGAUGGUGGAGACUUGAUGAGGUCAUUGAACCGUCACUUCAACUAAUGUGUAGCAGGGCACAGGAAGUUGUUCCUGUGGCACCUACACCAAUUGAAGUGGAAGCUUAUGAUAGUGAUCAUGAAACUUCAGAUCAACUCACUACCAAACCUCAUAGGACGACAAGGAUGCGUACUACUUCAGAGUGGUACGUAAUCCUGUCUUGGAAGUCAUGUUGCUAGACAACAAUGAACCUACGAGCUAUGGAGAAGCGAUGGUGGGCCCGGAUUCCGACGAAUGGCUCGAGGCCAUAAAAUCCGAGAGGAUCCAUGUAUGAAAACAAAGUAUAGACUUUGGAAGAACUACUUGAUGGUCGUAAGGCUGUUGGGUACAGAUGGAUUUUAAAGGGAAGACAAACAAUGAUGGUAAGUGUCACCAUUAAGAAAGCUCGACUUGUCGUUAAGAUGUUUUCCGGCAAGUUCAAGGAGUUGACUGCGAUGAGACUUUCUCACUCGUAGCGAUGCUAAGAGUCUGUUAGAAUUAUAUUAGCAGUUACUGCAUUAUUUAUGAAAUCUUGCAGAUAGGAUGUCAAAACAUUGUUUCCUCGACGAUUUUCUUGAGGAAAGGUUGUAUGUGAUACAACCAGAAGGUUUUGUCAAUCCUGAAAGAUGCUAACAAGUAUGCAAAGCUCCAGCAAUCCUUCUAAGGAUUGGAGUAAGCAUCUCGGAGUUGGAAUGAACGCUUUGAUGAGAUGAUCAAAGAUUUUGGGUUUAUACAAAGUUCAUGAGAAACUUGUAUUUCCAAAGAAGUCAGUGGGAGCACUAUAGAAUUUUUGAUGAGUAUAUGUUGUUAACAUAUUGUUGAUCAGAAAUGAUGUAGAAUUUCUGGAAAGCAUCCAGGGUUGUUUGAAAAGUGUUUUUAAUGGAAAACCUAGAUUAACCUACUUGAACAUUGAGCAUCAAGAUCUAUAAGGAUAGAUCAAAAAUGCUUAAUAGUACUUUCAAAUGAAUACAUACCGUGACAAGAUUUUGAAGGAGUUCAAAAUAGAUCAGCAAAGAAGGAGUUCUUGGCUGUGUUACAAGGUGUGAGUAUUGAGUAAGACUCAAGACCUGACCACGGCAGAAGAAAGAGAAAGGACGAAGGUCGUCCCCUAUGCUUUAGACGUAGGCUUUGCAAUAUGCUAUGCUGUGUACCGCACCUGAAGUGUGCCUUGCCAUGAGUUAGUCAAGGGGUACAAUAGUGAUCCAGCAACGAAUCACAUGACAGCGGUCGAACUUAUCCUUAGUAUCUAGUGGACUAAGGAAUUUUCUUGAUUAUGGAGGUGGAAAGGGGGUUCGUCGUAAAGGGUUAUGUCGAUACAAACUUUGACACUAAUCCGGAUGACUCUGAGUAGUGAACCAGAUUCGUAUAGUAGAGCAGUUAUUUGGAAUAGCUCCAAGUAGCGCGUGGUAGCUGCAUCUACAAGAUGACAUAGAGAUUUGUAAAGCACACACGGAUCUGAAUGUGGCAGACCCGUUGACUAAAACCUCUCUCGUAAGCAUAACAUGAUCAAACCCUAGAACUCAUUGACUGUUAAUCACAUGGUGAUGUGAACUAGAUUAUUGACUCUAGUAAACUCUUGGGUAUUAGUCACAUGGCGAUGUGAACUUUGAGUGUUAAUCACAUGGUGAUGUGAACUAGAUUAUUGACUCUAGUGCAAGUGGAAGACUGUUGGAAAUAUGCCCUAGAGGCAAUAAUAAAAUGGUUAUUAUUGUAUUCCCUUGUUCAUGCUAUAAUUGUAUUAACUGGAAACCGUAAUACAUGUGUGAAUACAUAGACCAGAACAUGUCCCUAGUAAGCCUCUAGUUGACUAGCUCGUUGAUCAAUAGAUGGUUAUGGUUUCCUGACCAUGGACAUUGGAUGUCAUUGAUAACGGGAUCACAUCAUUAGGAGAAUGAUGUGAUGGACAAGACCCAAUCCUAAGCAUAGCACAAGAUCGUGUAGUUCGUUUGCUAGAGCUUUUCUAAUGUCAAGUAUCAUUUCCUUAGACCAUGAGAUUGUGCAACUCCCGGAUACCGUAGGAAUGCUUUGGGUGUACCAAACGUCACAACGUAACUCGGUGGCUGUAAAGGUGCACUACAGGUAUCUCCGAAAGUGUCUGUUGGGUUGGCACGAAUCGAGACUGGGAUUUGUCACUCCGUAUGACGGAGAGGUAUCUCUGGGCCCACUCGAUAAUGCAUCAUCAUAAUGAGCUCAAUGUGACUAAGGAGUUAGCCACGGGAUCAUGCGUUACGGUACGAGUAAAGUGACUUGCCGGUAACGAGAUUGAACAAGGUAUUGGGAUACCGACGAUUGAAUCUCGGGCAAGUAACGUACCGAUUGACAAAGGGAAUUGUAUACGGGAUUGAUUGAAUCCUCGACAUCGUGGUUCAUCUGAUGAUAUCAUCGUGGAACAUGUGGGAGCCAACAUGGGUAUCCAGAUCCCGCUGUUGGUUAUUGACCGGAGAGUCGUCUCGGUCAUGUCUGCAUGUCUCCCGAACCCGUAGGGUCUACACACUUAAGGUUCGGUGACGCUAGGGUUGUAGAGAUAUUAGUAUGCCGAAAUCCGAAAGUCGUUCGAAGUCCCGGAUGAGAUCCCGGACGUCACGAGGAGUUCCGGAAUGGUCCGGAGGUAAAGAUUUAUAUAUGGGAAGUCCUAUUUUGGCCACCGGAAAAUGUUCGGGAAUUUUCGGUAUUGUACCGGGAAGGUUCUAGAAGGUUCCGAAGUGGGGCCCACCUGCAUGGGGGGACCCACAUGAACGUGGGUAGUGGGGGCAAGGCCCCACACCCCUGGUCAAGGCGCACCAAGAUCCCACCUUAGAAGGAAUAAGAUCAUAUCCCGAAGGGAUAAGAUCAAGAUCCCUUAAAAAGGGGGAUAACAAUCGGUGGGGAAGGGAAAUGAUGGGAUUUCUUUCCGCCACCUUUUCCAACGCCCCAAUGGACUUGGAGGGCAAGAAACCAGCCCCCUCCACCCCUAUAUAUAGUGGGGAGGCGCAUGGGAGCAGCACCCCAAGCCCUGGCGCCUCCCUCCCUCCCGUGACACCUCUUCCUCCCCGCUUGCGCUUGGCGAAGCCCUGCCGGGAUCCCGCUACUUCCACCACCACGCCGUCGUGCUGCUGGAUCUCCAUCAACUUCUCCUCCCCCCUUGCUGGAUCAAGAAGGAGGAGACGUCCCGCUCCGUACGUGUGUUGAACGCGGAGGUGCCGUCCGUUCGGCGCUAGGUUCAUCGGUGAUUUGGAUCACGACGAGUACGACUCCAUCAACCCCGUUCUCUUGAACGCUUCCGCUCGCGAUCUACAAGGGUAUGUAGAUGCACUCCUCCCCUCUCGUUGCUAGCAUCUCCUACAUUGAUCUUGGUGACACGUAGGAAGAUUUUGAAUUUCUGCUACGUUCCCCAACACUCACAUAUAACCACUAUGAUAUUGAAUUUGUACUGCCGGUUUACAUGACCUGUGCAAUAAGGGUGAUAACCCAAUCUUUAGAAAUCAAGACUUCCAAAUGUUUAUGAUUGUCAUAUGAUGGCGACUUAUCAACCAAAGUCAAGCCGGGUUAAUCGAAGCCACAUAUAUACUUCAGAUAUGAUCAAAAGAACUUCAAAUAAAAUACAAAAUUUUGUUUGCAAAAAGAGACUUCAAAAAUUUUGAGGCUUCUGAUUCGAAUACUAUCAGAAAACCGUCCCAAAGGGGUUAAGCUAAGAUUCGAAUACGAUCAUAUAGCCCCCAGUGGCUUUGGCGUUGCCGAUCAAGAGGGUACCGACAGCUAUGUUCUCUUUGGUUCGAAUACGACCUAUGUUUGAACAGGAAGCCCCCAAAUGACCUGGAGAGUUGUUUAACGACGCUGAUUCGAAUACGAUCCAUGUCGGUUCCCAAAAGGGGUUGAGCUAUGAUUCGAAUACGAUCAAGAAGCCCCCUAGUGAGCUCAGCAGUGUGCCGAUCAAGAGGGUACCGACAGCUAUGUUCUCUUUGGUUCGGAUACGACCUAUGUUUGAACAGGAAGCCCCCAAGUGAUCUUGAGAAUAUUUAACGACUCUCAUUCCAAUACGAUCAGGGUCACACCAAAAGGGUUAAGCUAAAUUUGAAUACGAUCAGCUCCCAACGGUCAUUAAAGCAGGUAGUUAUGUUUGAGUUGUGCUUUGUAACAGACUCUCCUUGGUCCCUUUAAUUUUUCUUGAAAACUUGAACUUUGCGAGAGAUAAAAUCUUUUUAAAACCGGAAGUUCUUAAACCGGAUAUUAAGAGUUUCAAAGCAUGGUGAUAGACAAAUUUACCUUGAACCGGGUUUUGAACCGGAUUUGAGAUCUUCAAAGCAUUGUGGCAGAUAAAUUUCAUUUGAACCGGAUUUUAAACCGGACAUUAAGAGCUUCAAUGCUUUGUGGGAGAUGUCAAGUCUCUUGAUAAGGAUCUAAACCGGAAUCCUUCUUUUUAAGCCAGAUAUUUUUCUGACGGUCUUUAAAUUUUUACCAAUAUGGCGGUAGCCUCCGGGACCGGGUUAUUUUUUUCCUCCAAUGACCCAGAGUUCUUGAAUGCAUUGAAACCGACCAAUGUUGCCGAGUCAUAUCAUUGUAACCCCUGAGUCUCAAAACGACUCAAGGAGUUGGCUUUGAGAUUCUCCAUAUUGACCAUAGCAUAAGGUGUAUAUCAUUGGUGUUGAUAGUGCGAUGUGAAUCCACAGAAGGUUGAGGUGACUGCGGCGGAUUAUAAAUGAUCAUGUAUGAGCCGUGUCAGCAACUCGGCCAAUGGUCCCUUCCAACUGGCUGUUUGAAGUUAACCAAACUAUAGUGGCGGCGACUUGUGCGCCUGCCCAUUUAAACCAUCCAGUGUAGACGGCGGCUGAUAAUACAUGAUAAUUUGCCUCCAAUUUUGUUGGAAGAAAAACCAGGCUUCCCAAGCAGUGACUUGCUCAUACUCGAUGAUCAGCUCACGCAGACAGGUGCGGCCCGGUAUGUUGAUAUAGACCAGGCCGCAAGAGACAGAUGGUAAAAACAACCGUGGCAUCAAAGGUGGUACAGACAGAUGAGUUGGUCACGACGUUGUAAACCGGUGUGGUCGGGCGAGUCAAUCGCCGGCGCGGUAAGCCGCGCGGAUGGGCGAGUCAACCACGUCGUGUUGAUGUAGUGAACAAUUGUCCUACAUCAAAAACAUCGCAAGCAAGAGUAAUUGCUCUUUUUUAAAGAAAACAAUAUAUAAUAUAUAAAAAUUUACUGGAUUGAUUUCACCUGAUAUGUUAGGCCAGAAAAUAUCCACCGCGGAGUUGAUCAUCACGACGGUGAAGCUGAAAUCAAUCACGGCCGAGUCGGCCGCGGGAACAGACAGACGGGUCGGCCGCGGCGUUGUAAGCCGGUGCGGUCGGGCGAGUCAAUCGCAUGAGCGAUAAGCCACGCGGACGCUGAGUCGGCCGCGGGGGCGGACAGGUAAGUUGUCCGUCACAUUGUAAGGCGGCGCGUUGAUGUAGACCGGACCACAGGGGCGGUGGCUUGCGCCCACCUGUUGACCAGUAAGCGGUCGCAGAUGCCGUUGCAUGAUGAUGCUACCGCACACUCCAUGGAUACGGCAUUACACCAUCUUUAUGAUGAAUCCUUGUCCUGCACAUAAAAGUGUACAUAGCAAAGCGAUUGUUUUUUGACAAAAAACAAUAUGCGCUUAAUAAAAUAAUCUUAGAUGGAUAUCACCUGAUUUGUUCGGAUGACCGAUGAUCCAUUCAAUGCAACAAAAAACGGCUCUGGUAGACCGGUAACCCAUGGCGAGUCAACACAGCAGAAGCGACUCAACGCAGCCCCGGCAGCUCGAGGCACGGCGGGUCUCAGCUCACGGCGGGUUGAGGUGUGGCGGUUCAAGGUCACAGCGGGGGGACUCGCAGGCUCAGGCGAGGCCGUUUUGAAGAUGGUUGGCAGCGGCGCGGUGACUCGCCACGGUGCGCCGAAAUAGCAGCAGCGUAGUGGGAGAAACAGCCGGUCUGUUGAUUUUGACCGUGAUGUGAAGCUCGCGGGGCAGCCACGAAGGCGCUGGGACGGAGUGGCUCCGAUGUGCGAGACGUGCCACCACAAGGACGCACGUAGGAGAAGACCAGAGGGGCAUCGAAGUCGGGUCCGCGGCGGCUCUGGAGAUGACAAGUGUGCGGGAGGCAAGGCCGUGCUGGCCAGCAGAAAACGGCGAGGUGCCGGCGACUUAGCGUAAAACCGCGGGUCAGAGGCGGCUCGGAGUUGAGUCCAUGUCCUGCUCUGGUCGUUGUUGGUUUGACAAUUCCCUUUAAGUGCUCCUUUAAAAUUUCCUUCAUCACACGUGGUGUCGUGCCAGGCAACAGCAUGGCCGGACUAAAAAUCCACUAGACCUUGAUUUUUAAUGCUCCUGUAGAUCUUGGGGACUGCGUGUGAGCUGACUAUUAAAACCUUCAAAUUCAUGCACGUACAGUGGCUGUACUAGUUGAUGCUACGUGCAGAAGGUAAGGUAAUCUAUCAGGCUUUGUUUUUCGCGUUGAUCAGCACUUGGACCCUUGAUCAACAGUUGGCUUGAUCCGGAGACUUCACAGGGCUGAAGCAAACUGUCUUGAUCGCCGCUGUACCAACAGAUGGCGCUCGUGACGCGUGUUUGGCUGUCUUUGAUCACCUCGGACUUGGACAGCUAUAUAUGGACCAGCAGAAGCGACCUGGCGAAUCGGACACGGCGGCUAGAUUUGACAGCGGCACAGUAGAAAUUCGAGUCGGCCUCGGUGUACUGCUGCAGCAGAAACUAACCCGGACUCGACGGAUCAUCUAAUUGUGGCGGCGCUCACCAUGCAACUCUAAUCUUUCUUGAAUUCAGACCUCGUACGAGUAUUAGAUCUGACUGCUCGCUUUGGAGACAAUGUAAAUCCUUCCGCGACGAUUCUUCUUUCAUCCGAAGAAAUUGUCAACUUCUCGACCCUUGAAAGAGAUCCCUCCAAGAACUCAUCACCACCGUGCGCAGCCCCACGGUGGGCGCCAACUGUCGUGGAAUUGUCACGGCAGAUGUCCUAGUGUGAGGACUUAGUCGUGAGGCCAACGCAUCUAUGCGGUAGCUUGAGAGGGGUUGAUUGGGAUGAGAGACGCAACACACAAGACAAGAAUUUAGACAGCUUCGGGCCCCGGGAAACAUCAUCCGGUAAUAGCCCUACAUGCUGUUUGUGGCUAGGUCUCAUUAUGAUCAUGAGAGAGUCGCCGGUAAGCCGGCUCUUUGUGUCUAGCCCUAGAGAUUGUUUCUUGUUUCUUGUCCCUCUUGGGGUGCCCUGCCCCUCCUUAUAUAAGUUAGAGGGGCGGGUUACAUACGGAGUCCUAGUAGGAUUAGGACUAGUCUAUCUUUCUUUACAAGUUGAAUACAAGUCCAGGUCUUGCUUCCUUAUGAAGGAAAUAAUCCUCACGCCUUUCAUCUUAAACCGGCCCACCAGAGUAUAAGCCAGCCUGCUGGGCCUUGGGCCUUGUCAUCCGUCUGAUCCGCCCGCCGGGUCUCCAGUGAAUUACAAUGUCUAGGCGGGUUACCCUGUGAACCGCCAUGUUCGGGCGGAUCGCCAGUGAGUCGCCAAGCUUGUCCGGCCGGGUCAUACCGCGGGGUAUAUCCCCGACAGGUGGUCUAAUACGGGUAAAGAAACGCAUUUUUCGCUUUGGAUCCUUUACAAUAAAAGAUGGGUCAAAAAUUCGAUUCUGGGAAGACAAGUGGCUAGAAAAUGCUUGGAUCCAAUAAAAAUAUCUAUCUUUGUACUGCAUCAUUCAUCACAAUAAUGAUACUCUUGUGCUAGUGCUUAUUUCUUUCAUGCCAGAUAUUUCUUUCAGGCGAGAUUUGAUUGGCCUAUGUCUUAUGUGAUGGUAAAAUCAUUAUCCUGAUUGGAUUUAAUUAACCUGACACAAGGGCGGGGAUGUGUUUCAUUGGAAUCUCUCUACAUAUGGGUCCUUCAAGUCAACUUUAUGUACCAUGCACUAACGCAUUCAGAGGUCCUAGUGGAUAAUAAAAUAAUAGAAGAAGAUAUGGGCCAUACUCCCUCCGUCCAGUGAAGAGUGAAAUCUAGAGAUUUUAGGACAAAUUAUGGAGUAAAAUAGAAAAUGCAUUGGAAAGGUGCAAGCCACCAUCUUUCUUCUCUUUAAUUAUCCAAUCCCUAAUGUGUUUAGUGCAUGUAAAAAUUAAGAAGACCAUGUGUAGAUUGUUAUUGGUCUUGGUUACCAUGUGAUGAGAGAGAAAUAUAUUUUUUUCUACUUUAAAGUGCAUUGAGAAGAUAGAAGUACACUCUUUUGUGGACAAAUUUUAAAGCCAAACGUACACUCUUCACCGGACGGAGGGAGUAUAUUAAUUCCUAGUGUGACUUAAUGUUGACAUGAAUUGAUACAGGUGGAUAUAGUUACUCUGCGUCCGUAAAUAAAGGUCAUCAUUUUUGUUGCUCUAGGGACCCAUAAAUGAUAGGGACUGUCCGCUACCAGCUACCCUGAUGACUCCAUUCGCUGCCCCUCAAACAUGGGUUCCCGACAUGUUCUCAGGGUCUGCCCGUGGUUCCAUGUUCUGGCCUUCGGGGUUGGUUUAACUAGUGGUAUGGGGGUUCUUGCAUCGCCCUGUACUCUCGAUCGGGACCCUUUAAUGCUAGCACUUCUGGUGACAUACAGUGCGUGUAUUUAAAGGCCAGGCAUGCAUCCUCCGUGCCAAAGAAAAUUCAUUCGGCGGCUACACGGGGAGAGUUGUGGCAGCAAAUCCGGGAUGCCAGCUUUUUGUUUUGGGUUUCGAUUGUCAAAGUUUUAGAUCUUAAAAAAACUAAAAUUAAGUGUUGUUUUCAUAUUCGUGUUUCUCGUGACCACUGUUUUGAAAUAAUAUCCGUUUUGAAUAUAUAUUUUGACGACUUUAAAAAAUAUUAAGUUUCAUAUGUUGAAACUUAGUACGGGCAACCAGUAAAAAUCAAUUAUUUUGUACCUACGCCUGACAGAAAAAUGCUUACAUUUAUAUCUCUGAAACUUGCUGAAACUUUGCAUUUUUCAUCAUUGAAACUUAAAACUUUUUGAGGGAUUUUCUUUUUUACUGUGCCCUCAUGUGGGAUUCAACUACUCUUUUCUCUUCCGCGAGAUCCACAUGAAAAAAAGCACAAAUUUAAGAUGAGUGCAGGGCUUGGCAGAUGAGUGCCCUGCACUUACAUGCCCCUGCGAAUUUCCGCAGCUACUAGAUAUUUUUGGCAAAUUUAUUGUUUGCUCUUUUACAGGUGUGCCACUUAAGUAUUUAAACCUAUAAGGAUUUCUGCACUGGUGCUAAACUCACUUAUGAGAGCAUACCGGAUUUUCUCAUAUGAGCUAACAAAGAAUCAAACAUAGUUAUAUCUUGUAUUAUUUUCUCAUUAAUUACUUACCCACUGGGCUGAAGCAGUUAUUGUAGCAUAUCAUGCAACACUCAUGGUUUUCCAACAUGUUUCCUUAAGGGGUCUUAAUCAAGAUGAUUUACAUUCAAAAACAAUCAUUGAGUAUGGAUCAUUAAGAAUAAUUUGAUCCUACUUAAUCCAUGCUUAGGAAAUAAGAAAAUGGUUACUCAAUGAGCAAACGCUGCCUGUUGCUGCCUCCUCACCAACAAACUUUGGUUCUUCACAUCCCUUACCGAAGAGGCACCUUUACAUUGCAUCCCUUGUAUACUACUAUAUAUAUGUGAUCUUCAUAAAGAGUUCAGCGAUUUCUCCAUUGUUGAGUUCCUUACACUCAAUAUUCAAUAAUAGUUAUUUCCAAAUUCACAUAAUCAGUUGGCAGGAUGGUCACCAAAGUACAUUCAUCCAUCGAAAGAAACACACAAAAGAAAACAGUAACAGCACCAAAAAAACUACACGUUGUCCAAUUAUGAAUAAUGUUUCGUCCGUGUAACAAGAGCUUCGACGGUCAUUUUCUUAAGCAUAAUUAAAUAAAAAACUAAUCAUAGACUCUGAUUGUAAAGCAUUCCAAAAGAAAUUCAUAUGUCAGUUCUUCAACGCUUAUUGUGUUGGAAGCCUGUCCUCAAAUAUUCUCUCCUUCGCCUUGUCGGCCUGCAAAUAAAUAUCAGUUAUUUUUUCUUACUAUCCUUGGUACCAGUGCUUAGGGUUUUGAUAGACAGGUCGCUAGUUAUUGAAAUGAAACAUUUAAGACAAGGAGAAGCAUGCAUUAGGGCAACUCCAACUAUGUGCAUCAAAUCGGACACAUCUAACAUUCAUGGGCACGUCCGGACGUGUCCACAAAGAGCAUAUAGGGGGCGGCCAUCCAAGCCUAUGCACCAAAUGUCCGCACCUUUUCAAAGAAAAUAAAAUAAAGCUAGACCAAAUGUUGGCUCACUUUAAAUCAUCGAUCGAUAGCAAUUCAAAAGUGUUGGAUGAAAGUACUUCUCGAAAGCAGCCUUCAUUACAUACUUUCUCUCCUCGAGUUUGCACUUCUUCAUUACAAAUGUUGUUCAUCCAGAUGUUGUGCCCUUUGAGCUUCAUCCAACAGUGCAUAAAUGCGAAGAACUUGCCCUCCGUCCUUUGGUAUAGCAUGGGCUGCGCGUCUGGGCUAUACAAUGACGUGAUCAUCAAGUGUAACAUUGAGCAAUUUGCCAUUUGUGCUUGCUUCAUGUUAAACAAGGAGAAAGUCAAAGAAAUUCUCAAUGGUAUUUGGCCGAACACUUGCCGGGGUUGGCCUCCAUUAUGGAGGGCAUCGGCAAGGGGGCGGCCAAUGCAUGGGCUGCCGCCGGAUACUGGGUGCAACCGCGGCGAAGUACAAUGCGCCUGGUGGAGCAAUGGAGGUCUAGCAAGGCCUAGGCGCGGGACGGAGUGGUAUAGCAGCGGCGGUCUUGGUGGGUGCGGAUACAGAUUAAGAGUGGGACNNNNNNNNNNNNNNNNNNNNNNNNNNNNNNNNNNNNNNNNNNNNNNNNNNNNNNNNNNNNNNNNNNNNNNNNNNNNNNNNNNNNNNNNNNNNNNNNNNNNNNNNNNNNNNNNNNNNNNNNNNNNNNNNNNNNNNNNNNNNNNNNNNNNNNNNNNNNNNNNNNNNNNNNNNNNNNNNNNNNNNNNNNNNNNNNNNNNNNNNNNNNNNNNNNNNNNNNNNNNNNNNNNNNNNNNNNNNNNNNNNNNNNNNNNNNNNNNNNNNNNNNNNNNNNNNNNNNNNNNNNNNNNNNNNNNNNNNNAUAGUCCGACCAGGCGGGCGUCCGGACUCCCAAACCUCCAAUGAGUUUGCUUCCGGUUUGGCUGAUGUUGGACGUCCGGAUUAGGCCGCGGGCAUUUGAUGCAUGGCAGUGGAUGGCAAAAAAUGUACAGGCAGCGCAGUCCGGACCUUGCGGGCAAUUUGAUGCAUGGCAUUGGAGUUGCCCUUAGCAAUACCUAAGGCAUGUUCUGAUCACGAAUCAUCAGGCAUAAAAACUGAGAAAGGACUUACCAUCUUGUUCCAGUUUGUGGUAGCCGUAAUAACAGACAGGAGAGUGACCUGUGUGGCUCCACCAGCCAGUAUGCCAAUCCAAAACCCCUUUGCUCUUAGUUGCAUUGCAAAACCAAAGUAGAGUGCAACGGGGAUACCAACAAGAUAGAAGGCACCCAGGUUAACAUAAGCCCCUAGAUGCUGCCAUCCACAGCCCCGAGACACACCUGAGUGGUGCAAUGGAAGCAUUCAGUCUAUUAGUUUAAUUUAGUUUAUGAUGCUAUAUGCCAAAAGAAAGACAUGUGGAUACCUUGAAGGACUGCCAUGAGGCUGUCUGUAAUUGCUGAAAUGGAAAGUAGGGGUACCAUUCUUGUGACAUAACGCCUGACCUCUUCCUCAUUGCUGAACGCAAUUCCAAUAAAGUGGCGCAGUAAUAGAAGAGUUGUGCUCACUAAGAAUGCUGAGCAGACCACAAUAGACAAGGCAACACACACCACCAAGCGGGGACCUUGUGUGUUGCCGGCGCCUAAUUCAUUUGAGACGCGCACACUGGCACACGGACAACAUAUAUACGUAGCAUGUUAAAUUCUGUAGAAACAGGUGAUACUGACGAUAUAUAGCAACAAAUGCACUAGCUAGUAGCUACCCACCUGGUAGCUAUUCCAAUGCCGUAAGGAAGGUUGGCCAACAGUAUCAUUGUAGAUACGCUGUUCCAAAAGGACAUCAGUAUGGUAAACUUCAUAGAAUAUGAUGGAUUCAAGUAUAAUCUUAUUUAGGGUUCUACUAAUGCAUACCAUAUAGAAAGCACAGAGGUUUCCAGUGCAGGAUUUGGUAACAUCCCGGAAAGCAGAACAAGCAGCUCGUAAGACCACCACUCCAGACUGUGGUCAAGGAAAGCUAGGUUAAUAUUCAGAGGUUUCCGGGAUGUUUUGAUGCUAGAGAAUACAUAAUUAGAAGCUAAACUUAAAGUAAUAUAUGUGCAGAAAUUAUCCAGUUCAUUUCAAGAGGAGAGGGAAGAAUAUAUCCAGUGGUAUUGCGAGCGGGUGGCAAAAAAACAAAAGGUAUCUGAUCAGGAUCUGCUCACAACAAAGGCGAAGACGAAGACGGACUUUCUUUUGUUGAAAGAUGUCUUCACAACAAAGACGAAGAGGAAAACAAACUUGAUUUGGACAAUCAAUCCGAGACGAGCCGACAUUUCAAAUUUUCAAAUGGUUUGUAAAAGACCAUCAUCCUUUUCUGACAGUAUUCUAACAGACCAAUCAAGUGUGCAAGGGUGCUGUGGCAAGAACAACAGAAAAAUAGUAUUUCCUCCAUCCGAAAAUAAGUGUCGCUCAAAUAGAUGUAUCUGGACGUAUUUUAGUGCUAGAUACAUCCGUUUGAGCGGUACUUAUUUCCAGACGGAGGGAGUAGGUAUGAACGAACAUAAGUAGAAAGAGAUAUAAAAAAUAGCAACAAUGCUUGGAUCUUAUGGGCUGCAAGUGCACCACUAUUAAAAAGGUUUUGCCACGUACUUGUUAUUAUUAAUAUAUUUUUUGAGAGGAACGUACUUGUUAUUUUCCAUGCUGACACCUUUAGAAACGUUGGCUACUGAUACACAAACUAUAUAGAUUUGUCACAUGAAGAUACCAUUAGUGUUAUGAAUGAUCACAUCAUUAUAAUUAUAAUCUUAAUUAUUUGCCAAAAGGUGCACGUUGGAAACUAUAUUAAUGUCCACAAGAACAAGUAAAAGUGAAUGAAGAGUGCAUAAGAGUUUGCUGUAUUGGACAAUAUUUUGCUUGCCAAAAUAUGAAAUACUAGAUAAAAUAGCAUAUGUUAUUUUUUGUGCUAGAGGUUAAAACAACAUCAUUAUAGAAACAUGGCAAAUAACAUUUACUUACCAAAUCAUAAGAGCCGAUGGUACAGCCAAACGCAUGAAACUGCCAAUCCCUCUAAAAGCUUCCCACGAUGGUGGAGCGCGUGUUUUCUCACAAGAGGGUGAGAACUUAAUGUAAAGGCCAAGAAAAGUCACUUCAACCCAAUCACAAAUGCUAACGGAUAAAGCAGCUCCAGCAUUACCCAUCCCAACUUUGUAAACCAUGAACCAGCAAAGAGGAAGAAAUACCGCAAUUGUAAUCAAGGAGCUAAGAACCAUUGGAAAUAUUAGGCUUUGACAUUGCAGAAACUUUGAAAAGCAUUGAGUAACACCGAAGGCAAAUAAACCAGGGAUAAGCCAUAAUGCAUAUUUGCCAGCCUCAUUUGCAAUUUGUGGUUCCUGGCCCAUGAGAGGAAGUACUUCCGGGAUGAAACACCAAACAAUGGAGAUGGGCACACUCACAACAAGAAGUGCAAUGAUGGACCUGUAGGUACAUAAAGAUAAUGUAUGAUAUUGUUCUGCUCCAUAGGCCUGCCCACAAAGAGUUUCCAAUCCGCCUGCCAGUCCAAUCUAAAAGGGAAACUGCAUCAGUAACAAAUUAUACAUAUUGUUGCUGAAUAAAUGGAAGUUAAACUAGGAUAAAGUGCAUCGACAUUACUGAAAGAAGAGUUUUGCUACACCUACACAUUAAUCUUAUGGAAUUAAAUUUACAGGAUGAGGUGGCAACAUCUGAUUGGAAGGGAGGAGACUCAUAGUAAAUUCGGGGAAGACGGGUUACUUGGAGGUUAGGGGGGAGGGGUGGCAGUCCAUACGGGUCGCUCAUAAGUUUGGAUUUUCGCUGAAAGAAUAUCAAGAAUAACAAACGUGGCUUGUGCAAGGUGGGCAACAGUUGCUAUGAAGAUUUUGUUUCAAUCAUCACUGCAAAGAAUGCGAACAUCACCCUGGCCGAAUUUUCUCAACACCCAACUCAGUCGGAUCAAGUGACUGAUUAUAUUUUUCGCGGGAAUAUAAUAGAUCGAUAUUGCCCACCGAAACUAGCUAUAUGUACAGCGGGGUGGGGUGAAUCAAGCACCACAGGUCCAUUGUAAAAAAGAUUAAUCGAACGACCUAGCUAGCCGCGUGCGGUCGGCGCUAAUCAGAAAGGUUGAGAAAUGGAACCAUCUGAUUUGAUUCAUUCCCAGUAGUCAUGAGAUGAUCAUUUUUUUUUAGAAAAGAGGGGAGAUCCUGAAUGAUCCACACAACCUUUUGUUUAUCAUAUCAAAGUACAUCAUCUGACCAUAACAAAGUUCAUCUUGCCAACGGAUGCUUCUAUUACACUCGUGGUCUCUAAAAGAUGAGAACCCACUAUGUAGCAUCCACAUCAAUAAUUCAAGCAUUUAUGUCCUUAGUACGAUUCUUUGUAGGAACUAUCCGUAAUAACAAAGAACAUCAGAAGUAGCAGAGAUCUCCGCACGAUGCAACUGGAUAAAUGGCGGUCGCAUGGAGGGAGAAGACACUGAGACAUCUGGACCGGUCGCCGAUCUUGUACACAUCCGGAUGGGAUUCAGGGGCUGCUCUAACGGAAUUGAAAGUACCAAUAGCUAAACAUAAACGAAAUAAAUUAAUGUGCGCUGCAUGCUUGCUCACAAGGACGCUGAAGCCGGAGACGUUGGUGAGGGAGUUGGCGAUGGCCGCACCGGCGAGCGCGACGUCGCCGAGGUGCCCCACCAUGACGGUGGAGAUGAACUGCAUCGUGACCUGCAGCAGCAUCACCACCACCAUCGGCGCCGCAAGCCCCGCCAGCUGCGCGGCUUCCCUACACCAGCGCCGGCUGGUACUGCCGGGCUCUUCCCACCUCGCGGCCAGCAGCGGCGCAUCGGAAGAAGAGUCCAUGGAUCCCCCCGACCAAAGCUCUGCCCAAGCAACGUGGGUGUGGUUAAUGAAAAUGGUAAAUGCGGGAGCUACCAUCCGUCUAGCUGUCUCCCUUUGCACAAUGCAUGGAGCUCGAACUAUAUAUAGAGUAUUACUCCAGUCGUAGUAGCUACGGAAACUAUUUCCUCUGUCCAGAUUUAUUAGUUUUGUCAGAGCAUCGGUAAUUGAGGAGCUAAUUUGAUUUCAUAUACAUCCACUGACCCGUCUUGGCGCUGUUCAGGCAUAUUCACUUAAGCCCACAUUUAUCUGUGCACGCAGUGGUAACCCCACUUUUCUCCCUAUUAUAUGCCCGAUUACAUGCAUAUGAAUGGUAGGGACAGAACCUCAAAAAAAAAAGAAUGGUAAGGACAAAAAAAGAAAAUAAAAGAAAAUAGUGAAGGUGAAAAAGUGGUCCGGACUCUGGAGUGUGCCAAAUUCGACGUGGCAGACUGCUCAGACAUACCACAACAUCUCAUACCCUUUCCACGUAUGGGCUCGGUAUAAGGGGUGCCAGAAAGCCCGCGCCCAUGUAUAUAGUUUUGAGUUAAUGAUACUCCCUUUCAUCCAUAUUACUUGUCACACGGACGUAUUUAGACGUUUUUCAGUGCUAGAUAAAUUCGUUUGAGCGACAAGUACACUAGUAGAAAAAGGACCUUACGUGAGACACAUUAGUCCCGGUUCAAUUUUGGCUCGGUACUAAUGGUAUUAGUCCCGGUUCAAACGGCUAUGCAUUAGUCCCGGUUCAUGUUGAACCUUUAGUACCGGUUCGUGCCACUAACCGCUACUAAAGGGGUGGUGGCAGGCUGGCGUCAGGCCGGGGCCCCACGAGCCCCUUUGACUAAAGGGGUUUAACCUUUAGUCCCGGUUGGAGACACAAACCGGGACUAAAGGGCAAUUAUCAAACUCUACCCCCCUCCCCUCUCCCUGUCUAUCGCCAUUUCAGUUUUGAAAAAAACAAAACAAAAUGAUAAAAACUUCAAAAAUUAAGAUCCUUCGAGAUGUAGUUAUGUUACUACAUCUACUAGUUAGGAAAAUUUAAAAACUUAAAUUUGGACAUGUUUUGCAAAAAAAUAUGAUGAAAAGGUAAAACAACUAUAUCUUUUGCAUCCGAUAUCGGAAAACAACGUAUAAUAUAUCAAAAUGUUCAGCACGAAAAUACGCAUCCGAUUUUGACGGCUGUAGGCCGUUUUGCAAAUUUUUAGAAUCCUCAAACUCUAAAAGGAAAAAAGUUAUGCUCACAUUUCAGUUUUUUUUUUGAAUUUUGGUCAAACUGUGGUCAAACUACUUAUUCAAGAAAUAUUAGUGUUACUAAAUAAUUAUUUCAGUUUUUUGAAUUUUGGUCAAAUCUGGUCAAACUAUGGUCAAACUACUUACUCAAGAAAUAUUAAUGUUACUAAAUAAUUAGUGUUUUUUAGAAUAAUAGUUUCAAACUCAAACGAUGAACGUGUGACUUCAUGCUCAAGCUAAACUCCUGAGGGUUAAUAGGAUUGACAGCUUAAUAUUGUUAGGAAACAACAAGUGCGGACUUGGAAACUAGGGGGAAUAGAACUCAGAAGUUAAGCGUGCUCAGGCUGGAGUAGUAAGACGAUGGGUGACCGGCCGGAAACUUAGGUGAUUUGGGAUGAGUGAUCCACACUUGAGCAGUUAUGAGUGGUGAUUAGAGACUAAAUCGUCAAAUAAUUAAGAAAAUUGAAAAUCGGGAAAAAAAUCAAAGUUUUUUCCAAAAAAUUCAAAAAAAAAACCUUUAGUCCAGGUUGGUGUUACCAGCCGGGACUAAAGGUCCCGCAUACCACGGCGCGGGCUCGUGCCACGUGGUGGGCCUUUACUGGCGGUUCGUGUUGAACCGGGACUAAAGGGGGGGCCUUUGGUCUCCAACCUUUAGUGCGGGUUCCGAACCGGCACUAAAGGCCCUUAAGAACCGGCAUGAAAGCUCCGUUUUCUACUAGUGGUAAUACAUAUCAGAUGGAGUAGUGGAUUUAACUAGACGGGGAAGCAACGGAUGGGCGGCGGCUUUCAGAUAUGACGAUGGUGGUCCUACCGGGGUGGCUUGUUCGGCGGAGCGGGUUGGGAUGGCACGGGCCAGAGGCUGCUUCGCUGCCUCCCAAAGGUGGUGGUGGGCUGCGGGUGUAUGCGACAACUCAGAUCCGUCGUGGAUCAUCUGGUUGAUGCGGGAUCGACUCUGGCCUACCUUGGCUUCUCUGACGCGGCUCUGGUGGGCGGAGGGCUAGGUCAUGGCAGGGAGCUCCCCCUGCCUUGGUCUUGUUCGGCCGUCAUGGCAGCGAGCUCCCCCUGCCUUGGUCUUGUUCGGCCGUCAUGGCAGGGAGCUCACCCUACGCGUUUUGGCUCACGGGCUCAGAUGAGUCCGGGAAUGAACAAAAAAUCAUUAAAAAUUACUAAAUAAAUUCAAAAAAAAUCUGAAUUUUUUUUGUGCAGAAAUAUAACUGAGUGUCUGAUGUUCGUACCGAAUUUCAGAACACUUGAAUGUUUGAGUAGCUCUCAGCAAAAAAGGACGAAUUUAAUGUAUGUGAAAAAGGUUACUAUUUGUGCAUUGUCUGGACCCUUUUUUUACUGAGAGCUAAUCCGAUGUCCAAAUGUUUUGAAAUUUGGCACGCACUUCACACACUAAAAUAUCUUCCAUUCAAAAAAAUAGAUUUUAAAAAAAAAAUCUAUUUUUGCUGAAUUUACUGUUCACCAGGUGGAGCAGCGUCGAAGACCACAGACAUGGUGUCGGGCGAGCGCGCUCGGAGACAGAUGUCUGUAGUUGUGUCUCCCCCGGUCCACCGGGACUGGCUGGAGAUGCAGGCGUGGGUGCCUCCUACCAUGGAGGCAUCGAUCCAGACUAUGUGGCUGAUGUAUGGCUAUGAUUGUAAGGGGACGCCAUUUGCUUCUCCUACCGUGGUGGGUGCACCGUGAUGUGGGCGGUUGGUGGUGUCUCUGAUAUGGAUGUCGAGGUGGCAACCCUGGAUGGCGGUCUGAUGGUUCGCUCUCUAGCGGGCCCCAUGGCAGCAGUGAUAGGUGGAGCGACGGGUGGCUCGGGUGUGCUCUUUGUCUCCGGCAGUGGUGACACCUAGAUCCAGAUCUGGAGGUCUGAACUCGUCGUGCUUACCCUGGAGACCUCGUGGUGUCAUGGGGGAGCUGUCGAGUAAAGCCCCAUGCUUUGCCGUCAACGAGGGUGAUGCUCGCGGGUGCCGCUUUGCUCUUAAAGAUAUCACCGUGGUGCUCUUCUUCUUGUCUGGGCUCGGAGUAAAAACCUUUGUUCGGUGUGGACUCAACAACGCUGACACUUAGGGCUAUUCGCUCUCCUAAGAGUGUUGUCGUUGAGCUUAGAUGUUAUAGGGCAUAGUGUGACGUUGCUAUCGGUUCUUCCUAUGCUCACUUUGGUAGUAUAGCUGCAUGCGUUCUGUGUGAUCCGGUUAUCCUGGGAUCUAUUAGAAUAAUCCGAGGCAUACCGUUGAUCAUCCGAGGACCAAGGAACCACACGAGCACGACACCGAGAUUUGUUAACGAGGUUCACCUUGGCUACAUCCCCGGGGCUUGACUAUGGGCGCUCCUCCCCAUGACAUCGCUACAAUACCGCACCCCGUCGCCCUGCACGCCGGCACAUGCCGCCGGCUUCCCUUGCGUUCCUAUGCUAUUAUGUUGGCAUGGGUUACAUCGUGUGUCUACCCCCAUUAUAUAUGAGAGGCCUAGGAUACAAGUGUCCUAUUAGGACACGACUCUAUAUCCUAUCUAAACACAAUACUACUCAAAGUCCAACUCUAACCUAUCUUAUACGCAAUAUUCGACACAACUCUAACAGGAUCUGCAUUGUAUGAGGACUACCUCAUCACCUUGUAUUGGUCAGCCAUGCACUUUGUUCGGUUGUUGCAUUAUACUCUCUCUGUUCAGAAUUAUUGGUCGCAGAAAUGGAUGUAUCUAGUUAUAUUUAUAUAGUUCUAUAUACAUCAAUUUCUAUUCAUUUUUGAGACAGGUAGUCCCGGACGGAAGGAAUAUAUAAAGCGGGGCGCCUGGUUCAAACUUUAAAGAGAGACAUAACCACAAAGGAGACGUAAGAAGGCAAAUAACUACAGCGCAAUUGAUGUCAUGUCAGCAAGAAAUGUUCUUAAGGGCCACUCCACAGCUUCCCACUACGAACCUAAAUCUUCAUGAAACUUGAGAAAAUCAUACUCGACGAAAAUCAUACGCUUGUUUUAGAUGCCUGUCGUCGUUGGUUGCUACAGAAGAUGGAUUUAAAUAAUUGAAAUUAAGUUUUUUUUUAGCACUCUCUCUGAGCCAAAUUAAUUAACAUAGCUCUAGUACAACUUUUUCUUUUUGAGUUUGGACUUGGUUUGGCUGUGUGCAUCUUUUUUUUUGAAAUGUUGGCUGUGUGCAUUUUAGUUAUGCAGAAGCCAGAUAAUACUUAAAAACUUUGUAAGCAAUAAAGCGCCCCUUAUCGAACAAUAGAAUUAUGCAGAGGACUAACACUUAACUCUCGAGUAGUAACUGGUUGAAACUUACCAGCUCUACGUGGUUGAUGUUGACAUCCAAUUUCGAAUACAGAACAUAUUUCCCAAACCAUUCAAAAACAUCACAUUGCCAUCUUGGUUAUUACCCUUUAACCUCCUCACAGCAGAUUCCAUCUGCAUACACUCAGUGUAAGAACGCAGCAGAUCCAUUAAAACAUGUAGUACGAAUUAUCACGUUAUACUAAAAUUUUAGAAUCAACAAGACAUUAGCUACAUAUUGACUUCUUUAAUUAUUUAUGAAGACUGCCUCUAGAGAAUUGUUGGCAUGUCUAUGACGGUAAAUUUGCAGCUCAGUUAAAGUGUGCUUGGUUGGUUAAACAAGGUAUACUAGAUGAUUUUCCCGCGCGUUGCUGCGGGAUUUUAAAGAUUAAUUUUGGAUAUAUUAUAUAAGAAUGAAAUGAUCUAAAUCAAAAGCUAUUAUUUUCAAAAGUAAUUAUAUGUGAACAAAGAGUAUGCAUGUACGUUGGACCAUUGGAGAUGGAACAAUUAAAUUGGAGUAUGCAUGUGCUACAAAAUAAUUCUAGUGGGUGAUGAUAUGUGGAGGGCUGCAUGUUGAGAUAAUUAGACUUAAUGGGAUCAACUAUAUAUUUAUUAUAGAUGGGAUAGGUUGUUUGCUUGGUUGGGUGGAUGGGAGUAUCAAAAAAGAUUAAUUAGCUAAAUGAUACCUCCUAACUUCUACAUUAACACCAUCAAGACCUAGUGAACCUACUUAAGUCAAACCAGAAAAACAUGUACCUGUUUCAGAUAAUCAUCCAUGAACAUGAUUGCAUGGUCAUCAUGCCCAGUACUGAGUUUGAAAACAUGAAGUACAUUGUCUUUCUUCAAUGACUGCAAAAAUGAUUUCUAUAUAUGUUCAGAUUUUCAUCAAAGCAAGGAAAAUUUUCUCUGGUGCAGUUGAAGAUUACUACACAUUGGUAAACAAUAAUCACCAACAGUUUAACACAAGAAUAGCUAGAAAAGAAUCCAAAGGUAAAACACAAACUCAUCAUUGCAUUACAACAGUUGUGUAUACAUAAAGAAUUAUUGCAUAAGUUCAAAACAAUACCUUGAAAUCUCUGGCAGCUUGUGUCCUGUCCUUCACGCUAUUAUAGUUUGGGACUGCAAAAUGAAUGGUUGUGUCACAGCCUACAAGUGAACACAAGAAAAAGGUGAAUUUCGGAUCUGAAUCACCAUUAAAAAAGGAAACAGUUAGAGAAGAAGCACACACUGAGUUUAUAUAACCAUCUUUAUUAUAUAACAACAUGUUACAUGGGAGUAUUGUUACAUCCCUCCAUUAAGAGGAGGAGCAAACAUAAGUACAAGAGUUUAAUAGUGGCCGUGUCCCCCAACCCACAAAUAACUUUGGCACAUGCACGCACAGACCAGAAUUUUGCAACAGAAAACAUCACUAACCUAUGCACACGGUGGCUCUCGCAGCCAGUGAUGGUAGGCCUGAAUCGUCGCUCCACCUCUGCCUUGAUGUUGUUGGCCAUUGUCUGAAGGUCCUGGUUCUCUCCCUCGAACACCAGGUAGCUAUGUUCUCUCCAAAAUCCCUACGGGCCAAAUUUGUACAAUCACUAUCGAGUCCAGGUCUUUUUGCCGAUCUUUUGGCAGUGCUUUUCACCUAGACAGCCACCAAAUUCACCUGAAGUGGCGAGCUGUUCAUUUUAAAAUGACUUGCCACAGUUAUGUCAACCAGGAUCAUUGCUCUCUUUCUCGGCCUCCCGCAGAACUUCACAAGUUAUGAGUUUGCUGUAUGAGUAUAUAACUGAAUGAAGUAGUCUUUGAACCUGCAAACAGAGCACUUAAUCUACUUCUCAACGCACUGGAAUUUUUUGCAAUGUCUCUCUGUACUAAUUGUCCACUGCUACCCUACCACGAAGAAGUAGCGAUUUCUCCACCAAUCCAGCUCGCAAUCGGAUUAAACACUAGGCAAAGAAAUUCCUCUCUGCAACUAUAUAUCCAUACAAAAGUACCAUUUACUCCUGGAUCGAGCACUAAGCCACUAACUGACGGACGGAGAAUGGAUGACUAACCUUCUAGUUGCAACCGCAUGACCUCUGACCUGCCCUGCCGGCGGCUCACAGCGAUGGAUAGCGGACUAGCCUGCCAUCUAGGGUAAUUGCAGACGGCCAGAGUUGCAACGGAGGCCUCAUCGUGAUACACGACGACCUCCGUAGCUGGGAUCAGAUGUAUUUUCUAAUUUGAAUUGAAUAUGUAGUGUCACCAUUCCAGAUUUUUGGUACAUAUGAACAAAAAUAAAUUUAUUCAUGGGCCAUUCAACACUUUUCAACUCAUCGGAUACUGGCUCAGAUCGAGUUCACAUAUCAUUAACAUAUUUCGAACCAAAUCCAUAAUCAUAAAAUCCUCUGGUUUUAUUCAAACAAGCGGUGGAGAUGCCCCAUCCCUCCUAGCAUUGUUUUUCCUUAUCAUUUAGGAUCUCUUCAUUCAGCCUUUAAUAGAUUAAUAACAAAAAAACAUAAGUAUGGCCUAGAUAUAUAAGAUGCUUCAGAAUAGCUGGGCACAAACAAGUUGGCAUGAAACGGUCUAGAACUUCUUUUGCGGGAAAAAAUCUAGACCUUCUCAAAAUCCAACAAAUAAAAUAUGCUCGUUGUCCAUGAUCUAGGAGGGUAUCUACGAAUAGGUACUUAAGGUUUGUUCAUGAAAAGUAUUAAAAUAUUUGGCAAUUUUCCUUUUGGGUAGACAAAGUACCUAGAAAUAUGUAAAUUCAUGCUUAUACACCUGAACAUGCACCAUAGUAGACCAAAUUAUGUUGCCAAAGUAUAACGAACAUAUUAUAUUUUUGAAUAGGUUAUCUGUGUAAAUGGUCUACACAAUUCAAAUAAGUAUCAACUUCAUGCCCAAAAGAUUUAGUAAAAGGUACCGGGUGGUCCCAAUGAAAUAUUUACAUAACAUUACAAACUUAGUCCACCAAAAGAAUGAUUUGAUCCAGAAAAAUCCUUCUUCACACAUAGAUCGAACUGAUGAUGACGUAUCUAGAGUUAGGACCGGAUAUAUGCUAGUAACUUGUAAGCAAUUACCAUCCUUUACAUGUAAGGGAAUUCUAUGAGUCAUGUCAUGAUCUAUACCUCUCAGUUCAUCUUAUCAUCUUAGAGAACAAUACAAAGUUAGUUUUAUAAAAAAGCAACCGAGUCUAGACGAACCCUCCACAUACAAGGCUUUAAUAAUCGAGCAUAUCUUAACAGUCCACACACGAUUGCAACUUAGUCCUACACAGGUUUUGCCUUUCUUGUUUAUGGUUGACAGCCUAUACAAGGUUCCAAACUCGGUUGCAAAAGUGAUACUAUCCUGAUAAAUGUGUGACAUGUAAAGUGAAUAAGGCGAGUCAUAUAUACCACACAUCAGGGUUUCUAUAAUUUGUGUGUGAUCAUAUGCACAACUAAAAAGCAACUUUGAUGAUCAAUCCAAAAGUACGCUUGUAGCUAGUGCAACCUAACACAAUGUACCAAAAAAUCAUUUCUGAUGCAUCCAAAUAGAAUUAUUUAAGUUGAUGCAAAGAAGGAAAGAGGUGGUGCCCGGACUACUAUAAAUAGGCAUGAAGUAUAAUGAUCAUCACAAGCACAAGCAUCAAAACCAAGCAAAAGUAGUUAGCACCAAUCCAUCAUGAAGACCUUCCUCGUCUUUGCCCUCAUCGCCGUUGUGGCGACAAGUGCCAUUGCACAGAUGGAGACUAGCUGCAUCUCUGGUUUGGAGAGACCAUGGCAGCAGCAACCAUUACCACCACAACAGUCAUUUUCACAACAACCACCAUUUUCACAACAACAACAACAACCAUUACCUCAACAACCAUCAUUUUCGCAGCAACAACCACCAUUUUCGCAGCAACAACCAAUUCUAUCGCAGCAACCACCAUUUUCACAGCAACAACAACCAGUUCUACCGCAACAAUCACCAUUUUCGCAGCAACAACAACUAGUUUUACCUCCACAACAACAACAACAACAACUUGUGCAACAGCAAAUCCCUAUUGUUCAGCCAUCCGUUUUGCAGCAGCUAAACCCAUGCAAAGUAUUCCUCCAGCAGCAGUGCAGCCCUGUAGCAAUGCCACAACGUCUUGCUAGGUCACAGAUGUGGCAGCAGAGCAGUUGCCAUGUGAUGCAACAACAAUGUUGCCAGCAAUUGCAGCAAAUCCCCGAACAAUCCCGCUAUGAAGCAAUCCGUGCCAUCAUCUACUCCAUCAUCCUGCAAGAACAACAACAGGGCUUUGUCCAACCUCAGCAGCAACAACCCCAACAGUCAGGUCAAGGUGUCUCCCAAUCCCAACAGCAGUCGCAGCAGCAGCUCGGACAAUGUUCUUUCCAACAACCUCAACAGCAACUGGGUCAACAGCCUCAACAACAACAACAACAGGUACUACAGGGUACCUUUUUGCAGCCACACCAGAUAGCUCACCUUGAGGCGGUGACUUCCAUUGCACUCCGUACCUUGCCAACGAUGUGCAGUGUCAAUGUGCCGUUGUACAGCGCCACCACCAGUGUGCCAUUCGGCGUUGGCACCGGAGUUGGUGCCUACUGAUAAGAAAAGUUGUCUAGUAAUAUAUAGUUGGACCACCGUCGUCUAGUCGAUCGACAUGUCGAGGAAGCGGUGACAAAUAAAGUGUCACACAACGUCAUGUGUGACCCGCCCAAAGUAGUAGUUAAAUUCUGGAAUAAAUACAAAUGAAGUGUUCUCUAGACAAUGUUCAUAUCGGCGUUGUGUGGACGUCGAUCUGACUACCAUGCUUGCAAGUUCAUAAGUUCGUCUUGCCAGGUCACAACCUCAACUUGGUGUAUUAAUUAAUUAAUCACGUAUAGCAAUAAUCUAGAUUUAAAUAUAAUAGUGUUAUUGUAAAAUUUGGGUUGAACUGAAGAAAGGACAAACAUACAACUCUUUAAUGGUUGGAGAUUUGAGAUCUUGUUUUUAUUGGUUUGUAUGUGGUUCCAACUACUACCAUUGUCUACAUGACAAUCACAACCGGUUUCAUAAUUAAUUCUGUUUGCUUGUUUUUUUCUUUUGCAAAUACUUCAUUGAUACUUUGCACAUCCACUUAUUUUUCAAGGAAAAACAGCUUUUUCUUGAAUUUCAUAGACACCACUAGAUAGUUAAUUUGAAAUAAGUUGUUGUUCAUGCCCUAGACCAGCUAGCACAAUCUGUGUGGGGGGGAGGGGAGGGGGGUUGUUGCAUGCGUAUUCUUUGCACAUUAUUUUAUUUUGUUCUUUUGAUGCUCUUAUACUAUACCACAUUUUUACUUAAUGGAAAGCAAACUAAGCAACGCAGGUAGAAACCACAGAACUUGAGACUGGGUGUGUGUCAACUUCACAUCCUCCUCCUUAUCUCAUUAAUUGGAAAGCAAUAGCCCUCAUGAGAUCAGACAGCCAUACACAGUGUUAAAGUAAACAAGAUGAUGGCAUUAACGAUGUAGGUUUUUAAUUAGUCAAAUGGCUAAACUGAGGCACCCGGCAGCCAUAUAGACAUCCAUGAGCAUGUAAUCCAGAAUAUUGCAACUAGAGCACUAUAUAUGUAUUUAUGACAGAAAUCCAGUGCAAUUUUUCAAAAUGACGUUCCAUUGGCUAUGACCUUAGCAAAUGAUGUGAAUUUUCUUUCCAAAUACUACAAAAAGUUGCAGGAUUGCAAAUUAAACAAUUACCUCCACUGACUACACGUGAAAAAACACAUCUGCUGAGCAACAACAAAAUAUUAUUAUCUCAAGCACCUACCUGGCAGCGAUUAGUUCUCAUGAAUUCAUUGAAUCAAGAACGCAUCACAUGCUUACUGCUGAACACUAGUAGAAAAAGGGCCAUUUGUCCCGGUUCGUAAGGCCCAUUUGUCCCGGUUGUGGAACCGGGACUAAAGGGUCGUUACUAAAGCCCUAGGCCUUUAGUCCCGGUUCUUACACGAACCGGGACAGAUGGGCCUCCACGUGGCCGCUGCGGCGAGCCCAGGCAGGAGGGCCUUUGGUCCCGGUUGGUGUCACCAACCGGGACCAAAAGGCAUCCACGCGUCAGCAGCUGGCAGGAGCUGAGGUUUUUGUUUUUUUAAAGGGGGUGGUUUAGGGGUUUGGGGGGUUAAUUUAGGUUGUUAGCUAGCUAAUAGAGAGAAGUGUCCUCUCUUAUCUCCGUGCUUGGUUUACCAACGCUACUGCUAUGCCUAAACAUGGCUUAGAUUGAAGUGAAGGCAACAUGUGGUGCAUGUCGAAAGUAAUACUAAUCCUAACUUGAUCAAGUUUCGAUUGUACUACUUUCGACAUGCACCACAUGCAUGUUGCCUUCACUUCAAUCCAAUCCAUGUUCAUUUCACCCACUGAUAUAUAAUAACUCUUCAUGCUCGCAUCAUGCAUCAUCAUAAUAAUAAGUCCUACUAAUCAUCAUCAUACAACUUCUAUUCGUUAUUAAUAACAAGUCAUACGAUCAUCAUCCUCAUAGUCAUCGAACCAACCCUACUUAAUUGUUCUUAGCACAUGGUCAUCAGUAUUAGUUAGGACUUAAAUACCCUCUUUAAUGUAAAAUAGCAUAAAACAAUAUAGACCCUGACUCUCCAUUAUGGAGAAUGGAGAUCAUCCUGUCUCCAAUUCUUGCACUUCGCUUCCUUUUGCUUCCAAGAACCUCCUUACGACUGUCCAUAUAUUUUUUCCAUUCUUUGAUUAGCAUGUCUCCACUUCUUUUAGAAAUCCGGUAUGGACAGUUCAGAUUCGUAGGAUGACCUGGAUGUAUGUUCAAAACAUCAAGGCUACCAAUCUGAUACAUCAAAUGAGGCACACAAUCCAUCGGGAUUCUCUGUUGAAAAACAUAGUAAUAACUUCAUAGUUAGCAAUGAUGUACUAGUUUUAGAAGUAUGCAAAAGAUGCACGGAUGUCGUAAUAGUAAAAAAUCUUACCAUGAUAUCUCCAUGGUAGUUACCGUAGUUCAACACGUGCACUAGUGGCACGUAUUGACCAUAAUGUUGAGGAAUUUGAUUGUAGAUAUUGUAAUUCUCAAUAUUAGUACAAAAUGCGAUCAGAUGAUUUUUCUCCUGAUAAGUUAAUUCGGAGCCAUCGGUGUAGUGGAUUUUGUUUACCAUCUUCCGCACAUUCUUUGAAGAAUGAAAAUAAGCUGUCAACUAUUUUGAAAUAAACAAUAUAAAUUAGUUAAUAACUAUGUUUGAGAAAGUCACAUAGCGGUAGAAUUGGAGGCGUAUCAACAAGGACCCAAAUGUCCAUAUUGUCUUGCUCGAUUUCAGGAUCACCAAGAUCCAUGGUGACAAGCAUAUCCUCAUGAAAACCAUACAUCUUGCAAAGUGCUUCCCAUUUUUUGCAACCAAAAUCGGUUACGCUCUCAGAAUUUACAGUUUUACGUCGAAAUCCAUACCAUGAUGGGUCCUUAGGUGAAUUUUCUUUGUUUCCAUACUUUCAUGAUCUUCAAAACCCAUCCUCUCCAAGACAUAGCGUCUUGCAUGGCAUGGGAUAAGCUAGUCGAAUUGUAAAAGAUGAAAAUUACACGUUGAAAUAGUUGAAGUCGUGCUUAAUUACGAAAAAAACACUUGUCAUCGUUGCGUACCGUUUCAACAUCGAAGGUCUCCUCGAGCUUAAUGCUGAAGCGUCGAUCUUCGUCUAGGUGAGGCCUGUCGCACAGACCUCGGUCGUCGUGGCACCAGUCGCACUCCCCCGGGAGACUUUCGUCGUCCGAGUACGACAUUUCCUAUGUUCAUAAUUCAAAUAUUAAACUUGUACAAUUAAAUAUAUGUACUAAAAAAACCUAAAUUAGAUCAGUAUUAUUCAUCACGGGUUGACUAUCGGUCUGUCGAGUCUUUUCUUGAAAACUCUCAGCUCACGUGGUGUACAUAUUCGACCGUCGGUGAUGGUAGCUCCUCCUUUCAUUCCCGAGUGCAUCCCACCAAAUUGUCUAGCACACGGGAAUGAAGGAGAAGCUACCGCCACGACAACAGUCGGGAUUCUUCAUCCUCUCAUAUAUAUAUGGUGGAGACUCUCCCUCACUGAUUCCUCUCUGACAUUUGCGACUGUCGGUGAUGGUAGCUCCUCCUUUCAUUCCCGAGUGCAUUACACCAAAUUGUCUAGCACACGGGAACGAAGGAGAAGCUACUCCCACGACAACAGUCGGGAUUCUUCGUCCUAUCAUAUAUGGUGGAGACUCGACAGAUUUAAAGUCAACCCGAAAUAUCGUUUAAUUAUCUUUCUAAAAAAGGACAUAUCGAGUGCCUGAAAUUUGCCGGAACGGAAACAUACAUGUUUUUAUCUACAUCAUAUGAGCAUUCAAAUUUGAUGGCCAUUACAUUUCAAUGGUUGAAAAUAUGAGCAAAAGCAUUUCAAAAUAUCUUAUAGGACUCAUAUUGACAUGGAGAUUUGGCUGGUCUCACCUCGAGGUCGGAGGGGGGUCGGUGACGGGGACGACGGCGGGGAUGAUGGAGGGGGCUCCUAGAUUUCUACAAAACAAAAACCCUAUAAGCUAUCAAACUAAUCAAAUGAAUACGCCUUGCAUAGUGCUCUCCAAUUUUAGCAUUCAAAGUAGGAGUAGUUUUCCAAUUUGAGCAUUCAAUAAGCAAAACCAAAUCAUAAAAUAAAGUAGUAUUCAAAUUAGCAUGCAUUCAAUUAUAAGAAAAACUACAUCAUCUCUUGCGGCCGUACAUCGUUGAAUAUUAUCACUAAUACACCUCGAAUACUAUCAUACAUAUAGCAUCGCUAAUACAGCUAGAACCGUAGCGCCCGACGGGUAUCGGCGCGGGCGGUGGACACCCAAAGAGAAGGAACCAUCACAGGAUCAUAGCUCCAGUGAGAUCCCUGAAAAACUUGCCAGGUAUUGUCGAACCUGCCCUCCAACGCAACCAUGUAGCGACGGACGUGCUCGUCCUCCUCGCUGACACGGUGACGUACCACCUCCGCGGUGUCCGGAAGCCUCGGCACCGUCACUGGCCCACGCGACCGCCACGAAACAAGGAUCGGGUCAACCACGGGCUGGCUCCUCACCAACCUACGCCCCCCGGAAGGUAGCACCUCCCAAUACCAGCCGACGGAGCCCAGUCUCGGACAUGGCCCCUCUGAUCAAGCAGGCCUCCUCCGCUGAGACGACGACGAGGAUGCGGGAUAGGCAUCGUCGACGUCGAUGCGGGAAUAAUUGCUUGAACUAAAAAUAUAAACUAGUUCUAUUAAUUUUCUUGCUAAAAAUAAACUACUUCUAUAGUAAAAUAAAGUAGUUUUAUUAAAUCAACUAGUUCAACUACUAAGCACUUACUAUAAAUAAAAUAAAGUAGUACUUACUAAAAAUAAACUACUUCUAUAGUAAAAUAAAGUAGUUUUAUUAAAUCAACUAGUUCAACUACUAAGCACUUACUAUAAAUAAAAUAAAGUAGUACUUACUAAAAAUAAACUAGUUUAACUAGUUAUAUUAUUUUUCUAACUAAUUAUAUUAAACAAUUUCUAAGUAGUACUUACUUAAAGUUAUCGGGGAGGGGGGGUAUAUCGACAACGACAUACCCGAUAAACAAUAAGAAGAGGAAGAAGAAGAAAAAAAAAGAGGAGAAGAAGAAGGGAAUAGAGGAGGAGAUCGAAGAAAAAAAGAAGAAAAAAAGAGGAGAAGAAGAAGGAAUAGAGGAGAAGAAGAAGAAAUAGAAGGAACCUUCUAUUUCUUCUUCUCCUCUAUUCCUUCUUCUUCUCCUCUUUUUUUUUCUUCUUUUUCAUCUUCUUAUUUACUUCUCCUCUUCUUCUUCUUUUUCUCCUUCUUCCUCUUCUUAUUUUCCUUUUUCCUCUCCUGCUUUUUCUUCUAAAUAUGAACAUAUACAUAAAUGAAUUUGAUCAUACACAAUUUUCCUAUACAUACACAAUAUGAACAUAUACAUAAAUUGACAAAGAAAAUUCUAUGAACAACAAAAAAAUCAUAAAAAUUCUAUGAACAAAAUUACAACAGAAAAAUCAUAAAAAUUCUAUGAACAAAAUAAAAAUUCUAUGAACAAAGUUACAACAGAAAAAAUCAUAAAAAUUCUAUGAAAAAAAUUGACAUAUUCUUUGCAUAUGAACAUACAAACAUUUGCAUAUUCAACAAUAAUAUCACCAAAAAAAUCUAUAAACAGAAAAAAAUUCUAACUUUUGCAUAUUCUUUUAUGAACAAAUUACAACAACUAAACAUCUAAAUUAAUACAACUACACAUCUAAAUUAAUACAACUACACAUCUAAACUUAAUUAGCUAGAAAAUGCAUAUGCAGAUAGGGCGCCCGGCGACGAGGAGAAUGAGCUCACCGCAGGGGGGCGGCGACGAGGAGGCAGGGCAUGGGGAUGGCGACGGUGACGAGGAAGCAGGGCAUGGCGACGGUGACGGUGGGGUAGGGGCGCGGCGACGGGCGACGAGAGGAGGCAGGGCUGGCGGCGUCGGGGCAGGGGUGGCGCGGGGCGGCGACGGCGUCGAGGCGGCGCGGGACGGCAUCGGAGGCAGGGCUACGACGACGGCGGCUAGGCAGAGGGGCAGCCUGGCGGCAUCGUCGAGGCGGGAUCGAAGAACUAAACGAAAAUUUUCACAAGUGCUGUAUAUAUAGACGGAGCAUUGGUCCCGGUUCGUGCCACCAACCGGGACCAAUGCCCCCUUUAGUCCCGGUUGAUGCCACCAACUGGGACCAAAGGUCUCUUUUCAGCAGCCCAAAGGACGGGAAGCAGAGACCUUUGGUCCCGGUUGGUGGCACCAAUCGGGACUAAAGGGUGGGCAUUGGUUCCGGUUGGUACCAUGAACUGGUACCAAUGCACACAUUUAGUCCCGGUUGGUGGCACCAACCGGGACUAAAGGCCUUGUGUUGCCCGCGUCGCGGCACAAAAGUUUAGUCACACCUCGCUAGUUGAGGGAGCUCGAGAGUGGUUUAUAAGCCCCACUCCCGCUACCCUCUCGAGCUCCUCUUAAAUGCAGGCUUACGGGCCUAAACACACUGUAUCUGCUUGUAGCCCUACUGGGCCUUCUACGGGCCUGAAUCCUGGCCCAUGGGUGGGUUUCUAGUCGUAUUCAGGCCGUGGUGGCCCAGUAGGUGGCUUUUUUUAUUUUUUUUUCCUUUUUUUGUUUUCUUUGUUGAUUUUUUUUCUACUUACAACAAAAUAGUUACUGUUGCUAUUUUUAUUUAUUUUAUGAAGGUUUAUUUAUUUUAUUUUAUUAUAGUUUAUUUAUUUUAUUUUAUUAAAGUUUAUUUUAUUUUAUUUUAUUUUGUUUCUACUUAUUUAUUUUAUUUUGUUUCUACUUAUUUAUAAAAGUUUAUUUUGUUUAUACUUAUUUAUUUUAUUUUAUUUUUUGCUUUUUGUAUUUAUUUUAUGAAAAUUCUUUUUGCUUUUAAUGUUUUGAACAGAAAAUACUUCGAUAAUUUUAGUUGCAUAAAUUCUAUAUAAUUUUAGUUUCAAUAAUACUAGAGGUUUAUAAAAGCUUUUUAGUUGAUUCCUUUAGUACCGGUUCUAAGGCUGUUACAAAGGCAUUUCAUUUGGUACCGGUUAUAAGGCUGGGGCCCCACGAGCACCUUUAGUAACGGUUCAUGGCAUGAACCGGUAAAAAAGUUUUUUAGUUGAUUCUUUCUGCAACUGUUUUUUAGUCCCACCUCACCAAGAGGGAGGCACUCGCGGCGGUUUAUAAGCCCUGAAUGCAGAGACGAUGAAGGAGAGGCGCAAUGCUCACCUGCAUGUUUCUUAGCUUCACGCCUUGAGGAAGUGGUGUAGACUGCACGGAGCUAUCAGGGUUUCGGACGAAAACUACACAUAGCUCCGUGCAGUCUACACUAUUUCCUCAAGGCCUGAAGCUAAGCAACGUGCAGGGGAGCAUUGCGCCUCUCUUUCAUUUUUAAUAACUUACUACAACUCCGGACUUCUUGUGUGUCCAAGAUACAACAUUCAAAGCCAAAUCAUCAAUUUUCAACCCUUUCUAUCUUCAUUUAUUAUUUUUCAUGCAUUUACUGAUUUUUUUUAGCUAUAAGACCCUAAAAUUGAAAAACAAUUCAAAUAAACUAUGAAAAGGUUGAAAGUUGGCAUGGUAUCAUCAUUUCACCCACAUAGCAUGUGCUGAAAAGUUGAGAGGGUUACGGCAAAAACUGGAUGCACUUCGUGUACUAACCGGACAAUCUAUUUCGAGAUAUCAGGGUUUCAUACGGAAACUCGUCUGUUACAACAGGCAUUUCAAAUGAACUACGAAAAGGUUGAAAGUUGGCAUGGCAUCAUUAUAAUAGUUGUGGAGAGAAAGUCUUUACUUGUUCUUCGCUUGUGUCCUUUGCUGAUUGCGCCGUAACCAUGGAUAAUCUUCAUCGUUUAUCAGGAUGCUUGGGUCAGCCUUGACUUUGAAGGGAGGAAUUUCAUGAAACUUUUCAUAAUCUUCAGACAUGUCUGUCUUGCCCUCCACUCCCAUGAUGUCCCUUUUUCCUGAAAGAACUAUGUGGCGCUUUGGCUCAUCGUAUGAUGUAUUCGCUUCCUUAUCUUUUCUUUUUCUCGGUUUGGUAGACAUGUCCUUCACAUAGAUAACCUGUGCCACAUCAUUGGCUAGGACGAAUGGUUCGUCAGUGUAUCCAAGAUUGUUCAUAUCCACUGUUGUCAUUCCAUACUGUGGGUCUACCUGUACCCCGCCUCCUGACAGAUUGACCCAUUUGCACUUAAACAAAGGGACCUUAAAAUCAUGUCCGUAGUCAACUUCCCAUAUGUCCACUAUGUAACCAUAAUAUGUGUCCUUUCCCCUCUUGGUUGCUGCAUCAAAGCGGACACCGCUGUUUUGGUUGGUGCUCUUUUGAUCUUGGGCGAUCGUGUAAAAUGUAUUCCCAUUUAUCUCGUAUCCUUUGUAAGUCAAUAUAGUCGAAGAUGGUCCCCUGGACAACGAGUACAGCUCAUCAGAAACAGUGUUAUCACCUCUGAGACGUUUUUCCAUCUAACUGCUGAAAGUCUUGAUGUGUUCACAUGUAAUCCAGUCGUCACACUGCUCCGGGUGUUUGGAGCGCAAACUGUUCUUGUGUUCAUCGACAUACGGGGUCACCAAGGUAGAGUUCUGUAGAACUGUGUAGUGUGCUUGAGACCAAGAAUGCCCGUCCCUGCAUAUUAUUGAGUCCCCUCCAAGCGUGCCUUUUCCAGUCAGUCUCCCCUCAUACCGCGAUUUAGGGAGACCUAUCUUCUUAUGGCCAGGAAUGAAGUCAACACAAAACCCAAUGACAUCCUCUGUUUGAUGGCCCAUGGAGAUGCUUCCUUCUGGCCUAGCGCGGUUACGGAUAUAUUUCUUUAGGACUCCCAUGAACCUCUCAAAGGGGAACAUAUUGUGUAGAAAUAUGGGGCCCAGAAUGACAAUCUCGUCGACUAGAUGAACUAGGACAUGCGUCAUGAUAUUGAAGAAGGAUGGUGGGAACACCAACUGGAAACUGACAAGACAUUACGCCACAUCACUCCUUAGCCUUGGUAUGAUUUCUAGAUCGAUCACCUUCUGAGAGAUUGCAUUGAGGAAUGCACAUAGCUUCACAAUGGCUAAUCGGACGUUUUCCGGUAGAAGCCCCCUCAAUGCAACCGGAAGCAGUUGCGUCAUAAUCACGUGGCAGUCAUGAGACUUUAGGUUCUGGAACUUUUUCUCUGGCAUAUUUAUUAUUCCCUUUAUAUUCGACGAGAAGCCAGUCGGGACCUUCAUACUGAGCAGGCAUUCAAAGAAGAUUUCCUUCUCUUCUUUGGUAAGAGCAUAGCUGGCAGGACCUUCAUACUGCUUUGGAGGCAUGUCGUCUUUUUCGUGCAAACGUUGCAGGUCCUCCCGUGCCUCAGGUGUAUCUUUUUUCUUCCCAUACACGCCCAAGAAACCUAGCAGGUUCACGCAAAGGUUCUUCGUCACGUGCAUCACGUCGAUUGAAGAGUGGACCUCUAGGUCUUUCCAGUAGGGUAUGUCCCAAAAUAUAGAUUUCUUCUUCCACAUGGGUGCGCGUCCCUCAGCGUCAUUCGGAACAGCUAGUCCGCCGGGACCCUUUCCAAAGAUUACGUGUAAAUCAUUGACCAUAGCAAGUACGUGAUCACUGGUACGCAUGGCGGGCUUCUUCCGGUGAUCUGCCUCGCCUUUGAAAUGCUUGCCUUUCUUUCGACAUUGAUGGAUGGUCGGAAGAAAUCGACGAUGGCCCAGGUACACAUUCUUCCUGCAUUUGUCUAGGUAUAUACUUUCGGUGUCAGCUAAACAGUGUGUGCAUGCGUGGUAUCCCUUGUUUGUCCGUCCUGAAAGGUUACUGAGAGCGGGCCAAUCAUUGAUGGUUACAAACAGCAAGGCGUGCAGGUUAAAUUCCUCCUGUUUGUGCUCAUCCCACACACGUACACCGUUUCCAUUCCACAGCUGUAAAAGUUCUUCAACUAAUGGCCUUAGGUACACAUCAAUGUCGUUGCCGGGUUGCUUAGGGCCUUGGAUGAGAACUGGCAUCAUAAUGAACUUCCGCUUCAUGCACAUCCAAGGAGGAAGGUUAUACAUACAUAGAGUCACGGGCCAGGUGCUGUGAUUGCUGCUCUGCUCCCCGAAAGGAUUAAUGCCAUCCGCGCUUAAACCAAACCAUACAUUCUUUGGGUCACCUGCAAACUCAGCCCAGUACUCUCUCUCGAUUUUUCUCCACUGCGACCCGUCAGCGGGUGCUCUCAACUUCCCGUCUUUCUUACGGCCCUCUCUAUGCCAUCGCAUCAACUUGGAACGCUCUUCGUUUCUGAACAGACGUUUCAACCGUGGUAUUAUAGGAGCAUACCACAUCACCUUCGUAGGAACCCUCUUCCUGGGGGGCUCGCCGUCAACAUGACCAGGGUCAUCUCGUCUGAUCUUAUACCGCAAUGCACCGCAUACUAGGCAUGCGUUCAAAUCCUCAUACGCACCGCGGUAGAGGAUGCAGUCAUUAGGGCAUGCAUGUAUCUUCUGCACCUGCAAUCCUAGAGGGCAUACGACCUUCUUUGUUGCGUAUGUACUAUCGGCCAAUUCGUUAUCCUUUGGAAGCUUCUUCUUCAAUAUUUUCAGUAGCUUCUCAAAUCCUUUGUCAGGCACAGCAUUCUCUGCCUUCCAUUGCAGCAAUUCCAGUACGGUACCGAGCUUUGUGUUGCCAUCUUCGCAAUUGGGGUACAACCCUUUUUUGUGAUCCUCUAACAUGCGAUCGAACUUCAGCUUCUCCUUUUGACUUUCGCAUUGUGUCCUUGCAUCGACAAUGACCCGGCGGAGAUCAUCAUCAUCGGGCACAUCGUCUAGUUCCUCUUGAUCUUCAACAGCUUCCCCCGUUGCAGCAUCACCGUAUUCAGGGGGCACAUAGUUGUCAUCGUCCUCUUCUUCUUCGCUGUCUUCCAUCAUAACCCCUAUUUCUCCGUGCCUCGUCCAAACAUUAUAGUGUGGCAUGAAACCCUUGUAAACUAGUGUGGCUCGGGCAUUUCAUCGAACACCUCAUGUGCAUAGGAGGUGAGCUAGAGCACCCAAAUGCCCUCCCCUCGCCGGCCACAAAAAACAGAGCACUGUGGAGUGCUCUGCUGCGGCGAUGGGGUAUAUAUAGGCAACUUAUUUGUCUCGGUUCGUGGCUGGAACCGGGACUAAAGCUCCCCCUUCUGUCCUGGUUUGAGUGACGAACCGGGACCAAUGGCUGUGGGCCAGGAGCGAGGCCCAUUGGUCCCGGUUCGUGCCUAGAACCGGGACAAAUGGGUCCAGACGAACCGGGACGAAUGCCCACGAGGCCCCGGCCGGCCCCCUGGGCUCACGAACCGGGACGAAUGCCCCCCAUGGGUCCCGGAUCGUGCAGAACCGGGACUAGUGGGCUGGCCAGGCCCGAACCAAAGCCCUGUUUUCUACUAGUGGAAGAGAGAAGACCCGGAAGCAAGUGGUCACUUUCUUGUCCUUUUUUAAUGACACUUGUAAUUAAGAUUGAGUACAUGAUCAAAAUCAGAAGUGAUCGUAAUCUGAUGGUAAAUGAUUAUUUCUUGUUCAUAUGAACAUACAUAAUACUUAAUAUACUGACAUGAUAAAAAGGCAACUUGACAAUCUCCUUUUAUUCGACGAUGAAAGAUAUGUAUGAGUAUGUGAUCCAGUUUGGUGAGCUUAAUAUGUGCCGUUAUUAUGAGACAGUGAAAGACGGAUAAAGGGACAUAUGGAAUUCUUUUUAUCAUACUAACGAGUUUCUAAACAUAGAACGGAAGCAACAAAAAUAAAGACAGAGCGCUAAAAUUUCAGUGAUGUUUUAGAAGAUACAAAAUGGAGUGCCCUUUUAUUGAUCAAUGCCUGUAGCCAUAUAAAUGAGGUCUGGGACUCGGUUCGCUCCAACACGCCGAUAGAAAGCACAUUUCGUCUGAUGCACAUAUGAAAUUUGAUAGUGCAAAAAAGAAAAACGCUGAGAUAUACGGAUGAUUUAAUGUUGUAACUAACUUGGACAUCCUUCCGGUGACCACGGAAUGGACAAAAAAAUCUCAGGCAUCAAAAAGGGAUGGAACCUCCAGACCUACUGCUUCUCCUCCACCUGCAUAGCGUGCAUAGGUGGAAAUUUGAUGAUUAAUUGAAGUGACAUCCACAUAGAGCAGGAGUUAUUCAGCUAGAAAAGCACAAAUGGACAUCACUGUCAGGCUAUAAGACUGAAUUCUGCUCCACGGCCUUCCUGAUUCAUGCAGCUGAUAUGCAAAUGGGCGUCCCCUUAAAUUCAUAUGAAUCGAAUCGCAGAAGAGACGAACAAACACUCUAUAAGACUAUAACAGGUUGUGACAGUGUCCAGUCCUUUAGAACUUAGACGAAGAAAAUGUAGAACUAACAUAUUAGUGGUUAGGAUCAUAUUUGCAAUCUGGGAACUUGGUGUGCUCUCUCCAACAUGCCUAGUGAACGCAUGUGUCCUCUGAUGCAGAUAUGAAAUAUGACGUUAUACAAAACAAAAGAAACACUGAAAUUAUACGGAUGAUUGGAAACCGGACUGCAUGUCGUCAAUGUACGGCCGGCACACGACGGAAAGCUGGAAAUCAUCUUGCUGAGACCAUCUGCAAUGGAAGUAAAACGGGUGGUCAGAAAAGGAUGCGAGAGAGGUUGAGGGUGGAAAGUGAUACGUCUCCAACGUAUCUAUAAAUUUUGAUUGUUCCAUGCUAUUAUAUUAUCUGUUUUGGAUGUUUAAUGGGCUUUACUAUGCACUUUUAUAUUAUUUUUGGGACUAACCUAUUAACCGAAGGCCCAGUGCAAAUUGCUCUUUUUUUGCCUAUUUCAGUGUUUCGCAGAAAAGGAAUAUUAAACGGAGUCCAAACGGAAUGAAACCUUCAGGAGAGUUAUUUUUGGAACAAAUGCAAUCUACGAGACUUGGGAUGGACAUCAAGAAAGAAACGAGGAGGCCACGAGGCAGGAGGACGCGCCCAGGGGCGUAGGCGCGCCCCCCACCCUCGUGGCUCCACCGACCUACUUCUUUCGCCUAUAUAUACUCAUAUACGCUGAAAACAUCCGAGAGCACCACAAAACCCUAUUUCCACCGCCGCAACCUUCUGUACUCGUGAGAUCCCAUCUUGGGGCCUUUUCCAGCGCUCCGCCGGAGGGGGAAUCGAUCACGGAGGGCUUCUACAUCAACACCAUAGCCUCUCCGAUGAUGUGUGAGUAGUUUACCACAGACCUUCGGGUCCAUAGUUUUUAGCUAGAUGGCUUCUUCUCUCUCUUUGGAUCUCAAUACAAAGUUCUCCUCGUUCUUCUUGGAGAUCUAUUCGAUGUAAUUCUUUUUGCGGUGUGUUUGUCGAGAUCUGAUGAAUUGUGGGUUUAUGCUCAAGAUUAUCUAUGAACAAUAUUUGAUUCUUCUCUGAAUUCUUGUAUGCAUGAUUUAAUUAUCUUUGCAAGUCUCUUCGAAUUAUCAGUUCGGUUUGGCCUACUAGAUUGAUCUUUCUUGCCAUGGGAGAAGUGCUUAGCUUUGGAUUCAAUCUUGCGAUGUCCUAUUCCAGUGACAGCAGGGGCAGCAAGGCACGUAUUGUAUUGUUGCCAUCGAGGAUAAAAAGAUGGGGUUUAUAUCAUAUUGCUUGAGUUUAUCCCUCUACAUCAUGUCAUCUUGCCUAAUGUGUUACUCUGUUCUUAUGAACUUAAUACUCUAGAUGCAUGCUGGAUAGCGGUCGAUGUGUGGAGUAAUAGUAGUAGAUGCAGAAUCGUUUCGGUCUACUUGUCGCGGACGUGAUGUCUAUAUACAUGAUCAUGCCUAGAUAUUCUUAUAACUAUGCGCUCUUCUAUCAAUUGCUCGACAGUAAUUCAUUCACCCACCGUAAAUUAUGCUAUCUUGAGAGAAGCCACUAGUGAAACCUAUGGCCCCCGGGUCUAUUUUUCAUCAUAUUAUUUUCCUAUCAAUUGAUUUUGCAAUCUUUACUUUCCAAUCUAUAUCAUAAAAAUACCAAAAAUGUUUAUCUUAUUAUCUCUAUCAGAUCUCACUUUUGCAUGUGGCCGUGAAGGGAUUGACAACCCCUUUAUCGCGUUGGUUGCAAGGUUCUUAUUUGUUUGUGUAGGUACGAGGCGACUUGUGUGUAACCUCCUACUGGAUUGAUACCUUGGUUCUCAAAACUGAGGGAAAUACUUACGCUACUUUGCUGCAUCACCCUUUCCUCUUCAAGGGAAAACCAACGCAUGCUCAAGAGGUAGCAAGAAGGAUUUCUGGCGCCAUUGCCGGGGAGGCUAACGCCAAGUCAAGACAUACCAAGUACCCAUCACAAACUCUUAUCCCUCGCAUUACAUUUUUUGCCAUUUGCCUCUCGUUUUCCUCUCCCCCACUUCACCCUUGUCGUUUUAUUCGCCUUCUUUUUCCGUCUCUUUUCGCUUGCUUUUUGCGUGCUCGUUCUUUGUGCAAUUUGCUGCCUUCAUGCCUGAAACUGGGGAGGUUAUCGUUAAUAAGGAUAGUAGUAAUAACAUGGAAAACUUUGAUGCUUUUGAUGAUCCUCAUGAAGAUCCUACUAUUUUACACACUAAAAAGUUUCGGAUUGAUAGUGGUAAUAUUAUUGGAAAAGGAGUUAUUCAAGAUUUCUUUACUUGUGCCGGUGCCCUGCCCUCUAUGGGUGGGUCUAUUCUUCAUAGAACUAGUAGUCUUGCGGAUGCUAUAUCCUUGCUCGUAGUUGAACUUGAAAGACAAUUUAUUCAUAUGCAUCCUUGCAUACAAAGGAUUUUUCUAGAGUUUUCCAAUAUCGAGCAUUCUUCUGUUAAGCGAGCAGCUACUAUCUUUUUGGCACAUGAGUUCAGAUUUAUAAUGAAAGAGGCCAAUGAAAUUUUUGCGCAUUAUAGGGUGAACGCGGGUCGUCCUCCCAUAGAAGCUAUACUUUUUAAUCAAGAAGACUUAAUGCGUUUACGAUCUUUAGAUCAUGUUGGUUACAAUGAAAACCUUAGAAAGAAGGUUCCUACCGAUGUUCUAGUUGAUAAAUUUUCUGAACUCAAUGAUGAAUUUGCUAUUCAAAACAACGGGUUAGGUUUUUCUCUUGAACAAAGGUUUAUGACGUAUUGCCAAAAGAAUGCUUAUAAUGAUGAAUUUUUUGUGCAAUACAAGGGGCCAAAGGAGGAACCCAUACCUCCCGAGCUUGAUCUUGGGGACUUUUGUCCCAUUAAAUUUAGCCCUUUUGAUUACUUUUGUUUGCCACAAAGGAAACUUUCUGCUGAACGUAGGGCAUAUGAGAUGAGUUCCCGCAAUUUGCCCUGCCAUUAUUAUGAUAAUACUUAGAUCUAUUCUUGCCUUUAUGCCUAGCUAGGGGCGUUAAACGAUAGCGCUUGUUUGGAGGCAACCCAAUUUUAUUUUUGUUUCUUGCUUUUUGGUUCUGUUUAGUAAUAAAUAAUUCAUCUAGCUUCUGUUAAGAUGUGUUUUCAUGUUUUAAAUUAGUGUUUGUGCCAAGUAGAACCUUUGGGAAGACUUGGCUGAAGUCUUUAUGAUCUUGCUGUAAAAAACAGAAACUUUAGCGCUCACGAGGUUAGCUGCCAUUUUUUACUGUAGAGUAAUUUUAGGUUGAUUCUUUCUGCAGAUGAUUAAUAGACAAAUUCCUCACGUCCACCAAUUUAUUUCAGAAUUUUUGGAGUUACAGAAGUAUACGCUUGAUCCAGAUUACUAAAGACUGUUCUGUUUUUGACAGAUUCUGUUUUUCGUGUGUUGUUUGCUUAUUUUGAUGAAUCUAUGGCUAGUAUCGGGGGGAGGGGGUAUGAACCAUAGAGAAGUUGGAAUACAGUAGGUUUAACACCAAUAUAAAUAAAGAAUGAGUUCAUUACAGUACCUUAUGGUGGUGAUUUGUUUUCUUAUACUAACGGAGCUCAUGAGAUUUUCUGUUGAGUUUUGUGUUGUGAAGUUUUCAAGUUUUGGGUAAAGAUUUGAUGGAUUAUGGAAUACGGAGUGGCAAGAGCCUAAGCUUGGGGAUGCCCAAGGCACCCCAAGGUAAAAUUCAAGGACAACCAAAAGGCUAAGCUUGGGGAUGGCCCGGAAGGCAUCCCCUCUUUCGUCCUCGUCUAUCGGUAACUUUACUUGAGGCUAUAUUUUUAUUCAUCACAUGAUAUGUGUUUUGCUUGGAGCGUCUUGUAUGAUUUGAGUCUUUGCUUUUUAGUUUACCACAAUCAUCCUUGCUGUACACACCUUUUGGGAGAGACACACAUGAAUCGGAAUUUAUUGGAAUACUCUAUGUGCUUCACUUACAUCUUUUGAGCUAGAUAAUUUUGCUCUAGUGCUUCGCUUAUAUCUUUUUAGAGCACGGUGGUGGUUUUAUUUAUAGAAAUUAUUGAUCUCUCAUGCUUCACUUAUAUUAUUUUGAGAGUCUAUUAGAACAGCAUGGUAGUUUGCUUUGGCUAUAAAAUUAGUCCUAAUAUGGUGAACAUCCAAGAUAGGUAUAAUAAAAACUAUCAUAUAAAGUGCAUCGAAUACUAUGAGAAGUUUGAUAAUUGAUAAUUGUUUUGAGAGAUGAAGAUGGUGAUAUUAGAGUCAUGCUAGUUGAGUAGUUAUGAAUUUGAGAAAUACUUGUUCUAAAUUUUGUGAUUCCCGUAGCAUGCACGUAUGGUGAACCGUUAUGUGAUUAAGUCGGAGCAUGAUUUAUUUAUUGAUUGUCUUCCUUAUGAGUGGCGGUCGGGGAUGGGCGAUGGUCUUUUCCUACCAAUCUAUCCCCCGAGGAGCAUGCGCGUAGUACUUUGUUUUGAUAACUAAUAGAUUUUUGCAAUAAUUAUGUGAGUUCUUUAUGACUAAUGUUGAGUACAUGGAUUAUACGCACUCUCACCCUUCCACCAUUGCUAGCCUCUCUAAUACCGCGCAUCUUUCGCCGGUAUCAUACACCCACCAUAUACCUUCCUCAAAACAGCCACCAUACCUGCCUAUUAUGGCAUUCCCAUAGCCAUUUCGAGAUAUAUUGCCAUGCAACUUACCACCGUUCCAUUUAUUAUGACACACUCCAUCAUUGUCAUAUUGCUUUGCAUGAUCAUGUAGUUGACAUCGUAUUUGUGGCAAAGCCACCUUUAUAAUUCUUUCAUACAUGUCAGUCUUGAUUCAUUGCAUAUCCCGGUACACCGCCGGAGGCAUUCACAUAGAGUCAUAUUUUGUUCUAGUAUUGAGUUGUAAUUCUCGAGCUGUAAGUAAAUAAAAGUGUGAUAAUCAUCAUUAUUAGAGCAUUGUCCCAAGUGAGGAAAGGAUGAUGGAGACUAUGAUUCCCCCACAAGUCGGGAUGAGACUCCGGACGAAAAAAAGGAGGCCAUAAAAAAAGAGAAAAGGGCCCAAAUGAAAAAAAGAUGAGAGAAAAAAGAGAGAAGGGACAAUGUUACUAUCCUUUUACCACACUUGUGCUUCAAAGUAGCACCAUGAUCGUCAUGAUAGAGAGUCUCCUAUGUUGUCACUUUCAUAUACUAGUGGGAAUUUUACAUUAUAGAACUUGGCUUGUAUAUUCCAAUGAUGGGCUUCCUCAAAAUGCCCUAGGUCUUCGUGAGCAAGCGAGUUGGAUGCACCCCCACUUAGUUUCUUUUGUUGAGCUUUCAUACUCUUAUAGCUCUAGUGCAUCUGUUGCAUGGCAAUCCCUACUCACUCACAUUGUCUAUUGAUGGGCAUCUCCAUAGCCCGUUGAUACGCCUAGUUGAUGUGAGCUAUCUUCUCCUUUUUGUCUUCUCCACAACCACCAUUCUAUUCCACAUAUAGUGUUAUGUCCAUGGCUCACGCUCAUGUAUUGCGUGAAGAUUGAAAAAGUUUGAGAACAUCAAAAGUAUGAAACAAUUGCUUGGCUUGUCGUCGGGGUUGUGCAUGAUUAAAUACUUUGUGUGAUGAAGAUAGAGCAUAGCCAGACUAUAUGAUUUUGUAGGGAUAACUUUGUUUGGCCAUGUUAUUUUGAGAAGACAUGAUUACUUUGUUAGUAUGCUUGAAGUAUUAUUAUUUUUAUGUCAAUAUUAAACUUUUGUCUUGAAUCUUUCGGAUCUGAACAUUCAUGCCACAAUAAAGAAGAAUACAUUGAGAAAUAUGCUAGGUAGCAUUCCACAUCAAAAAUUCUGUUUUUAUCAUUUACCUACUCGAGGACGAGCAGGAAUUAAGCUUGGGGAUGUUUGAUACGUCUCCAACGUAUCUAUAAAUUUUAAUUGUUCCAUGCUAUUAUAUUAUCUGUUUUGGAUGUUUAAUGGUCUUUACUAUGCACUUUUAUAUUAUUUUUGGGACUAACCUAUUAACCGAAGGCCCAGUGCAAAUUGCUGUUUUUUUGCCUAUUUCAGUGUUUCGCAGAAAAGGAAUAUUAAACGGAGUCCAAACGGAAUGAAACCUUCAGGAGAGUUAUUUUUGGAACAAAUGCAAUCUAGGAGACUUGGAGUGGACAUCAAGAAAGAAACGAGGAGGCCACGAGGCAGGAGGGCGCGCCCCCCACCCUCGUGGCUCCACCGACCUACUUCUUUCGCCUAUAUAUACUCAUAUACGCUGAAAACAUCCGAGAGCACCACAAAACCCUAUUUCCACCGCCGCAACCUUCUGUACUCGUGAGAUCCCAUCUUGGGGCCUUUUCCAGCGCUCCGCCGGAGGGGGAAUCGAUCACGGAGGGCUUCUACAUCAACACCAUAGCCUCUCCGAUGAUGUGUGAGUAGUUUACCACAGACCUUCGGGUCCAUAGUUUUUAGCUAGAUGGCUUCUUCUCUCUCUUUGGAUCUCAAUACAAAGUUCUCCUCGUUCUUCUUGGAGAUUUAUUCGAUGUAAUUCUUUUUGCGGUGUGUUUGUCGAGAUCUGAUGAAUUGUGGGUUUAUGCUCAAGAUUAUCUAUGAACAAUAUUUGAUUCUUCUCUGAAUUCUUGUAUGCAUGAUUUAAUUAUCUUUGCAAGUCUCUUCGAAUUAUCAGUUCGGUUUGGCCUACUAGAUUGAUCUUUCUUGCCAUGGGAGAAGUGCUUAGCUUUGGAUUCAAUCUUGCGAUGUCCUAUUCCAGUGACAGCAGGGGCAGCAAGGCACGUAUUGUAUUGUUGCCAUCGAGGAUAAAAAGAUGGGGUUUAUAUCAUAUUGCUUGAGUUUAUCCCUCUACAUCAUGUCAUCUUGCCUAAUGUGUUACUCUGUUCUUAUGAUCUUAAUACUCUAGAUGCAUGCUGGAUACGGUCGAUGUGUGGAGUAAUAGUAGUAGAUGCAGAAUCGUUUCGGUCUACUUGUCGCGGACGUGAUGUCUAUAUACAUGAUCAUGCCUAGAUAUUCUUAUAACUAUGCGCUCUUCUAUCAAUUGCUCGACAGUAAUUCAUUCACCCACCGUAAAUUAUGCUAUCUUGAGAGAAGCCACUAGUGAAACCUAUGGCCCCCGGGUCUAUUUUUCAUCAUAUUAUUUUCCUAUCAAUUGAUUUUGCAAUCUUUACUUUCCAAUCUAUAUCAUAAAAAUACCAAAAAUGUUUAUCUUAUUAUCUCUAUCAGAUCUCACUUUUGCAUGUGGCCGUGAAGGGAUUGACAACCCCUUUAUCGCGUUGGUUGCAAGGUUCUUAUUUGUUUGUGUAGGUACGAGGCGACUUGUGUGUAACCUCCUACUGGAUUGAUACCUUGGUUCUCAAAACUGAGGGAAAUACUUACGCUACUUUGCUGCAUCACCCUUUCCUCUUCAAGGGAAAACCAACGCAUGCUCAAGAGGUAGCAAGAAGGAUUUCUGGCGCCAUUGCCGGGGAGGCUAACGCCAAGUCAAGACAUACCAAGUACCCAUCACAAACUCUUAUCCCUCGCAUUACAUUUUUUGCCAUUUGCCUCUCGUUUUCCUCUCCCCCACUUCACCCUUGUCGUUUUAUUCGCCUUCUUUUUCCGUCUCUUUUCGCUUGCUUUUUGNNNNNNNNNNAGAGACACACAUGAAUCGGAAUUUAUUGGAAUACUCUAUGUGCUUCACUUACAUCUUUUGAGCUAGAUAAUUUUGCUCUAGUGCUUCGCUUAUAUCUUUUUAGAGCACGGUGGUGGUUUUAUUUAUAGAAAUUAUUGAUCUCUCAUGCUUCACUUAUAUUAUUUUGAGAGUCUAUUAGAACAGCAUGGUAGUUUGCUUUGGCUAUAAAAUUAGUCCUAAUAUGGUGAACAUCCAAGAUAGGUAUAAUAAAAACUAUCAUAUAAAGUGCAUCGAAUACUAUGAGAAGUUUGAUAAUUGAUAAUUGUUUUGAGAGAUGAAGAUGGUGAUAUUAGAGUCAUGCUAGUUGAGUAGUUAUGAAUUUGAGAAAUACUUGUUCUAAAUUUUGUGAUUCCCGUAGCAUGCACGUAUGGUGAACCGUUAUGUGAUUAAGUCGGAGCAUGAUUUAUUUAUUGAUUGUCUUCCUUAUGAGUGGCGGUCGGGGAUGGGCGAUGGUCUUUUCCUACCAAUCUAUCCCCCGAGGAGCAUGCGCGUAGUACUUUGUUUUGAUAACUAAUAGAUUUUUGCAAUAAUUAUGUGAGUUCUUUAUGACUAAUGUUGAGUACAUGGAUUAUACGCACUCUCACCCUUCCACCAUUGCUAGCCUCUCUAAUACCGCGCAUCUUUCGCCGGUAUCAUACACCCACCAUAUACCUUCCUCAAAACAGCCACCAUACCUGCCUAUUAUGGCAUUCCCAUAGCCAUUUCGAGAUAUAUUGCCAUGCAACUUACCACCGUUCCAUUUAUUAUGACACACUCCAUCAUUGUCAUAUUGCUUUGCAUGAUCAUGUAGUUGACAUCGUAUUUGUGGCAAAGCCACCUUUAUAAUUCUUUCAUACCUGUCAGUCUUGAUUCAUUGCAUAUCCCGGUACACCGCCGGAGGCAUUCACAUAGAGUCAUAUUUUGUUCUAGUAUUGAGUUGUAAUUCUCGAGCUGUAAGUAAAUAAAAGUGUGAUAAUCAUCAUUAUUAGAGCAUUGUCCCAAGUGAGGAAAGGAUGAUGGAGACUAUGAUUCCCCCACAAGUCGGGAUGAGACUCCGGACGAAAAAAAGGAGGCCAUAAAAAAAGAGAAAAGGGCCCAAAUGAAAAAAAGAUGAGAGAAAAAAGAGAGAAGGGACAAUGUUACUAUCCUUUUACCACACUUGUGCUUCAAAGUAGCACCAUGAUCGUCAUGAUAGAGAGUCUCCUAUGUUGUCACUUUCAUAUACUAGUGGGAAUUUUACAUUAUAGAACUUGGCUUGUAUAUUCCAAUGAUGGGCUUCCUCAAAAUGCCCUAGGUCUUCGUGAGCAAGCGAGUUGGAUGCACCCCCACUUAGUUUCUUUUGUUGAGCUUUCAUACUCUUAUAGCUCUAGUGCAUCUGUUGCAUGGCAAUCCCUACUCACUCACAUUGUCUAUUGAUGGGCAUCUCCAUAGCCCGUUGAUACGCCUAGUUGAUGUGAGCUAUCUUCUCCUUUUUGUCUUCUCCACAACCACCAUUCUAUUCCACAUAUAGUGUUAUGUCCAUGGCUCACGCUCAUGUAUUGCGUGAAGAUUGAAAAAGUUUGAGAACAUCAAAAGUAUGAAACAAUUGCUUGGCUUGUCGUCGGGGUUGUGCAUGAUUAAAUACUUUGUGUGAUGAAGAUAGAGCAUAGCCAGACUAUAUGAUUUUGUAGGGAUAACUUUGUUUGGCCAUGUUAUUUUGAGAAGACAUGAUUACUUUGUUAGUAUGCUUGAAGUAUUAUUAUUUUUAUGUCAAUAUUAAACUUUUGUCUUGAAUCUUUCGGAUCUGAACAUUCAUGCCACAAUAAAGAAGAAUACAUUGAGAAAUAUGCUAGGUAGCAUUCCACAUGUAAAAUUCUGUUUUUAUCAUUUACCUACUCGAGGACGAGCAGGAAUUAAGCUUGGGGAUGCUUGAUACGUCUCCAACGUAUCUAUAAAUUUUAAUUGUUCCAUGCUAUUAUAUUAUCUGUUUUGGAUGUUUAAUGGUCUUUACUAUGCACUUUUAUAUUAUUUUUGGGACUAACCUAUUAACCGAAGGCCCAGUGCAAAUUGCUGUUUUUUUGCCUAUUUCAGUGUUUCGCAGAAAAGGAAUAUUAAACGGAGUCCAAACGGAAUGAAACCUUCAGGAGAGUUAUUUUUGGAACAAAUGCAAUCUAGGAGACUUGGAGUGGACAUCAAGAAAGAAACGAGGAGGCCACGAGGCAGGAGGGCGCGCCCCCCACCCUCGUGGCUCCACCGACCUACUUCUUUCGCCUAUAUAUACUCAUAUACGCUGAAAACAUCCGAGAGCACCACAAAACCCUAUUUCCACCGCCGCAACCUUCUGUACUCGUGAGAUCCCAUCUUGGGGCCUUUUCCAGCGCUCCGCCGGAGGGGGAAUCGAUCACGGAGGGCUUCUACAUCAACACCAUAGCCUCUCCGAUGAUGUGUGAGUAGUUUACCACAGACCUUCGGGUCCAUAGUUUUUAGCUAGAUGGCUUCUUCUCUCUCUUUGGAUCUCAAUACAAAGUUCUCCUCGUUCUUCUUGGAGAUNNNNNNNNNNNNNNNNNNNNNNNNNNNNNNNNNNNNNNNNNNNNNNNNNNNNNNNNNNNNNNNNNNNNNNNNNNNNNNNNNNNNNNNNNNNNNNNNNNNNUCUAGAUGCAUGCUGGAUAGCGGUCGAUGUGUGGAGUAAUAGUAGUAGAUGCAGAAUCGUUUCGGUCUACUUGUCGCGGACGUGAUGUCUAUAUACAUGAUCAUGCCUAGAUAUUCUUAUAACUAUGCGCUCUUCUAUCAAUUGCUCGACAGUAAUUCAUUCACCCACCGUAAAUUAUGCUAUCUUGAGAGAAGCCACUAGUGAAACCUAUGGCCCCCGGGUCUAUUUUUCAUCAUAUUAUUUUCCUAUCAAUUGAUUUUGCAAUCUUUACUUUCCAAUCUAUAUCAUAAAAAUACCAAAAAUGUUUAUCUUAUUAUCUCUAUCAGAUCUCACUUUUGCAUGUGGCCGUGAAGGGAUUGACAACCCCUUUAUCGCGUUGGUUGCAAGGUUCUUAUUUGUUUGUGUAGGUACGAGGCGACUUGUGUGUAACCUCCUACUGGAUUGAUACCUUGGUUCUCAAAACUGAGGGAAAUACUUACGCUACUUUGCUGCAUCACCCUUUCCUCUUCAAGGGAAAACCAACGCAUGCUCAAGAGGUAGCAAGAAGGAUUUCUGGCGCCAUUGCCGGGGAGGCUAACGCCAAGUCAAGACAUACCAAGUACCCAUCACAAACUCUUAUCCCUCGCAUUACAUUUUUUGCCAUUUGCCUCUCGUUUUCCUCUCCCCCACUUCACCCUUGUCGUUUUAUUCGCCUUCUUUUUCCGUCUCUUUUCGCUUGCUUUUUGUGUGCCCGUUCUUUGUGCAAUUUGCUGCCUUCAUGCCUGAAAUUGGGGAGGUUAUCGUUAAUAAGGAUAGUAGUAAUAACAUAGAAAACUUUGAUGCUUUUGAUGAUCCUCAUGAAGAUCCUACUAUUUUACACACUAAAAAGUUUCGGAUUGAUAGUGGUAAUAUUAUUGGAAAAGGAGUUAUUCAAGAUUUCUUUACUUGUGCCGGUACCCUGCCCUCUAUGGGUGGGUCUAUUCUUCAUAGAACUAGUAGUCUUGCGGAUGCUAUAUCCUUGCUCGUAGUUGAACUUGAAAGACAAUUUAUUCAUAUGCAUCCUUGCAUACAAAGGAUUUUUCUAGAGUUUUCCAAUAUCGAGCAUUCUUCUGUUAAGCGAGCAGCUACUAUCUUUUUGGCACAUGAGUUCAGAUUUAUAAUGAAAGAGGCCAAUGAAAUUUUUGCGCAUUAUAGGGUGAACGCGGGUCGUCCUCCCAUAGAAGCUAUACUUUUUAAUCAAGAAGACUUAAUGCGUUUACGAUCUUUAGAUCAUGUUGGUUACAAUGAAAACCUUAGAAAGAAGGUUCCUACCGAUGUUCUAGUUGAUAAAUUUUCUGAACUCAAUGAUGAAUUUUCUAUUCAAAACAACGGGUUAGGUUUUUCUCUUGAACAAAGGUUUAUGACGUAUUGCCAAAAGAAUGCUUAUAAUGAUGAAUUUUUUGUGCAAUACAAGGGGCCAAAGGAGGAACCCAUACCUCCCGAGCUUGAUCUUGGGGACUUUUGUCCCAUUAAAUUUAGCCCUUUUGAUUACUUUUGUUUGCCACAAAGGAAACUUUCUGCUGAACGUAGGGCAUAUGAGAUGAGUUCCCGCAAUUUGCCCUGCCAUUAUUAUGAUAAUACUUAGAUCUAUUCCUGCCUUUAUGCCUAGCUAGGGGCGUUAAACGAUAGCGCUUGUUUGGAGGCAACCCAAUUUUAUUUUUGUUUCUUGCUUUUUGGUUCUGUUUAGUAAUAAAUAAUUCAUCUAGCUUCUGUUAAGAUGUGUUUUCAUGUUUUAAAUUAGUGUUUGUGCCAAGUAGAACCUUUGGGAAGACUUGGCUGAAGUCUUUAUGAUCUUGCUGUAAAAAACAGAAACUUUAGCGCUCACGAGGUUAGCUGCCAUUUUUUACUGUAGAGUAAUUUUAGGUUGAUUCUUUUUGCAGAUGAUUAAUAGACAAAUUCCUCACGUCCACCAAUUUAUUUCAGAAUUUUUGGAGUUACAGAAGUAUACGCUUGAUCCAGAUUACUAAAGACUGUUCUGUUUUUGACAGAUUCUGUUUUUCGUGUGUUGUUUGCUUAUUUUGAUGAAUCUAUGGCUAGUAUCGGGGGGAGGGGGUAUGAACCAUAGAGAAGUUGGAAUACAGUAGGUUUAACACCAAUAUAAAUAAAGAAUGAGUUCAUUACAGUACCUUAUGGUGGUGAUUUGUUUUCUUAUACUAACGGAGCUCAUGAGAUUUUCUGUUGAGUUUUGUGUUGUGAAGUUUUCAAGUUUUGGGUAAAGAUUUGAUGGAUUAUGGAAUACGGAGUGGCAAGAGCCUAAGCUUGGGGAUGCCCAAGGCACCCCAAGGUAAAAUUCAAGGACAACCAAAAGGCUAAGCUUGGGGAUGGCCCGGAAGGCAUCCCCUCUUUCGUCCUCGUCUAUCGGUAACUUUACUUGAGGCUAUAUUUUUAUUCAUCACAUGAUAUGUGUUUUGCUUGGAGCGUCUUGUAUGAUUUGAGUCUUUGCUUUUUAGUUUACCACAAUCAUCCUUGCUGUACACACCUUUUGGUAGAGACACACAUGAAUCGGAAUUUAUUGGAAUACUCUAUGUGCUUCACUUACAUCUUUUGAGCUAGAUAAUUUUGCUCUAGUGCUUCGCUUAUAUCUUUUUAGAGCACGGUGGUGGUUUUAUUUAUAGAAAUUAUUGAUCUCUCAUGCUUCACUUAUAUUAUUUUGAGAGUCUAUUAGAACAGCAUGGUAGUUUGCUUUGGCUAUAAAAUUAGUCCUAAUAUGGUGAACAUCCAAGAUAGGUAUAAUAAAAACUAUCAUAUAAAGUGCAUCGAAUACUAUGAGAAGUUUGAUAAUUGAUAAUUGUUUUGAGAGAUGAAGAUGGUGAUAUUAGAGUCAUGCUAGUUGAGUAGUUAUGAAUUUGAGAAAUACUUGUUCUAAAUUUUGUGAUUCCCGUAGCAUGCACGUAUGGUGAACCGUUAUGUGAUUAAGUCGGAGCAUGAUUUAUUUAUUGAUUGUCUUCCUUAUGAGUGGCGGUCGGGGAUGGGCGAUGGUCUUUUCCUACCAAUCUAUCCCCCGAGGAGCAUGCGCGUAGUACUUUGUUUUGAUAACUAAUAGAUUUUUGCAAUAAUUAUGUGAGUUCUUUAUGACUAAUGUUGAGUACAUGGAUUAUACGCACUCUCACCCUUCCACCAUUGCUAGCCUCUCUAAUACCGCGCAUCUUUCGCCGGUAUCAUACACCCACCAUAUACCUUCCUCAAAACAGCCACCAUACCUGCCUAUUAUGGCAUUCCCAUAGCCAUUUCGAGAUAUAUUGCCAUGCAACUUACCACCGUUCCAUUUAUUAUGACACACUCCAUCAUUGUCAUAUUGCUUUGCAUGAUCAUGUAGUUGACAUCGUAUUUGUGGCAAAGCCACCUUUAUAAUUCUUUCAUACCUGUCAGUCUUGAUUCAUUGCAUAUCCCGGUACACCGCCGGAGGCAUUCACAUAGAGUCAUAUUUUGUUCUAGUAUUGAGUUGUAAUUCUCGAGCUGUAAGUAAAUAAAAGUGUGAUAAUCAUCAUUAUUAGAGCAUUGUCCCAAGUGAGGAAAGGAUGAUGGAGACUAUGAUUCCCCCACAAGUCGGGAUGAGACUCCGGACGAAAAAAAGGAGGCCAUAAAAAAAGAGAAAAGGGCCCAAAUGAAAAAAAGAUGAGAGAAAAAAGAGAGAAGGGACAAUGUUACUAUCCUUUUACCACACUUGUGCUUCAAAGUAGCACCAUGAUCGUCAUGAUAGAGAGUCUCCUAUGUUGUCACUUUCAUAUACUAGUGGGAAUUUUACAUUAUAGAACUUGGCUUGUAUAUUCCAAUGAUGGGCUUCCUCAAAAUGCCCUAGGUCUUCGUGAGCAAGCGAGUUGGAUGCACCCCCACUUAGUUUCUUUUGUUGAGCUUUCAUACUCUUAUAGCUCUAGUGCAUCUGUUGCAUGGCAAUCCCUACUCACUCACAUUGUCUAUUGAUGGGCAUCUCCAUAGCCCGUUGAUACGCCUAGUUGAUGUGAGCUAUCUUCUCCUUUUUGUCUUCUCCACAACCACCAUUCUAUUCCACAUAUAGUGUUAUGUCCAUGGCUCACGCUCAUGUAUUGCGUGAAGAUUGAAAAAGUUUGAGAACAUCAAAAGUAUGAAACAAUUGCUUGGCUUGUCGUCGGGGUUGUGCAUGAUUAAAUACUUUGUGUGAUGAAGAUAGAGCAUAGCCAGACUAUAUGAUUUUGUAGGGAUAACUUUGUUUGGCCAUGUUAUUUUGAGAAGACAUGAUUACUUUGUUAGUAUGCUUGAAGUAUUAUUAUUUUUAUGUCAAUAUUAAACUUUUGUCUUGAAUCUUUCGGAUCUGAACAUUCAUGCCACAAUAAAGAAGAAUACAUUGAGAAAUAUGCUAGGUAGCAUUCCACAUCAAAAAUUCUGUUUUUAUCAUUUACCUACUCGAGGACGAGCAGGAAUUAAGCUUGGGGAUGCUUGAUACGUCUCCAACGUAUCUAUAAAUUUUAAUUGUUCCAUGCUAUUAUAUUAUCUGUUUUGGAUGUUUAAUGGUCUUUACUAUGCACUUUUAUAUUAUUUUUGGGACUAACCUAUUAACCGAAGGCCCAGUGCAAAUUGCUGUUUUUUUGCCUAUUUCAGUGUUUCGCAGAAAAGGAAUAUUAAACGGAGUCCAAACGGAAUGAAACCUUCAGGAGAGUUAUUUUUGGAACAAAUGCAAUCUAGGAGACUUGGAGUGGACAUCAAGAAAGAAACGAGGAGGCCACGAGGCAGGAGGGCGCGCCCCCCACCCUCGUGGCUCCACCGACCUACUUCUUUCGCCUAUAUAUACUCAUAUACCCUGAAAACAUCCGAGAGCACCACAAAACCCUAUUUCCACCGCCGCAACCUUCUGUACUCGUGAGAUCCCAUCUUGGGGCCUUUUCCAGCGCUCCGCCGGAGGGGGAAUCGAUCACGGAGGGCUUCUACAUCAACACCAUAGCCUCUCCGAUGAUGUGUGAGUAGUUUACCACAGACCUUCGGGUCCAUAGUUUUUAGCUAGAUGGCUUCUUCUCUCUCUUUGGAUCUCAAUACAAAGUUCUCCUCGUUCUUCUUGGAGAUCUAUUCGAUGUAAUUCUUUUUGCGGUGUGUUUGUCGAGAUCUGAUGAAUUGUGGGUUUAUGCUCAAGAUUAUCUAUGAACAAUAUUUGAUUCUUCUCUGAAUUCUUGUAUGCAUGAUUUAAUUAUCUUUGCAAGUCUCUUCGAAUUAUCAGUUCGGUUUGGCCUACUAGAUUGAUCUUUCUUGCCAUGGGAGAAGUGCUUAGCUUUGGAUUCAAUCUUGCGAUGUCCUAUUCCAGUGACAGCAGGGGCAGCAAGGCACGUAUUGUAUUGUUGCCAUCGAGGAUAAAAAGAUGGGGUUUAUAUCAUAUUGCUUGAGUUUAUCCCUCUACAUCAUGUCAUCUUGCCUAAUGUGUUACUCUGUUCUUAUGAACUUAAUACUCUAGAUGCAUGCUGGAUAGCGGUCGAUGUGUGGAGUAAUAGUAGUAGAUGCAGAAUCGUUUCGGUCUACUUGUCGCGGACGUGAUGUCUAUAUACAUGAUCAUGCCUAGAUAUUCUUAUAACUAUGCGCUCUUCUAUCAAUUGCUCGACAGUAAUUCAUUCACCCACCGUAAAUUAUGCUAUCUUGAGAGAAGCCACUAGUGAAACCUAUGGCCCCCGGGUCUAUUUUUCAUCAUAUUAUUUUCCUAUCAAUUGAUUUUGCAAUCUUUACUUUCCAAUCUAUAUCAUAAAAAUACCAAAAAUGUUUAUCUUAUUAUCUCUAUCAGAUCUCACUUUUGCAUGUGGCCGUGAAGGGAUUGACAACCCCUUUAUCGCGUUGGUUGCAAGGUUCUUAUUUGUUUGUGUAGGUACGAGGCGACUUGUGUGUAACCUCCUACUGGAUUGAUACCUUGGUUCUCAAAACUGAGGGAAAUACUUACGCUACUUUGCUGCAUCACCCUUUCCUCUUCAAGGGAAAACCAACGCAUGCUCAAGAGGUAGCAAGAAGGAUUUCUGGCGCCAUUGCCGGGGAGGCUAACGCCAAGUCAAGACAUACCAAGUACCCAUCACAAACUCUUAUCCCUCGCAUUACAUUUUUUGCCAUUUGCCUCUCGUUUUCCUCUCCCCCACUUCACCCUUGUCGUUUUAUUCGCCUUCUUUUUCCGUCUCUUUUCGCUUGCUUUUUGUGUGCUCGUUCUUUGUGCAAUUUGCUGCCUUCAUGCCUGAAACUGGGGAGGUUAUCGUUAAUAAGGAUAGUAGUAAUAACAUGGAAAACUUUGAUGCUUUUGAUGAUCCUCAUGAAGAUCCUACUAUUUUACACACUAAAAAGUUUCGGAUUGAUAGUGGUAAUAUUAUUGGAAAAGGAGUUAUUCAAGAUUUCUUUACUUGUGCCGGUGCCCUGCCCUCUAUGGGUGGGUCUAUUCUUCAUAGAACUAGUAGUCUUGCGGAUGCUAUAUCCUUGCUCGUAGUUGAACUUGAAAGACAAUUUAUUCAUAUGCAUCCUUGCAUACAAAGGAUUUUUCUAGAGUUUUCCAAUAUCGAGCAUUCUUCUGUUAAGCGAGCAGCUACUAUCUUUUUGGCACAUGAGUUCAGAUUUAUAAUGAAAGAGGCCAAUGAAAUUUUUGCGCAUUAUAGGGUGAACGCGGGUCGUCCUCCCAUAGAAGCUAUACUUUUUAAUCAAGAAGACUUAAUGCGUUUACGAUCUUUAGAUCAUGUUGGUUACAAUGAAAACCUUAGAAAGAAGGUUCCUACCGAUGUUCUAGUUGAUAAAUUUUCUGAACUCAAUGAUGAAUUUGCUAUUCAAAACAACGGGUUAGGUUUUUCUCUUGAACAAAGGUUUAUGACGUAUUGCCAAAAGAAUGCUUAUAAUGAUGAAUUUUUUGUGCAAUACAAGGGGCCAAAGGAGGAACCCAUACCUCCCGAGCUUGAUCUUGGGGACUUUUGUCCCAUUAAAUUUAGCCCUUUUGAUUACUUUUGUUUGCCACAAAGGAAACUUUCUGCUGAACGUAGGGCAUAUGAGAUGAGUUCCCGCAAUUUGCCCUGCCAUUAUUAUGAUAAUACUUAGAUCUAUUCUUGCCUUUAUGCCUAGCUAGGGGCGUUAAACGAUAGCGCUUGUUUGGAGGCAACCCAAUUUUAUUUUUGUUUCUUGCUUUUUGGUUCUGUUUAGUAAUAAAUAAUUCAUCUAGCUUCUGUUAAGAUGUGUUUUCAUGUUUUAAAUUAGUGUUUGUGCCAAGUAGAACCUUUGGGAAGACUUGGCUGAAGUCUUUAUGAUCUUGCUGUAAAAAACAGAAACUUUAGCGCUCACGAGGUUAGCUGCCAUUUUUUACUGUAGAGUAAUUUUAGGUUGAUUCUUUUUGCAGAUGAUUAAUAGACAAAUUCCUCACGUCCACCAAUUUAUUUCAGAAUUUUUGGAGUUACAGAAGUAUACUCUUGAUCCAGAUUACUAAAGACUGUUCUGUUUUUGACAGAUUCUGUUUUUCGUGUGUUGUUUGCUUAUUUUGAUGAAUCUAUGGCUAGUAUCGGGGGGAGGGGGUAUGAACCAUAGAGAAGUUGGAAUACAGUAGGUUUAACACCAAUAUAAAUAAAGAAUGAGUUCAUUACAGUACCUUAUGGUGGUGAUUUGUUUUCUUAUACUAACGGAGCUCAUGAGAUUUUCUGUUGAGUUUUGUGUUGUGAAGUUUUCAAGUUUUGGGUAAAGAUUUGAUGGAUUAUGGAAUACGGAGUGGCAAGAGCCUAAGCUUGGGGAUGCCCAAGGCACCCCAAGGUAAAAUUCAAGGACAACCAAAAGGCUAAGCUUGGGGAUGGCCCGGAAGGCAUCCCCUCUUUCGUCCUCGUCUAUCGGUAACUUUACUUGAGGCUAUAUUUUUAUUCAUCACAUGAUAUGUGUUUUGCUUGGAGCGUCUUGUAUGAUUUGAGUCUUUGCUUUUUAGUUUACCACAAUCAUCCUUGCUGUACACACCUUUUGGGAGAGACACACAUGAAUCGGAAUUUAUUGGAAUACUCUAUGUGCUUCACUUACAUCUUUUGAGCUAGAUAAUUUUGCUCUAGUGCUUCGCUUAUAUCUUUUUAGAGCACGGUGGUGGUUUUAUUUAUAGAAAUUAUUGAUCUCUCAUGCUUCACUUAUAUUAUUUUGAGAGUCUAUUAGAACAGCAUGGUAGUUUGCUUUGGCUAUAAAAUUAGUCCUAAUAUGGUGAACAUCCAAGAUAGGUAUAAUAAAAACUAUCAUAUAAAGUGCAUCGAAUACUAUGAGAAGUUUGAUAAUUGAUAAUUGUUUUGAGAGAUGAAGAUGGUGAUAUUAGAGUCAUGCUAGUUGAGUAGUUAUGAAUUUGAGAAAUACUUGUUCUAAAUUUUGUGAUUCCCGUAGCAUGCACGUAUGGUGAACCGUUAUGUGAUUAAGUCGGAGCAUGAUUUAUUUAUUGAUUGUCUUCCUUAUGAGUGGCGGUCGGGGAUGGGCGAUGGUCUUUUCCUACCAAUCUAUCCCCCGAGGAGCAUGCGCGUAGUACUUUGUUUUGAUAACUAAUAGAUUUUUGCAAUAAUUAUGUGAGUUCUUUAUGACUAAUGUUGAGUACAUGGAUUAUACGCACUCUCACCCUUCCACCAUUGCUAGCCUCUCUAAUACCGCGCAUCUUUCGCCGGUAUCAUACACCCACCAUAUACCUUCCUCAAAACAGCCACCAUACCUGCCUAUUAUGGCAUUCCCAUAGCCAUUUCGAGAUAUAUUGCCAUGCAACUUACCACCGUUCCAUUUAUUAUGACACACUCCAUCAUUGUCAUAUUGCUUUGCAUGAUCAUGUAGUUGACAUCGUAUUUGUGGCAAAGCCACCUUUAUAAUUCUUUCAUACCUGUCAGUCUUGAUUCAUUGCAUAUCCCGGUACACCGCCGGAGGCAUUCACAUAGAGUCAUAUUUUGUUCUAGUAUUGAGUUGUAAUUCUCGAGCUGUAAGUAAAUAAAAGUGUGAUAAUCAUCAUUAUUAGAGCAUUGUCCCAAGUGAGGAAAGGAUGAUGGAGACUAUGAUUCCCCCACAAGUCGGGAUGAGACUCCGGACGAAAAAAAGGAGGCCAUAAAAAAAGAGAAAAGGGCCCAAAUGAAAAAAAGAUGAGAGAAAAAAGAGAGAAGGGACAAUGUUACUAUCCUUUUACCACACUUGUGCUUCAAAGUAGCACCAUGAUCGUCAUGAUAGAGAGUCUCCUAUGUUGUCACUUUCAUAUACUAGUGGGAAUUUUACAUUAUAGAACUUGGCUUGUAUAUUCCAAUGAUGGGCUUCCUCAAAAUGCCCUAGGUCUUCGUGAGCAAGCGAGUUGGAUGCACCCCCACUUAGUUUCUUUUGUUGAGCUUUCAUACUCUUAUAGCUCUAGUGCAUCUGUUGCAUGGCAAUCCCUACUCACUCACAUUGUCUAUUGAUGGGCAUCUCCAUAGCCCGUUGAUACGCCUAGUUGAUGUGAGCUAUCUUCUCCUUUUUGUCUUCUCCACAACCACCAUUCUAUUCCACAUAUAGUGUUAUGUCCAUGGCUCACGCUCAUGUAUUGCGUGAAGAUUGAAAAAGUUUGAGAACAUCAAAAGUAUGAAACAAUUGCUUGGCUUGUCGUCGGGGUUGUGCAUGAUUAAAUACUUUGUGUGAUGAAGAUAGAGCAUAGCCAGACUAUAUGAUUUUGUAGGGAUAACUUUGUUUGGCCAUGUUAUUUUGAGAAGACAUGAUUACUUUGUUAGUAUGCUUGAAGUAUUAUUAUUUUUAUGUCAAUAUUAAACUUUUGUCUUGAAUCUUUCGGAUCUGAACAUUCAGAAGUAUACGCUUGAUCCAGAUUACUAAAGACUGUUCUGUUUUUGACAGAUUCUGUUUUUCGUGUGUUGUUUGCUUAUUUUGAUGAAUCUAUGGCUAGUAUUGGGGGGAGGGGGGUAUGAACCAUAGAGAAGUUGGAAUACAGUAGGUUUAACACCAAUAUAAAUAAAGAAUGAUUUCAUUACAGUACCUUAUGGUGGUGAUUUGUUUUCUUAUACUAACAGAGCUCAUGAGAUUUUCUGUUGAGUUUUGUGUUGUGAAGUUUUCAAGUUUUGGGUAAAGAUUUGAUGGAUUAUGGAAUACGGAGUGGCAAGAGCCUAAGCUUGGGGAUGCCCAAGGCACCCCAAGGUAAAAUUCAAGGACAACCAAAAGGCUAAGCUUGGGGAUGCCGCGGAAGGCAUCCCCUCUUUCGUCUUCGUCUAUCGGUAACUUUACUUGAGGCUAUAUUUUUAUUCAUCACAUGAUAUGUGUUUUUCUUGGAGCGUCUUGUAUGAUUUGAGUCUUUGCUUUUUAGUUUACCACAAUCAUCCUUGCUGUACACACCUUUUGGGAGAGACAUACAUGAAUCGGAAUUUAUUGGAAUACUCUAUGUGCUUCACUUAUAUCUUUUGAGCUAGAUAAUUUUGCUCUAGUGCUUCGCUUAUAUCUUUUUAGAGCACGGUGGUGGUUUUAUUUAUAGAAAUUAUUGAUCUCUCAUGCUUCACUUAUAUUAUUUUGAGAGUCUAUUAGAACAGCAUGCUAGUUUGCUUUGGCUAUAAAAUUAGUCCUAAUAUGGUGAACAUCCAAGAUAGGUAUAAUAAAAACUAUCAUAUAAAGUGCAUCGAAUACUAUGAGAAGUUUGAUAAUUGAUAAUUGUUUUGAGAGAUGAAGAUGGUGAUAUUAGAGUCAUGCUAGUUGAGUAGUUAUGAAUUUGAGAAAUACUUGUUCUAAAUUUUGUGAUUCCCGUAGCAUGCACGUAUGGUGAACCGUUAUGUGAUUAAGUCGGAGCAUGAUUUAUUUAUUGAUUGUCUUCCUUAUGAGUGGCGGUCGGGGAUGAGCGAUGGUCUUUUCCUACCAAUCUAUCCCCCUAGGAGCAUGCGCGUAGUACUUUGUUUCGAUAACUAAUAGAUUUUUGCAAUAAGUAUGUGAGUUCUUUAUGACUAAUGUUGAGUACAUGGAUUAUACGCACUCUCACCCUUCCACCAUUGCUAGCCUCUCUAAUACCGCGCAUCUUUCGCCGGUAUCAUACACCCACCAUAUACCUUCCUCAAAACAGCCACCAUACCUACCUAUUAUGGCAUUUCCAUAGCCAUUCCGAGAUAUAUUGCCAUGCAACUUACCACCGUUCCAUUUAUUAUGACACGCUCCAUCAUUGUCAUAUUGCUUUGCAUGAUCAUGUAGUUGACAUCGUAUUUGUGGCAAAGCCACCUUUAUAAUUCUUUCAUACAUGUCACUCUUGAUUCAUUGCAUAUCCCGGUACACCGCCGGAGGCAUUCACAUAGUCAUAUUUUGUUCUAGUAUUGAGUUGUAAUUCUCGAGCUGUAAGUAAAUAAAAGUGUGAUAAUCAUCAUUAUUAGAGCAUUGUCCCAAGUGAGGAAAGGAUGAUGGAGACUAUGAUUCCCCCACAAGUCGGGAUGAGACUCCGGACGAAAAAAAGGAGGCCAUAAAAAAAGAGAAAAAGGCCCAAAUGAAAAAAAGAUGAGAGAAAAAAGAGAGAAGGGACAAUGUUACUAUCCUUUUACCACACUUGUGCUUCAAAGUAGCACCAUGAUCUUCAUGAUAGAGAGUCUCCUAUGUUGUCACUUUCAUAUACUAGUGGGAAUUUUACAUUAUAGAACUUGGCUUGUAUAUUCCAAUGAUGGGCUUCCUCAAAAUGCCCUAGGUCUUCGUGAGCAAGCGAGUUGGAUGCACCCCUACUUAGUUUCUUUUGUUGAGCUUUCAUACUCUUAUAGCUCUAGUGCAUCCGUUGCAUGGCAAUCCCUACUCACUCACAUUGUCUAUUGAUGGGCAUCUCCAUAGCCCGUUGAUACGCCUAGUUGAUGUGAGCUAUCUUCUCCUUUUUGUCUUCUCCACAACCACCAUUCUAUUCCACAUAUAGUGUUAUGUCCAUGGCUCACGCUCAUGUAUUGCGUGAAGAUUGAAAAAGUUUGAGAAUAUCAAAAGUAUGAAACAAUUGCUUGGCUUGUCAUCGGGGUUGUGCAUGAUUAAAUACUUUGUGUGAUGAAGAUAGAGCAUACACUAGUAGAAAAAGAGGCUUCCAUACGCCCCCAUUAGUCCCCAAAAUAAUCGAACCGCGAUUAAAGGGGUCUUUAGUCGCGGUUCGGGAGGAGGCCCGCGACCAACUAUCUGGGCCCAGCGCGCGCUGGCGGACGGGAGGGGCUUUAGUCCCGGUUGGCCUGGCCAACCGGGACUAAAGGUCCUCAGGCUGGCCCGAAGGCCUUUAGUCGCGGUUGGCCAGGCCAACCGGGACUAAAGGUUAGACCUUNNNNNNNNNNNNNNNNNNNNNNNNNNNNNNNNNNNNNNNNNNNNNNNNNNNNNNNNNNNNNNNNNNNNNNNNNNNNNNNNNNNNNNNNNNNNNNNNNNNNNNNNNNNNNNNNNNNNNNNNNNNNNNNNNNNNNNNNNNNNNNNNNNNNNNNNNNNNNNNNNNNNNNNNNNNNNNNNNNNNNNNNNNNNNNNNNNNNNNNNNNNNNNNNNNNNNNNNNNNNNNNNNNNNNNNNNNNNNNNNNNNNNNNNNNNNNNNNNNNNNNNNNNNNNNNNNNNNNNNNNNNNNNNNNNNNNNNNNNNNNNNNNNNNNNNNNNNNNNNNNNNNNNNNNNNNNNNNNNNNNNNNNNNNNNNNNNNNNNNNNNNNNNNNNNNNNNNNNNNNNNNNNNNNNNNNNNNNNNNNNNNNNNNNNNNNNNNNNNNNNNNNNNNNNNNNNNNNNNNNNNNNNNNNNNNNNNNNNNNNNNNNNNNNNNNNNNNNNNNNNNNNNNNNNNNNNNNNNNNNNNNNNNNNNNNNNNNNNNNNNNNNNNNNNNNNNNNNNNNNNNNNNNNNNNNNNNNNNNNNNNNNNNNNNNNNNNNNNNNNNNNNNNNNNNAACCGCGACUAAUGGCCCGAACCUUUAGUCGCGGUUGGCCAGACCAACCGGCACUAAAGGAGGCCUCAUUUUCAAACUCUACCCCCCCCCCUGGUGGAUCGCCUUUUUAGUUUUAGAAAAAACAAAAGAAAAUGAUGGAAAUGUCAAAAAAAAAAUUAAAAUAAGUUUUCCAUGUGAUAUGUGGUCUAGUUGUUGGGAAAAUUAACAAAUAUGAAUUUCGACUUUAUUUGCAAAAUCUCUCUGGAAAUUCUUAAAAUGGGCAUAACUUUUGCAUACGAACUCGGAUGAAAAAGUUUUUUAUAUGAAAAAUCAUCUACUCGAAAAGUUACAUCCGAAUUUAACACCAUCUAGACCUAGUGAACCUACUUAAGUCAUACCGGAAAAACAUAUACCUGUUUCAGAUAAUCAUCCAUGAACAUGAUUGCAUGGUCAUCCUGCCCAGUAUUGAGUUUGAAUACACGGAGUACUCUGUCUUUCUUCAGUGACUACAAAAAGUAUUUCUAUGUUCAGGUUUCAUCAGAGCAAGGAAAAAUUAUCUCUGAUGCAAUUGGAUAUUAAUAUACAUUAGUCUACGAUAAUCACCAAAAUUUAACACGAGAAUCGCUAGAAAAGAAUCCAAAGGUAAAACACAAACUUAUCAUUGCAUUACAAAAGUGGUGUCCACAUACGGGGCUUUAGAAUCCUCAAAUUGGAACCCCGUUAAACAUUUUUAGAAUCCUCAAAAACCUAACAGAAAAAAAGAUACGGGGCUUUUAAGAUCUAGAGUGGAAAAAAAAUUCAAAAAAAUUCAAAUUGUGGUCAAACUGUGGUCAAACAAUGGUCAAAAUAAUUAUUCUAGAAUAUUAGUGUUACUAAAUAAUUAUUUCUUUUUUUAAAUUUUGGUCAAAUCUGGUCAAACUGUGGUCAAACUGUGGUCAAACAAUGGUCAAACUAAUUAUUCCAGAAAUAUUAGUGUUACUAAAUAAUUAUUGUUUUUUAAAACAAUAGUUUCAAACUCAAACAGUGAAAUGUGUCACUUCAUGCUCAAGCUAAAUUCCUGAGGGUUAAUAGAAUUGACAUCCUACUAUUGUCAGGAAAACAACAAGUGCAGACUUGGAAACGAGGGAGAAUAGAACCCGGAAGUUAAGCGUGCUCAGGCUGGAGUAGUGAGAGGAUGGGUGACCGUCCGGGAAGUUAGAUGAUUUGGAAUGAUGAGGGGUGAUUAGAGAUUAGAGGAUAAAUUGAGCAGUGAUGAGGGGUGGCAGUGAUGAGGGGUGGUGAUUAGAGAUUAGAGGUUGAAAUAAAUCAGAAAUUUAAAAAUAAAAAAAAUAAAAAAAAUUCACAAAAAAACCAGGUUUAAACCUACGGAGGAGGCCUUUAGUCCCGGUCAGCCAUGAAAACCGGGACUAAAGGACGGGCCUUUAGUCCCGGUCAGCCACAAGAACCGGGACUAAAGCCUUUAGUCGCGGUUCGUAAGAGGCGCGACUAAAGGGGGGGGUCUUUAGUCGCGCAUAUUUAGUCCCGGUUGCACAGCCGGGACUAAAGGCCUUUGCGAACCGGGACUAAAGGCCUUUUUUCUACCAGUGAUAGCCAGACUAUAUGAUUUUGUAGGGAUAACUUUGUUUGGCCAUGUUAUUUUGAGAAGACAUGAUUACUUUGUUAGUAUGCUUGAAGUAUUAUUAUUUUUAUGUCAAUAUUAAACUUUUGUCUUGAAUCUUUCGGAUCUGAACAUUCAUGCCACAAUAAAGCAGAAUACAUUGAGAAAUAUGCUAGGUAGCAUUCCACAUCAAAAAUUCUGUUUUUAUCAUUUACCUACUCGAGGACGAGCAGGAAUUAAGCUUGGGGAUGUUUGAUACGUCUCCAACGUAUCUAUAAAUUUUGAUUGUUCCAUGCUAUUAUAUUAUCUGUUUUGGAUGUUUAAUGGGCUUUACUAUGCACUUUUAUAUUAUUUUUGGGACUAACCUAUUAACCGAAGGCCCAGUGCAAAUUGUUGUUUUUUCGCCUAUUUCAGUGUUUCGCAGAAAAGGAAUAUCAAACAGAGUCCAAACGGAAUGAAACAUUCGGGAGAGUUAUUUUGGAACAAAUGCAAUCCAGGAGACUUGGAGUGGACGUCAAGAAAGAAACAAGGAGGCCACGAGGCAGGAGGGCGCGCCCAGGGGGGUAGGCGCGCCCCCCACCCUCGUGGGCCCCUCGUGGCUCCACCGACCUACUUCUUUCGCCUAUAUAUACUCAUAUACCCUGAAAACAACCGAGAGCACCACGAAACCCUAUUUCCACCGCCGCAACCUUCUGUACCUGUGAGAUCCCAUCUUGGGGCCUUUUCCAGCGCUCCGCCGGAGGGGGAAUCGAUCACGGAGGGCUUCUACAUCAACACCAUAGCCUCUCCGAUGAUGUGUGAGUAGUUUACCACAGACCUUCGGGUCCAUAGUUUUUAGCUAGAUGGCUUCUUCUCUCUUUUUGGAUCUCAAUACAAAGUUCUCCUCGAUCUUCUUGGAGAUCUAUUCGAUGUAAUUCUUUUUGCGGUGUAUUUGUCGAGAUCCGAUAAAUUGUGGGUUUAUGAUCAAGAUUAUCUAUCAACAAUAUUUGAUUCUUCUCUGAAUUCUUUUAUGCAUGAUUUAAUUAUCUUUGCAAGUCUCUUCGAAUUAUCAGUUUGGUUUGGCCUACUAGAUUGAUCUUUCUUGCCAUGAGAGAAGUGCUUAGCUUUGGGUUCAAUCUCGCGGUGUCCUUUCCCAGUGACAGCAGGGGCAGCAAGGCACGUAGUGUAUUGUUGCCAUCGAGAAUAAAAAGAUGAGGUUUAUAUCAUAUUGCUUGAGUUUAUCCCUCUGCAUCAUGUCAUCUUGCCUAAUGCGUUACUCUGUUCUUAUGAACUUAAUACUCUAGAUGAAUGCUGGAUAGCGGUUGAUGUGUGGAGUAAUAGUAGUAGAUGCAGAAUCGUUUUGGUCUACUUGUCGCGGACGUGAUGCCUAUAUACAUGAUCAUGCGUAGAUAUUCUCAUAACUAUGCGCUUUUCUAUCAAUUGCUCGACAGUAAUUCGUUCACCCACCGUAAAUUAUGCUAUCUUGAGAGAAGCCACUAGUGAAACCUAUGGCCCCUGGGUCUAUUUUCCAUCAUAUUGUUUUCCUAUCAAUUUACUAUUCCUUCCGUCUUUUAUUUUGCAAUCUUUACUUUCCAAUCUAUAUCAUAAAAAUACGAAAAAAAAAUUAUCUUAUUAUCUCUACCAGAUCUCACUUUGACAAGUGGCCGUGAAGGGAUUGACAACCCUUCAUCGCGUUGGUUGCAAAGUUCUUAUUUGUUUGUGUAGGUUCGAGGCGACUUGUGUGUAACCUCCUACUGGAUUGAUACCUUGGUUCUCAAAACUGAGGGAAAUACUUACGCUACUUUGUUGCAUCACCCUUUCCUUUUUAAGGGAAAACCAACGCAUGCUCAAGAGGUAGCAGAAAGCAAGGGGAAGGUAGGGGAAUGAGUGAGUACCUUGAGCGCUGGCGGUGGUGGGGAGAAGCGGGAUGGGGGCCUGGAGGACGCAGAAGGUGAGAGGGCGACUCGCCCCUCCGCCUCCCUGAACCUACUGCGAGCGGUGGGAUUCGGGACAGGCUGUGCCGGCGAGCGGCUGCGGCCGGAGGCGGUCCGGCCGACGAGGGGGAGGAAGACGCAGAUCGGCCUAAAACCAGAAGAAGAAAAACAGCUCGCGGGAAGAAUGGGCCGCCCAUUUUUCUUAACGACCUGUUAUUUUAUAGGAGCUACUAGAUAUUUUAUCCGCCGAAUCUACAUUGUAUUCCUAUGAACUUUUAUAUAAUCAAUAAAGUGGACUGUGUUUAGACUCAAAAAAUUAUAGAUAUUUAAAUUAAAACCUAUUAAAAAUAGAAACAUGUAUUUUAGAGAAAAAAAAUCAGUAUGUGUUUUAUAAAAGAGUAAUAUGUCUAUAUUGAAAAAAGUUCACCCAUGUAUUAAAAAAUUGUUCAAUAUUUCCGCAAAAACAAAUGUUCAAUAUGUAAUAAUAAAAUGUUUGAUGUAUACAAUAAAAAUGUCCGUCGUAUAUUAAAACAUGUUAGACGGAUGCAAAAAAUGAUCAUUGUAUAUCAUUAAAAAAAUCAGUGUGAAUUCAGAAAGUUCAUCGUGUACUGAAAAAUCACAUGUCAUAAAAGAGAUCAGUGUGUAUAUGUAAACUUUUUACCGUAUACUAAAAACAGUUCAUUGUACAUUUAACAAAUAUUCACUGUAUAUUAGAAAAAAAAUCACCAUAUAUUGAAAAAGAUACAAAAAGGAAAAGGUGCAGAAAGGAUAACAGGAAAAGGAAAAUCUGAAAAGGGACAAGGGAAAAGGGAGAAAGAAAAAAUGAAACAAAAAUAAAUAGAAAAUAGAACAAAAAACGAAAAUAGCAAACCAAUGAAGGACACUUGGGCCGACCGAUUUGCGCUGCCUAUUUGCGGCCUGCGGGUGGAUAUUAGGAUUUGGCCUCGUGGCCAGUACACCUAACACCACCCAACGCUUAUGUUGGGCCUAAUCACUCGCUCUAGGCUGUGGGCCUCUCUCUUCCAACCCCAGCCAUCAUCAUUUCCCUAAAAGGAAAAUUAAAUAAACAUUCACUCUUCUCGAACGUUGUCCAUAGAGAGAUGGGCGAAUUCCAGAUCUUUGCAUGUCAUGUAGAUUGUGAUUUCUCUAUUACUCCCUCCGUUUCAAAAUACUUGACUUCUAUUUGUUCAAAAAUGGAUGUACCUAUAUACUAAAACAUGUCUAAAUACAUCUAUAUUUUGACAAAUGGAAGGCAUGUAUUGUGGAACGGAGGGAGGUCAAGGAGGAAAGGGGAAGAAGAAGUAAGAAAAGGGUGGAAUGUGUUGCUUCAAAGGUGAGGCUACGACGAUGUUGUUGUUAGAAAUGAAUUUGGAUAUCAGCUCAAAGUUUACCUGCAUUAAUUGUAAGGCUCUUUUGUUAUCCUGAAAUUUCCUUCCUUUAGUUAUGGGUGGAAAUUAUUUAAAAAAAAAACAUUCAGUUGGUGCCGUAACAUUCAGUUUGUUAUCCUCUAUGGAAGUUAUGGCAAUCUGAAUUCAACCUGUUCUCCUGUGCAUCACUCUGUUUUUCUUCACUGUAGCCCAUUUAUCUUGUGGCACAAUUCAACCUCUGGACAUGAUUGAAUUAAAUUUUCAUGGUAACAGUAAAAUUAUACAUUGGUUUGUAUAGAUAACUGAUACAAAAUUGUGAAUUGAACUUAAUCUUAUGAGAGAGGUGACGUGUCAAAUCAUAGGAGCGUGUCUUUUAUUUUUUAGUUUGAGUAGUGUUUUAAGGAGCUGUACCUUAUAAUUAUAAUAUUUUACUUCUCUUAUUGGGUUUUGGUUAAAGUGAAUUCUCCUUGCUGUGCAAUUGAGUUGUGAAUAGUGAGCUACAUCUCUUUGUAAACUGUCUGUGAUAUGUCAGACUGUAGACAAAGGCUGAGCCACAAUCUGAGCCAAGCCUGUUAAGCAUCCGUGCUAUGACAUCUUAUCCUGGUUAGAAUGAGAAUGCAAUUGAGAUGUAUGGCCAUAAAUGAGUGACAUUAUUGUCGAUGCUUAUGAAAUAAAUACAGAAGCUUGGCUUGUUAAACGUGUUUUCACUAUGGUUGCAAAGAUCAUGGGGCUUUCUGGGUGGUACUAAUUACUUUGUCACUUGCCCAGCUCACUCUGUUCAUAACUUUUCAGGUGGGUGGGUUUAAGGACGGUGGGAUGAGGGCGUAGUUGAAGCAUAAGCACUUGAAUCACCUUGAUUUUCUGGACUGCUUUUUCUUAGAAGAAGAAUAACUAGCAGAAUGGUUAGCUCAUCUUACUUGAAGAUUUUCCAUGGACUCUGUUUACUCUGCUAGUGGUUCCAGCAUAACUCUAGAGUGCAUCUAUUCACUGAAGGCACUGGAAGUUUGAUAUGCCAAAAUCUCGAAAAAAGUUCAAAGUUGAAGUGAAUAGUAGCUUACAAUUUAUCAAAACAUUCCAGUUGACCAGGCUUAGAGCCAAACCUAGUCUCAAGGAUGGCAUGUCAUCCUGGAUUGAUAAUAUUUAAUUUUCUUUUCUUUUCUCCUUACCUUGUAAUCCUAGACUUCUCUGGUUGUAUCCCCAUCAACCAUUGUAAACCCUUUUAUUUUCCUACCUUAUAUUAAUGAAAAAUGACACACAGUAGGGCUUUUGCCUUACUGUUUUAUGGUAAAAAAAAAUAGUAGCUUACAAUUUUGCUAGCCUACAUGGUGAACAAAAUUUAUGCAUGGAUGAGAUGAAAUGAAGUGUUUGUACAUGCAAAGUCUAGGCUGAGUUGCUCUCAUAUAAAGACAGUUCAAACACCCACUGGCUUACUUGCUCGCAUAUCAACAGAUUGAUAUAACACCUUUGGAUUUUAUUUUGUACUUAUCUAGCUUGCUGGUAAUAUCCAGCUUCUUUAUGGUAACAACACUGGUUUUCCUGCCCACGCAGCAAAAGUACUCGUAGCUGUGUAUUAUUACUUCAUGCAUUCUUUAAGGUCAAUCAGCAGGGUGUAUUUCUGCUUUCCCCUCUCUCUUGGGAUUCUGGUUUUUCAUCUGAUUAAUAUUGUAUAGAAAUGGCCAUGAACCACCGGGAUGUUUUCUAUUACCAAAUGGAUUUGUUUCCUGUGAACAUAGUGUAAGCUGUAACUUUUCUUGCAGCAGAUAAACUUACUGGUAGCAUUUGCCGUUAUGGCCGUUCGGCUUGCUCGUUGGCGCUUCAUGGCCGUUGGAUCUGCUAGUGGUUAAUCUUGUGGUGCUUUACAUUUACCUUGUCACCUGUCUUUUGAAUUGCCCCUUUGUGCAGCCUGAGUCCAACGUGUUUUUGGACCGUUUUUUCAGCAGCCGAAAUAUCAGAUAUGCUCAUGCGUGAUAUUUUUGGGCACACCCAGUUGUUGUGCUCGGGUNNNNNNNNNNNNNNNNNNNNNNNNNNNNNNNNNNNNNNNNNNNNNNNNNNNNNNNNNNNNNNNNNNNNNNNNNNNNNNNNNNNNNNNNNNNNNNNNNNNNNNNNNNNNNNNNNNNNNNNNNNNNNNNNNNNNNNNNNNNNNNNNNNNNNNNNNNNNNNNNNNNNNNNNNNNNNNNNNNNNNNNNNNNNNNNNNNNNNNNNNNNNNNNNNNNNNNNNNNNNNNNNNNNNNNNNNNNNNNNNNNNNNNNNNNNNNNNNNNNNNNNNNNNNNNNNNNNNNNNNNNNNNNNNNNNNNNNNNNNGGUAUGGCUAUAGAGUGGAUGGUGGGCACACUGCAACAAUGACAUGGUGGUGCGCACAGAUCUCUGUUUUUUUUUUGACAAAACACUAAUCAAGUCAAUGUCAAGCCAAUCUGGGUUAUGUUUUGGAUUCUCAGAAAGUUUUGUUACACCAUUCCUUGAAGGUUGGUUACUUGGAUCAAUCAGGAUUAGCCUGUUUGGAAAUGCAUUUGAGGUUCAACCACAGACUCAUUUAGAAACUGCUGUACAUUCUUUAAUUGUUAGUUCCCUUGAUAUUUCCUUGGAAAGAGAUUGGAAACUAAACAUGCAAGUGGAGUGGUCAUAUCAUUCUGCAGUCUACUCACAUGAUAAACGAUUUGUGAAUGGCAUUCUCAGCACAUAUCCCAUGCUCACAAUAUAUUUGUUUCAUAAGAAGAGCUAACAAAGAUUAGAGAUGUGUACAAGUCUUAUAUAUAUGUACCCCUGCUUUAGGAUGUGAAAGUGCGUGAUAUGAAAUCUUAUUUUCCCUUGCAUCUUUAGCUUAUUUACAUCUAAAAUAUUGGAGGAAAACAAAAAUGUGAGAGUUAAGGAGAUGAAGGGAAAAAGAGCUGAAAAGCACUUGCAUUGCGGUACCUUGCUCAGUCCACUUGAAGUAGGAUUACCACUCUACAGGGUAUGCCGAUGGAACUCGGACCAAGAGCCGCAGUGACCUUUCUAGCUCUAGGAAGAACACCCACAAUACAACGAGUACACCUCCAGGCACAUGAUUCCAGAAUCCGUGUCUGAAGCAACAGGUUGCCAAAGGUUUAACUGUGUCUUGUAGGCAUGACAAUGUCGAAAACGACGGCUUUGAGGAGACCCUGGAGCAAUGUUCGUGUCAUGCCUGUGCCCUCAACACACAGGUCUAGCAGAUCCCAAUCCAGGGGAGCGAGCACAAUGAGGAGGACAGGAAUAUAAAAAAUGUCUCAUCCUAAUUAUAACCUGUUAAGCACACUACGGAUGUUUUGAUAUCCAAGAGUCCCUAUCCUUGUGAAGAUGACGGUAAGACUACCGAAUUAGCUUAGAUUUAGUGCACCCGGAGCUCAUGUACUCUUUUCAUCAAAUAAAUUAUUGUCAGAAAACAAGCAUUUUGUUUCUCUUGGUGACAUCAUUCAGAACUGUGAGGAUGUGUAUUUCUGUAGCCCAGGCUCAUGUGCUAUUUUUAUUAACAAAAUUUUGUGUAACAUAUGGAGUAAAUGCCUUUUGCCCCCUGAGACCAUUUUUGUGAGCAUGUUAAGACUGUUAGCCUCUUCCAAGAGAAGAAAAACUGAAGCGCAGAAAGAAUAGAAUGUUCGUUUAUUUAUUCAGAACUGAUGCGCAUUUGUACAUCAACAGUCACUUACUAUUAAUAAUUUCACAAUUUAUUCCUCACUUUCUCCAAUGUUUCAUCCUAGGUUUCUUUGCCAUGAUUUGCUGAUCUCGAAUGGGGCCCAAAAACUUAAGUCGUAUCAAUUUCCGUUUCACGCAAUUCUUUUAAAUGAUGCAAUGGUUUUGGAGAACUCCCUGUUUUUAUUUGCCAGUCGUCUAAAAAAAGUGAUGGUAGGUAUGACUAAAAAUUGCGUAACAUGCAUAAUAAGUUCUUCAAAGAUUGGUUACUUCAGACCAUUUGGGAUUAGCAUGUUUGCAAAUGCUAUUGUCGUUCCACCACUCACUCAUUUAUGGACGCGUCCCAUUCAUUUGGUGCGGGUUCCCUCCCACGCAUGAUCUUCACUUCAUUUUUGACAAGACAUGGGAAACUAAACAUGCAAGUAGAAUGGUACGGUCAGACCAUUUUGCAGUCCAGUCACAUGCUAAAAAUGUCAUGAUAAACGACUCUUGAUUCAUAAAUCACAUGCUUACGAUAUAUUUGUUUCAUAAGAAGGGUUGAAUAGAUCACAUAUGUGUAGAAGUCCUAUAUAUACUUACGUUGCCCUAUGAUGUUAAAGUGAGUGUGAUAUGAGUUCAGAUUUGUUUACGUCUUUAGCUUCAGAACAUCUAAAAUAUUGGAGGAAAACAAAAACAUGAGAGCUAAGGGGGUCAAGGGAAAAGGAGCUAAAAAACACUAGCGAUGUCGUGUCUUGCUUUGUCCACUUGAAGUUGUACUGCCAUUUGAUGGGGACUACCAUGAUGGAACUAGAGUUGAGAGCUGCAGUGAUCUUCGUAGCUCUUGGGAGAACAUCUGUAUGCAACAGUUGCUUAGUUACGAUGAAUUUUAUGAUCAUGUACCAAGUCUGAAUGAAGGUUGCACUGACAACACUAGUCCUCAUCAUCAUUGAAUCUGCCACGUUCUCCUCCGCAUGAGUUUGCGUGCACGUUCCUCAUCAGAGUUUCUAUCAUCACAGCUGGCUUCAUAGUUUCAUGGUGCAGGAGUAGUCGGUAGAGAGUGGUACAUGGGGAGAGAAAUGUUACUUUUACUUGAGGUUGAAAGUAGUUAUGUUUACACCUUGGGUUUUCACUUUGUGGGCACUAUGAUGUUUGGCGCUUCAUAGUUUCAUAGGAAGCAUCAGCCAUGCUUCCUAUGGGUUUUACUAGAACUGGUGUUGGCUAUAUGAUUUCUAUUUUCUUUGUCUUUCCCUUUUUUUUUUUGCUCUUUUACUGUUGCUUGUACAUAUUGGACACCUUUAUUCCAAUACAUAUAUUGUAGAACGAUUGCUCUAUGGGUUUUGGUUCAAGAAAAAGGUGGUCACCACAACCACAACGCAAACACGCUCCGCGACGUCUUUCUCCCACCUGUCGGGGAGACCAACGCUACAGUCAUGAAGAGCGUGAGUACCAUGAUGUCACGCUAGAUUUCAGGGAUGGAACACUAAUCCAAAGCACGACCGCCCACAAUGCAAUAAAGUAGGCCCAAGUUUAGCGGCGACCAAAACAUCAAGUUCUGGAAACCAACAAAUGAAUGAACAUUGGAAAACUGGUGUUUCUUCCACAACACCUCUUCACACUUCUCUCUCAAGUGCGGCAAGUUAGCGGAAUCAUCCCAAUAGAUAGAAAGUCAUAAGAGACAGAUGGGCCACGAACAACGAGAGGAGAACGAAACAAAAUUGCCACCACCGCCUCCCCGGCCUCACUACCCACCAAAUGACGCCACUGUCAACCACAUGUGGGGUGGCUCCAUGUCAUAUGACUUGUGAAGAAAAUUACAAAAGGAUACUACACGAGGUGAUGACGGUGAUGGACUCGCUAGUGCCAUCAACCCUCAAGUGGACUCACGUCCCAAUCACUUUCACUGAAGAUGAUUGUACACCUAACAACCCUUUCCCCGAA
RNAcentral lists this long non-coding RNA (282408 nucleotides) under Triticum aestivum (bread wheat). RNAcentral's name for it is "long non-coding RNA (TAES_LNC012640)". The stretch from base 276629 to 276764 matches the Rfam family "MIR1120/MIR1122 microRNA precursor family". The record is from RNAcentral. Lineage: Eukaryota; Viridiplantae; Streptophyta; Magnoliopsida; Poales; Poaceae.